UGGGACUAAUGAGUGUCCCUGUUAUGGGAAUUGCACCUGAUUCUUCGCUUUCUACUCAUACUGUUUACAGUGCUGCUCUCCAUUUGGGAAUUGGGAAUCAACUUACUAAUAUUCUAAGAGAUGUGGGAGAGGAGUAAGCUCUCUCUUUUGCUCUCUUUUGUUUAUAUCUGAACGUUUUGAAUUCACUAUCUACUCGUAUCUAUCUUAUUUACUAUGAUUGUCAUAGGAUUUAAAUGAGUGUGUUUUAAUGAACUCUAUAGCACUAGAGGUGCCUAAUCUGAUUUUGUUUUUGUCCUUCCUUCUUUUUUCUUUAGUGGUAAAAUAUGUUUAUUAGGAGGAACGUCGUUGAUUUGAUUAUCAAAUGCUCAACAAACUUUGACGAGAUUGCUACUUUAGCAAGGCAAUUGAGAAAUGUUUUAUCCUUAUUAUGUCCUCAUGUUUGUAAUCGUGCAACUCACCAUGUAGCUUGUUAUGCUUCUAAAUUUUUAUGCCAUUUAGGUUUCUUUCGUUCUUUCAAUUUGGAAAUUCUUGGAGGGUGUUGGGACACAUGUUAUUUUGAGUUUUAGAUAUUACUAAUGGUGACUUUACUCUUCUUCCACCUCAUUGAGGUUUAGUCUGAUGAAGUUUUUUUAACGAACCAUGUAAAUCCAUUGUCGGUUUUUUAUUUUAUUUACAACGUAUCCUAAUGCUGCCUUUUGAAGUCGUUUCAGUGCAAUGAGAGGGAGGGUAUAUCUUCCACAAGACGAGCUUACACAGUUUGGAUUAUGCGACGAGGAUAUAUUGAGAAUGAGAGUGAGUGAUGAGUGGAGAGAAUUCAUGAAAGAACAGAUAAAAAGGGCGAGGUUCUAUUUCAAACUAGCAGAAGAGGGAGCUUCUCAGCUUGACAAGGCCAGCCGUUGGCCAGUUUGGUCAUCACUGAUGUUGUACAGAGAAAUAUUGGAAGCAAUUGAAGAAAAUGAUUACAACAAUUUCACAAAGCGAGCAUACGUAGGGAGGUCCAAGAAAUUUCUUGCACUGCCUCUUGCUUACACCAAAUCUAUUUCACCACCCACUCUAGUCUUCAAUUGACGCUGAUGAAAUGAAAGACAAAUCCAAAGAUAUUGUGAAACACAUCUUCAAAUGGUUUGUUAUGAGGAAAUAUAUUGCUAAAGAUAUCUUCAGAUGGUUUAUAAUGAAGAAAUUUAAGCUGAAAUUCAUUGAAAUGUCCAAUUUCUCCUGCAGCCACACACAGAUCCAUCACAAUGCGAAAUCUGGAAUAGACUAUUUAUUACAUUGCACAACCCAUAUUGUAUGAUACUGCAGCCAGCUGAAUUAUUACUUCCAAGUGUAGAGUAGAAAAGUGUGAACUCAUCGGUUUGACAACAAUCGAACGUACACAAUGCUUCUAAUUGGGUCUGAUUAUUGCUCGUCGUUUCCAUUUACUAGUAAUAAGUAAUAAUGAUUAAAAACUAUUGGAAGGUAAAGGGAGAGUAACAGAGGAAAUAAUGAAAAAGAAUAAUAAAGACACUCAUUGAAGUAAAAAUUAAAGUGAUGGUCCAUCUGUAAACCCCCAAAAAGAAAACUAAAACAAAAGCAUCCUACAAAAUAGUUAAAACAGAAAAGCACAGAGACCCCGUGAACCAAAGGAUAGGAAAAUUGCAUGAAACAAAUUACUAAAAAGAAAAAAAUAACAAAAAAAAGAAAAGAAAAGGAAGAAAGAAAGAAAGGGAUGCAACAAUACAUUGUUCUUUGGAGAUGUUACAUAUGCAGUUAACAAGUCGCCAGCCCUAUAGCUUCCUUCAGCAAAACCUUGAGAUUUGCAAGGAUGGACUCCACCAUCCUGAAAGCAACCUAUCGAAAUUUACAUGCUUUUGUCUUUCCCCACCACCACCGCCACCAUAGGGAAAACUAAAAUUCUCCAAUGUAAAAACAGCCAAAACAUAUGUUUGGAAACACCUGCGGCUAGAAAUUUUCAUCUGACAAUAGGCGCAUCAUAAAAAGUAGUCAGGAGUUCUUCGAGUAACAUCCGGUUCACCCCUCCUUGGAGCUGGUUCGAACUGCAGAAGCAAAAAAAUUGUUCACAUACAAGGAAAACAUAAUAACUGGCUGAGUAGUUGCUCCCUUUCUGAGGGAGGGAGAGGAAAGAGAGGUAUACCUGAAUGAAAGUGUGCGCUUUGCAGUCAUCAACUUCCAGAAUUGAUGCCAUAUUUCCACAGCGAUAACAAUAAUUAGGUGCACUAAAUAUAGUCACAACCUUUUGUUCCUGUUAUAACCAAUUGACGAUUUCUAAGUUGCUCACACCACCUAAACAAAAGAUCAAUGCACGCAUCAAAGGAAAGAAACUUCUUACAUGACUCCAGUUAUAUCCUUCCAUCACUAGCUGAUGUGCUCUUGCAAUCAACUUUAAAUUAUUACUAUGGUUAAACUGCUCAGAUAUGUCCUGGAGAAACAACAAAAAAAGGUUCAUAAAACUCUGUGGUGAAAAUAUGAAGGGUUACAUGUAAGAUGAUAGGUUGCCUUCACAAAUUUACCUGACCAAAGGUAUAUCCAGCACCUCUGGGAGAAAUUCCCCACCCACAUCGAUCAUCUGGGUCAGACCAUAAGAGAUCACACAUGGGACCUUCAUGAGGAACUUCUUGAACACGAUCAAAAUUCCGUAUAUUGUCGAGGGUUUCAAUAGAUGGCGACAAACCACCAUGCAGACAGAAUAUUUCUGAUUCCACCUAUAAAGAUUAGAGAAACAAGCAUCAGAAUCAAUUUCAGAAGCAAAAAUUGGCGAUCAUAUUGCUGUAAGGAGGAACAGAAGAACCCCCAUGAUGCAAUUAUACAUAACGAUGUUUAGAUUAUACUAACCAGUGCUGUCAGUGGAAAAUAGUCAAACAGGUCAGUAAAAAUCUUCCAAACAUUAGCAUUGCCAUACCUGCGAAAAAAGAGAGAAGAUAAUAAAACAUACAGGUCAUACUUGGGUUGCCUUUUCAAAAUAUUCUUCAUACUUCUUGCAGACGUGAUAGUCUUGCUUCACCCCAAUAAAAAAUAAUUCAGAAAAAAAAAAUACUCUCCCUUGUGCACCACAUACAUAACUUCCAUCUUAAGAUAAGUAACUCAACUUCAAAUAUAAGCAGCACAUAGUAAAUAAAUAUUUUCAAGAUAACAUAUUUGAAGGAACAUGUCAAAAUGCAUCCGAACAAACCAUUUUAAUAAAACUUUAUAAGCACCCAAAAGAAAAGUGCAUCACAGGGUAGCACUAAAUAAAAGCAACACAGAGCAAAAAGAAUCUGAGAUGACAAGAUGGAGUUGACCCAUAAGAGGACAUUGAAAAAUAAUAAUUCCUACUAAGGGUAAGCCAGAAAAACGUACUUUCUUAAGCAUUCGUCAUAGAACCCAUAAACUUGUGUAAUCUGCAUAAAGAAAACAUAAACCAUAAUUAAAGAUGACAUCUUCAAAAAACAUCAAAAUUAAGGGCCACAGUACCAAUUAUAAACAUUUACCUGACGACUUUCAUGAUUUCCUCUAAGAAUUGUGAUGCGUUGAGGAUAUCGGACUUUAAGGGCCACUAAAAGCUGUAAAAUGACUCAUAUUAGAACACAAGUUGAGUUCAUGCCCCAAAAAGCAUGCUACAGCCUACUAUGAAAACAUUGUGGUGUUAACUGGAAAUCUUGUUAAGAAAAUCUGUUAUUUGUUAAAAGGGCCGGUUAAAUUCCAGUUAGUUUGUUUUUGAUAAUUUGUUUAGAUCCUGUAAUCUCUCAAUUAAUUUUUUUUAUAUAUCCGUGAGUGUCCAUACAAGUUUACACGCACCUCGACUAAUCUUAUGGGACAAUCUGUCUGAUCCUUUUAGGUGUCAAGGAAACUCAUAAGAAAUUAAUUAUUAGGUAGAUGACUAUCAUGAAUUGAACCCAUGACCUUCAAGUCAAUUGUUGAGACAGUCUCCUCCCCAUGAUGAUGAUUUCUAAUCUCUCAAGUAAAUUAGGGAAGAAAUCACUCUCACUUGUGAUUCUUUCAAGAGAAGUAUCCAUUCUUGUUUUGUUUCAGGUGGAAGGAGUUGUGUAUCAGUGACUUACUGGACAAGCCCAAAUUUGCAUUCAAGAAUAGGGUCUAUCAAUAUAUUCAUCACUCAUGGAUCAAUUCAAAAUUUUAUUUCUCAUCCUCAUAGAUAAGGAAUUAAAAUAUUUUUUUCCAAACGUUUGGUUUGAUGUGUGCUUGGCGUAGAGAUGUCGAUGUUAUGAUCAAGGAGUUCCUCCUCAAUCCUCUGUUUGGGGGAAAACGCUAUUUUCUUUGGCUUGCUAGUGUGUGAGAUUUUAUGAGUUUUGUGGGGCAAACGGAAUAGUGGGGUGUUUAGGGGUGCUGAGAGGGAUCCUAGGGUGAUGUGGUCCCUUGUUUGCUUUCAUAUUUUCCAGUAGGAUUCGAUUUUAAAGUUCUUCUGUAACUAUUCUAUAGGCACGAUUUUGUAUAGCUGGAGUCCCUUCUUGUAGAGGGGUCCCCCUUUUCCGUGGGCUUGAUUUUUUUUUUAUGUCUAUGUAUUCUUUCAUUUCUUUUGCAACGAAAGUUGUUCGUGUUAUUUAAAAAAAUAUUUAGAAAGAAAAAAAUCAAAUGGUUCUCCAAGUCUAUAAUCCUAGAAAUAAAAAGAAGCGAGUAAAGAAGUAUAAAUGCUAUAGAAAGAGGCUUUAAACAUGUUGAAUUUCUGUUAUUGAAAUACAAGACAAUUCUAGUUCAUAUACUUAAUAAUUCAACUCAACUGCCUUUGGAAUCUUGAAUGUUGUGAACUUGUGGUACAUUGCAGCUAUUUAUUUAUUUUUCCUUGUCCUUGGGUCUAAAUCAUAAAUAAUGCACGUAAAACCAUGCAUUGCCUAAAACAAUAGUUCAAAUGUUGCAAUGUCUCCAGAAUUUUCAAGCCAAACAAAUUUUACCACAUGAUACAUGAAGCGAAACCAAGUACAUUUACAUUAAACAAGGCCAUACUUACUGUAACAGUUUCAACUGAGUAGUAGCCACGAUCAACAUAAUCUCCCAUAAAAAGGUAAUUUGUAUCUGGACACUGCUCCACCAGAAAUAAAUUAAAGGAAUAAAGAACUGUAUGGGGUGAUAUAAUGUAAAAAAGAAGGAAGACUCCUCAAUCCCAACUAUAGGCUAGAACUUCAAGAAGGAACUCGAAAUGAAAUGCAUGUGUGAUGUAUGAAAUAAACAUAGACAUUGACUACAGUGUAAUGUUAACUUAAGAUCAACUGUUUGAUUUAAUAAAUUAUAAAUGUAUGUUAUUGUGAGUAAUAUUCAAGGAUACGAAACAAACAUCUAGCAACACAGAAGCACACUAAAAUCUUUACUCCUCUUUUCCUUCUUUUUUAUCUUUUUGCUUCAAUCUACAUCCAUCACUUAAUAAUCUUCGUUAUCUACUCAGUAAUUAAGCUUGAAUUGGAGAAGCACAAUGAUUCAACAUUAACAAGAAUCUAGAAUAUCAGCAUAUCAAGAGCUUUUCUUUCACAGUUGAGCUUAUAUUUUCCCUUCCAACGCUUUAAUCAUUACUCAUUCAGCAAAGAUAACCACAAAAAUCCUGCCAAUGGUCAAAAUAGAUACCUUCCCUCCAAUGCGAAAAAGUUCUGCAAGAUCAUGAAAUUGCCCGUGAAUAUCACCACAUAUUGUUACCGGACUUUUAACAGGCUGCAGAGCAUAAAACCUCAAUGUAUUAACAUAAAAAUUAAGCAGCAACCACCACGUCAUUAUCAAAUUACAAGAGAAGAAAACUUGCAAGUUCAAGAGUAUGAUUGUUAUAAAAGUUGGAACUCCAGACAGACCCCAGAUCAUAAAUUAACAGUUCAAUUAGACCUAAUUUUCAUUUUUGAACCUCAGAAUAGAUAGCUAAGGUUAUUUUAGAAUUUAUAACUUAACAAGCCGAUAUAAUUAGAGAGAGCAAAAUACAUCAGAGUACUGAAUAAGAAAACAAGAACGUGAAAGGCAGAAUACAAGAGCUACAAAAUUAUUCUAGAGAGAAACCACCAAUGGAAACAACUUCUUGACCUGUUUAAGAAAAAGAAUGAAGAGGGAAAGAACACUCCUAUUAUACAGAAGAUUGAUAAAAAAAAAGUACUCAAUAGUAAAUCCCUUUGUUGUUGAAAAUGCAUGUAGAGAGAAAGAUUGGUAGGGGAAGAGUGAACAAAAAUAUUGACGUGAGAAACUAUAGAUGUAAAGAAAAUCUAGUACAAAAGAGUGCAAAGAUCAAAUGAGACAAGAGUAUAGCAAUAUCAGAAAGAUAAAAUGUACAGACAGAGAAACGUGUGUAAAACUAAAUUGCUGGUGUGUGUGUGUGUCUUUUUUCCUGAAAGCAUAUUUGGAAAACUAAAUCGGUGUUCAUUUAUAUAUAUAUAUAUAUAUUGAUUCCUUCAUUUAAUUGAUUGGAUGAACUUUCACCUGAAAAUUGGUGAAAGAAAAUGUGCAUUGUGAAAAAUUAAAGAUAAACUUUUCGGUCAAAAGCACCUAAAAAUGAACUUCAAAAUUUAUUCCCUCAUUUAAUUGAUAAGAUGAAUUACAAAAUUGGUCAAAGCAAAUAUGUAACAUUGAAUGAUUUAGAUUUUAAGUUGAAACCGUAAAAAAUGGCACUAAUCAAAAUUGUUUCUUUGAAAUCACAGUGAAGUGCUUUUGAGUUCUCAAUGGAAAUUGUAUCCAAACAUUUAGUGACCCUCCCCUCCCCAGAAGUAUUGCUAAACAUAUUGCACCCACAACAAAUAAAGAUGUUUUAUAACUUAUUCAAAGAAUAAUUUCAUAUUAUUUAUAAAAUUAUAAUUAUGUAUGUUCCAUCCGCAUAAAUUCAAACCCCAGAAAAAGAGGCCAUGAUAGAACACUUUGCAUGAAAAAAAAAACUUGAAGAGAUGAAACAAAAUAAAGCAUACCUGAACAUUGCUCUCGUCCAUAAGUAUCUCCUUGGCUUUGUCACACAAUACUCUUACCUGCAGUCGAGACACUUCAUAAGAUGAGAUCCUUGAAAUAAGAAACAUGGUAUCCAAGUAUUGAAUUGUGUCGUCAAAAUAUAUGUUUUGCCUAUCUUGAUGUCAAACAAAUCAGAAAAGACGUUGGCACCAGCUAAAAUGGACUGGAUGUCAUGAUUGGCAGACAUAUUCAUAAAACCUAUAACCCCAAAUUUUGUCAACAAUAUAUAUUCCACUCAAAGUUUUCGACUAUGCUAUGUAUCACUGAUACCGUAUAAUUGACCUGAUCACAACCCUUCUUUUCUUCAAACGGCUCUCAGAUGAUAUCAAGAAAAUUCACUACAUUAAAAGUGAAACUCUGGUCAAUUUUACCUAAAUGCUCACUCCCAUUUCUAAACAGGAAAGAUUAAAUUGACUGCUACAAACUAUACUUGCAAUAAAACCUGCGGAGAUGCAUACGUGCAACAUCAAUAGUCAAUUUACAUAGUUAGAGGUCGUGGUAUCGAUGUCACUUGAUACCAAGAUCAAAUGCCACAAAAACACACACGGUUGUGAUCAAUGGGGAGUGUCAGAAUUCUUAAUUGUCAGGAAAAAGACGCGCGUUCUUAACUUAUAUUAUCAGCCAAACAGCACCAACCGGUAAAACAUUCUUAAAUAAUGUUGGAAGUUAAAUCUAAAACGCCGACUGCAGUGGCACCACAGUAAAGGAUCUAUUUCACGUUAGAGCAAAUCUUUCCCGAAUAACCAUAUUUCUAAAAAUCCAACCGCUAGAUCUACCCUGGAAAUGCUUCCAAGAUAGCCAAACCCACGCAUCGCACCCACAAGCCCAAAAACUCAGAAACACGCGACUACCUCAAUCCAAGUUCUGAAACCCCAACAGAUCAGGCUGGAUCCAUCACAUUGCUUUUAAACCAUCCGAAAACCCCCCUAGUAUAAGCAAACAAUCUCUAGAUACUACGAUGUAAAACGAAAACAAAAGAUUACAAAAAAAAAAAAAAAGAAGAAGAAGAAGGAACAAAAAAAAAGGGGGGUACCUCCUGCUCGUUCAAGGGCUUGCACUGCAUGAGCUGGGAAAUCUGCUCGUCCAGAUUUCCGUGAGAGUUAGAAGAUAGGGAAUCCAUGAUUUCGCGUAGGUUGGUUGAGGUGAUUUCUUGACUCCAAUAGCGAUGGCAAUUACAGAUCAAGAUCCCGCCGAUUCGGUGGUGCUCCCUUCAAGUUCAUAGGAUAUUCGUUGAGGCGUAAAGGAUCCGUCGGAAAACCCUAGAAAAGGACUCCGUCUUGUUCUUCUUCCCCCGUCCUCUUCCUGUAAUUUACUAAAAAGAAAAGAUGGAAAAAUCAAAGUUUCUUUCUUUCUCAAUUGAAAAUAAAGAAAACUCUUUUAUGUCAUAUUUUGUUCGAAAACCGGGAAAAUAAUAGUUCCCCCACUCCCAUGCUUCGCGCGUAAUGUACACGUGUCGGUUGUAGGAGACUUGAAUUAGAAACGUGGCGGAAGAGUAAAGUGGGUGAAGAACGUAAGGAGAAGCGCGUGAGAGAGAGAGAUAGUUGUCCGUUUUAGGAGUUUAAAAGUGUUUUAUAAAGAAUGUGGAGGGGAAUGGGAGAGACCCUCACUCAAACAAGGGCCCCUCGUCGGAGAUAUCUCAACCAUUACCAUCGUCUCCUUCCUAAUACACCAACAUAUGCUCAUCCAUCCUCAUCACCCAAACCCAUUCUUUACUCUCUUUUUUCCCUUUGUUAUUAACAUUACUUGUAUUAUUCUAAACCUUCAAUUUCCUUAUAUUUUGUAAAAUAACCAUUUUUAUCAAAUAUUUACAUUAUACGUUUAUUUUGUUUUGUUUUGAAAAUGUUGUUUGAUUUUAAAUUCUUAUUAUUUUUGUUCUCCCACUUUCUAACCAUUUUUAAAUUGUUAUUCAAAUUUAUUACAUGAUAAUAAUUUUUAUGCAAGACUCGAUUUAAUAUUUAUUGAAUGCAAAUUGGACAAGUAAGAAUAAAGAAACCAAAAUUUAACAAAAUGGUUUAAGCUAAAACUAAUUAUUUAAAUGAUCGAUAAAGAUUAUCUAUAACUAUGAUAAUCACUUAUUGAAUAUUAACUAAUUUGUUCCAAUAUUUACUAAUAGUAUAAACACCAAACAUGUACUGGAACUAAAAUAAUCUACACUCAAACACAAUUUGUUAUGAUCAAACUAUAAUAAUUCACCCAUUGCUUCAAACACCCUCUCUAAGUGUUUUUGUAUUUCAAUAAUUUAUUUUUAAAAAUUAGUUAUAAUAAAAUGUAAAGGGAAAUUGGUUUCAAUUGUAUUCCAAAUUUGUAAACUUCAAUUUUUUGGUUGGAUUGAAUCUUUUGAAUAAAAGUGAAACUGCACUUUUAUUAGAAUCAUAAACUUUCAAUUUUGUUUAUAGUAAUUUAUCAAAUUAUAAAAUAAUAGUAAAAGAAACAAAUUAGUCAGGUUAAUGGACUCUGUUGUACAACUUAAAUCAUGGGUUUAGAUAGUUACGACGUCUAAAGUUCAAAAGUUAUAAAAUCUUUAUGAUUAUGAAUUAGUAACGUUUCGUUUAAUAAUCAUUAAUAUCUAUUUUAAAUAAAUUGCAUCAUAUGACAAUAACAUUUAGAAAUAAAAAAAACGAACUAUAACAUUCAUACUGCGAAUAUGGAAAAUAUGAUCGGUAAUAAGUAAUAUCAGACGACGGUAGAACGACUAUCCGCUUUAAAAUUUACUAAUUUUACAAUCUAGAAAAUGCAGUCACAUGAAUCCUAUUAUCAUAAAUAAGUUGUCAUUUCUAGAAGAACCCAUUUCUUUUAUAUGGUGGAUAUUCAUCAUUUUCUUAUUUGUAAAAUUUAAAAGACAAAAACAGUGUUUCAACACAAAUUUAAUUUAGAAGAAAGUUAAUUUUUUAUAACAUGUCUAAAAAUAGUAAACCUAAGGAAAAUUAUAGUUAUAUGCAGUUAAUUGUAAUUCACAAACUUAAUUAAAAACAAUUUACUUCAAAUGAGAUUUUAAUCUUGAAAAUAUAGCAAGAUUUGAUAUAUCGACAUGCAUGCAUGUACAUCUAAAACAUCUAUUUUCUCAUUAAUAAUACCGUGAUUUGUAUUUACAAAUCGGUAUAAUAACUUAUUAAGAGGUUAGAGUUCAUCCCACGGUCAUAGCCUACAAAUUAAUUUUCUACGAGUUUUCUUACACGCAAGCAAGUGAUCCCUUAAGAUUAGUCGAUAUGCGGGUAAGCUGGCCCGGACACUCGUUAUAUGUCUAUAUGUUAUUAUUUUGUAUUUCGUGACUCAAAAUCUAUUUGGAUAAGACAAUGUUAACUAAUAAUUGUUUUGUUGAUUAUGGUAUUUUGAAACAUUUUUUACUAUCAUAAAAACCUUAAAAUUCAAAUCCACUCCAAGUUGAAUGUAACAAGACUAUUGACAUUUUAUCCCAUUAAAAGUGUUUGGUUAAUGUUGUUUUUUAGAGUUUAAUUAAGCUAUUAAUUAUUACAAGAGAGACUAGUUAACUUGAAACGAAUAACGAAGUGAAAUAUAAGUAAAAAAAAAAAAGUGAGUAACACAAACAACGAAGUAAUAAAUCUCCUAGGAAUUUUGAAAGUAGUUAGAAGUGAGAAAAUAUAAAGUUACAACUUCACUCUUUGUUUGGUCCAAAGCGUUUGUAGGUUCUACCAAACAUCAUUUUUAUACCUUAUUAACUUCUUCCUGCAUGAGUUAUAAAAGCUCACAACUUCCUAGACAGAAAACAAUAAAAGUAAUCCCCAUUCAUUAGGAGCCAAUAGAGCUAAACUUGAUAUUUAUUUGAAUUGUGUGACUCACAAACUUUGAAUAAGCACUAUCAUCCCCAUUCAUUAGGUUGAACAUUCUCACAAAGAUAACGUUUUUAGAUUUUCUUUUGCUUGUUGUUCUAAAUUAUGUUUUCAUGCCAAUUGAUUCAACCAAUUCUAACAAAUGUUGUUUUUAAAAAUGUUUUAUGAAAUUGAUGUAAAAACCUCUUUUAAUUUCAUGUUACCUUAGAAUCCAUAAUUUAUACGUACAAACAAAAUUCUAAAACACUGUAAACUUGUUCUUUUUAACGAAGACUUAUAAUAUUAUAAAUAAAAGUACAACCAUGGUGGUUAGUUUUAGCAGUAAAAACACAACCAUAUUAUCGAUAACUAUCUAAAAUGUCACGAGUUACCACUUAGAAAUUAAUUAAUCAAUAAUACGUAUAAUUUCAAUUUGGACGCAUUGUCAAGAAAACAACUAAAGUCACACGUCAAUUAGCUAAGAGAACAAUUUUUGUAUUUUAAGGAAAAAUACUAUUUCCAACUACACGUAAUCUUAUGAUUUGAAUUUGUUUUGACUAACUUUUUUAGCUAAAUAUAUUUGGAAUACAUCACAACGAACUUAUGUCCUUCCAACACAUGUUUGCAUUGAAAACAAAUAGAACUUUUUAAAAAUCGGUGGUACUAUAUCACCCUACACAUAAAUUAAGUUGAGAAAUGAUCUAUUUAGAAUUGUCGAUGUCACUAACGAAAAAAAUAAGCCAAGGUUACCCUAAAAUAAAUAAAUAGUGCUUUUGAAGUUUGACAUUUUCUUGUAAGAUAGAGUUAACUAUAUAUUACGAGUUUAACUCAAUUGACAUCGAUGUAUAGAAAACAAAAUACGUUUUAGGUUUAAUUUAUCCAUCCCAUUUAUAUUAAAAAACAAGAAUUAUAAAACAACUGUCUCCAUAGUCUCAAGAUAUGCUUCACGAAUAUUUAGUAUCAUUAACACCAAUACUUUGGUGGAGAAUUGUAAACAAUAGCAAAUUUGACAAAAUAUUUACAACAUACGACUAAUUUUUCAUAACCAUCCAUAAUAGAUAUUAAUAUGCUUUUAUCAGUGAUAUUGACACUCACUUAUAUAAUCUAAAAUUUUAUUAUAAUUUAUAAAUAUUUUAUUAUUUUAAAAAAUGCACCAACUAUCAUAAUUAUUGAAACGUGUUAAAAAUUAAUCACUGUAUCAAUAUGAAUUGAUAUUUAUUUGCAAACAUCUAUCUUUUAGAUAUUAGUUAUUUUAAAUUAGAUACUAGUUAAAGAAAAAUGGUUGUAAAUAAUAAAUGUACUCAAAACAUUUAUAAAAUAUAAUAAAAUUCGAUGAAUUAUAUUCGAAACUACAAUACUAAAAGUUAUCCCACUUUAUAAAUAUUCCAAUUUAUUAUGCGAAAGCAAGUUAAUCAGAUUAUAAAACAACUAUUUUCAUAGUAUUUACUAUCACUAUCAUAAAUAUCGAAAUAUCGAAGUGUGUUAAAAGUAAUCACGUUUAUUUGCAAACAUUUAUCUUUUAGUGGAUAUACAUCAACAAAUAACAAUUCAAUUAGACAUUAAUUAAAGAAAAAAUAUUUAAAACAAUAAAAUUGUGCUUGCAAUGACAACAAUAAGAUUUAUGAUAAUAGAGUCAGCAUCAUCACAUUUUAUAAAUUACUUGUCAUAUUUACCAUAUUCGUAAUAUAAAAAGCAGUAUACAAUAUUUACAAAAUAUAAGAAAAUUUGAUGAGAUGGAUAAUAUUAAAAGUUAUGAAAUUGAGUGUGGUAUAUUUGAAAGGAAGUUAAUAAAAUUAGGAAUAAAUUGAUAUUGGAAUAUAAAGAAAAAAAAUGGGAGAAAAAGAAGUUGGGGGUAAGAGUAGAAUUUAGUGGACAGUAAAAGUAAAAGUAAAAGGGAGUGAGUAACGAGAGGAUGGAUAGAAUUAGAGAAGAAAGAAUAAAAAUCGGAAGGAUAAGAAGACAAAGGGAUUAGGGCCGCUAAUCCCAUUAAACAUACGUACGGACGUAGUAAUUUUAGUUUUUUUAGUAUAUAAAGGGGAAAGAUAAAGGAAAUUAGGGAGAGAUUAAUUUGAAACUCUUUUACCCAACCCCAACCAGAGUUUUUAAAAAUUAAAGUAAAUAAAAAAAAAAAAAAAAAAAAAAAGAAACGAGGGAGGGAGGGAAAAGCAGAAAAAAAAGGAGAAAUUAUAUAAUAAUUAUAAUUAUAAAUUUAUAUAUAUAAAUAUUUACGUAGCAAAAGGAAGAUAUUUUUGUUUUCGUUCUCUCGAAGCAAGGCGCUUUUUUAUCUCUCCCUGUUGUCUACUACGACGAAAAUUAGGGUUCCUGGAUCUUCCACUAUUUUUGCGACUUUUCAGGUAUCCGCGUCUUUUUGUUUUUCCUCUUCUUCAGGUUCUUCCCUUCUUCUUCGUCUCCGUAUCUUUGUCCUUGCGUGCAUUGUUAUGAUUUCAAACUCUUUCUUAUUUCUUGAUGAUUUUGUUUCUGUUUUUUUUUUUGGUUUCUUUUUUUUUUUUUUUGGUUUCUUUUCUUUUCACCUUGGGGUUUUAUUCUUUAGCUUUUCUUUAGUUGAUGUAGCUGCAGAUCAAGGUUAUCUUUCUGGGUUAUAUUUCUUUUGCUGAAAAGAAUAUGGGAUUUGAGACCGAUUAAUAUGUGUGUAUAUUUUUUUAAAAAGUUGUGAGUCUGAUGUUUGUAUUUUUUUUUUUUUUGGGUUAAUCGAAGGACGCAUUUAUUUUUAUGUUUGGGUAUCGAGUUUGUCGUGGGGUUGAUUUAGCUUUGCAUCGGGAUAUGCUUGUGUUAUCGACUGUAUUUAUGCAUGUUCGAACUGUUUAUUUAUUUUUUUUCUGAUGUGGAGGGUUAAUUUGUUUAUUGAUAAAUAAUGUGCAGAAUUUGUUGUAAUUUGGAGUGGAUUGGCGAACAUUUUUUUUUGAACUCGUGAAAGGGUCUCAACUAUGCGAACUUCGUGGGCAGAUUUGGCUGCAAGCUCGGCUGCUGAGAAUGUAGCUGCUGGUUCUGCUAACAAUUGUAGUGCUGGAACUACUACAGCACCUGGCCGAUCGGCUUAUGUACCACCACAUCUGCGGAAUCGCACAGCCCCGGCUGAUCUGCCUGCUGCAGCAAAUAGUGGGCCUGCUGUGGGAAAUGAUCGUUCUGGACAUGCAGGGUCUCGCUGGGGUGGUGGCCCCCGGAAUGAUUAUAAUAAUCGUUCCGGUUAUAGUGGUGGUAGUCGAGGAGGAGGAUGGGGGGGAAGUAGAGGAGGUGGAUGGGAUCGUGGGAGGGGGGAUCGGGAAGUGAAUCCAUUUGGAGAUGAGGAGGAUACAGAGGAAGCAUUUGGAGAGCAAGAAAAUACUGGUAUAAAUUUUGAUGCUUAUGAAGAUAUUCCUGUGGAAACAAGUGGUGAAAAUGUACCCCCUCCGGUGAAUACAUUUGCUGAAAUUGAUUUGGGUGAAGCACUUAAUCAAAACAUUCGACGGUGUAAGUAUGUAAAACCAACUCCCGUCCAGCGGCAUGCUAUUCCUAUCUCUCUUGCAGGGAGAGACUUGAUGGCUUGUGCUCAGACUGGAUCUGGAAAGACUGCUGCUUUCUGUUUCCCCAUUAUCAGUGGCAUAAUGAAGGGCCAGAGUAUGCCGAGACCAGCUCGAGGUGCACGCACAGUGUACCCACUUGCUCUUAUUCUCUCCCCAACCAGGGAGCUUUCAAUGCAAGUGAGUUUUUUUUUUUUUUUUGUUUAAGAGAACAUUUAUUUCAUUUUCUUUUGAUUAUGCAGAAAGUCAUAAACUCUUUGUUACAGUUUUGUUAUAUGGAUGAAUUAUUGUGCUUUAGAUACAUGAAGAAGCAAGGAAAUUCUCUUAUCAAACGGGGGUCAGAGUGGUGGUUGCUUAUGGAGGUGCACCAAUCAACCUACAGGUUUUGUGUUCCUUUGCCCCAUUUCUCAAUCAUUUUCUGUCUAUUUGAAGUAUUGCAACUCUCAAUGUGUGAUUUUGUGUCAAAGUGCUGCUCAUGUAGUUGCUGAGGUUGCCUUUGUAUUGCAUAUUUGUAUAACAGUAUGUUGUGAAGGGUAAGGGAGUACAUGUACUUGUGACAGUAAAUCAUUUCAUCAUAAUCUCAUCGAGUAAAUGCUACUUUAGCAUGAGAAAAAGGUUGAUUAUGAUUACUUUGGAAUGAAUUGAGCCAUAAAUAUAAAUGUUCACGAGUGUAUAUUUAUAAUGUGGAACGGUAAUUGGUGAAAAAUCUUUUCAACAUGACACUGGUUAGAUUUUCCUUUGCUAGUACAGACUAUUUUCUGUCCAUUUACUGUCUGUUGAUGUGAUGUGAUACCUUAUCUUUCUGUUAUCUUAGGGCUCAUUUGUGAUGUCAUGAUCUACUCUUGUGUUUUAUGAAUUUGAUAGUUUAUAAUUUUUUUCUUGGUUUGCACUCUUGUGACACCUGUUAUAUUUUUCUUUUUGAAUCAGCUACGUGAUCUAGAAAGAGGUGUUGAUAUUCUUGUUGCAACUCCAGGAAGAUUAGUAGAUUUGCUUGAAAGGGCUAAAGUUUCACUGCAGAUGAUAAGAUACUUGGCCCUUGAUGAAGCAGACCGCAUGUUAGAUAUGGGAUUUGAGCCCCAAAUUAGGAAAAUAGUAGAACAAAUGGACAUGCCUCCACCUGGGGUAAGGCAGACUAUGCUGUUCAGUGCGACUUUUCCAAGGGAGAUUCAGGUACUAUUUUUGUAAGUGAACAAAUUUAUGUGUCUUGCUGCAUUAUAUUUUUAAUGGUAUUGCUCUUCCUUCUCCCCAUAAACCAAGGGCAGUUUUUGUCCUUUCAGUAAAAGUAAGUGCAGUUUUUGUGUUUACAUAGUAUAGAACUGGGGGAGCAUACAUGUAUUUUCAGCACUCUUCUUCGAACAUCAAACUUAUUUUUUCUAGUGCUCAUAGCGUCUUGGCAUUUCAUAGUGAGUUUUGUUAUGUCUAUUUUUUAUCCUCAUAAAAGAUGUAGAUUAACACAAAGAUACUUUAUUAUUAUUAAUAUUAUUGUUUUUAUUCUUAUUAUUUUUGUUUUACUUUAUAUUGAGUCGACUUUUUUCUUGCAGAGACUUGCCUCGGAUUUUCUAGAUAAGUAUAUAUUUCUGGCUGUUGGAAGAGUGGGCUCGAGCACUGAUCUAAUUGCUCAAAGAGUUGAGUUUGUUCAUGAAGCUGACAAGAGAAGUCAUUUAUUGGACCUUCUUCACGCACAGAGGGCAAAUGGUGUGCAGGGCAAGGUAUAUGUUUCAUAUUUUUUCAUCAUUGUGAGGAUUCGGGUCGAUCUAGUUUUUGUUUUUAAAUAAUCGCUUAUUUUAUUAAUUGAUCUCUAAUUGAGUUGUGCAUCUCUAGACCUCGUAUUUCUAGGAAAGGAUAUUAAAUCUUAGACAUUGAUCAUUUAUCUUGGCUUUCCAAAAUUGCUAAGGAAAGAAGAUUCUUAUAUAAUUUCUGUAUUGACAGCAAUCUCUUACUCUGGUUUUUGUGGAGACAAAGAAGGGAGCUGAUGCUCUUGAACAUUGGUUAUGCCUCAAUGGUUUUCCUGCCACUACCAUUCAUGGUGAUAGAACACAACAGGUAAGUCAGUUUUUGGCAUAUUUAAUUCAUUGAGAAAUUGUGAUUGCUCUGCUCCAUCAAUACAUGAUUUUCUCCCCUUAUCUUUAAAGCGAUCCUUUAUUUUUAAGGUGGGUCUAUAGGAAAUAAAAAUAAAUGGAAUAAAUGAAAAGAACAUAAAAUGGAAAUAAAAAGGAGGAAGGAGGAAGAAGUAGCUCUUAACAGAGGAAUUCUUGAACUUGAACUUUCAAGGGUAUCCUCUAGCAUUCCAGACUUCACUACUGCCUACAUUGGCUGCAGCUUCUAUUUUAUGCUAUUCUUUAUUUGGAAAUAUAUGUGCGUUUGCAUGGUCUAUGUAGGUUAAGACAUAAAAUUCUCCCUAUUAAGGAAACAAUGUGUAGAAUUGCGUGGGCUGAUGGUCAAUAAGGCUCAUGAAUUUUAUAAGGACUUGAGAGGGAAGGAUUUCAAUCAUAACAGUGGCUGAGUAAACCAUCCUGGUUUGACUUAGUUGUAAAAAAAGAGAUGGUCUCAAUCACUAAAAGGGUCAUGGGUUCAAUCCAUGAUGGUCACUACUCAUUGAAUUAAUUCUCUACGAGUUUCGUUGACACUCAAAUCUUGUAGGGUUAGACGGGUUGUCCCUUAAAAUUAGUUGAGGUGCGUGUAAGUUGACCUAUACCUCUCACAGAUAUCAACAAAAAAUAGUGAUCAAAUACCUAGUAUUUACAAAUAUUGUAGGGUUAGGUAGGAUGUCAUGUGGGAUAGGUCGAGAUGCGUCUAAGCAAGUUUGGACACUUUUGGAUUAAAAGAGUAAACAAUAUUUCUUUCAACAAGGUGGAUUAUUGAAAUUGGUGGAUGAGUUAUGCCUCAUGAGAUGGGUUUUUCUCAAGGAAGAACCCCUAACAUUUCAGUAGUGUAAAGCUUUUCGUGCCAGGUGGACGACUUUUGAUACUUUUUCUUUGGGAUGGAUACCUCCAUUCUUUUGCAUAUUUUGUCUCAUCUUUGACCAUAAAAAGUACAUUUUCUCACAUCAAAGGAAUUAUAUCAUUUCCUGUCUAAAAGGAAAAAUACUCUAAAUGCUUUUUUGUUGGAAAUAUGAAGUCUCUAGGUAUGUCGAUUUAAAUUUAUCCUUCCUAUGUUCACAGAUAUCCCUCGUCAAUUAAAGUUUCUGUGAUUUAACAAUAGUUCAAUUCAGUCUAAAUAUGUAAUUUUGGCUCUAAUUUUUUUCAGUUGAAAUUCAUAUGUUAUCUUGUGUAAAUAGGUGAAUAGUUUUGCCUACCAAAUAAUUGAAGUUCUUUAAGAAGUAGGUUACACUAUUAUUCUGCAGGUACAGAUGAUUCUGUCGAUUGAUUCCUAUGUUAUAUUUUAUGUGUGCUUGCGCUGUUGUUGGCCUCCACCUACUUCCUCUUUGAUAAUUUCAUUAUUCAGAACCUUAGUUGGUUUUUGAGUUUUAGAUGGUGAUAACUCAUUUUCAUCUUGUUGGCUCCGUUCUUUCGUUAUCCUAUCUAUAAACUUUAGAUGUCAUUGUUACUUCAUGUUUCCAAGUAUCAAGUAAGGUGUCUUCAACUGGGGAAGAUAUAAUUUGAUGGUUUUAGCUAUUGUUACCGUUAAUGAUUGUUCUAUACUCAAGCAUGCAUUUGAGAUCAAUUGUGUUUUGACCAUGUGUUGUAACAUAUUUUGGAUUUGGGUUGUAAAUAUUUUUAUUUGUGGUUUUGUUUUAUGUAUUUAUAUGUGCUUGCAGGAAAGAGAACAAGCAUUGAGGUCAUUUAGAAGUGGCAACACUCCGAUUUUAGUGGCAACUGAUGUAGCUGCUCGUGGGCUUGACAUUCCUCAUGUUGCACAUGUGGUGAACUUCGAUCUCCCUAAUGACAUUGAUGAUUAUGUUCAUAGAAUUGGACGAACGGGGAGAGCUGGGAAAACUGGUUUAGCAACUGCCUUUUUUAACGAGAACAAUGCAUCCUUGGCAAGGUCCUUGGCUGAUCUGAUGUCAGAAUCAAAUCAGGAAGUUCCUGAAUGGCUAAUACGAUUUGCUGCCAGGUCCGCCUACACUGGAGGAAGAAACCGUCGAUCUGGGGGAGGCCGAUUUGGUAGCCGUGACUAUAGAAGAGAAAGCUCUUUCAACAGGGGUGGUUCUGAUUAUUAUGGUGGAGGCAACAACAAUAGUGGGGGUGGUUAUGGUGGUGGUUCUGGUGGAUAUGGAGGAGGAGGAGGAGGAGGAGGAGGAGGAUACAGUGGUUCAGGGGUGACUAGUGCAUGGGACUAACGUGUACGUUUUUAAAUUAUUUACAGUGUUUAGGUGAUGGGUAGAGGAACCCGUUUCUGCCUGAAUAGAGUAUUGUUUUUUUUUUCUUCUUUUUUCUCUUCGACUAUUGGUGUUAAAAAAGUGAUUAUUGUCAAAACUUAUUGUCAUUAUGGGGGAAAGGAGAAAACGUUGUCCAUUUUGGGGCCCAUUAGGAAUGUAGAGUUGUGUGCAGUGUUUCUUUAGGUGUUGGUUAAAAUGGUACUAACAAAGUAGGAUCACUUUGUUCUUUUUGCUCGUCUCAUAUCAAGUCGGAAAUAUGGUGAAUUGGUGGUUGAAGAGAUCUCAGGGCUUUACUGUUCGGCCGCUUUUGUGUUUUCCAUCAAUUAGGUCAAGUUCCUUUAAAACCCAGUUUGCUUGCUAGGCUAUUCCUCGAGCUUCUUGGGCCAUCUUCUUCUUCCCCUUCCUGAAGAAUUUCAUAGUUACUGUAAUAUUUUGUUGUUGACCCCAAAUAAAUUUGAAACCUUUUUGUUAGGGCAUUAUGAUUUCAGAACGUAGAAACCAGGUUUUGUUGGGUUAAAUUUUCCAUCACAUACAGCAAAGAAUGUACACAUUUUACUCAUUUUAGCUUUUAUAUUUCCCAGUUUUGUCUCUUUAGUUCAAUCCAAUCAAUAUUGAGUAAAUUUCCUCUCUACAACAUUAGAUUACUCACUGUUGGUCAAACAGGUUGGUCUUAUGGGUUUAUUUUUCUAUUUAAACAAGUAAUGAUGCUCAUGGAUGUACCAUAAUGCAAGUUACCUAACUUGUUAAAUUUUUGAGAAAAGUGAAAAAACUUGGGAGUAAAGAAAAAGCAAUCUGUUCCUUUGUUUUAGUCUAAAUGGCAGUUGGGCAGUUGUAUAAAUAUACUAAAUAGAAAACUACAAAUUUCACAGAAUGUUUACAUAACAUAUAAUGGUCAAAGAAUCAUGUACAUCUCCAUUCUCGAAUCAAACUUCGCUGACAUCUAACAUUUCAAUAUCUCCUCUAUUUUUACAGAAUGUGUCUUAUUGUUGUUAAUUUCUCUUCAUCUCUGUCCUUGUCAUUCUAAAUCUAUCAUUGUACGUGUGAAAACCAGUACAUUUUCUAGAUUCUGAGCUAAUCGAGUUAAGCAUUUCAAUUUAACCACUUAGAUCCGUCAUAAUUGAGCCGAUAGUGAUGCAAAAUUGGGCAUUGGAUAUGUGAUUAGCAUGAGCAGAUGAUCAUAUGGUUUUGGAAAAUAUCAUAUUUAAUUAGAGACAUCAAAACAAACCAAGGGACCAGUGGUCCCUCAUUUAAUGAAUUUGGUUUAGAAGCAUUCAUAUCUUUACAUAAACAGUGUCCGUCAUGUUUAUAAAAGAGGAUACUUUUAAUGUCGAGUAAAAUAUUUUUCACAAACUUUCAAACAAGCAAACAAAUAGCAAUAAAAACUACUUCCGUCAACUUGUGAAGACCUUUUUUCUUUCUCUCUACAUACAUACAUCGAUUUUGAAGAAAUAUUCCAUAAAGCUAAGAGAGAAAAAGAAAAGAUGCUGUAUUGAAACUGAGAAUCAUAUACAAACCCACAUCAUAGCAUCAGCAAAUGCACAAAGAAAACUCAAUCAUUAUAGUGAUGAUAUUUGUUAAUAAGGCUAUUAUUAUUGUCUUGUGUUUAAUGGUUUAAAGUCACUUUCUUUAUAGAAAAAUAUAAUUUUUUUGUUGAACAAAUGGGGAAUGUGAUGAGUGAAUCCAUGUUUGUGUGUAUUUGGUUAUUGCAUAAUGCAUAUAGUUUGUAUUAUAAAGGAAAAGAGAAAAGCUGGAGAGAAAAAUAAAGAAGAAAGAGAGGAUUGAAUUGAAUUGAAUGACAUUGACUUGUCUUUCUCUUCUUUCCCCUAAAAAUUGGGUUUUGACCCAUUAAUGGUAACAACAAAGAGGACCCUUGUCAUUAGAAGUUUCUUGUCCUUUUGUCAGACUUGAAAAAACUUUGAUUAAAAAUUGAAACUUUAUGAUCUUAAUUAGGACAGCCUUAUUCAAAGAAAAAUGGGUUAAAAUCCGGUUGAAAAUAUCAGUAAUUAGGCGUAGAUUACUACUGCUUCCCACCCAGCUAUAGGCUUUGUAUUCAUUUCGGGUUCAAACACACAGGCUUUUCUUUCUCUCACGUUUUUGUGGGUCUUUCUUGUUCAUAUUUGGUUGAUUUUUAAGCGGCUUUUGGGGUCAAAAGCUGAGCGUAUUGGGUUCAGUUUUCUCUGUUAGAUCAGAUUUUUGAAGGGUUGAAAGUUUUGAGCUCAACCAACCCGUGAUCCGACUCUGUUUCUCUUUCUUUAACCUUGAUUUGGACUCUGGGUGUUGCUGGAAAUUGACUAUAUGGUUCUUUGCUUCCGAAAUGAACGAAUCGGUUGAACCCUCUUCAAGAGCUCAAAGGGGAAUUCGAAUUCAAGCUCCACUGGUUAGUCGAAUUGAAAUAUUCUCUGUUUGUGUCAUUUUUUUUGUUUAGUUACCACCAUUGCUAUCCAUAGAGUAGCCGAGUAAGUUAUCCGUGGAAAUUAUGCAAUUUUAUUCUGGGUAUUUUCGCUUAAGAGCGCUAUUCUGGGUUUUUCUUGACUCCCAACUCCUCGCAUUUCUUGUUUACGAUUCUCACUUCGUGAAUUUCUGGUGAAACAUUGUAAUUUGAGAAGGAUUUUAAGGUUUGGUGGGCUCGGUAUGAUUCUCGCGCCUGAAUUCAAUUAUUGGGGUUUCCUGCGGUAGGUUUUUGUUAAGUUCCUCGAUUCUGAGCAAGUUGAGGAGGAUUUUGCAUUUUACGAGCGCAUCUUUUUACUUGAUGUCUUCUUCCGAUAGGAUUCUGUUGAAUAUUCUAAAUUAUCUUCUGAGCUUUACUUUUAUGUAUUCUGUUGAAUGCUGGAUCACGUUUUUAAUAUUCUCUGAGAAUUGAUUCUGAGUAUGUUAGCAAAGAUGCUUUGUUUUGGGGAUUUUGGAUUUGUUUUCGAUCAAAUUCUUUCUGGUGUUAUUCAUUUGCUAUUCAAUUGAAGAAACAGUAGUUUUUAUGCGGAUGGUACUUUCUUUGUGAUGAAGGGUAAUGGCAAGUUUUGAUGCCUUUCAUUGUAUUACUUCUUUUGAAUCUGAACAUGUGAGGAACUUGUGAAGGAUUGUGAAGUAUGAGUGUGAGAUUCAUGUGAAUUAUAAGGAGAUCUAUUUAUUGGUGAAUAGAUUUAAUUAAAAAAUCUUCAAGAUGAACUUUGUAAGAUAAAUGCAAUAUUACCGCCAGUAGGUGUAUAUUGAGCGAGACUUUUCAUGGCCCUCCAUUGAUAUUUACAAAAGUAUUCAUACCUUGAAGGAAAUUUUGAGAUGCGCUUCAAUCUUUUAACUCAUUAGUUUGUUUCGGUCUUCCUUGUGGCGUGGUUGGUACAGAAUUCCAGUUGCACUCUACCAUAGGAUCUAUGCUCUUUACUUCUAUUGUAGCUUUGGGUGUAAUCUCCUGAUGAAGUGUUGUUCUUUCUAGAACACUUGGAGAAAUAAGACCAUUUAUCCGAAUAUAGUGUCAAAAGUUUAAGAUUGAGUUGAAUGUACAUGAUCAACUAGUUUUCAUAGGGGGUUACCUUUGUCUUCUUUCUUCCUUUCUGGCAAGUUGUCGCAUAAUUUCUUUUGCAUCUAACUGAUAAUAUUUUGUAGGUUGAUUCUGUGUCGUGCUAUUGCAAAGUAGAUUCAGGCUUGAAAACAGUUGUUGGAGCUAGAAAAUUUGUCCCUGGCUCAAAAAUAUGUAUCCAGCCUGAUAUUAAUCCAAAUGCACAUAGAAGUAAAGCUUCGCGGAGAGAAAGGACCCGAGUCCAACCUCCACUCCUCCCUGGCCUUCCUGAUGAUCUUGCCAUUGCUUGUCUAAUUCGAGUCCCUCGAGUGGAACACAGGAAACUCCGCCUUGUUUGCAAGAGAUGGUAUCGACUUCUGAUGGGAAACUUCUAUUAUUCUCUAAGGAAAAGUCUUGGCAUGGCAGAAGAGUGGGUCUAUGUCAUCAAAAGAGAACGUGAUCGAAGGAUCUCGUGGCAUGCCUUUGAUCCCACCUACCAGCUUUGGCAAUCACUUCCACCUGUUCCUGUUGAAUACUCGGAGGCCCUUGGUUUUGGCUGUGCUGUUCUCAGUGGUUGCCACCUCUACUUAUUUGGUGGGAAAGAUCCAAUAAAGGGAUCAAUGAGGCGGGUGAUUUUCUAUAGUGCUCGUACAAACAAAUGGCAUAGAGCACCUGAUAUGCUUCGGAAACGUCACUGUUUUGGCUCUUGUGUUAUAAAUAACUGCCUUUACGUUGCUGGUGGUGAAUGUGAGGGAAUCCAGAGAACUCUUCGUUCAGCUGAGGUUUAUGAUCCCAACAAGAACAGAUGGAGCUUUAUUUCAGAUAUGAGCUCAGCUAUGGUGCCAUUCAUCGGUGUAGUUCAUGAUGGGUUGUGGUUCCUGAAAGGACUUGGAACUCGCAGAGAGGUCAUGAGCGAAGCCUAUUCUCCCGAAACUAAUACUUGGACAACAGUAAGUGAUGGCAUGGUUUCUGGCUGGCGCAAUCCGAGUAUCUCUUUGAACGGACAACUUUAUGCCUUGGAUUGCCAAGAUGGAUGUAAGCUUAGGGUUUAUGAUAGUGCAACAGAUUCAUGGAACAGAUUCAUCGAUAGCAAGCUCCAUUUUGGAAGCUCUCGUGCUCUAGAGGCUGCUGCCCUAGUUUCGCUUAAUGGAAAGCUUUGCAUUAUCCGGAACAACAUGAGUAUCAGCCUAGUUGACGUUUCAAGUCCCGAUAAAAGGGUUGAGAGCAAUCCUCAUCUGUGGGAAAAUAUUGCUGGGAGAGGUCACUUGAGGACUCUAGUUACAAAUUUAUUGUCCAGUAUAGCUGGCAGAAACGGGUUGAAGAGUCAUAUUGUGCAUUGUCAGGUGCUCCAGGCAUAAGAAGCCGAAGGUGGGUCAAUUUUUUUUUCAACGGCACGGUGAAAGUGGAAGGCAGAGAGAAACUAUUAUUUCGGAGAGCUAAAGGAGAGAACAUGGAUUUGGUUCAAUCAAGUUCUGACCUCUUCAGUUGCCUUCAGAUUGCCUAAUGGUGAAGCUGUUGAUUUAAUUACAGGAGGAGGGCUUAGUUCUAGAAUUUGCUUUUGGAAUGAAGUUCCCAGAUAAUUUCAUUACAUUCUUGAACAGAAGGCAAAUACUUGUAAGUAAAUCUUUUUAAUCAAUCUCAGGCUAGUUUGUUUAUUUUGUUGGGGAUCUUAUGCUAGUAGUACUAUGUAAUCCUUGGAGAUGCCUUGUGAAUAUAAACAUUUCAUUAGAAUAUAAACAACACAAGAUUUAUGGCUGCUCACGAUUAAUUGUAAUCAUUGACAAAUUGGUUUCUGGUUUACUUGAUGAAGAUCUUACAGUCACUAUGGUUUAAAUGAAAUCACAGUCAAAGACCCAAAAAUAAAAAUUAAGCACUUAUCAUGUGCUAGAAUAUAAAUGAUCAAUAUUAAAGGAACUACAAGAACUUAUUAAAAGAACUAAUUCUCCCAUAGAGAUGAAUGAUUGGUUCAGUGACUCUUUAGCUGAUUGCGAAAGUUGCUGAUAAAAGCUUCAGCUCUUUCAUUUAUGUCUUCUUUCCCUUUCGUUUGCUUCAUUAUUGGAGAAUCUUUGUCCUUCUUGUUCUUGCUUUGGACUUGAAUGAAAAUGUCUCUGCAGCUUUCCAUUGCAGUAAUGGGAUUUGGUAUUAUGAAAGAAUUAGAAAUGAUAUCAGUGGAGUUUGAAUGUGGGGGCUGAGUUGCCAAUGGAGUUUUGUGUUUUUAUAAGCAAGUAGGUGAGGAAGAGUAUAAAAUGAAGCUGAAAACUAACGCCAACAUUGAUCUUAUUUGGAUUAUUAUAUUGUAAACUUACUGAAUGGAAAAGCAUAUGAAUAUGAUUUGGUGCAUUUCAAUGAGAUAUUUGACUUUCCCACGAGGGAUUCGACGAAUUAUUUAACCUUUUUUAUUUUUUAUGAUUAUUGUUGUUAUUAUUAACUUAUCAUUAUAUCAUUGUAUUACUGCUGAACAUGAAACUCGUGCUCCUAAUUGAUUAAUACUUUAGUUAUUCGUUCGGUAUAACAACAAAGUUGACUCUUCUUCUCUCUAUUGGCUGGUCUCUCUUUUCCCCAUAUCAUCUUCGAAUAGUAAUUUAAAUUUGUUAAGCUUAAACCUGUUGCUAAUUGAUAACUCGUUGAGAUUGAAAUUUACUUACUUUUGGUUAUUAAUUUUGUUGCUAACUUUAUAUUCUCAUAUUUCUAACAUCUCUUAAUAUAUACAUGAUGAAAAUAAGCCAACUUUAAGUUCAACUAACGUUCAAUUGGUUGUGAUACAAAAAUUUACUUUGCUCACUGCUCAAACUUAAGUUUAUUCAGUAUUUCAAAAUGAUCUUAAACAUGUUAAAAAGUGAUUUUGUUUCGAAAUCAAUGGAAGGACACGGUUUACUUUCUGGUUUAUUAUUUUAAUGGUUUCUUUUAGUCUUAUGAUUUGAGGUGUGAACGGUAAAAAUCCCACAGAACUCAUUCCAUUGAAGUUUGAAUGAGAUCUCAUUCUUCAAAAACAUAGAACACAUAACCCAACCAAACCCCAUCAGCUUCUUCAAGACAACAGAGUGAGGGAAUCUAAGAAACAUAAAAGAUAAUUUUAAAAUAUUUUUGACUUGUUACCAGAAUCUUUAUCUUGUUUUGAAUCAUUGAACAUUUUAAUUACUCAAGAGAUUCUUUUAUCCUCAUUUUGAAUCGUUGAAUUUCAAAAUUACUUUGGCAAUCUUUAAUCGAAUAAAAGAUGACAAACUCAUACUAUUUAAUAUACCGUUUCAUUCAUAUGCAUUGAGUUUAUAAGAAACCUCAAAUGCCAAUGUUUUGGGCAUUUCUUUUUGAGGAUGAAACUGAAAGACACAUCAAAUAUUAACAAUCAUAUCAUAGGUCUUCCAAGAUAGACGUUUGGCAUUUUGGUGUCUAAACUGAGACCAUAUACCUAAAAACUCCUAAAUUUCUUCUUCUGCUCAUUUCGAUAAUGCAGCAAGAAGAACUUCAAGAACUUGGACAUGUGAAGACGAGCUACUCGGUGAUUAGCAUCUGGAUGUCACCUAUCGGCGGCGGGAGCUGUGAGUACCAAUGAAAAAGUGUUAGCAUGAUACAACUGCUCUCCAAAAACAUAUUCAAUCUCUGUAGUGUAUUCUUUUAACUCAUACUCAACAAAUGAGGUUAGCAUAUUGGUCUGUCAUCUAAAAUUACACUGUAAUAGAGCACAUCUUGCAUAAUAUUCCCUCGAAUAAGUAGCUAAUCCCAAAGACCAAUACAAAUUAACAGCAACAUGUUCGAGAAGCUAAGAAAUAAGUGACAAACAGAGAGGCCAAAACAACAAUCAUAUUCGAAUAUCAAGCAGCCAGAAUAACUGUGUUCAUUGGAGGACUACAGUAGCAGAAUUCAAAACAGUAGCAUAUGUGCUCAUGAAGGUAAAUCAACUCAGCUUCAACUCUUAGUAACUUCUAAUUGAUGUAUUAAAGCAUUAAUUAACAGAAUAAAGGUGAAAAAAUGAAGGCAGUAUAGCUUAAUCUGGUCAUCUGUUCACUAAAGCUGUGACAUGAAACAACCGCAGGCCCAAUAAGGCAAUAACUAUUAAAUAUAAUCCAAACUCAACAAAGAUGUAGAAUAAAAGUUCAAAUAAUAUAAACGAACGAAUAGAUCAUUAAGCUGUUUGUAUGAAAUGACCACUGACACCAAAACUUAAUUGAAACAACCUUGAUAGAACCCAGAUGAAUCGGUUUCAAUUUUCAUUCUUCACUUUCUUCAUAUGAAGAGAAGAAAACAUUAAUUAAAUGUUUAAAACGUUGAAUUGGCAUCUCGGAACAUUUGAGAACCGAGGAAAAUGAGGGACGAGGAUCCCUAUUGUCCUAAUUGUUGUUCAGAGGUUUAGCACAGGAAUGCAAAUGAGAUGGACAAUCCAAAUGGUUUGGUUCCCUUGGUCAUCUGGGUGAUAUCCCGACUCCUCUUUUAUGUCCGUUCUCUUUUGGUUAAUAAAUACUUUCGUCCCUACUUAAAAGAGGAAAACAAAAGUUCUACCAUGAAAGAUUCUGUGCAUUCACAAACACUUUCAUUUUCUAAGUGAGAAUUGAACCAAGAACGUUUAAGAUAGUAAUUGAUACUUUAUCCGGAGAAUUAUACUCGGAAUGACACUUCAUGAAUUUUUCAUUACAGGAUAGAUUUACAAACCACGUGUAUGAAUUAGGUUGAACCUUCUUUUAAAAACUCUAUACUCCUCCUGCAUAAUGAUAACUUGAAGACAAAGGCUGCCUAACAUGAUGAUACCUUCAUGACAAAGGAUGAUUCCCUCACCAAAAAUCAACACGUCAAAAGAAAUAUUCCACAAGUGUGUGAAAGAUAAAUUUUACAAAACAAAGUUAACGAAAAAAUAGCGGUCAAAGUCUAAAUUAUCUUGAACUGCUUCCUACUUACAUUUGAGUUCAUACAUGCCAUCAUGUUUUCAAUACAAGAUUUCUUCAAACAUCACAUAAUCUAUCACACUUCUUGAACAAAUUAUCGUCCAAUAGAAUAGCAAUAUCGAAUCAUAAAAUUCGAAGCACGAACAAAACAUAGCGAUCAACAGCAGGCAACACAUACCCAUGAGUUUAUGAUAAUCAGUAAAGAUAACAGACCCAUGUAAGAUUCUAAAGAACACAAAACGGAUAAAGAAAAAGAGAUGCAAAUAACAAUCAGAAGCUGGAGGGGCGGCUGAGAAUAUACCUCAAGAAUCCGUUUCCAGGAGCCAAGAGAAGUGGCCAAAGCAUUAUCCUGACAUGAGUGGAUAGUCUUAAAUUGAUCGAUGUCGAGCUUCUUGUUGAUAAACCCAACUUGGAAGUAGAUAUUAUCAGAAGGCGGCAAAUCAACUCUGAUUUCCUUCACAUCGAACCAGAGAAACAACUUCUGAACCUCGAUACCGUCGAGAUCAGUGAUGGACCCAUAUUCGAGCUUCCCAGUAAUGGUUUUAUGGUAAUAAACCAAGUAAUCGAAAUGGAUGUAACAAGGUUUGGCCAAAUGAACGACAAAUUGACCAUCAGAGGAGAGAGUGUAGUCGAGGACGGAGUCAGGUAAAAGGCCACUGGGAAGGCCAUAUUUGGGGAGAACAUCAUAGACAGUGGGAGCAUCAGAUCCUGCUGCAGAAAGCGAAGGAAUAGAGGUCAAGAAGACGAAGAAGGUGAAAAAGAUUAGACCCAGAUGAGAUCCCGCCAUGGAUGGAAACUGGGAUUUGGAAGGUUGAUGGUUCUUUCUCAAAAAAUGAGCACUUUCAGUUGGUGAAGCAAUUGAUUGAGGAAAAGGAACAGAAAAAUGAGAAAUGGCGGUGAUGGGUGAUGGAAAUUUGGAGGGUUAGAUUUGGAAAUGGUUAGUUUUGAUUGUUGAUUUGUCGUUGAAGAAGAUUUGACAAAUGUAAAUCACCCUUAUCUUUCUCACCUUCCCCUUCUCCGCUGUAGUUCAUUGGUCGCGUUUCCCGUUUGAAACCCAAAAAAAUCUCUCUUUACCCCUAACAUUUAUCACCAUCAUCAUCUUUAUCAUUACUAUCAUCAUCUUUUUAUGGAUCUUCCCAAAAAUUUAGCUUUCGCUGGAGACGACUUUGAUACAUCAUUUACAUUCUGUUUUAUGUUUUAGAUUUGGUGUAAUCUUCAAACUUUUGUUUAGAAAAGUUGUUUUUGGAUUCUGUUAUAUAAAUUCUACAAAGUUUUCAAUUUAAAAUUAUAUUAAAACAUAAUUAAUACUAUUUUCAUACUCUUGUUCUUAACAAACUCUAUUCACAAUGAACUUGAUGCAAAUACAUUGUCUAACUUAAAUUAGAUUAAAAAUUACUAUUUCUAGUGUCACACCUUAAAGUUCCUUCAAUUUUUAAUUCUAUACUCUGUUUAAUUUUUGGUCUCCCUACUUUCAAUUAUUUUUUUAAGUUUUGUCUAAGACGAAAACUGAUUAAAUAAUAAUAACAAUAAUUUUCAAGCAACGAACCGGAUAUAUUUUCAAAAUUCAUAAUAAAAAUGUUAUAAAUAACAAAAUGCUUAAUAAGUUAGCAUAUGGAAGACUAAUUUUUUUCCCAAAAGUAUGCAUGCCAAAUUUGAACAUACUAAUUAAUGAAACGUUUUAAAGAUCGAUUAUACACAAUUAAUCAUUAGCAUCAUGAUGUAGCCAUUUUCACAAGUUGUUUAUCCUUUGUUAUAAUGUUUAUUAAUGAUUAAAAUAUGUCUAGUUUUGUCGUUAAAAAAUAAACAUUGAUUAUAACUAUACGAAUUUCAUAUAGGAGGUCGUGUUAAUUGCUAUUGAACUAGGUUUGCUUUGACAUCUGUAUUUGAUCAUUUCAUCACGUAUUUAAGUUUGUAUUGCAACAUUUAAUCAAAUUAGCUGCCAACCAACCAACACAACUUUUUUUUUUUUUUUUUUUUUGUGUCAAUCACUUUCUAAAUGUGUCCUCAAACCUUUCAACAAAAAAAAGGACAAUUACUUCAUCCAAAGGUAACAUGUAAUCAAUGAAAUUAAAUAUUAGAAACUACAUUUAAAAGUAAUGGUUAUGAAACAAAUUUGAAAGAGUUUAUAUCAUGAUCUCACUCAAGAUAAUUAUCAUAAAAUUAAUUAUAGCUAAGCAAACAUAUAUGAAAUAAUUUUAUAAUAAUUAACUAAUGGAACAUUUUAUUUUCUCUUUUUUUUUUUCUGUUUUUUUUUUUUAAUUUACCAAAUGCAAGUGAAUAGAAACGAUGAAGUAAUGAACCAAAUGAACAUCUCCACACCCAACCACUGAUUCCUCUUCGUUCCAUCAUUCUUCACUUCUGAGUUUUGUGAAGAACUCCCACUAACUGCAACAAUUUAACACAAACAAAAAAUUACAUUUACUUCACUUCUAAGUUGUAAUCCAUAGUUAAUCUUCUUUUUUUAUUCGAGAACGGUGUAACUCAUCUAUAUUAUAAAUAUUAUAGUGUAGUAUCGAUCCUCAACACGAACAUGAUGCAUGCACUUGUAGCCAAGGUAUUCAUUUAUUAAAACAACAUAUCACCCAUCUUAAUUUAGUGAUAUUGGAAUACAUUUUCAAGUGUUGAAUGUAAGUAUUAAGAUAUUUUAGAGAUCUUUUAAAGUGCACUUAUUAAACAAUUUUUGUUAAAAGUGUUUAGAAAAAUCAAGUUUUCUCAAGUAAAUUCAAACGGGUCCGAAAUUAAUUUGUUUUUGGCAGUUGAGAAAUUUAAAUAAUUUUUUUUGAAAAGAAGAAGGGUUUUGAGCUAAUACCCGGAGUAGCAUGUGCUGGCGUAGAAGUGUUAGUUUCCUUGGAGUUGGGCGAACCCAAAAAAUCCUUAGCCUCUGGGGAGUUUGGCGAGAGAUGGAGAAGCCCUAUAUUCACACGAAUAAUAUACAUGCUCCAUUACAAAAUAAUAAUAGCGAUAAUUAAGUAUGAAAAGACCCAUACUUAAGUGUAUCGUCCUUUUUAGAAAUUUUUUAGUAUCAAGAGUAUCAUAUAUUUCUUAUCGACACGCUAUUAAUGAACUUCUUAUAUUAAUAUUCGUGAGUCUCAUCUUAUUUUUAGAAACACGACAUGAUGUACAAUAAAUAGAAAAAUCAGUAUUUCAAUUUUUCUUUAUUAGUAUAGCUCGUGUAGUAUAAACAACUAAUUGAGGGAAAAUACUUAGGUACAAUAAAUAGAAGUAUAAUACUUUCUAUAUUUUCAUACUAUAAAUACUGUUAAACCCUAUGUUAAUAUCUCUGUAUCUCAUUCUAUUUUUAAAAGCACAUCGACGUGACAGACAUCUAAUUUCUAUACCAUAUCUCAUCUUGCAGAAACGAUAAGAAUUAAAAGAAAAGUGAUUAGACGCAUCAUCUAUACAUAGGAAAGAAAAUAACAAUUUAAUGUUUUUAAAAAAAUCAAAAUUUUUUAGAGUGAAUUGCACAAAAAUAGAUGAAGUCCAACACAAACUAAGAAGAACUAAUUACAUAACAAAUAAGAAGAUCCACAAGGAAAGAUAAACCUCAAGUUGAAUAUUAAGUAUUUUUUUCAUUACCAAUAAUCAAAGUCUUAAAUCACCCGUUAAACUAAAAGUUUAUACAUGUGAGUGAAAGUAAAUUUAAAUAUAUAUCAUCUAACAUUACAAGAUAAUAAUGUGAUACGGUCUUAAACAAUCUAUUGAUCCAAAAGUUUAACUAAAUUUAAAUAUAUAUCAUCUAAAAAGGAAGAAAGCAUACCGACGCAAUCUUUGAUGUUGGCAGGGGCGUGACAAGCAGAAGGAAGACCAAGGGCAAGGGAAAGGUUAACUUUGAGUCCAAGGCUAGGGUCAUCACGGUCCUUAAUCAACACACAAAGACAUUUCCUACUCUUAUCAAGCACAAGCUUAAGCCCACUACAGCAGUCAGGGGUGGGUGCCUUAGCCUCACCGCCCACAUAUGGCAAGCAAGUAGCGAGGCCAACCACCUGGUCCGCACACUCCGCCCUGUCUUGGUCUAUGUUGGAGCUCACGAACCCCACAGAAAGGAGAGCCAAGGCAGCAAACAAGAAAUGAGCUGAUGAGGGAGCCAUUGAAACGAUGAGGGAGAGGGAGAGGGAGGAGGAGGAGGAUCAGAGGUGUGUGGAGUAUUGGGAAAUGGGGGGCGGAAUGAGCGGGGGGGAAAGUGGGGUUUUAUGGUGCCAUGCCGUAUGGCGGAUGGGAAAAUUAAAGAAAGUUGUUGGAUGUGGUGAUUGGUUUAGGAGUUAAUGAUAUAUAGCCACUCGUCUAGCACUUUCCCUUUUCUCUUUUUUAGCUAUUAUUGAUUAUCCUUAUCCCUUUGUGUAAUAUCAACUUCCUUCAAGAAAGUUGCUUAAUUAGAAAUUAUGAUACUGAUAGAUCAUGUUGCCCAAGUAACCCAUCAUAGAAAAAAAAAAAAAAAAAAACUCAAAUGGACUAAGGAGAGUUUAGUGAAUUUUACUAUUUUUAAAAAUGUCACAAUUUUAUUUCUUAUAAUAUGGUUUAUGAAGCAUAUAUGUAUACCUAUUCAAAAAGUUGAAACCCUUAGAACACUCUUAAACAAAUUAAGAAAAAAGAUAUAGCAAGAAGAAAGGUUAAUUAAUUAUGGGGUAUAACCAUCAUAUAUGUUUAAUAAGAUUUUAGUGAUUUAAAUGUUUUAAAUGUUCUAAUAAGGUUGUAUAAUGUGUAUGCAAGUAGUUGAGUAUGGGAAUAUAUAUAAUUUAUGUUUAAUAAAUAUGAAAAAGAAAUAGAGAAUAGAGACAUGUUCAUGCACGAGAAAUUAAGUCCUAAUUUUGUAGGGGCAAUUGGUUGUAAGAAAAAGAAAUAUAAAAAAGCAUGCACUAAUAAUCCACAUUUGUGUAGUGAUAUGUUGAUCCAAAAUCAUUUUGGAGUUCAAAAUAGUUCAUUUGUUGUGACCCCAACUGCCGAUGGUUUUUCACAAUCAUCAUACAAGAAUAUAGAAGAAUAUGAUAUUGGUUUUUCAACCCUUUUUUGUAUUUCAUUUGUUUAGUUUUAUGCAGUGAGACGAUUUUGAUUUCAAACUUUAAUUUGUACUGUACUUCAAAUAUUUGAUUUCUCAGGUUUUGUUUCGUUGUUACAGAAAAGAUGAACACUCUAUAUUUUUAAACGACUACUCAAAUGUUGAAAAAGUUUCUUAUAUUUACGUUUGAGAUAGUUUUUUCGUUUUAUAUAAAGUUGUAAUUAUAAAAAGAGAUAAAAGAAAGACGAGAAAAAAAUUCGAGAAAUGAGAAAGUACGUUUGUACGACCAAUACUAAUCGAAGUAGAAGGAAAAAAAAGGUGAUUAACGGAUGGUGAUAAUUGACUUUCAUUCAUACAUUAACAAUACAUACAAAUUCAAAUUAUAGUAUAUAUGUUAAUGCAAGUUUUAAAAGUUAGAACAAAAAGUACAAAAUUAAAAGAUAAAAACCAUAUAAAGUAUAGGGUACAUUUAUUAUUUGGAUGUUGACUAUACUUUGGCGUUAUGAAUUAAAUUUCAUAACCCUAAUUGUUAGGUUUGAAUGGCACAUGGAGGUCCAUACAAACUAUAGCAGUAAAGGCUAAAGAAAUGAAAAGCAUAGGACAUAUGGACAAGUGUGUAGGACACAAUAGGGAUGGUUUGUUAAAGCAUAGAGAUAAGUGAGGAGAUGGAUGGGGAAAGGAAAUAGGUUAAUUAGGCAGCCAAAUAAAUAUAUAUAUACACACACACACAUACCCACAUAUGUAUAAAUGUGUGUAAGAGACUUAUGAUAUAUGUAAAUAAUAAUAAUGUUACAAAAUUAAAAACUUGCAACUUUUCAACUAACCAAAAAGGUGGUGUUGCAAUCAAAUUAGGUAAACUUACUAUUGGCAUGGUUCAAUUUUGGUCUAUUUUAAUUUGAUACCUAAUUAAUUCAAUUAUCACAAUGUUAGUCUAUUCAAUAUCCAUUUUUAAUAUUAUUAUUCCUUACAUUAAAUUUUAAAAAAAUUGUCUAUCUUACUAUUAUAUUAUUGUUGGUUUGGUUGCCAUCUACCAACAUAAUUCAUUCUAAAUUUAAAUUAUUACUACUAGUUUGUUAACCAUUUCAAUUUUUUGUCUAUUAAAAACAAAAACUAUAUAUGUUUGGUAAUAAUUUAUUUUUCUUUUUUUAAAUGCAUUUUUCUAAAGUUUCUUUUUUCAUUUUUAAUUUUUGUUUUCGUAAUUUUAAAAACACGUUUCUUGUUUUUUUAAAAAAGUGAAUUAGUUAUCCAACAAAUUUAUUUAUUUUUUAAAUAGAAAACAAAAAACAAAUGGGUCGUUAAAUUAAAUGCUCUAUAAUUAUUAUGAAAAUUAUGAUUAAAAAGUUACGAUGCAAUUAGGUGUUAGAAAGAAAAACAAUCUUUGUUGUUGAUUGAUUUUAGGUUAAAUUAUCCAACCAUGUAGUUGGUUUCAAUUUAGUUUUGAAUUGUUAUACAUUUUAUACGUUGAAGUUUGUUCCAAAGCCAACUUCGAUUGGUGUUUGCCUUUAAUAUGUAUACAUUCAUUGAUAGAUCGAUAGAAAUUUUGUAUCUACUUACUUUGAACAAAUCUAAAUGCAUAUAUUCAUGGAAAGAAAAAUAAAUACAUGUGGGCACGUAUGAACCAUAUUUCUUAUUGUCUUCCUCUUUUCAACUUCAAUAUAAAAAUAAAACAUGGAGGAGUUAAAAGAAAACAAUAGAAAAACUUCAAACUAAGAGAAAACUACGAACAAGAGAACGUACAUUUUAUUGAAAAUUAUUCGAAUCACUAAGACCUCGGCUUAUUUGGUAACCAUUUGUUUAUUAAAAGCAAAAACCAUAUAUGUCUGAUAAACCAUUUCAACGUGUUUUCAGAAAUCAAUUCUUAUACACGAAGUAUGAAACCUAAUUUUUCUCUCUUUUUUUUCUUCAUAUAUAUUAUUUUUGCUAACUCUAUAAAUUUAGGGUUCUGUGUAUAGACACACAUAACUUAGAGUUCCAUGAAAAAGUUGUCAAAAGUUGUUUAAUUUUAAAAGUAUAGGGAUGUAUUAAUAGCAACGUAGGAGCAUGGGGUUGAUAAUUAUAACCAAUAAUAAUCUAAAAUCACUUUUAUUUAUUACUUUUUAGUACAAUGUUUGGUUUAGAUAAUUGGAAAAAGCUAACAGAAAAGAAAUGUGCAGAUCCCAAACCAAGAAGGAUGAACCAUUAAAACUUUCUAUAAACGAAGAAGAAGAUAUAUCAUUCAAUACACUUUACAACCAUAUUCAUUUAUUUUUAAUUGAAAGACCCAACAGUACUUCACACAAAACGUUGUAGUGGGUCCCGAUUUAUUCGAAUAUGUAUUGACGAUGAUGUGGACAAAUCUAAACCUAGAAAGAUUUGUAUACUUAAGCUCCAACGAUAUCACAUGGCACACCGUAAGUCCUAAUGAGUUAUGUUAUGCCAUUGAAAAGGGUUUUCUCAAAAGUGUCAAAUCUUUGUAUUCGUCCGAGUGUUUGUACCAAUUUGUUUUAAUAUAGUUUUGAAUCAUGAUAUGACUCUUAAAUCUAUAUAUGUAGAAGCUAGCUAGUUAAUUAGGGUAAAUUACAUGGUUUGUCGAUAUGUUUGAUGUGUAUAGCUUUUGAUUCUUUCUGUUGCAUAUUGAAAUGAUUAACGACAUUAUAGAAACUAUACUAUAUGUAAGUGUACGUAUUUCGAACAUCGCCGUUGAGGCAUUAAAAAUAUGAAGCUAUCAAACUCUUUAGACAAACCACAUUUGUGAGUAGAAAUCUUGGUUAGUCUAUGUGUUAUUGCGUACACUUUUUUAUUUUGGUUUACUACUCUAUCUAUUAGAGAAUUUGAUGGGAUGUGAACCUUGGAGUUGUGUUUCUAUAUAUUGUGUUGAAUUUAUUUAUAUAUAUAAGCUAAAAAGAUGAAACUAAUAUAAAUAUACUCACUUAUAAAUGUUCUAUGUUUCUUAAACGCAAUGCUAAUAUACUAAUUAUUAAUUUGUGUGUUUUGUACUCAAUUAGUCAAGAAAUAGUAUAUGAGGUGGUAGGAGGAGUCAUUCAUAAGUUGGAGUUAUGUUGGAUUUUUUAUCAAUUCGCUACAGAAUCGAUUAUGAUGAGUAAAUCUUAGUCGGUGGGUUUAACUCUAUGAAUUUUUUUUUAAAAAAAAAUUCUUGAUUUGGAACUUUCUCAAACCAACAUUGACUGUUCUUCUCAUUCUUUGAUCGACUGACUUUGGUUUGGUAGAUCGACUCAACUUUUUGGUCUAUCAUGCUCACUCCUAGUGUAUGAUAUAUGAUUUACUCGAGCAUUUUAGUAGAAAUAAAAUGAGGGAAUCUCUCUUAUUUAUUUAUUUGAUGGAUAAUCUCUUAUAAAAUGAAAAAUCUAGUGGAGGUGAUUAGGUAAGAGUUUAAAAAGGAAUUUUGUAAACAUCAAAUACACGAGUAAAAAUCAGAUUUAUUAAGAACUCAUAUUUUAUGUUUGUUGAUGAUCAUCAAUGCUUAUCACUAUUAAGGGUGGACCCUAGAGUCCACGACUCUACAGGGCAUGUCUAAAUCCAAAAACUAAGAAAAAAUUAUAGAGAAGUUUACGCCGAAAGACAAAAGUAUCGUUCGUCCAAUCAAUAUACUAAUCGAAAAAUAUAAAAUAAGUCGAGGUUGAACUACCACUCUAAACCUAGCUAGAGUGUAAAUUAAGAAGAAAAAAAAAAACGUCCCUAAUACCACCUUUCGUCACACACAAAUGUUAAGAUAUGAUAGAUUGACUUAUAAAUAGUCUCAUUCCACUACCGUACUCAAGAUAGUAAAGCUCUCCAAACAAGAGCGAGUCCAUUUGUACAUCUCUUAAAAUGGUUAGUAACUUAAGGUAGGAAGUACUCUACUCUACGUACAACACUAUAUUGAUGCGAUAAUAUUUUGCAGAAACUGAAAUAAAAUCGUGGUUGAGGUCAACCAUAUCGAACAAGUUUCGUGCACCGAUAUUUUGAUCAUUACUAAUCUUUUAAUUUUCUUGAAAGAGGCAGAAUAAAUUUGUUUGGACCUAUAGAUAAACGGCAUUGUCACAUUUACACCAAAGUUGAAAAAGUGAUGUUUCUAACCAACACACUGCUAGUAAUUUUUGGUAUUGAAAAAUGUGCAUUUGAUAUUUGAAGGGAAAGAAAGGGACUGAACAUUAUUUAAUUUGUGAGGUAAGAAGGGCAUUUAUGGUAUAAACUAUAUAAAAUUGAAUUUUGUUUCACUCUGUACUUUUACAUAUAUUUAUGAGUUAUUAUGACAGACAUUAUUUCCCCAAUUAUUUAUUAUAGUUGUUCAAACCAUUAAUGGUGUAUCAUAUAUAAAAUAAUAAUCUCAUUGUUUCCAAUAAUUUGUUUUGAUUUUUGCAAGGGAUAAGUUAUAAUAUCCAAAUAAAUAGUUCAAUAAACAAUAUAUCUGACUUGUCAUUAAUUGAUGAAAAAAAGCACUAAAUGUUAUAAAACUCACACAUCCAUUACCUUAGGUUAACAUAAUUACAUGUAAUAGUUAACAAUUUUAGGAUUAAAAAUGGAUUUGUAGCAACAUUUUUAAAAAAGAUUUACGAGUAUAAUGAGUGAUAGCGUGUAAUUAGUCACAUGGUUUAUUAUCGAUAGAUUCAGUUGGAAGUUAAAUUUAAAUUAUGGGUACCUCACAAUUCAGACUAUCUAAUCCAUAUUUAUAUGUGUUGGGUUGAAAAUUUUGAAAAUUUGUAGCUUGAGUUUUGGGUCUCGUUAAGUUAAGAAGUGAAGAGGUAGCUGUGUUUUCCAUUCGCGCUUUUGUCUCUUCUCAAUUCUCCACCUCGCUUUGUCUCUUCUCAAUUCUCCACCUCGCGCUAUAUCUCUAUCUUAGAUAUCAGAUUUCAGUUUGUCUUCUUCACCAUUCGUCCGACUCUUCGUUGUCUCCUCCCUCUUCUCGCUGUCCAUCAGAUCUCAGUCUCCUUAGCCUUCGACGACCAUCCGAAUUUAGAACUUUACAACCACUAGAAUUUUAAAACGAAAAAAAAAAAAAAAAACAAUAUCACCCAACAACCCAACCCAACCCAUAUUUAAAUAUAUAAUAUCAUUGUAAAAAAAUUACAAAUGUAGCAAAAUCUAUCUAUUAUUGAUAGACCAUGUUACAAUUAAUGAUGUAACGGUGAUAGAUCAUAAGAAUCUACCAACGAUGAAAGUCUAUCAGAGUAGACUUUACUAUAUUUACAAUUUUUUUAAAAAUAUUGUAUGUUUAAGUAGACUUGACUGUAUUUACAAUUUUUAAAGAAUGUUGUUAUAUAUUUAAUUAUUAUUCUUAAAACUACUUCUAAUCAGAGCACAUCAAAAAAAUUACUUUUCCGAGGAGUCAUCAAAAUGCCUAUAACAAAUAAAUUGUUAAAUGUUGUAGUAAAAAUAUUAUUAUUAUUUUCUUGAAAAAUGAAAAAGAAUGUGGCUGUUGGGCCCAAAUAUUACUUGGGCCGAAAACUGUCCACAUUAACAAGCUGAGGCCUACGAACGUUGGAUAUUUACCUGGUCGGCCCAACGAGAUGAAACACAAAGGUUACCGCGUCACCGGACACCGGCGGGAGAAACCUUCUUCUGUCUGAAGCCAUUCCCCAGAGCUGUGGCUUUGUUUAUUCGCACCAAUUCUUCAUUGUGCGUUCAAUUCUGAAGAACAUAUCGGUCCAGGUAUUUUCUUCUCUAUUUCUACUUGUUUUCCUUUUGUUGUUGAGAUGAUUUGGGUGUAGGGAAAAAGAACACAAAAUGGAUGCUAAUCGUCAAAUUCUUAACCCCCUUUUGCCCCUGUGCAACUGAAGGAUAAACAAAAACGUUGUAUUUUGCAUGAUCGUUUCUUAUUACGCUAUGUAAUUCCCCACGGAAGCGACGAAAUUUGAAGCAAUUUCAAUUUUUUUUUAUUAUUUUACUUGUCUUUUGGACCAGGUGGUAAGAUUUUGACAUUUUGGGGGUGGAUUUGUUUUCUUGUUAGUAUAAAAUCUCCUAAUUUCAUGAAUCAAGACCAGAAACUACGGCGUUGUAGAGAAUGUGUCAAAUGUCAUUAUGAUAUUAGGAGAAAAAAAAGGUUGUUCACUGUUAAUUGAAGCAUAGUUGUGUUUUCUUGCAGUGGAAAUUUAUGUUUCGACUAAUAAAUAGGCACUUGCUUUAGCAAAGUUUUCAUUACAUGCUGGAAAUGUCUGGGAGUUUUUGCUGAUCUAUUGUUUAGGAAUACUUUACACACUGACAUAGUGUAACUGUGUAAAUGAAAAUUUCAAGGUUAUAUUCUUUAUGUACUCAUUCAUUUCUCAUUUAUGCUAUAUCAUAGGUUGUUAAGGUGAUUGGAGAACAGUAUGAGUGCAGAGGUUGAAAAGACAUCUCAUAUUGAAUCUAAAAAUGUGAAGAUGUCUGGAGCAACUAUUUCUUCUGCUGCACCUGUGGGAAGCCAAAAGGUUUCCAUGUUUGCAGCAAAGACUGGGUUUGUUAUACCAAAAAACAAACUUUCAGGGUCUUUGGUUCCAAUCUUUCGGGUGAACAAAAAGUUGGGAGGGAAUGAAUCAUCAGCUAAUGGAGAAAAUGAUAAACAGACCCAAAGGAAUACAAAGUGGGGUCCUGAUUUAACACAAGAUACUGCAGUUAGAAAGGGGCGGCUCAUAGCUUAUCAGGUAUUGAUGGAGCUCUAUCUUUCUUUUUUCCCACCCCACACACUUUUCUGGUAUCAAUGACGUGUUAAAGGCAAAACUCACGAUCAAUGGAACACCUUUAUUUCCCCGUUCAUCUUGUUUAUUUGGGAUCUUUUGAAGUGCCAUACUUUUCUAUUACUGUGGGGGUUGGUUUAUUUUAUGUUUUAUCUGGGAUCAUUAUUGCUCAAUGCUCAUAUCUCAAUUGUAGGCCUUUUCUCUUCUAACCAUUUUGAGUUCUGAUAUUUAGAAUGACUAUUUGCGCUAUUAAUAUCCCAUGCAUCAUUUACUGCUUUAGCAUUAACUUAGUAUUAAACAUGCCAAAAACAUGGCUGGUAUUGUACCAUAUAUGGAUUAGAAAAUAAAAGAUUUUUAACUUCCUCUCUGUUUUUUGUUCCAAAAAAAAAAAGAAACCCCUCCCUGAACAGAUACUGCUUCCUUUAAUUACUUUUCUUUUUAAAUAGACAUUAUUCUUUCAAAACCUUCUUUGACCCAGUUUCAUGAAACAUAUUCUAAAUUUCCUACCAUUGAAUUUCCCAUUUUCAUAUCUGGUGCUAAAAUGUCAGUGUCUUCUGUGUGACUGUUUCGCAUGGAAGAUUCCCAUUCCAGGUGCUACUUAGUGACAUAACUGCCUCUAUGGUUAUACAUAUUUUGAGCAGACUCGAUUGGAACAAAUCAUGGAACUUCUUAAGUCUGGAACCUUGGAGGUUCCAAAGACACAAGAUUCAACAUUAGAAUGUGAGAAUGUAGAGGAUAAUUCCCCUGGAUCCCAAGCAAAUAAUAAGGUAAAUUCGGAGCUCACUUUAAGAAAAUAAGAAUUAUAAAAACAGUCAUUAUUUUUGUAUGAUUUUGAUGUAUGCCUUUUUUUUAAUAUACAGACGUCGUACAAUGAACUUUUGGAACUUGAAAAACGUGAAGUUAUUGGUAUGCCUAUCUAAUGAAUUGCUUUUAUUAUGACCUCAAAUUGAAUUUUUAACGUUUUCACUAGAAUUUUUCUUGAUGAUACAGGUGAAAUACUAAAACUAAAUCCAAGUUAUAAGGCCCCUCCUGAUUAUAGGCCAUUGUUGAAAGAGGACAGGUUACCUCUCCCGGUAAGAUUGGUCUUGCAUUACUUUUCUUCUGUGGUUAGUAACAUCGUCUAAACUAGAAACACAGUGACCUUUUGUUUAUUCACUCUGUCCCUCAAGGGAAGUAGAAAUACUUUCAUCCUGUAUUUUAAUCACAAUAUCCAAUUAAUCAUAUGUUCUAUGUCCAUCACAUCUUUCCUUUUUUGCACAUAGGAUGAGGCUUGAAAGGAUAUUUAUUUACUUUUUUUCAAAGGAAAAAGAAAAUUUUCGCUGAUUGAAAUGGAAAAUUACAACAAAAUAGCAGGAAGGAUGUCUAAUUAUAGCACUGUUAUUCUUGUUUCCACAAUUACAAUAGUGGUCCCAAUUCCUUGAGGAUCGUUCACUUGAUUUUAUAAAAUGGAAUCAUGCUAGGAGAUGCUUACAUUUUCUAAAUGGAAUCUAUAUUGUGUGAAUCUAGUGAACUUAUUAAAUGUUAAAGUUAAACUUUUCUACCUCCUAAGGAGGUCCCGAAGGAUUUUAAAACAUGUCCUAGUCCUAGUAGUUAGCUAUCUUUAAGGACGUUUCAUUAUGAUUCCCAAAUUAAGUUUAUUUUCAUGAACUUGUCAUUGAGUUCCCUUCCGUUUAUGUAGUCUUUAAUUUUAAGCGAUUAUUUCACUACCAUGUAGGUUAAAGAAUAUCCUGGUUUCAACUUUAUUGGCUUAAUAUAUGGCCCCAGUGGUGAAAAUCAAAAGCGAUUAGAAAAGGUAAGAAAAUCAUUUUAGGCUAAGAGAUGUACUAAAUAUUAUUUUCCUUUUGAUCAACUUGUAAUAUAUAUGCAUUUACCAAACAUGUCAGGAAACUGGAGCCAAAAUACGAAUUUGUGGUGUUAAAGCUGGGACUGGUGAAAAGGUGAGCCCUUUGACCAAGAAAGUCAUAAAUAUGGUUGAUACUGGUUAUGCAUUGUCUGUCGUGUCAACUUGUUUUAGUCCUUUCUUCUUACUACAAAGUAAACUAAAGGAUCAUAAUUUUAGACAUCGUGGGAAAUGACUUGUCACCAAGAAGGAAACAUUUUUAAACUCUGCAAUAGAAUAUCAACCCUCGUUUCCCCUGCAAGUGCAAUGCUACCUUAAUAAUAGUAAUAUUAUAUAGUAUUUCUUACAUUUUGAAGCUUUGAUACAUAGUAUUUCUUAUACAUAUCCAUUUCUUAUCAAGUAUAUAUGUAUAUUUGGAGUCUUUUCCUCACAAACAUACCUUGACUAAUUUAAGAAGGCCGUUGCUUGAAAAACAUUUUGCUGGCAAAUUUGAUUGGAGCCCCAUUCUAUUUUGGUUUCACAUCUUUUUUUUCCUCAUAUUUUUUCAUAUUUGGGUUCUGUAACUUCAAUAUUGAAAAUAAAAACAUAUGAUUGUCGAGAAUCCACUCAAAAGUUUCUUUUACUUUUUCACUUAUUCAAAAUUUCCACUUGAUUAACUUAUGAUGGUUUAUUUUGGCUUAAGUGCGAACAUGUUAUUUGGGAAUCUCUUUCUAAGUUUGAAAACACUUCAGGGCUUCUCACUAGAUCAACCUAUGAUGGUUUAUUUUUUUUUAUAAGUGAUAAGUCUGCUAUUUGAGAAUUUCUCAACAAGUUUGAAGACACCUAAUGGCUUUUAAUUUACCUAUAAUUUAACUCUUUGUGCUCCCCAAUUUCAUUCUUACAGGAUGAAAUUAAACCAACUGAUGUACACGGAAUUCAGAAUACUUAUGAAGAGCUGUAUGUUUACAUGUCAGCUGAUACAUUUGAUAAGAUCGAUGCUGCAAUUUCUGUUAUAGAACUCCUAAUCACCUCAAUCUCGGUUAGUUAAUUGCUUCAAGAAGAAUAACUAAUUUCCGUGGUUUUCAUCUAAUUUGAUAUGAUAUAUGCUCAUUAUCUGUAACUCCUCAACCUCUUCUCACAGGGAAAUCUGGCCACUGGUUCCACAUUGUCUGAUUUGGUUUCUACGGAGGAAAGUUCUUCCAGCCAAGCUGACGGUACUACAGUAUCAGAUAUGGGGCAGAAUCCUAUGCCGAACCAGGGGGUUAUGCAACAAGGACAAUUUUACGGGCCACCUUCAGUGCCAGGGCAGUUUCAUUACCCUAGUACGUGGCCUUCUCACAAUUUAACGCCAGCUCCUGGAUUUAUUUCCCCACAAAAUCCUCCGUCAUCAAUUAUAAACAAUCCAAUCCAUUUAUCAACACCCAGUUCAAACGUCCCUAAUGUACCGUCAUUAUUUGCGCAUCCACCCGCCCCAGUUUCUUUCAAUCCAGCUUUCCGAGGCCCUCCUGUUCCUCCUCCUAGACAACAGUUACAUGCACAAGACGUACAGCAACCUUUCAUGGCUCAAACCAGUCAUGUUGGCCAACCCAGGCUUCAUGCUUUGCCACAUCAACGGCUGCCCUCAUUGGUUCCAUCUAAUGUCUCAAAACCAAAUUUCACUAGUAGUGGUCCAUUACCUUCAGGACUACUCCCAAAUAUGGCAGGAUCAUCUUUGCCUCAACUUGUUCCCAGUAGCUUUCCUCCAGGAUCACGGCCUGAUCACCCAUUGGCACCUAACAUAGUUGGCAGUUCAGUAUCUAUGGGUGCAAAUAACAUGGGGCAGAUGGCUCCAUCACUUCCCCCGCCGUUUGGGCCUCGAGCAGCUCCACCUCAGGGUCUUAAUAUUUCUGGCGCAGCACCUGCAGAUACAGCAGCAGCCAAUGUGGAUGGAUAUGCAUCUUUUCCUUCUGGACCUUCCACUCCCCAAGCAACAGGUAUAAAUGUGAAUCACCAUAAUACAGCUCCAAUUCCGUCUCACCAGAUGGGACAUCGCCCGCCAUUUUCGGUGCCUUCAGCACUGUUACCCUCACCUGCACAUAAUCCUCCUGGUAACUUCAUUGGUGGAUCUGCUUCAAACCCUCCAACACCACCUACCAAUACAAGUAAUUUUACAUUCCAACCACGUGGCCCACAAAAUCCAUCUCCUCAAACAAUUUUGAAUUUAAACAUUCAAAACACACCAACGGGACCUACAUUGCAACAGCCUGCAUCCGGGGCACCAUCUUUCCAUCCAUCGGCCCCAAAUUUUCUGAGAGUUGCCAAUCAACCCUUUCCCGGACCCCAAGCUGGCAGCCAGAUAGGUACUCAUCAAAUUCAAGAUAUAGCUUCUAAUCCUAUUGGCAUUCAGGUCUCAACUAGAAUUCCUGCUUUUCUCAAUCCAGGUCCUCGAACACAACUGCAUCAAAGAAACUUUGGUCCAGGAUUCCAAAUGCCAAACUUGCCAGGGAAUUUUCCUCACAGACCAGGAACCUCCAUACAAUUUGAACAAGACUUCCACAUGCGACCACGUCAACCUGAACUCCGCUUUACACCCCCACAGUACAGUAGCAAUCUGACGUUUGUUUCUGGUAAGCUGCUACCACCCAGUUCCGGAGGACAGCAAGUUUAUGAUCCAUUCUCGCCUACAUCCGUAUCUGGCCCUCAACAUCAAGGGAGCAAUCCGCUAAGAUGAGCUGCAUCAGGUGUUAAUAGUUCUGAAUUUGUCAAGUGUUGCACUUGUACAACGGAGAGGGAAACCGUUCAAAUUUCCCUCUAAGGCCCCUAAAUGAUCAUUCUGUGAUGGUGUAGGUAGGUAGGGGUGAUGGAAAAUCUCUUGAACUUCAAUAUUGAAAUCUGACUUUGUGUUCAUGUUCUACAAAAAUGAAAAUUACUUGGAAUGGAUGUCAUUUGAUGCUUUGCUGGUUGAAUGAUACUCACUUUAUACUGAUUUCCUCGGCAUCUUUAAAGCUUCCAGUUCCAAUAAUAAUAUCCUAGAGAAGCUUUAUAUAUAUCUACAUAUAUAGCGGGAUAUUAUUUGUGCCUUUCAACUUUUAUAUAAUAGCUAUCAUGUUGAUUUUCAUGUUCAAGAAUACAAUAUCUUUUAGUGAAAUGAGAUUAAACUUCCAAUUAGACUUCCCUCCCUCUGUGAUAACCAAACGACCUGAAGUUUAGAAAUAUUCUAUAUAGUUUAACCAAUGACUUGUGAUCCCAUACUAACAAAUAUUUUGUUUAAAUUUUUCCUUUUCAGCAAACAUCCCAACAAAGAAAUUUGACAGCAUUCAUGCCAAAGUUAUGAAUCACUAAAUGUGUUGUCACAAUUUUACGUUUCUAUUUGCGUUUGUAAUUGUCGUCCAUGAGUAUUGAUUUAUCAAUUAAAUUCAUUGCGAUUACACCCAUUUUCGAGCCAUUUCUAAAACUUUCUCAACAGUUAUGCUAUUUCCUGUGAACUUUCUUUUCCAUUAUAUUUCUUAGGCGCAAAAUAGCAUUCAAAAUAAAUACGUAGCCGCAAGAAUGGGAAAAACAAAAAUAAGCUCUCUAAUCACAUUCCAAGGACUUGUUCAAAUUCAUAUCUUUACAGCCCUAACAUCAUUUUGACCGAAUGCAGUACCACAAGCAGGGCACUUGCGAUUCCGCCGUUCAAUUCUUUGUUGAAUACAUGAACUGCAGAACAGAUGAUAACACUUCACAAUUACAACCUGCCAAAAUCAGUAGUAUAGUUAUAUAAGUAAACCAUCAUAAAAUACAGGAAACGACAGUCGUAUUCUUAAUGAUAUAACCAAAAUCUUACCUCCUUUGGAUGAUCAUUACAAAUACUGCAUUUGAGAAUAGUUUUGCAUGCAUUAAUUUCAUCCUGCAAUUUCUUUAUAGCAGCCUCUCCAGUUUCAGAAGUCAAUUUGGCCACCUUACUAUUCAAUUCCUUCAACUCUUCCUCGAGUUUCUCCCUUGAACUUCUGUUGACAAUGAUUUUUCAGUUAGACAGAGGAAGUUUGAAUCACUGCAGCUAUAUAAUAAACAAGAUGUACUUUAAUCCUAUGUAGUGUAAGAUCUGGGUAGAGGUUUAUUUAUUUGGUUCCGCAGCUAAAAGUAACAUAUAUAUGCCUCCACAAAUCAACAAAUUGAUUCAGUUCCCACACAGAACAACUAAAGAGGGACAAAUAUAAAAUUGCAAGAGCCCCAAAUGCAUGCAGCUGCAAGUCUAUUACGUGCACAAAAAAUGUUUUGAAUGAGGAAAGAAAGAAGAUGAAAUAUUACUUCUUUUCACAUAUAAUUCAAGGAUAAUAGCAGACGGUGUUUGACAUAAACUAAAAUUAGUGAAUUAAGACCAGAAAAUAGUCCUAAAACACACCUUUCACUCUCCAAUUCUGCUUCAAUAUCAGUUAUCUGCUGCUGCGUUUGCUCAUACUCCUUCUCAGAAGAAGCAACUGCCGUCUUGAGCCACUUCAAUUCCUUCUCAGCGUCAGCUAGAUCCCCUUUUGCAAUUUCAAGGCUAAUGGUAAGAUGUCUUUCUUCUCGGGUAGAUCUAAUUACAUCAGUCAGACUGGCCUUCAUCUGUGGAAUAAUGAAAAGGUCCUUUCCUUAUACUGAUUGAGAGGCAGGCAAUUGUCAUGUUAAUGUCAUCCUUUGCAAGGGAAAAGAAAUCUAACCUGAUCUUCCGUAAGAGCAAUCUUAGUUUUGAGAGAUUCAAGGGAGGCAUUAAUUUGUUGAAGUUGUUUUCCCAAGGCCUGCUUUUCAGAUUGUAAAAGGCUCUGAACCUGCUUCGAUUUUACACUUUCUGAAACUAACUGCAUAAAUCAAGGAUCAACUAAAUUUAUCAGCAUUAAUAACCAUAAGAGUAGAUGGUAAAGUUAAUCAUUCGAAUAUGUAAGGAAAUAAAAGACACACCUUAAUAUUAAGAUCAUCCCUCUCCGUCACCUGCUGUAAUAAAUGCUGAUUCUGUGUCUGCAUAUCUUCGUAUGCUUGACCAAUAGUCUACAAGAAGGCAAUUUAAUCAAACCAUGGGGGUGGGUGGGAGAAAGCUUUCGGAUAUAUGGAAUAGAAAGCAACCAUGUGCUGGAAUGAACAGAGAAAAAUCAAUAAGCAGACCAACAAACACAAAAUAAGGCACCUCUAUUUCUGAUAUAUAAGCCUCUGCCUCCCCAUCUUUAAUUUUUAUGGCCUCAGUAAGCUCUAAGAUAUCCCUGCGAUUAAGAAUUAUAGUGCACUUUAAAACGAUAUGAAAUGCCCCUAAAAAGGACAACAAAAAAGUAGCAAUAGCAGCUUGUCCAAAUGAAAAAGAUAUCCCCGAUUACUUCAUUCAAGCCCUAAAGCCCCAAAAAAUGGGGAAAAUUACAAGCAUCACAACUUCAUCAAUAUUCCAAGUUCUGAACAGACCCAAAACCGAGGGAACAAGCAGUAGCCUUAUAGAAAUACAAAUAGAAGCACGCACCACUAACAUACCCCAUUCUGACCAAAAUUUAGUUUUACUGUGCCCAUUAUUUAGAACAUUCUUACCAUCGUACAAACCGUUACUCACAAAUGUAAUACAGAUAUAUGCUUGGGUGAUCAUCUAAUUUUACCUAGACAUCCUCGCCCAACCCCAAAUAUAUAAAAAAAAAUGAGAAUUGAGAACUAUGCGUUGCUCAAUUAGAGUAUCUGCAACAUGUACUCCAUUUAAUAACCAGUGAGAAGUUACAUUCAUAUGUAAAUGAAAAAAUAUAAACAAAUAAGUAGAAGAUGAAGAACAAACCUCUCUGCAGAAUCAAGGUUAGAUCUUAACUCCGUUAUUUCAAUUUCAGUGGCAGAAAGCCGUUGUUGACAAGCAGCUUCAGUUUCAUUUGCAGCUUUCACUCUCAAUUCAAGACUAUGCUCAUCCAAAGCAAUUCUUAAAACAUCAGCCUGAGAGCAAGCUCGGCGUUCUGAUUCUUUGAUCUCCACCAAAUCUCUAAAAUAAAAUUUAAAGCAUGAUGUGUUUUAUCCAUGAUAGCUCAUAUAGGAGAUAGUAAUAUGACAACAGCACAACAGUGUAAUGUAGUCACUCAAACAGUUCAAUCGCAACCACAAUGUCCCGCAAGUUUAAUAUGUAUAAAACACACACUUCAAUGGAAAGAUGCCCAACUAGGUCCCGUCCAUUGUUCAAGACACAGAAUAAGUUAACCCAAAAUUUUAAAACCACAUCAGACAGAGAAGUACAAUACAAUUGACGACUAAUGUAUAAAAUGUCUCAAAUUCUGACUGGAAUAAUAUCACUAAGAAACCCUAUUUCACUGAAGUUUCUUUUUUACACUUUUGGAAUAAUAUCAAAACUUUGUAUACAGUAAAAUAAAAGAAAACACUCAAAAACAGGGAAAAGAUAGCCCCUUCAGAACUUGGAGGUUACUCAAAAGAGUUAAAAUUUAUAUGAAACUAGAGAAUACUUCCAAAAUUGAUUUAUCGUAUGACUCAAACUGAAACUGUAAUUAACAACCAGUUUAAAACAUUCAGCAUUCUCCCUGUGAGUGUCAUUGAAAGCUGGGGCGUUACUUUCCUUCCAUAUGUCCAAAAAAGAGAAACAUUGUUCUUUUGACAUCAUGACAGUUAACUUUAUCCCACAAAUCUUUUACAGAUGAGGAAGGCUCCAAGCGAUGUUGAAUUUAUAAAGAAAGUUGCCCUACAGAGAACUUGCAAAUUUUCAAUGAAGGAAAAUAUUAUUUGUGUUUUCCAGUGCUCUUUGCUAAGGAUAUCUCCAUCAGGAGAAACUGGAAAUUCUGAUGCAUUGUCAUGUGUUCAGGAAUGACAGGUUUGAGAAAAUUGGCAAGAUGGAGAAAUUUCCAACGAAUGGUACUGUUGCUAUCCACACUCCGCAUUCUUGUCUUUAGAUGGAGAUUUUGGCAAGAAAUCAAGAAAAUAAGAGAAUUGAUAUCUUCAAGCUUUCUUCUGAAAAUUAGAUCCCAAUAGAGGGGAUUCAUUGUGCCAAUUAUCUUGUACAUUUCUACUAUGUGUUCAGGCCUACCAACUAAUAAAGCCUCAAUACUCAUCAGAUACUUGGAUCCAGUUCCAUAAAAUGAUAUUGUGGAAUUAUUCAGACGGUGGUACACGUCAAGCCAGAAAUUGUCUACCAAUCAUUUACUUUGCCAGUUUGCCUAUUUUUAUUUUCUGCGGCACCCAUCUUUGACUGUCAACAAGACUUUGAUAAUGAAUUGAGAAUGAUGGUAAAGUAAAAAAUUUGUCGCACCUUUCAUCAUAAGUUUCCUGCCCAUACAUGUCUAAAAAUAAUUCCAGCUCAAGUUUGUCCUCUAGCAACUUCUCAACCUGCAGUAUCAAUACUCAUCCAUGUUAGUUAGUCUUCGUGGAUGGAAAUCCUCCUUUUUUUUAAUAUAAAAACUACUUUCACUGAAAAAAAAAAAAACAAAAGAAUACAAGGGUUACAAAAAAAAUCCCCAAAAUCCCUUUUAGAGAGGGGUUUCCAAGUGAGACGCUGCCUAGAGGAUAAUUACAGUAAGUCUUCAAGAUCAAAGCCCAAAGAGAACCAUGAAACCUCACCAUGGAUUACACAUUACCACGGUCCUUCUCCACUCCUCUAAAAACUCUGUUAUUCAUCUCCCCCAAAUGUCCCCCAAAAUAGUGCACACCCCAGCUAACCAUAAACCGGGUUUUUUUCCUUGUUUGUGGAUGGAAAUCCUCGUUAGUUACAGAAUAAAUUCAGCAUGAAAUCCAUGUACCUACACUAAUAAUACAAAUAAGUGAACCUACACACUAGUAGAAAGAAAAUGUGAUUAUUCAAUUCUUCUGUAUUAUUCUUUUUAAUAAGAAACAAUUCUUCUAUAAUUGAAGUUUUAAAAAAAUGAAGUCCUACAUUCUAUGUAUCAUCUAAGAAUAAAAUAAAUAUAAAUAAGUAUACUUUUUGCUUCCAGCAUUAAAGAUAUCUUCAAAAUUGCAUAGAGAUUACUCAGGCUUUGGCUCUAAGUAAAGUUAAACCACCUGGGGACUUCUGCAUUAUUCAGUACUAGGGAAGUGAGAGGAUCAUUUGUUCUUUUCUGGUUAAGAAACAAAAAGUCAUACCAAAUAAAUAUAAAUUGAUUAAUUAAUUUCGCCUCGGGGAAAUCUCUUUUUUUUCCCCUUAGAAUCUUGUAUUACCCCUUCAUUUUACUUGAGCUAGAAAGUUUUAAGCCUUUGACAGCUGGUUAUUCUCUUUUUUGAGGCUGUUAGUCCUUGGUUGUAUAAAUAGGACGCUGUAGCACUUCUGUAACACUUUUGUCAUGUUAAUGAAAAUUCUCUUCGCUUGUAAACAUCAAGUAGCUGACCACACCGAAUGUUCAGCGACUCCUAAGCAGCCCUCCCUGUCCUUUCAGAUUUUAAACUGAUCACAAAUUUGAAUGAAGCCAAGGAUUGGAUGAUUUGUUAGUGUUCCAACCCUUGUAGAUUCAAGUGUUCCACCAUUUUGCAGUCAGGACAAAAAUCCAGAAAAAUUAUAUAGAAUAAAAGAUAUAUAAAUAUUAGAGGUGAUGAUGAAAUUGAUGAAACAAGAACAAAGGAAAUACAAUCUGGUUCAACUAAAACAGGGAUCUGAUAGAAGGUAGUAGCAUGAAUAAGGUCAUAUCAAUUGGACUAACAGAAUUGGAUUCCUUCGCAUCAUAUAGCAGGAGGAGAGAGUACCCAUGCAGACGAAGACUCACAAAGGAAUAAAAUAAUCUCCAAUUGAUACUUGCCUAAAAACUUUUCAACUCCUAAAAUAAUUGAAUAACAAGACAGAAAUGGUCAGCCCAGAGAACUUUACCAGUGACUUGAGGGAUUUUAUCUCCAUCAUUUGUUGAGCACAUAUGUCAGUUAAGCCCUUUUUCUCUUUUGUCUGAAUCACCAACCAAUAAUGGUUAGCUUCAAAUGGAUAAGUAUACUUUCAUAGGAAAUAGAAGAAUAAUAUGUCCAAACUACCAAAGAUAUGAUGGAUAAAAGAGUAAGAUCCAACCUUCAUAGCUAAGGAAGUCUCAAGUGCCUGAACUUUCUCACGUAUAGACACUGCUUCAUGAGCUGUGUCUUUCCAACGCUUUAGCUGAGAUUCCAUCAUCCCCAUUUCUUUAGACAAAGCUGAAGCCAUUACAUGAAAUUCUCCUUUGAUAUCUUCCCUUGCUAUGAAUGUGAACACCUUUACAAAUCAAUAACAUAUUUAAAUACCAAAGGAAGAAAGAGAUUACAUCUUAUGAACUUACCAGAAUCUUGAACUGCCUCUUCCAUUUCAAUUUCUAAAUCAUUUUUUUCCACCAAUAUUUUCUGCAGCUGAUGCUCUAGCUCCUCAAUCCGAGAACAGUUAUUGUCCAUGGAGCUCCUUGCGACAUCUACAGACUCCAAUUUGGCAUUCAAAUCUUUCUCCCUUCUUAUGACAUGAGACCUGUCAGUCUGAAAUCUAAAUUUUAAAAGGACCUCGUAUCAUGGUGAAUAUCAAAUAACAUGGAAGUUGAGACAAAUUAUUUAACCUGCAAAGCUUCGGUCAGUGAUUUAUAACGAUCCACUUCAGCGGUCAAAUGUUGGAGUUGGUCAUUCAGUAAAAUGUACAACCGUGAUGAAUGUACAUACUUUUCAUCCAUCCAAUCAUUCUUCAACAAUAAAGAAAAUACUCAAAAUUCACCAAGGAAAAAAUAGUGAAUAUGGAAGAGCAGUCCCAGAAAUAGGUAUAAAAUGAAUAAGAUUAUAAACCUCAAGAUCUUGCAGUUGACUUGACAAUGUUAAAUUAUCUUCCCAGGCAUCUUGAAACUCAGACAAACGAUCAGCAGCCAAUAUCUAUAUUAUCAUUUCAUGAGAUUAGGUACCUGUGUGGAUGAGAAGGAGAGAGACUAAUCAUACAACUAUACCUUAGUUUCCUCAAUGGACUCCUUUAAUUCCCGAAAUCCUAUAGUUCUCUCAGCAGGUUUUUGAGGUGAUAAAUUUCCAUUCACUACGCCCAAGGUGGGAACAUGCAUUGCAAUGGUAACAUCCUUUUGCAUCAUAAGACUAACAAGUUUUCUUCUACAUUCUUCAAGUUCAGCCAUACUCUCAUCUAGCUCCUCUAUAACCAACAAGCAAAAGUAGUCCGUCAAUAGAUGAAAACUUAAUAACAAUGGAUUAAAAGUUCUUAUCUCUUCUUCAGAUUUGAAUAAGAGAUGAAUUAAAUCUAAUGAUAGACCUCAAGCUCGAAGAAACAAUUAUUCCAACAAUAACAUUGCAUUGAAGCUUAAAAUAUGGGGAAAGAAAUGCCUCAAGGACCUGAAAGGCGUUUAAUUUCAGUUUGAUCCAUCAAAUGACUGCAGGCAUAAGUUUGAAUCUCGUCAGCAUAUGCUUUAUGCUUCAAGUGGAGAAUUUUGAUGAUCUCUCCUAGAUUGGUAGCCUCCUCUUUCAUCAUCUCAUCGAUCUUUGACAAAUGGACGAUAGCAUCUAAAAAGCGCAUGAUCAAAUAACAGAGCACUAUCACAAGUUUGCUUCUACAAUUGUCAUUCAAGUAAAAAUGAAUUUCCUACAUCUAAUCUAAGCAUAAGAUUAACUUAUUGAAUUAAAAAAAUAUAUGUGGCAAAUCUCCACAGGUUGGUGGGGAGCACAAGUCCAUAAUUGGCAACCGCUCAUCUCUGCAAUCUCACUAUACUAAAUAAAUAAAUCAUUCUAACCUUCUGGUGAUUGUUCCACAUUCCAAGCAGAAACUAUGUUUGCAGUUUUUUCCCUUUGCGUAUCAAGAAUAUCCUCCAAGUAUUUAAACAACUCCAUGGUGGAUGCAUGUCGUGAAGUAAGAGCUUCUUUAACGUAUUUGACAAUUUGUUCAUCAUGUCUGACUUCAAUAGAAUCCCUCAGUAGCAAUCUACAAAGAAACAUGUCCUCCGCAGGACAUGAAGGAAUUGAACCUAGAAAGUACUUCGAUCAAUGUAAAUGAAAACAAAAUUCAAUUCUACUUUCAUAAGAAACUGAGAGAGUAAAGUUAAGAAUUUGAAUGGCAAGGUGUUUGUGUGAACUUGCUAUAACCCAAAAGUACCUUGAGAGUGGCCAGCUUGUCCUAAAUUUUGUAAGAUCUCCCCACCUCCUCCAGCUUGUAGUCCAAGAAAAACUAAAUCAUCAACCAACUAAUAGAGAGAAAAAGAUCAGAUGCAAAGGAAAAACAGGAAGUUUACAUGAAAAUUCAGAAGGAAAAGGAUAUCUAAGCAUCAUCACCUGAUUCCAGAGUUGGUUGAUGGCAAUCAAUGACUCGUCAUAAAAACUCUGUUUUUUUUUCAAUUCAUAAAUUUUGGCUUCAAGGUCUUGCAGCUCAUGCUUUUGAGAGUCAGUCUCCUGGACAAGUUUUUGAUUCUGGAAAUGAAGGACGGUUGCAUCAACCUGGCAUGAUGGUCAAAGAUCUUUAAAUAUUUAAGUAAAUCGUUAUGUGUUCAAAAUGCGUUUCUAGCUCAAAAUAAACAUACACCUUAAAGUCUGUUAAAUGGCCAUUUUUUUCUUUUUCAUUUUUCAAAAUUGAGCUGAUAAUAGACAAUCAUGAAUCAUUCAAAUUUUCUUAUAUCAGUUUUUCACUUCCUUGAAACCCUUGUUUUAAAUCAAAUCCAAAAUUUGAUAUUCCAAAGAUUAAAAAUAGGUUUUGGAAAACUAACUUUUGUUUUUUAAGCUUUUAAAAUGCAAAUGACUUUGGAAGUAUUAGAAAACCAAGAAAAUGACUAGUAAAUAUGCUUGUCUUUCAGAAGAAAAUAAAAAACGAAGAUGAUAUCAGAUACAAAUCCCACGGUUGUUGGAACUCCAAAGCCAGGCAAGUUUACAAACUCGCACUUUAAACUAUCGAGUCAGCAUGCUUUCUAUCUGAUAAAUAAAUACUCAACAGUCGCUUCAAUUUCUGAUUCUAUGGUAAAGCGGUAACAACACAACAAGAUGUUUGUUUGAUACGAUCCUAAAAGAGUAAAUACUCGAUGCGCAAAUGCAGGCACAGGUCGGGAAGCUGAAAGAACCUGGCUUUACAUUUAAGAAUUCAUAAAAGAAAAAACCACUGUAUCUACGCAACUAACCACGAUGAAUGGCAAUGCACAAAAUGAAGAAAAUCGUAUUAAAUAGCUUCAUAUUGUGAUUGGAAAAAAAAUUGAGAUUUUUUAGCUGGGGAAAUUAUCCAAAAUCCAUAAAUUGUUUAGUUUUCAGCUCAAUGCUCAUUCCCAGAAACAACCUUCUUCCAAUUAUAAAACACAAAGCAUAAUGAAAAACGCUAAUGACGAAAUUUUAAGUAAAAUGGAGACGCAGAAAUCCAAUAGCUGCCCAUAAGUACUAAAAGAGAGUUUAAACGAAGUACGUGUCCAAAGAAAGGAGAGGUGAUAUGAAUUGAAUAUCGGAGUGGAGUUAAAGAGUUACGCUGUUGUUAUGUGGUUGUGAAGUGGUGGAGUUGCGAGCCAUGGCAGGGGUAAGCGAGCUCAAAUGAGGCCUCUUCUUAUCAGGUUCAUCGGGGUCAGAGCUUUCCAUUUACGACGACGAGAAUCGGAACGGCAAUUCGAGGCAUAAAAUUUAAUGCUUCUACGAACCCUAGCGAGGCACCGGAGUUCUCGGGGACAACCGGGGGAGCGGCAGUUCCCAAAAGAACUCGGAGCGACAGUUUUCUUGCGACGUCGUUUCACUCUCUUCCUAUCAAGCCGACACGUCGUUUUGCUGUGUAAUUUGCACUCUUUUUUUACCCAUACCUUAAAAAAGAUAAAACACGAAAUUUAAUUUACUAUUUUCUACCUUUAGUUUACACCCAAACAUUAACUAUUACGAUAGCAAUAAUCAAUUCUUAAAUAUUGGUGAUUAAUAAAUAAUUAAUGCAAACGAUGAAAAGAAUAUCAUCAUUAUUAGUAUAUGAAUCCAAAUUGUUAUCUAUAUAUUUGAAAUUUAUACUUUAUUUUUAUAUAAUGCUAUCAAUAUCUAGGGAAAACCUGCAUUAAUAAUCCACUCUUAGACAUUAAAUUGGAAAGAAAAAAACGGAAUGAAAUGGUUUGUUUAUAUUACAUCUUCUGUUAAUUAAUAAACAAAACUUUAACUUUCUUUGAAAUUGUUCGAUAAAAGAACAUUGAAUCAAAGUAUUUUGAUGUAUCUUGUAUCUUUUAUAGUAGUCAACUCCAUCUAUACGAGAAGGAAAGAAAAAACUUGUUACAUACCAUACCAUAUCUAUACUUAGGAGAAUUGAAUAAGUUGCACACAAAUGAAGAAGAUGGGUACAUGUGUGUUUUCAAAACAUGAGUGGUUUAAAUUAAUGAUAAAGUAUUAAUCAAAUUAAUGAGUUUAAUAAGUUAAUAUUGCAUUCAUGGAAUUAGAAAUGAACUGAAAAUAAUAAUGGAAUGGAAUGGUCGUUUUCAACCAUCCAUUUCAGGUGUGGCUUGUACGAAAUGGCUAAUGGGAAGAACGUGAAAUUUUGAGUCAAAGCCAAGUUGCCAAACCUUUGUACUUUACACUUAAUUCUGGUGACCAUCCACCUUCCCCCAUUACCUAUCUUCUCCUUAAAUAUUAUCUAGCUAGUCGUUAAUUCUUCCAUCAAAAUUUGUCACAACACCAAUCCAAUAACUGAAGAAAGAUGAAUGGAGUAAAGGAAAAAGAAAAUCUAACACGAAAAGGUAUUGAUAAUGGAUCGUAUUUAGGUUGCAGUAGGUAAUUUGCUGCUUUGAUCACCUAAGCUAAUUAAUUUAUAAGCCUGCUCUUUCACACAUAGUUUCAGCUUGGCUUAAAAUUUUACAAAAAAAUGAAAAGGAAAGAUGUGGAAACUACUUCCAAACCAAAGCACAACACAGUGAAUUAUAAAUACAAACAAACUAUAUAUAUAUAUAUAUACUGUACACAUGAUUACACACCAAUGACCAAAUAAUUUUAAGUUGAAUAAUUAAGCUGGCGGCUUUAUCCAUUUGGGUUUGUGAUCUUUGCUUCUAUCUUUCCAUGUCUGUAUCUGCGAGCUUAUGGCCCAUUUGAAUAAAGCUUUUGGGAACGGAAACGACGUUAUAAGAUGAUGUUUUUGUUGGUGUUGAGGUGGCUGCUUCAGCAUCUUCUUCUUCGUCGUCGUUGGUGAUUAGUGAAAAGUAUUGGACUGGAUUAUUCUUCUUGGGGUCGGGGGUUUGUUGUUGGUAUAGUUUAAGCAGAACCAAAUAAAAUGAUAAACUCAGAAUGGUGAGUGCAAUUAAUAGCCAGCUGAAUUGAAUGUUGAUUAACGACUUUGCUCGGUGAAGUGGUUCGUCCCCAGCGCACCGCACCACCUUGUGCCCAUCUUCCAAGUGCAUAAAGCAACCUAUGUUAUAAAAUUAUACAUUUAGUGAUGAACUAACAAUGAUAUAUACCCCAUAAAUAAAUUAAUACUGUUAAUUAAAUACAUAGCAAUUGAACCAUUUAAACCUUGGAACUGAAAAAGUGAUUUCAUAUAAAAACAAAAACUUGUAAAAAAUAUCUUUUGUCUUAUUACCCAUUCAUUAGAUCUUUUUUUAUAGAUAACACAGAAGUUAAGAUAGAAACAAACAAGAAGCUUAAUCUUUCACUUUUUUUUUUAAUAGAAAAAAAAUGUUAUUUGUCAACUUAGUAAGCUUCAUACCUUUAGGAAUGAAAGAAGGCGUCCAGAGUGCGAAGCCCAUGAGAAUAAGCCAAAGGCCUUGAAAAACAAUACUCAGAGACCUAACGAACGCCAACAAGAAGCUAUUAGGAAGAGCAAUCCCAAGUAGAGUUGUGGCAAAAGAGACCACCACAAGCAGUUGAAGAAGUAAAUGGUAUUGGCCUUCGGGGCCCAUGUGGUCAGCCGAGUGGAGGUGAAACAACAGAAGCUCUUGUCCAAAAGCCACUGUGCCAACAAAUUGUGUCAGCUCAAAAUAAGCCUUAGGACGAACCUGAUCAAGAACAACACAAAACGCAGCAAACACAAAGAAAGUCAUAGAAAUGUUGGAGUGUUCGAAGUUGUGGAGAUGGUAAGAAGGGAUGGUUCCAUCGAUAUCGAACGGUUGGUGUCUUUGUGGGCCGAUGAAGAGCUCCAUGGCUAUAGAGGCAGAAGCACCAACCAUAAUUAAAAACGGCUCUAAGUACUUGAAUCUUGAAGUGGGGAACCAUGAGAGAAAUAUGGCAGUAUUUGGAGGGUUGUUGUUACAAGCUUCGAUCUUUAUGUUGUUGAAGAGAUGCCAUAGGCCAAUGAUGAAGAAGCCAAACCCGGGUGCUACAUGACCCACUAAAGUUCCCAUAAUAGUAUCAAUCAAUCACUAAUAUGCUCUGUUUUUUUUAGCACACACCAACCCCAAAAAAUGAAAAACAGAGCAACCAACUUUAGUUUGGAAGGGAAGAGAGAAGAAGGGAGGUGAGAGAAUUAUGAGGUGGAUUGUAAAGUUUGUAAUGUAACUUAUAAGUGAAGGGUCAAAGCGUCUAGAGGGUUCCCAACGUUGAUUUUGUUAAAGGUCUGAAGAAGAAAAAAAAGAGAGAUACAUCACACAAGAGCUACCAAAUAGUUAAUAUAUCCCAAAAUACACUUAUUUUUAUGCAUUUUAUGUUGGGCUAUUUAUGGCUCCAUAACCAAACCAAUCCAAAUCAAAAAAUUCAAUUAAGAUGUAUAUCAAACUAAAAUUUUUGGUUUAAUGAUUAUAAUUUCAAGUCUAAAUGAACAAAAUUUUGGUUAAAAUAUGAGUUUUUAUUUUGUUAUUUUGUUUUAGUAAGACGUUUGAUGACUAACUAUAAUUGAAUAAUUUGAUAGGACUAUGAAAGUGGAUGAAAGGAAAUACAUUUGCUUAGGAUGGGUUGAGUUAAAUUGAGAGUUUGACCAAAUAUAGAGAGUUACGUAUUUGAUUAGGUGUAGUAGUAGAAGGAUUAGUGGGCCAACUCAAGCUCGCAGCCUCUUGGGCUUUGUUUGGUGUGAGGCCUUCAAGUCUACCUUUAAUUACCUAAUUUUUUGUGUAGACCAAGAAAAUAAAAACAAUAGGCAACCUUUUUUGAAAAAAAAUUAUUUGUGAUCAAUUACAAUUUUGCCUCUGAAUUUCUCAAUUAUAAGUCAAAUUAUGAAAUACCCAACAGAAGAAAAUAUAAUACAAAACAACAAAUACUUCAACUAGGGCACUAUGAUCGAUAAUAAUCUUGCUUUCGAUUUUCUUUCUACAAGUAGAACACUAGAUACUUCAACUAGGUUAACACAUUUUUAGUAUCGUUUUGAUAUAUUCAUUCAAAACGAUAUAUGUGUGACGUGACAUUCAUAAUAUGUACGAAAAGAGUUAGAGGACAGGAAACAAUAGGAGGCUAGAGGAAAACCUUGAAGUUAAUUAGUGAGACAAUAGAGGCGUCAUCUCACAAAUGACUGUGGUGCUUUUUUGAUGUCUUAAAUAGUACUCUUCAUAAAAACUAAAGGUAGAAUCUAUAAACUUAAACAUACCAUUCAAAAUUGAAACGAUAUUCAUCGAACUCUAUUUAAACUCACAUGUGCACGUGUUAAUAUAAUUAAAGUGUGGUUGAGUAUAUUUGUGCUUGAUUGAUUGAGUAAAGGCAAGAGAAUAAAUACUUGGUAGGAAUAAUUGUUUAACUUUUGAAAAACAAAAGAGACAAUAUUGAAGUGUAUAUAAUUAAAUUCAUAGGUUGAUUAUUGUAUAUAAAUAGAUGCAAAAGGCCUAAUUGGUUUAGAUAACUAUCAUAUAUUACUUUAUCAGUUAUUGAUUAGGCAAAUCUUGAUUAUCAAUAUAUAAAUUUUAAUUAAUUAUUAUUCCUUCCAAACCCUAAUCUUAAUUAAUUUAUACUAUUCUAAUCCGACUUAGCUGUCCAUUAAAAGAAUUGUUUGGAAAAGGAAGUAUCUAAAGUUUAUUCUAUACAUUACCUACUUAAUUCAUAUAUAUAUAUAUAGUUUUUAUAUUGGAUACACUCUAAAAAUUUGUUAGUUUGUGUUAGAAGAUGUGAUAUGUUUAUAUUAUAUAAAAUAAAAAAUAAUUGAAAGUUUCGAAAUUAAUUACUUGUUGUGGAAGAAAAUGAAAAAUAAUGGAGUGAUAAACAAUGGUAGGAAAUUGAAAAAUAUUGAAGACGACGUGUCGUCCAAGUAUGUGUAUGAUGACGUACGAUUGUUCCUUUGAUGUCGUUCCUUCUAUUUAUUUAAUAUUUCUUUUUCAAACAAUUCUAUUUAUUUAGGAAAAGUUAUAUCUUUUCCGUUCUUGAAUUCUGUGAAUUUUUUAUCUAAGUUUAUAUUUAGUUUUUUUAAGUUUAAAAAACUAGUCUUUUAAGUUUUACUCCAUAUUUAUUUUCAAUCUUUCGUAUGUUAAUUAAAUUUCACUAUUUUUCAUCACUUUAAGUCAUAAUUACUUUAGAUCUAUAGAGAUUGAAAUUCAUGUUUGUAAGUGAGUAAUAUUUAAUAAAAGAGUUCAAUUUAAAAAUGUAAAAUAUUUAAAGAUUAAAUUGAAACCAAUAUCAAAACUGGAUAAUAAUAAAAUAAUAUAUAUCAUUACUGCAAAUGCAAAUUAAUGUGUGUUAUUAAUUUUGAGAAGUAAAUCACAUUUUUUUUUAUAAUCAUUAACAACAUGUGGUGAAGAAAUAAAAGCAAAUCUAGCCUAGAAAUACAAUUGUGUAUAACAUAAAUCACCCAUUCAAUCCAACCCCAACCAAAACAUGAUACGCAUUCAUGGGUCAUCAUGAUAUAUUGUCACAAUAAUCUUGUAAGCAACAUUAAUUACAAAUAUAAUUUAUAUAAUUAGUCUAUUGGGUUUCCCACAUUCUUGGGAUUUUGCACUUUGAGGUGAAAACAACAUCACUUGAGUUUUUUAGGAUGCAAUACCAAUACCACACUGUACAAUACAUCUAAAUUAACAAUCCCAAUAAUGCUAGUAAAAGAAAGAAAGUAAACAUAUCAAGGCAUGAAGUCUUUAUGGAGAAAUAUAUAUAUAUAUAUAUAUAUAUAUAUAUAUAUAUAUAUAUCCAAUGAUAAUAACUUUCUCAACCUCCUCUCUUUAGAGUAAACAACACUGAACAAAAUUAAAAAGGAGCUUAUUAAUUUGUUUAUAGAAGAGUUUAGUUGAUUGUUGGAUUAGAAAAACAGAUUUGCUCACGAUAACAAAUUUUAAAAAAAAAUGGUAAAAGUAAAAAAAUUGGUUUGGGGUUUUGUUAAGAAUAAAUUAUUUUGCAUGUAGUUUAUAUCAGCAAUGACGUGACUGCAUGGCACAAAAAAUACGAAAAAUAAAAAGAGAAAACUCCAUCAAUUAUUGUUAGUUUAAUUUCAAACCAUUUCUUUAAUUUAUCAGCCAUACAUAUAUUUUAUUAUUUUGACAAAAUUAUAAGAAUAAGAAUAUUUGUAUUUAAUUUGGAGGUCAUAACUUUAGACCAAAUACUUUGAUUAUUGCAAAUUCCUAACACUUCUUCUUUUUUUUUUUUUUUAUUGAAAUCAACUUCUUUGCUUUACCAACUUUUUAUGUGUGGCAUUGGGUCUAUGCAUUGAAUCUCAAUAACUCUCAUUACUCAUUUUAUCUUAUUUCAUAAUUUUACAACUAUAAUGGUAUUAAAUAGUUAAAAUCAUUUUUACCAUAUUUAAAAUUACUUUGAAACGUAUUCUUUUUUUUCAUGUUUGAUUUUAUAUUUUUUGAAGAGCUAAAAGUAUUGGUUAUUUUAUGGAUGAAAAUUUGUUAUUUAGAAAAGAGAGAAAGAAAGGAAUUGAUGAGAUGGGCAAAGUGCUGUGGAGUGGGCUGAAACCGAGUAAGGCCCUGUGAAAGUGCUUUUGCAACCAAGCUCAAUAUCAAGGUUUUUCUUGAGGGAAAAUCAGGUGUGUUGCAUCAAUUAAAUAUCUCCUUUUGGUAGGAUGGAAAUGGGGAAGAUAAUCAAAUCCAUGUGUGUUCUUUUUAGAUAAAAUUUGUGGAGAAAUAAUUUUGUACCUAUGUAGUUCUUCGUAUGUUGAGCUGAGAGCUACUCCAAUUCCUAAAUGUUGAAGAUGAAAUGUUACAAUUUCUAGAUUUAAUAGUUUGAAGAUGAAAUUUUGUUAAUUUGAUCGUAUGGAGAUGCAAGGUCAAAAGUGAGGUUUUCAAUUUGCAAUAGACCCAUUUUUGGAGGUUAAUGUCAAAUUAUUCAAAAGUUUGCAAUAGACGUUAAACAAAAUUUGACAUCACUUUUAGAAGGUUCGUAGAAAAGUUUAGAUCAUAUUUAUGCAACACCCAUAGUAAAAAACUUAUAAAAGAUAAAAUUUGCAUAUCAUUAUGGCACUGCCUAGCAACCACUCUAAAAUCAGUAAAAUAAAAUAAAAGAAAUAAAAAUGUGAAAAACUAAACAUUUAAUUUGAGAGUAAAAGUCAAGUUAUCUAUUUAGAAUCACAUUAUAUUUGCAGUAGUGUAUGAUCUAAAUCCCUUCUUGUCUUUUCAAGAAUUUGAUCAUCAGAUUGUCUAAUCAGAUAUCUCGUAGACUUGUUUAGAUGUUUGGUUGAACUAUAACUUUCAUGUCUAUCAUAAUAAUCUAAUCCCACGUUGGUUAAAAGUAAUCAAAUAGAUGGUGAACAAAUAUUUAAAAGUAAAGCUUACAUUUUUUUAAAAAAAAUCAUUAGAUAUUUGAGAAAUAUUGUUUGUCGGAGACGAUCCAUAAACAAACUUUUUUUUUUUGGAGAAAAUCUAUUAAACAACUUACGUUAUAUAUAAUCUAAAUUUUUAUUAACAUAAGUUUGAAUUUGAACGAUUAUCAUCUCCUUAUUAUUUCACAACAGUUUUUGCCUUAGUCGCAUAUCAUCUCAAGUGACUAUGUGAUAUUACGUAUUAAGAACUAUAUAACUUUUACAUUCUUUGAGUUGGUUUCAUAUUAUAUUAUAUGGGGGAAAGAGUGUGGAGGGUUAGACAAGAGAACCUUUUAAGAGUGUAAACAUAUGUUAAUGGGUUUGUUCAAUUUCAAUUUGAUUAAACAAACAAUCAAUACUUCUUCCAAUAAUUCCAACAACCACACUCGAUUUCAUGCCCCCACACAAAAGUAAUAACAAAAUUACAUAAUUUAACUUUGAAUUCCCAUUUUAAGUUAAGAUUAACAUUUAAAUUAUACCCUUCUCCAAAGUAAUUUUUUUAAAACCAACCUAAAAACAAAAGAAAAUGAGAACUUACAAUGACGCUUUAAUAAUGUUAGGUAUAUCAUGCAUGCAUGACCCACUCACCACCCACUUCACUUGAAAACUUGAAAUUUUUUUAUUUCUUUAUAGAAUAUAUAUAAACAUGUUAUAUAAAUUAUAAUUUCUUGGAGUGGGAUAUGGCCUCAGAUUCACAUUCUUGGAUCAUAAUUUUGUAAGAGAAGCAAAUGAAUGAUAAAUUAAAAUGGCUAAAAGUAAGUACUAUAGCUUAAGUUUAUAUAGAAACUUUGAAAUCUGCCAUUCCAUGUGGUUGGAAUCUCUCCCAUCACCCCCACCCCCACCCACUUCCUCUUUCUCUCUUUAAUUCCUACUCUCCUCCGCCGUAGCUUUGGCUAUAGUCGAAGAUGAACAUCCCUUUGAAAGAACAGUGGACAGGGAACUUUUUCGUUUCUACUGUGGCACGAUAUUCAGACUGGUAAAAACCCAACCCCAGUUCAAAUAAUGGCCCCUGUUUCGAACACGUCGAGGACUAGAUUCGGUGCAGUUCAAAUGAUCGACAACCCAUUAACAGAAACUCAAGAUCUUCCCAAGUCCAAACUAUGGGGAAGAGCACAAGACCAAUCUGGGUUGUUAAUGGCGAUGAAUUUAGCGUUUGUGAGUGGGAAAUACAAUGGAAGCUCCGUCACCAUAUUUGGAAGAAACCCAUUUAUGGAGAAAGUGAGAGAGAGAUGCCUGUGAUUGGCGGAAGUGGGCUGUUUAGAUUUGCGAGAGAGAUGCCUGUGUGAAUGUUAUUUCGUUUUUUUUUUCUACGUGGGAUUUUCUUCAAGCAUAAGAUUUUGAUCAUCUACUUGAGUCAAAGUAAAGUGAAAAUUCAUAUUACUUUGUUGAUCAUCUAAAAAAAUGCAUUAUUUUUUUUGUUUAAAAUAGAAAUCAGUAACCCUAUGAUUUAAGUUUUACCAAAAGAUAAUGAUAUGGUACCAUCGCCCAUAAUAAUGAUAAGGUCUCCACUAUAUACUUUUGCCUUAGCCAUUAGAUAUUGAAUCUAAAGUUGCUAUAUAUUUUUCUUUCAUUGAUUUGAUUUCAAAAUUGUUCUGUUAAACAAAUCUUUAAGUUUUAAAUUUUAAAUAUUCUCCUUAACAUAUUUUAUCAUCUUAAGGAUUGAAUUUGAAUCUCCCAUGAAAUAGAGACGUUGUAAGAGUGUAAACACACGUAUUGGUUGAUGAUGAUGGGAUGGUUCAAUUUCAUUUCAAUGAAUUCAAUUACUUCUAAUUUCAGCAACCACAGUUCAACUUCUAAGCCUUAGCUUUCACAAAAUAGUAACAAAAUUGCAUCAAUUACUGAAGUUCAAAAGAAGAAAAAUGAACUUACAAAGACUAUAGUUGUAUAUAACGUGCUAAGGUUAAUUUAGUUUCCAAUUCCCAUUAUGAGUUGAAAGUUAAAACUUUGAUUUCACUCCAUUUUAUGAUUUGAACUGAAAAACAAAAGAAAAUGGAGAGAAAUUGUAAUGAGGCUUUACCGCUAAUUUAUAUAUAGAAAUAGAAGGCAGAAAAUAUCCUGCGCGGUUGUAUGUCUCAAGUCCAAUGAUCUCCAUUUCCAUGGCCAUAAUUUCUCCUAUCUCGGCCACCCACUUCCUCUUUCUCUCUUUCCUCCUCUCCUUCGCCAUCGCUGAACAUGAACAUUCCUUUGCAAGAACAAUGGAUAGAAAGCUGUUGGGUCUUGAAAAAGAGAAGCUCAGCCACCUCCGUCUAUAUUGGCACGACGUUGUAAGUGGCAAAAACCCAACCUCAGUCCAAAUAGUGGCGCCUGUUUCGAACACGUCGAGGACUAGAUUUGGUGCAGUCCAAAUGAUCGACAAUCCAUUAACAGAAACUAAAGAUCCCAAGUCCAGACUAUGGGGAAGAGGACAGGGAUUUUACGCAUCAGCUUCGCAAGACAAACUUGGUCUGUUAAUGGCGAUGAAUUUGGCUUUUGUGAGUGGGAUACAACGGAAGCUCAAUCGCUAUAUUUGGAAGAAACCCAGUUGGGGAGAAAGUGAGAGAGAUGUCUGUGAUCGGUGGAGGUGGAGUUUUCAGAUUUGCGAGAGGGUAUGCAAAAGCCACAACCAGGAAGUUCAAUUCCAAAACAGGAGAUGCUGUUGUUGAAUAUAACAUUUAUGUAUUUCACUAUUGAAUUCUGCCUUUCUUUUUCUUUUCAUCUGUUUUUGUUUCGUUUCUUUAUUUUACUUUUUUGUUCUUUGAACAUAAGGGGGCUUGGGUUUAUGUUUGCAUUCAUGUAGGGUUCAAUAUAUACUACAUCAACGUUCAAUUUCUAAAUAAUAUAAAUGUUGAUUGCAUAAACUGAAAUCAAUUAUUUAUUUUAACGAUAUCAAUUUCAUUUACACUAUUAGCAUAGAAACCUAUCAAAUGGAUAUGUUGUUAUUAGUGAUUCAAAGCUGUUACCGACAACAUGCUAAAAAUAAACAACCACAAUAUCACCUAUAGAUGUUAACAAUGAUAGCAAUAGAAAAAUACAAUUGAUAGUAGCUAUUGAAAAUAUUAAUUGAUAGCCUAAUUAAACUUCGUCAAUUCAAAAUUUAUGUGUUUACCAAGAAAGACAUUACUUAUAAAAAGUAUCCUUAUCAGAUAUCAUUUAUAGUUAUUGUAUAGCAAUAUUCUUCUAAUGCAAUAAUCAUUGAUAGAUAAUGUUGGUGACUUCAUUUUACAUUGAUAAGAAUAUAGAAAAAUUACUUAUAGUAGCUAUCGGGAAUAUCAACUGAUAGCAACGUCGUUAAUAGAAGCAGAUAUUAGUGAUAGAAACUGAUACCACAUUUUUCAAAUUGAAAGUUAUCACUGAUAGCAUGCAAUUAUCAGCGACAGUCGUAGCUAUCUAUAGCAAUUGGUACUAUAUUUCUCAAAUUGAAAGUUACUCUACCAUUCAAUGAAUGUCAUUCAUAAAAGCUAUAAUUGAUAGGUGUUAUCAAUUAUAUCAACCGAUAACAUAUUUUUCAAAUUAAAAGCUUUUAUUGAUAGGAUCUAUCAACGAUAGUAACGUAUAAUAGCUAUUAAGAAAACCAUGACAAAAUACUUGUAAUGGUAAUAAGUUAUCAUAACUGAUAACUACAAUUAGUGAUAACAACCAAUAAAAGCUAUUAAAGACAUUUGCUAAUUGUAGCCGUUAGUGAUGGUUUUUUCAAUGUAAAAAACUAAGAAAAAGUGUUUGAAAUAAUCAUUUUUCAAAUUGAAAGUUAUGGGUGAUAGCAUAUAUUCCUCAAUUGAGAAAAAAAGUUAAAAGAAAAGUCAGGUUUGGAGGACAUAAUUUCAUAGACUAGAGGGCCAAAAGGCACUGAAGAGUCUAAACAUACAUAUAUUGGUGGAUGUGAAUGUGAAUGGGUUGAUUCAUUCUCACAUGGGAAGGCUAUCAUGAAUGGACUUUUUACACAAAAGCCAAAGUCAAUUAACCAAACCUAAUUACGUCCAAUUCCAACAACCACAAAUCAACUUCAACCCCACACACAAAAUUAAUAGUAACAAAACUAUAUCAAAUUAGUGAUGUUUACAAACUCAAAACACAAUAGUUUGGUAAGAGUUACAUCUAGCAAUAAUAUUAAUGAACUUUUAAGAAAAUACUAUAAUUGAAUAUAUAUCAUACCAAAAGUCUACAAUAAUUUAAUCACUUAUUCACAAUUUGAAUUAAAGGUGAAAGUAAACUUCCUCAAAAAGUUAAAAGUUCUAAAUUGUGCUAUUAUUAAUUGAAAAACUAAACAACACUAGAAAUAAUGCUUUAGUUAGGUAUACAUUCAUGAUUUGACCCUCUUCAUUAGAACAUUUUAAAAUUUUAUUUCUCUAUUUUAGUUAGAAAAAUACUUAAAUGAAUCACGAGCAUUAGCUAUCUUCAUGAAGUAGCAACAUUUACUUAUUUCUAUAUUUUUUGUGUGAGCGGUGAGAAGGAAUGCAUAAAGAUGGAUGAUAUUAUGAAUGGACUGAAUUAUUAAUUCAUAGGUCUCAAGACUUGUUUUUGCAAUCUUUUAUAUGACUAAGGGGUCGUUCAAUACGAGUCUUUUACUUGUUGUUCCAAGUGAUUGGAGCUUCUGUUAUGGAGAUCACCUUGACGUUCUCUUGUUCGUGGAGGUUUCACUCGGUUUUAAUAGUCCAAUACUUUUUUUUUUUUUUUUUGUGGAAAAAGGAGCAUUCUAGAAUCAUAAAGUUGUAAUAAAAGGAGAAUGAUAAAUGGAAAAGUCUACAAUGGCAAACCAAUAUUGAAAAAAGUGAUUCAAGCAGCUGUCUUUAUAUAGAAGGCAGAAGGAUCCUUUGAUCAUCCACUGUCUGAAGUCCCAAGAACAGAGCAACUCCCAAAUCUCCCAUUCCAUGGCUGGAAUCUCUCCAAUCUCCCCCACCCACUUCCUCUUUCUCUCUUUCCUCCUCUUCUCCGCCAUAGCUUUGGCUAUAGCCGAAGAUGAAAACUCCUUUGCAAGAACAGUGAACAGGAAACGUCUGGGUCUUAGAAAAGAAAAGCUCAGCCACUUCCGUCUCUACUGGCACGACGUUCUAAGUGGAAAAGACCCAACCUCCAUGCAAAUCGUUCCCCCUGUUUCGAACACUUCAAUGACUAGAUUCGGUGCGGUCCAAAUGAUCGACAACCCAUUAACGGAAACUGCAGAUAUCAAGUCCAAACUAUGGGGAAGAGCAGAGGGAUUGUAUGCAUCGGCUUCACAAGACGGAUCUGGGUUGUUAAUGGCGAUGAACUUCGCGUUUGUGAGUGGGAAGUACAAUGGAAGCUCCAUCACAAUAUUUGGAAGGAACCCAUUUUUGGAGAAAGUGAGAGAGAUGCCUGUGAUCGGUGGAAGUGGGUUGUUCAGAUUUGCGAGAGGGUAUGCGAAAGCUUCAACCGUUAAUAUUGAUUUCACAACAGGGGAUGCUGUCAUUGAAUAUAACAUUUACGUGCUUCAUUAUUGAAUUCUGCUCUUCUUUUUCUCUUUGUUGAAUUUUGAAUUUUGAAUAUUUGUUUUCAAUGUUAUAUUAUCUUUCAUUGUAUUUGAGUUCAUCUAUGUGUCGUGAAAAGGAUUAGAUAAAUUAACAAUGUUGUUUAUUACAAUGAUCUAUUCAACAAACUUUGUUGCAUGUCAAAGUAGUAAGAAGAAUAAAAGUUAGAUGAUAAUGAUAUAUACCAUCUUGAUGAUAACUAAAUCUAAAAAUUUAGAUGGUUUUUAAAACAUGAUUAGAAAUUAGAUAACAAACCAAGAACAUAAUGUGGAGUGUGCGUUGUGUAGGGGAAGACUUGAGUAGAGGCCGUGUGUAAGAGUCUAAAACAUAUUGAAAGCACCAAUGGACUUUUACACAAAACCCAAACUCAAUUAACCAAACAUUACUUCCAAUUCCAACAACCACAAUACAAUUUCAUGCCCCCACCCACACCAAAAUAGUAACAUUUGGUAAUUUGGUUUUCAAUACUAAAAGCACAAAAAACAAAAACAAAAGAAAGAAAAUGAGAAAUCAUAAUGAUGCUUUUGUUAGGUAUUUCAUGACACCCAUUGACCCACUCCAUUGAAAAAUUUUAAAAUUUGAAACAAAACCAUCAAUCAUAUCUGUCUUUAUAUAAUUGAAGUCAUGGAGAGCCUUUGGUUCACUAUCUGAAGUCUCAAACACAGAGUAACUUCAAAUUCUCCCAUUCCAUGGCUGGAAUCUCUCCCAUCUCCACCACCCACUUCCUCUUUCUCUCUUUCCUCCUCUUCUCUGCCGUAGCUUUGGCUGUAGCUGAAGAUCAAAAUUCCUUUGCAAGAACAGUGAACAGGAAACGGCUGGGUCUUAGAAAAGAGAAGCUCAGCCACUUCCGUUUCUACUGGCACGACGUUCUAACUGGAAAAUACCCAACCUCAAUCCAAAUCGUUCCCCCUGCUUCGAACACUUCAAUGACUGGAUUCGGUUUGGUUAACAUGAUCGACAACCCAUUAACAGAAACUCCAGAUCCCAAGUCCAAACUAUGGGGAAGAGCACAGGGAUUGUACGCGUCAGCUUCGCAAGACCAGUUUGGGUUGUUAAUGGCGAUGAACUUCGCGUUUGUGAGUGGGAAAUACAACGGAAGCUCCCUCACUAUAUUUGGAAGAAACCCAUUUUUGGAGAAAGUGAGAGAGAUGCCUGUGAUCGGUGGAAGUGGGCUGUUCAGAUUUGCGAGAGGGUAUGCAAAAGCCACAACCAAUAAGGUUGAUUUCAAAACAGGAGAUGCUGUUGUUGAAUAUAACAUUUACGUACUUCACUAUUGAAUAAUUCAGCUUUGUUCUCUUUGUUUCUGUGUUUCGUUUCUUUGAUUUGCUUUUUUCUAGAACAGAGCCUUUUCUUUUCUUUUUUGGAACUUCCAAUAAUUUGAAACCAUUGUUAACAUUACAUUCAACUUUACUCAUCCCAGUUGAAGAUUUUAUGUUAAUGGGGCUAUUUAAUAUGCGGUUCAAGAACUUCUUGUGAGCUCAAUCGUUCUAGAAUAUCAAUUUUAAAUUCUUAGGUAGCUUUCACUCAACAAAAUUCAGUUUUUGGUGGAUCAGUGAUUUAAUAAAGUGUGUGAACAAGAGGGAGUGAGAGAAAGAAGAAAAGAACAAGAACAUGAAAAUGACAUUGUAUUUUCACUAGAAAGCAAUGGCAGAAGUAAGGUGUUAAUCAUUAGAUCAGAUGUGGAUCAUCCCAACAAUAAACCAAAAAGAAGAACACCUCAAGCAUAUAAAGAAUAAUAAAGUUCAAUUGAAGUAAAGAAAUUAGAGUGGGAUCACAAAUAAUGAUUCCCACACAUGAUGAUGAGAGGGGCAUUACAGAUAUCAAAGCAAUUAAAAAAAACCUUUUCUUAGGUUUAAAAUCACUUUUCUUUGGGGUUGGUGGAGUAGAUGGUGAAGUAAAGUGGUUAGAAAAUAGUGAGGGGGACAAUGGAAUAAUGUAGAUGAUUGGAGUUUUGGGCGCGACGCUUGUCACACAAUCCUGUCUCCCCUUUUCUCUUCCAGUUAUUCUUUGCCUGCUGAAUCCAUGGAAGAACAGAGAAGUGAGGGUUAGAAAAUAGCUAGCUAGCUCUGUUGAGGACCUGUCAUCUAAAUUAUAUUGAAGUGUGUUGCUGACAAACACCUUACACCACCACCUCAAAUACAUUAUUGUAGAAGAAAGAGAGAGUUGAACUUCAAACAACAUCUUAGGAGUACUACUGAAGUGCUUCCUGGGGGAAGAAGAAACACACACACCACCAUUGAAUAACACUUUUUGUAUAUGAAUGAGGUCGAGGCUUUCACUACAACCAAUCAACACUUUUCUGUUAUGUCUCAGUUUUGGUAUUAAUAAACAUUUUAACAAACAUAAUUAACUUCAAAGUUUGGCUAACUAAACAUAAUUACAAUUUAAACUUAUUUAAAACUCAUCUUCUUCUUCACAACUGAAAAAAGGGACUAAAUAAAAUCACUUCAGGUAAAGUAAAAGUAAAACUCAACAAACUUUUUUUCUUUCAUUCAUUAAAGAAAAAAUGAUAAAGAGUAAAGUUCAAUCUUCCACUUAUUUUUCUUUUGAAAUAAAAUCAUUAAACUUUGAAAUAUUGGUAUAGAUUAAAAUACCCAAAACAUAUUUUCUUUUCUUUUAAUGUUUCGUUUGUAUUUGUUCUUCAUUUCUCCAUCUUUGUUCUGUAAUAUUUAGUUAUUUUCUAAUCAUGUUAGGAUUACAUUUGAAGUUGUUUAUUAGAACUAUUAAAUUUGCAAUGAGUUUCAUCAAUUACACGAUCUGAUUUUGAUAUAUCCUAUAAUAUAUAGUAUUCUCUUUUAUAUUAUUGAAUGUUGAUCGUUUUCUAAUUAGUUCUCCUUCUCGCAUCCCGACCCAUUCUCUAAAUCAUUAUUCUUCUCUUGUUUCCCUCCCUUGCUUUGCUUUUCUUUCCCCUCCAUUUUCCCUAAACAAUCCUCUUUCUUUGAAAGAAAAAAAAUGGUAAUUAAAUUAACGUUGUGAUUUCAUUUUAGUAAAGAAAGAAUUUUCAUUAAAUUCGCUUUAAAUUCAUAUAAAAUUAAGAAAAACAGAACUCAUCUUUUUUUUUCUUUUUUACUUUUAUCAACCCUGAUAUUAUAUAUAAGAGAUUGUAUAACAAAAGAUUCUCUUUAUACCCUAUGUGCCUCUGCUUCUUGUACUUUUCAUGAUUCCUAUUUAGUCUCUCGUCCUAACUAUUUGGGUUGAGAUGAUGUUGCACUUGAAGUGGUUUCCUGUUUUAUAUCGGAAAGUAUGAUCUAAACCAUAUAUAUAAAACAACACGAUUAAACAAAUAAGGCCACAUCAGCAACAAUGCCAGAUCAACAAUGACAAAUCACCAAUGUGGACAUCCAGAAACGUGGUAGUUUUGGAGUAGAGACACAACCACUAAACCGUAACAAAAAAAUUAGUUAAAAUAAACAUUAUUUAAUAUAUACUGUAAUAUGAUACUUUAAAAUUAAUAUUAAAAUACAAAAACCAAUUAUGUGAGGAGGCAUAUUGUCACGCCCCAAAAAUGACCCAACAGAUUUUUCGCAAAUUAAGGCUCCUUAGCAUUGCCCAAGAGGAGCCAACCAAGUCCCAAGCAGUCCAAAGACCCAAGGAAGAGGAACAAGUUCACGCCAAGCCUAUGAUACGCCAAUGUGCAGGAGAUUGGCGCACGCGGCCCUGUCAUGACAUGGGCGCGCGCAGCGCGAAGGGCGGCAGGCAGACAAGCGGACGCGCACGGCAGAUGGGCGCGCGCGGCAUGGACGCGCGCGCUACACUAGCGCGCGCGGGAAGCGGACACGGAGCGCGCGGAGAAGCAUCCGGGAACCUCUCGAAGGUUCCAGAAGAAUCGCGAGCGGCCGGGAAGGCUCGCGAACACGCGCGAAGGCACGCGCGCGCCAGACGGCCCCAGACGCCUCCAGAAGCUUCUGGACAGUGUCAUGAGCGCUCGGGAAUGUUCCAGAUUGCUUUUUGCCGACCUUGUAAGGCGGUUUAGGGCUUGUAAAUAGAUUGUAUACUUCUAUAAAUACCCCAAAGGGGUCCAUUUGUAUAAACAACACAGAAUCCUUGGGAAUUCAUCAACAAAGCUCUCUUAAGCAUUUUAUCAAACACCUUGUCUACAACUCUUUGCCUACUUCUUACCUACGAAUUUCCUUCUUCCUUAGUUUGUUCCAACAAGUCCAAUUACUCUUAGGCUUACAUUGGUGCAACCCCAACACCUUUGUGCCGCACGUUGGUUUUGUGAUUAAAAUAACCACGUGACAAUAUGCUCCCUUGAUCUCCUAAUAAAUCUGUUAUAUUUAACUAUAGUCAUGUACUAAUAUUGAUGUCCUUUCAUGUCUUUAAUUGUAAAUUUGAUAAAUUCCUUAUUUGAUGUUUAUCUUUUUCAUAGUAAAAACGAUGCAUUUGAGAUAUUAAAUAAUCAUACAAUCUUCUAAAUUUUUUCAAAGCUCUUUCAUAUAUAUAUAUACAUGUAUUCCACGAGUCAUGGAUUAUUAUUCUUCUUUACUAAAAUUUCUAGUGAAAAACGUAAUUAAGCUUUUAAUUAAAGUAUUUACGAAAGUGACCAAAUUUUUUAAUAAGAAGAUUAAAGAUCAAAAGCAGCCAAUGAAUAUUUUGUAUUAGUGACAAUUAACCACAUUAAGCUUUUAAAUUCCUCAAAUAUAAUGAUUAAAUAAUCAAUGCAUUAUUAUUUAUCUCAUUAUAAAUAAUUAAAUCACUGCACACGUUGUGUAUAUGAAUAAGCCAUUAACUAUUUAAUAUUAGUCUCUCUUGAUCUUACGAAAAAAAAUUAAUAUCAAGUCAAACAUGGCUUGCCCCUUCACACCUCCCCUAGCAUCACUUGGCAAGCCAUUUGGGUUUGUAUAUUAUAUAUAUAUAUACCCCUUUCUAUUCUCAAGGUUUCUCAUUAUUCUCCAAGUCUGGAAGUUUUGUAGCAGCUAGCUCCUGCAGGCAUGGGAAGUAAGUUCUUCUUCACAUGUUGUCUUCUUUGGUGCUUGAUUAGUUCGGCCAUGGCUUCGGACGACGACUCGUUUGCAACCAGGCUGAACCCCAAGGUGUUGAAACUGAAGAAAGAGAAGCUAACUCGUUUUCAUCUUUACUGGCACGACGUGGUGGGCGGAAGCAACCCCACUAGCGUCCCGGUGUUGCCACGCCUAAAUAACGUUACAUUGUUUGGGCUUAUCAACAUGUUUGACAACCCAUUGACGGUCGGACCAGACCCCAAGUCUCGGCUAGUGGGGAGAUCUCAAGGUUUGUAUGCCUCUACUGCACAGCAUGAAAUUGGACUUUUGAUGGCUAUGAACUUUGCGUUUACUUACGGAAAAUACAAGGGGAGCUCCAUCACCAUUUUGGGUCGGAACCCUAUUCUGAACCAAGUACGAGAGAUGCCAGUGGUGGGAGGAACUGGACGGUUCCGAUUUGCUAAAGGUCAUGCGCUGGCUAAGACUCAAUAUUUCAACGCUACUACAUUGGAUGCUGUUGUUGAAUAUGAUAUUUAUGUAUUGCAUUAUUAUUGAUAGUCCAUUUUUAAAUUAAACUUCUCUCCACGUGUUUUUCUUUAUUUCUAUGUUUUGUAUUAUUUCCUUUUAUCUUUCCCAAAUCUCAAUAAUGUUAGUUUUCAUGUGAUUGUUUUUUAUAAUAUAUGAUUCUUUUUUCUAGUUUAUAUGUUGUUAUUUUUUAUUUUUUUAUCAGUUAAGGGUUUAAUUAAAUAUUUUAAAUCAUCAUGAUGACGUUCCUUAUUCUCUUUCUACUUCUUUCCUGUUUUCCAAAAAUAACCUCCAAUCAUUUCCACCUCCAAACCCAAUUAGAGAUAGCAAAAUAAUUAAAAACAAAUAAUAAUAUUUUAAAAAAUUUAUAAAUAUAGGAAAAUCUCAACGAGUCUAUUCACGAUAGAUCAUAUUACAAAUAUUGGUACAUGACUAAUGACUAUUAGAGUCUAUAUAUUUUAUUAUAUUUUGUACUUUUUUAAAUGUUGUUACACACUUAAUUAUUAUUUCUAAAAAUUAUAAUUAAUAAAAAUAUAUAUAGCAAAAUACUUAAAAGUUUAAUGGAUUUUUUCUAAAUAGUUUCCGUAUUUUGUUAUUUUUUAAGAUGUCAUCUAUAACAAUGAAUACUAUUUUUUUAAUAUUUAAAUAAGUCUCAUUCUUAGUGUUAUUAAGAAACUGUGUUCUAAAUUUCCAACUUUUUAUUUUUUAAAAUUUAAUUAUGAGAUUUCAAACUUUGAAAAAAAAAAAAGUCAAAUACAUACCUAAAACAAUUUUGUAUUUUAAUUAAUCCAUUUAUGAAUCUUCUAAUAUUUGCAAAUCUUUGACCAAUUCAAAUAUUUUUCAAUCUUAGACCAUUCUAAUAAAAAAAAUUAAAAUUUUAGGAACAUAAUAAUUAAAAUAUUGUAAGUUUUAAGACUUUUAAAUUAUAGUUAAUUCAUUCGAUGAGAAAAGAAAGGGUAUUUAAUUAAGUUAUGGAUUAAACAAAGGAUUUGAAUUAUUUAGUUACAUAUUAAAUAUUGUAUUGUAUUAUUCAAAAGAUAGAACUUGGAAUUAGAAGCCCCUUCAAACACGUUAAUUAAUAGUAGUUUUGUUGUUUACCCUAAAAUUUGUUUAAUUUAAGAGAUAGAAUAUUAAAUUUUGUUUAACAUAUGAUCUAAUUAUAGGUUCAAUGUGACGAAGGGUCUGACAACGAUUAUCUAUUAGAUCAUUGAAUAUAUUGACCCCUUUAAUUAUUAAAUAGUAACACGAGUCAUUUUAUCUUAAAAUAAAUUAGGAGUUAAUUUAAUAUUUACAUCAUGAGGUUGAUAUUAUGACAUUGUUACACGACGACAACAGUACCCCAAGAAUAAUAUAAAAAAGUGUACAAAGUGGGAAACUUGAACUUUAGGUCUAACACGAGUUUGGAAUACAAUUUUACAUGUUGUGGAUAUUAUUGUUGUUAUUAUUAACAAUUGUGGGGUAAAAUAAAUAGAAAAAAAAAGAACAAAGAACAAAUAAAUUUAAAUAGUUGAUAAUUCAUUUACAAAUAUAGCAAACUAUAACCACAGUUAAAUUUUUCUCCUAUAUUUUGUUAAUAGUUUUCAAUUUUUUAUUUCAAAAAUUUUCUAAGAAUUGUUUUUAAUGCACAUCAAUAAUAAUAAUAAAAAUAAUGUAUAGCUGAGUAGACUUUGCACAUUUUAGUACAAAGUACAAAUUUAUAGUUCGGGGAGAUCUAAUUUGAAUCUACGUUUUAAAAGAAACAAAUUAUUAUAUCAAUUAUCAUUCAACUACGUUUAUAUGAUGAGAAAAAAGAGGAACGACAAAUAAAAGAUAGAAUAUUUAAUUUAAGACAAAUUAUAUAGAAGGAGGAAUAUGGAUAUACUUUGGCAUAUAGAUGAGGUAAAGCUUUUUUGUAUAUAUGUCCAAGUUGUGGAAUAAAGAUACCUAACAAAAGAUUAAAGAAGGAUCAAACUUUUUUCUUUCUUCUUUUACAUUUAUAUGCUCCUCUUAAUUCACAAAAUAACAAAAAACUUUUACCUUUUUAACCUAUGUUUUUAAAAUCAAUAAUAGAUUACCAAAACUUAUAUUAAAAAAAUGUUAAAGCAAGGGACGCUCGUAAAAAAAAUUAUGAUAAUAGAGUCAAUGUUACUACAUUUUCUAAAUUGUAAAAGUAGCAAAUUUAAAUGUUGAUAAUUACCCUCCUGAUAGUCAUUUGAUAACCUUCUCAAUAUCAUUAAUUACUUGUCAUAUUUGUCAUAUGCAAUUUUAUUUUUGUUAUCCAGUGCAAUUUUUUCUUAAAUUAAGAGAAAUUGUAAAAAUAUAGCAAAUUUGACAAAAUGUUUACGACAUGUAGCAAAAUUUUAGAUUCUAUCAAUAAUGGAUAUUGAUAGACACUGAUAAGUUUCUAUCAGUGACAUUAUUGAUAGAUAAUGAUAGACGUUUAUCCGUUGCUAUCAUUGAUAAAAUCUGGAAUUUUGCUAUAAUUUGUAAAUAUUUUAGUUUAUCCUUAAAUUAAAGUAAUUUUCAUAUAAAGAGGUAAACAAAGAAAGGGCAAUAUGGACAGAUGGAGGAGGCUUCUUUUAUUAUUAUAAUAUCAACAUUCCUUGAAAGGCUCUUGAAACAAAAGCAUAAAGAGAGCUUUCUCCAACUCGCUCGUCUCUUCUAGAAUUAAAAGUAAGUACGAAACUAAGAUGUUAAUAAAAACAAGAAAAGUAAAGUAGUAGAAAAUUGACACACAUCUUUACGUAGUUCACACGGGUGUUGGUUAUAUCUGUAUGUAGAGAACGAGGGAAUACAUAUUAUAUUAGAGUGAAAUUUAACAUUAAAAAUUUACAAAGAGUGUUUCAACCGACGAAUAUAUAUAUAUAUAUAUAUAUACACACACACAUGUGAAAGGAGAAGUGUAGAAGAGAAAGUUGGAUUGGGAAAAUCUUUGGAGUGGGAAAGAGAAUGGCAAGGUACAACUACUACUACCGCUAUCCUUACUUGGAGUACUUGACAUUGCCUCCUUUGCAGCUUUGUGUGUUUGUUGUGAUCCUUUUGGUGGUGAUGGCCUUUUCAUGGUACUUCUUCUACUAUUCAUUUCUUGAAGAUUUUAUCUUCCAACUCAAGCUCUUCCUUCUCACUGUCCCCUUGCUUCUCCUCCUCCUCCUCCACCUCCUCUCUUUCGGCUUCUCCUUUCUCCUCCCUUUACCCGAGCAGGACUCCCUCCAUCGUGCUGGUGGCUCACCCUGGGGCGUCGCCAUCCUCCUCGUCUUCUUUCUCUAUGUUAUCUCUCACCAGUCUCAUUACCACCAACGUUGGUUUCCUUUCGGAUAUAGAUAAUGCUUAUGUGAUCGACGACGUACUAACUAUUUGAAUUGUAAUUGAGUUGUACUAGAUUACACUACUCUUUGGUUAUUUUUGUAUCAUUUGUGUGUUGUCACUGGAAUUGUUAUGUUACAAAUAACAACUUAUUUGUUGUUUGUAUCUAUUGUAAGUUUGUUUUUGUGGAGAUUAUUAAAGUUUUGCUUGAUUAAUUUUAGACAUCGUUUUUUAAAACUAAGUUUCAUUCCUCCUCAGUUUUUACCAUUGCUGUUUUUUAUCUUUUAAAAGUAAAAUAGUUGAAUUUCCAGUCAAACUCUUAAAACAAGCUCGAAAUUUUUAAUAUAUCUUUUUUUCAAAACAUAAUUUGAUUUUUAUUUUAAAAAGUAAACUCGCAACUACGGGUUCCAUUCAUAAGUUUAUAUAUAUUUUAGAAUCACAUUUUGUUAAGUAUCGUUUAGAUCAGAAAGUAUCUUAUAAUAAUUCAUAACAACUUGCUCUAUGUUUGAUUGUCCAAUUAUAAUAGCUAGUGUUUUCAACUAUUAUAAUCUACGAUCAACUAUAAAAUUCAAUCAUAAAUUGAAUCGUGACUCAAUUAAUUAAUUAUAUUAUAGUUUUAUUUAAUCACUGUGAUAUGGAAAUGGAGAAUUGGAAUCUUUAUCUUUGUGUAUAAAGUUUAAUUCAAAGUCAUCCACUUUUAAAGGUUCGAUUCUUUUUAACUUUGAGUGUAUGAAUUCUUGGUGUCCCAACAAAAAAAUGAAUCACAAUUUUAACUUACGAUACAAUAUUUUUCGUCUUUUUUAUCAACUUCCGAAAUACCAAUUUUGUUUAAGGAAAAAAAAUACUGGAUUCAUUUCUAAUCUUCAAUCUCAAUCAAAUAUUUCAUUUCAAACUUUUGGGAUAGUGGAAAAGAUUUGAAAAAAUAUAUAAUUUAAAUAAUGUAUUUACCAAAUACCAACUUAAUAUUAUAUUAAUAAGAGUAAUACUCAUACUGUUCAUUUUUCUUAUGUAACAAGAGAUUAAUACGAGAACUAAUAUAGAAGUGCUUAAGAAUGUACUAAUUAGCUCAAAGAGUUUAGGACUCCUCACGAUCCCAUCAGUUACCUUAACAUCCGAUGAUGAAGAUUUUUAAACUCGUUUUAAUAUAUAUAUUUAUUUGGUUUGUAAUAUACUCUAAGUGUUCAUCAAUAAAGAGUAUUUAAACAAAAUAACUUUUUUUUGAAAGACAUUAAUCUAAAUAGAGACUUGAAAUAGAUGUGAAAAAAAAUUGUGCAUUUUGGGGAAGAAAAUCAUAGAACAGCAAAAUUGAGAUCAAAGGAGCGUUGAGAAGUUGAAGGAGUGAGGUGAGGAUGAAAGCUUCAGAGCUUUCGUCUCCAUCGAAUACUGUGGAAUGCAAGGAAAGACCCCAAAAGCCCCCCUUCAGGCCUGCUAAAGAUGACACCAAGCUUCUUCUCCAAGAUCCGGUUCUCUCUCUCUCUCUUUCUCCCAAAUUAACUCUUACUACUAAUUCUUUCCUUUUCAUUCUUGAAUUUGGUUGUACCAAUGUGCACCAACUGAAGAUUGUUCUCUAUUUCUUUCUUUUGUUUGUAGAUACGGAGGUCAGAUCCAAUUGAGACUGAGGAAGCCGUGCUCCGACCACCUCCUUUCCAUUUCUCUCUCCCCAAAUCUAAGAACCCUUCUCAAAUGGGGUGACAGAAAAUGUUGAUUUCUUCUUAUUUUGGUUUUAUGUCUGUUCUUGUUGAUCGCGUUGUGGAAUAUCGAAUUUUUAAUGAAAAUAGAAAUCCAUUUGGUUUCUACGCUUUAUGUCUUUCUGCUCUAGUCGACACUGUGAAUACAAUACCCACCAUUCACUUGAAUCAAAUUCAGCUUCCAAGUUUUGUUAUCCAUUUUUACUGUUAUGUAUUAGCUCGUGCGUCCCAAGUAUUCGACGAAAUGCCUAAGUGGGAAGUAAGCUUUGAGACGACAAAUUGUCUGUUUGCACUGAUGAAGAGAACCACGAGAGGCUUCUGGAUCAUUUAGUGCUGAGUCCAAUCUCCAUAGCCAAAUAAUAGAAGAUACAGGUACGCCGUACGCUCACACUAUCUAUAUAUCCUCUUGCUUUCACUCGGCUAAUUUCAAGAUGCAAAAUUUAAGGCGUUUGUAUGUUUUUACACGGAUGAAUUUCCUUUACUUUGAAAUGGAUUUACAGUUUGGUUCAAGCCAAGCGUCCAAUUGUCCAUGUUUAGAACUCUACUACACAGUUGUUCACCGAACAAAAAUCCUAUUCAAUUAAGGUUGUUUGAUGCAAGCUGAUCUAAGUUGAUGUAAUACAAGUGAGUUCAAUGACAGAGGUCAGCCAAAUUUAGUUGAUCUAAGUCACUUGAGUUCAAUCAUAUGAGGAACUUCGAGGAUGGCACUUGAGUAGGAGAGAUUCGGUCAUAAGGGCUCGGUAAGCACCACCACCUUUUGUGUGGGGAUGCAUGUACGUUUACUCUCACGAUACAUUGUCAAUGACUGUCCAUAAACAGACCAAAGUGAAAGGUCUUGUAAAGAUGCACUCAUGGCUGCAACUGUUAGGUGUAAACAAAGUCCUCUAUCGACUAGGAACGAGAAUGAUCAUGGGUAUAUAAAUAUGAACAAUUAUCUUCAUUGGUAUAACAUACCAUUUAGGUGGUUCAAGAGGCAAAGUCACGAAGGUUUAUGUCUAAAGUGGAUAAUGUUAUACCAAUGUAGAGGUUUUAUUGACUUUCUUAUGCAAUAUCAGGUUGGUUUAAUGUCGUCCUUGUUACUACAACCUAAUCUAUUACUAAAUUGUGAUAAUUAUGCUUCUCAUAUUUACUAGUUAGUAAGGUAAUAUUUGGUUAUUACAUUCAAAAACCUUCUCUUAACCUUCUCUUGCACGGUUCGAACUUUGAUUCGUUUGAAAUACAAGAAAACAUUGGCGUCUUGUCUUAUAUUUUUCAUGAUGCAAAUGUUGUUUGAUCGCUUUCAUUUUUGUUAUGAUGCUGGUGUUAGUUGGUGCUAGCAAUAUCAUAUAAUAAGCUUUAGUCAGUUGAACAACCAAGCUAUACUCAAUUGGAUUGAAAAGGGAGGGGUUAGGAGGAAAAGGGAGAGGGUGGAGAGAGCUUAUGGAAAACAAUGAACCAAGACAUAUCACGAAUGGGUUGUUGCAAUCACACCCUUACAUUUUAAACUUUUGAUCAUCCACUUAUUAAGCUUACAGAUUUAUGGUCAGUGAAAAAUGUCUAAUUCAUAUCAACAUCUACAAUUAUUUUAAAAGUUUAACAACUAGAACUAGAUAAAACACCCCGAACCAAAUAAAUAUGCAUACAUGUAUACAUACAUAUCUAAUCAUAAUCAUUUAGAGAAUGCUUAAGUUAGACAAAUUAUAACAAGUCAACAUAAACAUAUAUAUUUAUGUAAAGUAUUGAUGGUAGGUAGCAAUUUUAAAAUACAUUUUUUUUUUAUAGACGUGUCAUCCAUAUUUGUGAUUUUGUUAGUAUGACAAAAGAAAAAAAAAUGAAAUUUUGUUUAUUCCUUUAUUUUAAAACUGCUCUUAUCCAACAUUAUAUAGUAAUUAAGGCGUAAUCAAAUUAUAAGACAACAAUUAAAUAACAAUGGAUAUCACUAAUAAGCAAGAAACGUCAAAUUUCGAGCGAAUCAUUGUCUUAAUUGCAAGGAUAUAUAUAUUUUUUUUUUGCAUUUUCGUUAUAAUCACUUAUUUUGUGAAGACGGAUGCAUGUCAAGAAUCUAACACCACUUAACUAAACUCAGCUUGCCUAUUUUAGUAGGAUGUUUUGUCAAUCCCAUAUGGUAUUAGAUUGGAUUAAGUCAAAUUUAACGUAAUCUUCCAAAUCAAAUGAUGCAUAGUUUGGUGGACCUGUUGAAGCCCAACCUAAAUGGUACGAUUGGUGAUGGUUUUGAAUAAGCCCAAUUCAUCCAUAACCAUACGUACGAACUUAAGGUAAUGUAACUUGUUUAAUUUCAUUACAAAGGUUAAAAGUGGAGAGUUGACGUUUAAAAUUUAGAAAAAAAAAGCUGUAUUACUUUGGUUUAGGGUAAGAAGAAGUUGUAAUAAGAGAUAUGGAGUCCAAAUGUUGGAGGUGGAUGUAAUUACACAUUACACAAACAUAACACAUGAUUUGAUGAGUUGGUGGCGUUGGCAUUCGAAUUUGCAUUUGCAUUCGUCCUCUUGUUUCCACGUCAUCUUACAGUUGAGACGACGUAGAGAGGGUUUGUUCUUUUUCUUUUUUUCUUUUUUUCUUUUUAUUUUUAUUUUUCAUUUCUGUCAAACCCUAACCCCAAUUUGAAGCCCCUCUCAACCUCAAGAUCGAAUUUUCCCUAUCACAAAUUCAAUCUCUCGCACUCACUCUUUACCGAUUUCGAUCUUCAUCUACUUUCCUCCAAUUACCCUCUUCUUCUUCUUCUUCUUCUUCUUCUUCUUCUUCUUCUUCUUCUUCUUCCUCUUUAAUCCGCUAUGUCUACGUUUUCUUGCCUUAGUUGAAUCCAAGAUAAUGAUCAUAUUAUUGCCGUUGUUUCGUACCUACUUUUUUAUGGGUUUGAACAAUGCCGGUGCUUCGCAGAGGUGUACGCAGAGGCCGCGCUAGGAUCCUUCAGAAGCACUUUGAGGAGCCUCCGCGGGCUGGGACCUACGUUAAAACUCGGGCUGCGGUAGCUAGAGAAGCUGCGGAGGCGAGACCCAGGCCCAGGACUAGGUUGGCGAUCAAGGAGUUAAAUAAGAAUCGGGAGGAGGAGGUGAUUGUUAUAUCUGAGAGAGAUACUUGUUUGGAAGACAAAAAAGUUCAACAGCUUGAGGAAGAAGAAGAAGAUAAAGGCGCGAUGGGUGAUGAAAGUGGCGGCUUGAGUGCUAAUAAGGCUGCUGGUAUUGAGGAGGAGGGUACCUCAGCACCUUUUCCGGAAAAAGUAUGUUUCAUUUUGAUUUACGCCCUAGAUUGCUUCCUGUUUUUCAUUUCCGAUUUUCGUUUAUUUAUUUAUUUAUUUUGUUUGGGCUAACUGUUCGUAGGCUGAUUGGGUGUUGUCAAUCUUGAAAAUAAGCGUCUUUCUUGCAUUUAAUUUCGGGUGAUGGUGGUUUUUCAUAAGUUUUCUUACAGUGAUCGUGGAUGCGUGGCCAGCUCACUUGUAAUAUUAUGGGGCAAUCUCUUGCCAAACGAUGUUUAAGUUCGAAAUGUCCAUAUUUAACAGUUUAGUUGACAGUAAAGUUUAACUUCUGAGUCAUCUGCAUUCCAUUAAGUUUCUGGCCUAACCUAUCAUGGUUUAUUUUGACAAGAAUAUUUCCUCAGUAAUUUUAGGCUCUUAGUUCAAUAGUUGUUUGUUUAAUUUCUAAUGUGCUUAUUUCUAAAUGAUUACUGUGUUUUCUCAUGUAUAGAGUUAAAAUAAGAAAGUCGUAUAUCUAUUUUUGGCUCAUUUACUUUGCUGGACAUCUUAAAUCUUAAGUUAUUGAGUGAAGGACUGUGUUCAAAUUUUCUGUUUCAUUGUAAGUUUAUUUAUUUCUUUGUGGCAUGUUUCAAGGUUCAAGUAGGAGGGUCACCAAUGUAUAAAAUAGAGAGAAAACUAGGUAAAGGUGGAUUUGGGCAAGUAUUUGUUGGUCGUCGGCUCACAGGUGGAAACGAUCGUGCAACAGGUGCUGCAGCUACUGAGGUGAGGUAUCUUGGAAGUUGUUUGUACUAAAUUGGUGCAGUAUGUACUAAAUUAUAAUUUGUCAGCAUCUUCAUAGAUUUACCUUUCAUUUCUUUAUUUUAUUUUCAGGUUGCUCUUAAAUUUGAGCACAGAAAUAGUAAAGGUUGCAAUUAUGGUCCUCCAUACGAAUGGCAAGUUUACAAGUGAGUAACUUUUUGGGUUACAUAGAUGUUUUUUUUAUUAAUAAAAAAAUUAUAUGUGUUUUGACUUACCUCUGAACUUUUUUGUAUAGUGCUCUUGGAGGUAGUCAUGGAGUGCCAAAAGUGCACUAUAAGGGUCGACAAGGAGACUAUUAUGUGAUGGUGUGUCAACAACUUCAUCUCUCUCUUUAGUAUAUAGUUUUCAUUUUUCUAACUUGUUUCUUUAAGUUUAAAUGUUUAACUCCUUUUUUUAGGUUAUGGACAUGCUAGGACCCAGCUUGUGGGAUGUAUGGAAUUCUUCAGGGCAGGCGUGAGUUUCUUGAGCUUGUAUAUCUGCUUUGUUUUACUUCUCAGUUCUCACAUGUUCUUGCAUCGUUUAAUGCUUUGUCAUUAUUUAUCUUUGAUACUGAAAGUAAAGUGGUGAAUUGGAUUAAUGCAAUUUCUGGCUCUAGGAAUGGGUUGGCUUUUCAUCUGGAAUCUUACGCUGGUCCAGGGAAUUUAUCAAAUUAGAACUUUAAUGAGAUUUGAUGAGAUCUUGAAACUUGAUUUAGUUGCAGGAUGCAUUUGUUAUUAUGCUUUAGAGAUAUUACUCAACCCAAUUCUUACUAAUUUGAUCUUAUUACUAAAUCCAUAUGAUUCAGUAUUGGUAUCUCUAAUCUUUUAGUCUGGAAGAAAAUAAUCAUGCGUUGGUUUAUGGAUUGUACCUUGUGGAAUAUGUAAUUUUGGACAUUUGUUUGCAUGUGUCUUAUUGUGGAUGGAUUAUGUCAGCAUGUCUGCAGAAAUGGUAUCUUGCAUUGCAGUGGAAUCAUUAUCAAUAUUGGAUAAGAUGCAUGCAAAAGGGUAUGUACUUGCGGAUUCUUUUCUUUAAAUGGUUUAUAAAUUAUGUAGUUCAAUCUUUUGAAUCUUAACCUUCUUCUUUUUGAAACAAUUAUAAAUAGUUAUGUGCAUGGAGAUGUAAAGCCAGAAAAUUUUUUACUCGGUCAACCUUCUACAGCACAAGAAAAAAAAUUGUUUCUUGUUGAUCUUGGUUUAGGUGAGCGAAGUUCUAUGGCCGAUAUAUGUAUUUUUUUGUGCUUAUUUAAAUGCAUCGUGCAAGUAAUACACCUAUCUUUUAAUACAUGGUAGAUAUGGCAUUUUGCUAUAUUUUGUAAAUAUUUUGAUUCACUUUACUUUAUUUGAAAAUGUUCCUAAAUUUUAAAAUUCGAAAUGAAAAGUCAUAUUAUAUAAUAAAAGAUAAAAUUCAUUAAGAAAUAGGGGAAUUGUCAAAAAUAGCAAAUUUGACAAAAUAUUUACAACAUAUAGCAAAGUUUCAGAUUAUUUCAAUAAUAAACAUUUAUAUACAUUGAUAAGCUUCUAUUAGUGACAUUGAUAGACUAUGAUAGAAGACUAUUAGUUUCUAUCAUUGAUAGAAUCCAAAUUUUUGUUAUAGGUUGUAAAUAUUUUAAUUUAUUUUGCUAUUUUUAAAAAUGCCCCUAAAAAAUACAAUAUUAAUGUUAUAAAUUUAUUUUUUUUGGUAGAAAAAGUAAUAUAAAACAAAAUAAUAUGACAUAAAACCAUGUAUUAUAAAUUAUAUAUAUAUAUAUUUUUGAAAGUAGAUGUAUUAUAAAUUAUAUAGUAUUACAAAAUAAUAAUUACCAAAAAAAGUUAACAUAAAACAUGUUCAUAAAUUAAUUCACAAUAAUUUAUAAUCAAUCUAAUAUUUAGUGACUAAUUUUAUGAUUUAUAAAUAUAGUGUUAAAAAAAUUUAAAAUAGUAGUUUAAAUUAGAAUUUAAUACGUGAAUGUCAUCAAACACAUAUUUAAAUACAUGCAAUAUAUGUUAUUACGUUAUGUUCUUCUAUCAAUGAUAUCUGCAAAUUUUUCUACAGCAACAAAAUGGAAGGACAGCUCUACCGGACAGCAUGUUGAAUAUGAUCAACGUCCUGAUAUGUUCAGGUGAGUGAUGUGUGCUUCAUCAACUACAUGUGCUAUUUAUUUAUAGAAUCCAUAAUAAUCCUUGUCAUGUGUUGUGUCCAUUUGAUAUUUUGAUUUGACACCAGCAGCGUUUUUCUCUCAUGUGGUAAUGGCUUAUUAUGUUGUUUUUGAUUCAAUGUUCUUGAUACCAUUUCUUUCCUGCAAUUCCAGAGGAACUGUCCGAUAUGCUAGUGUUCAUGCUCAUUUGGGCAGAACUGCUAGUCGAAGGGAUGAUCUGGAAUCUCUUGCAUACACUCUUAUAUUCCUCCAUCGAGGACGGCUACCAUGGCAAGGCUAUCAGGUAUGAGAAGUUUAAAGUAUACUUAACACUGUGUCGACACUUUUAGUUUCCGUGUCAAUAACCUCCUCCCCCUUUAUGCUAGGGUGACAACAAAUCCUUUUUGGUUUGCAAGAAAAAGAUGGCAACAUCUCCUGAAAUGUUGUGCUGCUUCUGCCCUCCACCUAUUAGAGAAUUUCUUGAAAUUGUGGUGAACAUGAAAUUUGACGAAGAACCCAAUUAUUCUAAGCUUAUUUCUUUAUUUGAGGGUUUUAUUGGACCAAAUCCAGCUGUUCGACCCAUUAAAACUGAUGGUGCACAGAAGGUAAUAAAAUUGCCCAAGGUUUUUGGAUGAGAUUUUUCGUCAAAUAUUUUAUUAAAUUUUCUCUUCAUUAUGAUUGCUAGAUUAUUAGUCAAGUUGGACAAAAGCGUGGCAGGCUGAACAUUGGAGAAGAUGACGAUGGGCAGCCAAGGAAGAAAGUUCGUUUAGGUGUUCCAGCUACACAGUGGAUUUCAGUUUACAAUGCUCGAUUGCCAAUGAAGCAAAGGUGAGGUUACAUGGUGCAGCUUUCACUGCCCUCCUCUCAUUUAAAUGCAACUAGAAGAAUUGCCUUUUGCAUCAAGUCUCAAAAUGAUAGAGAGACUGCGACAAUUUCGUCACAACCAAGAGCAUUUACCUGAUUUUAGAGGGCCAUAUUCUGUGAACUGUGAUGCAUCUUAUUACGUUUUUUUAGAGUCUAAUGAAUUAAGAACUGUAGAACUAUUCUUCCAAGUAUUUUGAAUGAUUGGUGGAAGGGCACGUUGAGCUGAGGUGUUCAUUCCAUGGAAAAUUUCUAAUGGCAUGUCCUCUACUAACUUGCUUUCUAUGGUGAUAGGUAUCAUUAUAACGUGGCUGAUGCCAGGUUGUCACAACAUGUAGAGAGAGGAAUUGCAGAUGGAUUGCUUAUUAGUUCUGUGGCAUCUUGCUCAAAUCUUUGGGCAUUAAUCAUGGAUGCUGGAACAGGUUUUACAAACCAAGUCUAUGAGCUCUCGCCGUAUUUCUUGCACAAGGUCAUUUUCAUUCUUUGAAGAAGUAAACUUUCAAUUACUGAAGUUUUUAAUCCUUGUAGUAUUCUCUGAAGUGUUUGUUAAAUUUGAUAUGAAAUAAGCAGGAAUGGAUAAUGGAACAGUGGGAAAAGAACUAUUACAUCAGUUCUAUUGCUGGUGCUAAUAACGGAAGCUCUCUUGUGGUGAUGUCAAAAGGUUUGUCUGCUUCAAUUUUGUAAAUAUGAGAUCGGUUGUUACUUUGGUGAUGGAUAAUUGCUCUUUCCUGUCUCCUGUACUUCGUACUGUGAUCAAUCAUAGAGACCUUGUUAUCUUGGUUUUCUUGCACAAUUAAGAAAUUGUUUUAUUCUUAUAUUUCCUGCCUCUAUGUCUAUUGGUCUCAACAAAACAAUAGGUAAAUGAGAUCAAGAGAAUAACCUAUAAGGCGUGGGCAUUUUAUUUUGUGCAAAAUCUCAAUGUACAUUUAAGUCUGUUGGAUUUGAUUUCAAGAUGCUAUCAUUCUGAUGUUUAUUCUGCAGGUUCUUGCUAUCCAUGUAUUUGUGCUUACUAUCAUUUUCACUUUCUGUUUAUCCUGCUUCCUCAGGGACACAAUAUACCCAACAAUCAUACAAAGUGAGUGAUUCUUUCCCCUUCAAGUGGAUAAACAAGAAAUGGAGAGAAGGGUUUCAUGUGACCUCAAUGGCAACUGCAGGAAGCCGAUGGGGUGUUGUCAUGUCACGCAAUGCUGGUUUUAGUGAUCAGGUUGAGUUUUGUUUAUGUUUUUAGCAUCUGCAGUCAAUUCAGUAUGUUAAUAUUAUAUUCUUGUGAAAUUUGUUUUUGGUUGCUAUUUAUACCUCCAGUCUUAUUCUCUAUUCCAACUUUGUAUUUGAUGUUUUUUUACAUCUCUGUUUGGGCUUGGACACCUAUUUUAGGGCUCUGAUUUCUCACUUCUGUAUUUUGUGGUCUUGGCAUUGGUAUAGUUCCCUUUGUGUUUAUGGUCUUAAAUCUUAAGAAGUUCAUUUGUUAUUUCUCAUGGCAUUUUUUGUCUUGUCAAAAAAAAUUUCUCAUGGUAUUUUGGGUUGAACGUCACUUGGCAUAGGGUAAGUCAAUUGUUUUAGAACCCUAGAAGAUAUCUCUUGUGCUUAAUUUGUGAUAUGGUGAUCUCGGGAUUGUGUUGCUGCUCUACUUCUGUUUAUUGUGAAACAUUAAAUUAAACUUGGUGUGGAAAGUAUGUUGAACCUCUUCAUUGUUAAUUUAUUUCAUUGCACAGGUUGUGGAGCUUGAUUUUCUCUAUCCAAGUGAAGGCAUCCACAGACGAUGGGAUAAUGGCUAUAGAAUAACAUCUACAGCUGCAACUUGGGAUCAAGCAGCUCUUAUCUUGAGUGUCCCUAGGCGCAAACCUGGGGACGAGACUCAAGAAACACUUCGUACAUCUCAGUUUCCAAGCACCCAUGUAAAGGUACAGCGAUUUUAACAUCCAAAUCAAACUGUGGGUGAACAACAAUGAGUGAUAUAUAUGCAAAUUUUCAGAGGGAAAAAAAAGAAAAGAAAAAAUGAUGUCACUAAGAUAUUGAAUGUUUUUGUUUGGAGCAGGAAAAAUGGGCGAAGAAUCUGUAUCUUGCUUGCCUGUGUUAUGGAAGAACUGUAGCUUAAAUCACAUAUUAUUAUUAUCCUCGACGAAUUCCGAGAGAGAGCAGCAGAUUUUGUUGUUUGGUGCCCCUCCAAGUCUCAUUACCUAAUAGAUAGUGUUGUUACAUUGCUGUAUUUUUAGUAAAUGGGAGAGUACAUGGCCCGCCCCCUGUUUGUAUAUUAAAUUGGUUCCAUCAUCAAAGCUGUAUAGAUGGAUUUUCUUCGUUUCAAAUAUUAAUGUAGUCUUAAAAUUAACAAAUUUCUCCCCCAGGCUUUUGAUAAUGUAUAAUGGGCAUCAACAUUCAUGCACUUUUCUUUUUUCUUUUUUUUUCUUAUUUGGGGUCUUACAUUCUUCAAUUAUUUGGUGAUACUGAUUGAAUUUCUGAAUUCCAUUCCAUGGUGCCGCUGAUUACAUGAAUUUCAGUUUUUUCUUUUAUCAUAACCCCUUGACUUUCUGCAUCCUAUUUUCAAAAAUCCAAUUAUUUGAAUUCGACCCUUCAAUCUUUUGGCACUCUCAAAUUGGAUCCUAACUAUGAAAUUUGAAUUCUUUUGGUUAUACCAUUGUUAUAAUUUCUACUGUUUAAGGGCUUUAUUUUAUUACCUGGAUAACUUGAAGGGUUCACUUUUUAUGCUCAAUUACAACUACCACUGUAUUUUAGUUAUGGACAUCAAAUGUAUUUCUUCUUUUCUAUAUUUUAGCGGCGAUAUUGAUAUACGAUGUGAUUAGUUUAUAAUUGGUAUUAUAAAUAUUAAUAUAAUAUGUCUAUUAUUUAUUAGUGUGCUUAGUGACUAUAGUUGAAACUCAUUAUCCUACAUUCAUGUCAUAUGUUAAACAAACAAGGUUUUCAUACACAUCAUAUUUGUAAAGUUGCCUAUUAACAGUACAUCAUAUUUGUAAAGUUGCCUAUUAACAGUACAUCAUAUUUGUCAAGUUGCCUAUUAAUAGUGCAUUUGAUGCAAUUGUUUUAGGAGUGAGCUUGGGUGGGUGAGAGAAAUUUAAAGAAUGUGAAUUUUUUUAAUAAUUUUAAGAUUUUCUUAAUUAAAUAAUUAAUUAUAUAUUCUCAAUUUUUACAACAAUUAGUAUAAUUUAAAAAUUAUUAUAUUUUAUAAAUAUUUUAAAAGACGAUUUUGUCAGUUGUAAUAAUAAGGAGUUUAUUUGCGUGGUAGUUAAUAGAAGGAGAACAUCCAAAAUUAAGUGUGAAGAUGGAUUUUGGUAUAUGGUGGAAAUUAAGGUGAACGAGUGGCGCAAACCACAGAGAAGAUCAUGGCUUCUUCUUCUCAUCUAUCCGCCAUUCCCCUCCGCCGUCCCUCUUCCUCCUCUCCACCUUCCUUAUCCCACUGUGAGCUCUCUCUCUCUCUCUCUGCAACUUUCUUGGAAUUUAUGCCCAAUUGUCGACUAUACUGUAUCCUUGCAUUGUUGCAUACUUCUAUCCCCCAUCUCCUCUGUUCAAUUUAUAUUUUUGUAUUUCUUUUCCGUUUUGCCCAUUCAGUUGUUUUGUUUCUUACUUAUCGGUGGAAGAAUGUGAUUUUUCUUUUUGGUUGAAAAGCUGAUUUUCCUUCGGUCAUUUCUUUUUUGUGGACUGCUUGUGUAAUCUUAUCCCUUUCUUCUCGAGUUUCGUUUUUGGUGUUUGUCAUCCUCAUCUCCUAUUGUUAUUUCGGGUUAUCUUAAUCUUGCUCUGUCACAUGUUUUGUGCUGCCUGAUUUGCUUAUAUUCAUUUUCCCUUUAUGCUCUGUGAUAAUACUAUCUUACUCAGCUGGUUAACAAGUGUUAGAAUUACAAAUUUACUACAAGUAAUCUUUUUUCUCAGUUCCAAAGGGGUAUUUUGUUUAAGUAGUUCAUCAGAUCUCCUUCCAAUAGUUAUGGAAGGUCAUUCUAAAUUGAAGUUGCCAACGCUUUCCUUUAAACAGAAUGGAACCCCAUCGUCAGGAGCUCAUCCCAUAAGUUCUAUUGCCUUAUAUGAGAUGCUGGACUUGUUAACGUUUUCAUGUGUAUGUCAAUCUAAUGCCUAGAUUGGUGCGAUUUUGCAGUAAAUUAGAAGGUUAAGUCAAGAUAGCAUUACAUGAUGAAAUGCUUUGGUAGUAGUGCAGAAUCAUAACGAUAUUUUCUGGUUCUUGUACUAAUCUGACAUUGAUUUGUAUUGGACUGUCUUAAAUAUAUCGAUCAUUCCAUGGAAAAGCUUUGACACUCAUUUUUCUGAAUUCAGCAGCUAACUUAAAGCCUGUUGUGCUUCAUGUGACAUCGAAUUCUGAUGAUGAAAGCUGCAGUACUGGGGAUUCAAAAACACCAUCAAAACCGCUGAAGGUAAGGAUCUAGGUUACUUUUUUGUCUUGUUAGCUUUAUUUCUUCGUAGUGACAGCUUAUUCAUGAUAUCAAUACACGCUUAAGUAAUUAACAAACACAGCGCUCCAAAUGGGGAAGCAACAUGUUGAGCUUAUAUAUGUGUAGUUCCUCACAUGAUGUGCGUCUUUUGACAUGGCUUGCGUAGCCUUCCAAAUUUUUAAAUGUGGGUGGUCGAAAAAUGUAAAAUUCCAUUGGAAUCUGACAAGGUUCUAAAGCCUUGUAGACUUUCUCAUUAGUUUUUCAAAGCAAUCAAUUAACCAUCUUUUAGACAGUGUUACCUUAAAUGCAUUUUCAAGUCUCUGUGAUUUGAUGUUUUAAGAAUAUAAAUCUGAUCAUCUCUCUGUGACAGCAUUGAGACGGGAACGUGUAGCUUUUUUAAUAUGUAAUCUUAAGUAGGUUACUGCACUUUUGUCGUCCAAUUAGUUAUAUAUAACAACCUUUGUGACCACAGGGAACUCAAAAGUUGAUUUCUCGUCGAUGGUGCCUCACAUGUUUAUGUUCAUCUGUGACGUUGAUGAAGAGUUAUGGAGGCACGGUGACUGAAGCUAUUGCAAAUACCAUGGAUGGAAAACCUGCGUGCCGAAAUUGUGGAGGAAGUGGUGCUGUACUUUGUAAGCAUGUCUUCUUCUUUUUUAUUAUUUGUUAGAAAUAACAGCUUUUGGUCGUUAGAUAUAAUUUUUAUUCUUCUUUCAUGAAAGGCCUGUGAUUUAAAAGUAAUGAGCUUCUCCAUGGACUUAUAAAAUUUAGAAGUCAAGGAAAUAAAGCAUAUAUACCGAACUUGAAAAGAAAUAUUUUGGUAAAGAUAAAGUUAUUUGUGUAUUCUUUUGUAAAAAAAGUUCUUCAAGUUCUCUUUCAAACACGUUGUAAAAAAAAACUUACAUCAUUUUGGCAUCCUUUUCAUUGUUCAUGUAUUCGGACAAAAAAAUCAUCAAAUACUUCCUCAUAUGAGCUUAUCUUUGGAGUUAAAAUACUUCUUUCCUUUUCUUUUCUUAUCUUCCUCGCUUUGAGUUUUUCCUCUCUAAAGAUGUAUAGAAGUUUGAUGAGACAUACAUUUUUUUUUAUCUAUCUAUGCUCCCUAUUUUCCAUGGGAUGCUUACUUUUCUUUGUUUUAGGUGACAUGUGCGGUGGUACAGGGAAAUGGAAAGCUCUAAAUAGAAAACGGGCUAAAGAUGUCUACGAGUUUACAGAAUGUCCAAAUUGUUAUGGUAACUAUUCAUCUUGCUUACAAAUUAUGGUGACCUCAUUAAUGAAUGUUUCAUAAAUCUGCAUGGUUUCAGUUUGAUACAACUUCACGUCUGUUUAAAAGCAUUGUCCUGUCCUCUUGUAAUGCUGUAGCCUUGAGACAUAGAAAAUCGAUUUCUCUCUCUCUCUCUCUCUCUUUAAUGUCCAGAAAUAUAGACCAUGGCGAAUGGUCAAUGUUUUGAUUCACCAUGUUCUCUCAUAUGAUCAAGUCGUGGUUAGAUAUUAAAACUAAAACAUUCCUUGGGUGUCAAUAUGCUGUUAAACCCACUGUGAAAUCUGAAGCAAGAAUCUUGGUUUCUUUGUUGCAUUCAUCACUUGUCUUUGUUACCGACCGACAAUUUCUGUAUUGACCAACUACAACUGGCAACUAGAGAAAAUUCUUGAUUCAUAUGGAUUUGAAAUGUAUCACAUUUAAACUUCCAAUAUCUGUGCUCAUCUCUUACCCUCUACUAACUUUCAAAAUUUAUUGUGACAGGUAGAGGAAAACUUGUAUGCCCUGUUUGUCUAGGGACUGGUUUACCAAACAACAAAGGUCUCCUAAGAAGGCCCGACGCACGACAAUUGCUUGAUAAGAUGUACAACGGUCGCUUAUUACCAAAUUCCUGAACUUCAUCUCUCCUUGCAAAAUUGGCUCCAUGCCCAUAGAUGGUAAUAGAUGUAUAACUUGUUUCUAGUUGGUAGAAGUUACCUAAUUGCGGCUUUUGUCAUGGUUGCUUCAUGACGGAGUUCAGUGAGUGGAAAAACAUAGCUAUGGAGUUAGACGGCAAUCUUGUUUACAGCCUCUAGUCGUCAAAUGCAUAUUGUUUAUACCAAAGAGAAAGCAUAAUCAGAUCAAUUUCAACCUAUAUUAUAAAUAUGAAAGUCUGGUUAUUGCAAAUGAAUAGAAAAAAUCGAAAGACUAAGAACUAAUCUUGAUGGAUGUUAAUCAGACAUGGGCAACCUGAUUACAAAAAAAAAAAAAAAAGAAAAAAAGAAAAAACCACAACUCUCGACAUUUUGGGGCUGCAAAGCCGUAGAGGAAACAAUCAAUUCCUCAAGUUUAUAAUUACUUCCAUUUUGCACUGCCUCCCGUAGUGAAUAUAGAAGCUAAAGCCUUCCUCGAAAAUGAAGCAGUAGAUUUAAGUAUACAACUCUCUGAUAUGAUGCCAACCUAGUUCGAGUUUCGAGCGUGAAUGUGGCUUCAUAUAUCACAAAUCCCGGACACUUAUCAUGGGCUGAAAGGCUUGAAGUUGCUUGCAUUGCUAUUCUCCAGCAUAAAUUCCGACAAACCCCAUUCUUGUACAUUGAUAUAGAUCACUUACUGUUCAAUGCUACAACAUUUAAGCAAAAUCAUAGUCGAAGUGAGCUCUCAAUGCUUACGUUUGAGCAAGCACAUGAACCUCGGGGUCACUCUUUUUCUUCUUUUCACUUUGACCAAGUGGUUUAUUGGAAGCCUGAUCAGCCUUGGAGACAAUUUUCGAGACUGUAAAUCCAGCAUCUUCAAAGAAGUUUGCUCGAUGAGGAAUGACAGAACUUCGUAAAACAAUAUCGACCCCCUCGUAAGUCCAUAUGCUUAAGACUACUUCGCCUUUUAGGCCAAUGGCGAACCAACCCAGGCCAGCAACAGCAGCAUCUACACAACUUGAAUCCCAACUAGUUCCACAAACACGAAACUCCCUUCUCACCCAUUUUCCAAGUUCUUCUACUCGAUCUUUGCCUAUUGGUGGCUGAAGCAAAGCAAGAAACAAUGAAUAUCCACAAAAUCACCAUCCUGUAUGUUCAUCAUCAAAUUAAUUAGUGCAAACAAUACCUGCAAUUGAAUACCAAAAUGGUCCUCUUGCAUUUUGGUUGCAUUUUCUGUUUUCCCCAUGUGUAAUGGAAGAUAAGGAGAUGCCCACACUGUAACAUAAAUUGUAUCCAAAUUUGUUUCUUCCACAUCUAGCCUCAUGAGACCAGCAACAUGAAUUGUAUGACCAACCUAUAAAAUGCAACACCAAAGUUAUGAAUUCCUAACCACAUUUCUUGCUGAAAAUAUUUGUCUAUAGAGGAUCAAAUUGGAAGUAGAAGCUUAACGCUCACAAUUUCAAAAUCAUUAUAUAGUAUUAUACCAAUUUCAAAAUCAUUAUAUAGUAUUAUACCAUUUUGCUAUUUAGCCAAUCGCAAUUUCACAACAUAACAAAACUUGAUAUUCACUUAGAUUUUCGAUAUGGACAAAACUUGAUAUUCACUUAGAUUUUCGAUAUGGUUCCUAAACCAUAUUUUUUUAAUUUAGUCAAUAGGAGCACAUGACCUUGAAAAAGAGCUAAGAGGUCACAAACUCGAUCCAUUUGAUACCCUAGAAAUUUCUUGAACUUUCUUGGUAGGAUUAGGCAGGUUAUCUAGUGAGAUUAGUAGAUUAGUGGGAUGGACAUAACCUGACUGAAAAUUAUAGCCUACUGCCUAUCCAUCCCAAGACCCAACCUUCUCUGAAACUAAAACUUAAAGAACGAGGGUUCAAUGGUAAUGAAGCAGAAUCAAGUUUCAGGCAUGAGAAAGGAUCAUAAAAAAGAUCAACUUCAUUACCUUAAUCCUGUAAGUCCUGGGUUUCAAUUCCUUGCUGAUGUGAACAAGUUUCUGCUCUUCCCUUGUCAAUCUUGUAGUAAUCUGAUGAGGAUUCAGAAGGCCAGGAGUAUCAAACAAUUUGGCUUGAGCAGGAAAAAUUCCCUCUACUCUGAUUAUCCCCAACGUUGUCCCAGGAACUGGUGCUUCAGUCAACUGCGUGAUCUUCCCACCAACAUGCUUUCCUAUUGAAUUAAUCAACGUGCUUUUCCCAGCAUUUUGUGCUCCAAUUGCCCACACAUUUCCUCUUGCCCCAGCCAACUCAAUUACAUCCUCCACCAAAUUUUUUAUCCCCCAAUCUCUAAUUGAACUCACCAUAUGCAAACUCGUUAUCUUGUUGAUUCCUCCCUCUCUCGCUCUCUGCCUCACCCAGUGCUCGAAUUUUUCUGGUGAUAAAGAACUAGGCAGCAAAUCUGUUUUCGUCACCACAAGCACCACUCUUGGCACAUUCCCUGAUUUCCCCUGUUUCCAGGCGGCUGAAUUAUUCUCAAUACUCGCCGAUACCAAGUUCGCUACCUUUUUUGGGAAUGACCCAUCAAAAUCUGCAGCAUCAACGACGAUUAGAACAACAGAUCGGGUUCCCGUAGUAGACACCAAUCUCCCACCGAGAGUAUGAUUGAAAUCAAAAUCAGGCAGUAAAUUCUCCACUGAAGGAUCCUUUACCUUCCCAUAGUGCCUCAACGAGUGGCAUCGCGAACACACGGUCGGCUUCUGGGGUUUCUCGUUCACAUCCUCUUCAGUCUUCUCCUUUUCAGGCUCGAUUACGAGGCCUCUCUUGAGAAAUUCAGAGCAUUCGGAUUCAUCAUCGACGGGAACGAGAUGGGUAAGGAGACGAUAAUUGGAAUCUUUCUUAGAGGGUUUGAUGAAGAAGCCAGGAUGCUUGGGAUUGGAGUCUUGCAUAUGAACUCCACAACCAGGGCAGACGAGGGAGAAUCGGGAAGUGGUUUCGUCAAAGUUGCCAUCACGGGAGAGACUAAAAGCUUGUGGAGAAGUGGGUUUGGAAGAGAAAGAACGGGAAAGAGUGGAAGGAAGUGGGAAAAGGAUUGAUGGGUUUGAGCAGAUAGGUGAAGAAGACAAGUGUGAAAUGAAACGCAAAAAAAGAAAGGAUUUGAGGUUUGAAGCAGAAAGCUUUCGAGCAAUCAACAUUUUUCCUCUCUUCUUCACUUCACAGGGUUUAGGGUUUAUGCUGAUGAGAAGCUAUUAGAUACUGUUGAAACGACGCCGUAACUUCUCCAAGUACCAUAUAUUUAAACCCUUACCUACUUUAAAAGCUAUUUUGAAAAUGGGUUAUUUUUCAAAUUUAACGCAACCACGAUAAUCCAUUUCAAAGUGUUCAUAGUCGUGAUAGACCAUAUUGCUAAGGUGUGUUAAAAUAAGAUUCAUCAUAUUUACAAUUCUUUGAAAACGUUGCUUACAUUUAAUUAUUAUUACUAAAAGUGUUACUUAACCUAAUAACCCUAAAUUUAACUAAAAUUUAUCACAAUUUAAUUUAAGAUUAUUUACAAAGUUUAAUCAACUUUCAAAAUUUAUGAUACAUAAAUUGUUAAGACUAUCUAACAAAUGUUAUCUUUCAACAACAUAAAAGGAAGAGAAGGUGAAGAACCAAAAAGGUAAAAACUUCAAUAGCCUUAACUGUUAAAGUUGUCCAACACCUUUUUGUAUUCUUCUAAGUUCUAUGCAUAAUAUGCUGAGUUGUUUUACAUUUAGCAUUGCAUUACUAUGAAAAUGGGUUGGCAUUCUUGUUAGUUUUAUUUCUAUCAUUCUAUUUUAAUAAUUAGAUAAAAAUAAAUAAACUAUAGAGAAAAGAAAAUGAAGCAGAAAAUGUAGAGGUGAUGAAGAAAUAAGAGGUUCUAAAAAAAGGCUGAAUUGUAGGAGGGCCGAGGCAUGUACAAAGGUCACAAUGUCACAACAUAUUGUACAAGUUUUGAGUUUGAUAGAUGAAUAUUCAUUUGUUGUUGUCACCUCACUCUCCAUAUUCGUCCUGUAACCUUUAACUUCAGUUCCAUCCCCUCGUUUCCAGAGCAAAAUAAUGCCAAUUUCCUCUGAAUAAUUAGUCCAUCAUGACUGUCUCGAACCUUCCGAUGGCUGUCGCGAAUACUUCUUGGAAUACCUUGCCAGAUGAGUUUUCUUCCAUUUCCACCAACUUCAAGACUGUAUGAGAACUGUUUUGCCUCGCUGUCGUCACCCAUGAACCGGAGGAAUGCCAUGUAAACAGGUGCUGUUCCUAGGCGAAAUGCUUCAAAGUGCAAACAGAAUUGUCGUCCAAAGCAGUUGAAAACCUGAAUUGGAUCAAUUGAGAAAUCAGGAGGAUGUUCAUUACAUGGAAUUGCUUCUUCUUUGCUUUCAUUAUUCCUAAGAAUCUGAAAUAAAGAGAGACAUCUUACAGUUAGCAUCCAUGUGGCAUUUUCAACUUCUUGGGGAUUGGAUUUGACAUAUCUAUGACUGAAGGAACAUCCAUCAUGCAUAUCCACCUCGUGAUCAUCCUUGAGAUGCAUGACAAGGGAUGGAAUGUCACCAGUUACAUGACAUUCACCUCCAGCGUAAGGGCAGUUGUACGGCCGGUAUUUACAAUUCUUCUCGUGUUUAAGCUUGCUGUAGUAUGGGAACAUGUCAAUGCAACCUAGGUUUUGGUACACACAAGGGAGCUCAAGGGACUCGGCCACCUUUUCCAGUGCUAGGCACCUUAUGUUCCCAAGCUCAUGCCGACAGGUAGGGCAGCAAUUCUGAACCCUUGCCUUGCAGCUUGAACAAAGAGUGUGGCCAUUUGCACACUGAACCGUAAAAUUACGUUAGCUGUUAUGCAUUGGAGUUACCUCAAAUGUAAUAACUCAAUCAUAAUGCAAAUCAACGCUUAAACAAAAUUCCUAGCCUUCCAUUUGAACAGAAAGUGAAGUUAUAUAGAGUCCUUUUGAUACUUGGUCCGAAAGCUAUUUCCGGGGACAAAAGAGUGACUCAAUAAUCCAUUAGGGUUCUAGGCCUUCAACCAAAUUAAAUGCGUCAGUGUUCUAUUUAUUGGAUGAAUUUAUUUAUCUAUGAAACGUUUUUUUUUUCAGAAUAAUCAAUGAGCAAAGCGUUAUAUGUUUUGAAAGUCAUCACAAUAAGAAUACGAUACCUGGUAAAUUGGAGGAUGCAUUAAAUUCAUGCAAACAGUACAAUCAAGUAGCUCGUGUACAUCAUUACGACUCCUAGCAAAGCCACCAGUUGAAGCUUUCCUGAAAGUGACACCUUUGAACUCAGGACGAGAAGUUGCUGGUUGAGAAUCUAUCGAUGUAAGGCGCAACUCGGUCACUUCUUUGCAGAAGCUGGCUGCAGAAGAAGCAUGUUCUUCCCUUGACUUGGGUUGCUGAUACAUCCCCUUCUCUCUGAAUUCUAUUAUGGUACUCAUACAAUCAUCUCUGAGAUUUAAUUAAAAAAGAAGAAGUGUCAUUGCUAGAGGGACUUGUUUGAAGAACUCAUAAUUGGUUCCGUAGAAACUUAUGAUAAGCAAGCAUCUCAAAACUUGUUCCCUGGACCAAUCAAUUUAGUAGGAUGAUCAUUUCAGCUAUGUGGAUUCCAUUUAAACUUCACACUCAAUGAUAUUUAUUUUCAAAUGUGCAAUGCAAAUAGGAUAAUAAUAGAAAAAACAUUCAAAACAUGGAUCUCCUAAAUCACAAAUCAAGGACAAUAACUGUGUGCAUUUAUUACAUACCAAAAUGAAUUUCACAUCCAGUAAUCAAGAGCAAUGAGAAGCAAGAUGCAAUUUGAAAGCAUUGCAUGCGCAAGAAGUAAAAUCAAUUAAGUUUUGGAUCAUUAAAUCCUUCUUUUAUAAUAACAUACCAUAGACAGAACAGAACCUGUUGGAAACGGAAGCUACGAGGAAGAAUCUUCAACGUUCUUUAAAUUGAAAACUCAUGUAUGCAUUAAAAUUUACAACAACACAUGACAGUUACAAUCGGAUGGAAUCAUUGUUUGCUUGCACAACAGAAAAAGUGCGUUUAAGAGUGAGAAAAUAAAAGCUAUAUCAUUAAUUGGCACAAGUACAAGCAGCAAGAAAACAAAACCCAACAGAAGCACCAAUUUUUUUUCCUUUCUCUUUUCCUCUUUACUGAGUUUGGCAUCUGUGCUGCGAUAAGAAUCUAUAAACAGAAAAGUAAAAUACAAGAAAACCAAAAGAAAACAACCUAUAAUCUAUUAAUAGAACGAGUAUUAAAUCAUCUCUGUUUAAAACUAGAAGCCAGCAUUUUUCUCAUCCAAACCACUUCAGUUAAGAAUCAAAAAGAAAAACAACAGACAAAUUCACCAUCGUUUCAAAAUCAUCGAACAGGCAUAAACAUAACCAGAAUGCAGCACAGUGAUAAACAAUGUAUAGAAAGAAAAUAUACAAGAACUACGAAAUCAAACAAAAGCCAAGAGAAAAUUUGAACACCCAAUUGAAUAAUCAACAGUAGAGUAACAUAAAGCAUCAGUAAGCAAAGAAAUCAACAUACCCAGAUGGAAAAAAUUGAAGGGUACGAGAGUGAUCGACCAGAAAACAGCAGGGGAAGGUGGAGAUGGCGAAAAAAUGAGGUUAACGCCGCUGAACAACCCAAUAAUUGCAGAAAUGGUUGGCCCCAAAAGGAAAUGGAAAGAGAAAGAAGAAGGAAUGGGCGUGUGUCGGGUUUAGAUUGGAACAACAAAAGGGUUAAGAGUCAAAGAAAUGGUAGAGCUUAGCUUGGCAGCCCAUUCAAAAUGGAUCGACCGGUGAGUGUGAUUGUUGUUGGUUGAGCUGAAUUAAAGAAAUGGGUUAAAGCAUUUUGAAAUGGAAAAUGAAAAAUCCAUUUCAAAAUGAGGGAAUGCUGCGCUGCACCUCGUCGUUAUUAGGAAAAGGGAACAGAACACAGUAUUGGGUUUUGCAAAGGCCGAGGCUAAGAAGCUGACAUUGCCCGCACGCAACGUCUCCAAAAUUUCAUAGCAUUAACUCUCUCUCUCUCUCUACUUUAUCUCUCUUUUUCAAAUUUAACUUUCACUGUUCAAAAACUUGUUGUCUUUUUUCUUCUUCAUACUUCAUCAAUCUAUCUGUAAAUCCAUUAAAAGGCUACAUCUAUAAGUCUCUUAUAGAACAUUUUACCAAAAUGAAAACGUUCUUAGUUGAUGUUAUUAUUGGAGCUGACCAUUUUAAGAGACAUAACUCAUCAAAACUUUGGCUAUGAAAAAGGACCACACCCCCAUGUUCUUAGGUUCACCAAUUCAUCACCACAAUAUGCCUUUCCUUUAUUUGUUUAUUUAUUCAUUUCUACUUUUACACUUUUAGUUUUGUUCUCUCUUUUUGUUGCUACUUUCAAAAUAAAUUAAGUAUAUAUAAACACAUGCAUCCAACAUAAACCUUCCUUUUAAAAGUCUAAAAUAAUAGCAUAAAUAGUAUAACCAUCAAAUAAUUACAUCUCUUAACACAAAAAUUGAUAAAAUAUUAGUCCACUAUUUCACGCACUUCUUUCGAUUUUCUCAAAUUAAAAGCUAUCAAUGAUAGUUGCUAUCAGCGAAGGUUCUUUUCUACUAACUGUUAUCGAUAAACAUCAGUGGUAUCUGCAAUCAAUAAAUAUCAAUAGUAACUACUAUAACCGAUACCUUUCAAUUUAAAAAGUGUAUUAAUAAUUAUUAUCGUUAAUAACGUCUAUCAAUGAUGGAAAUUAAACGAAUGUAUUGAAAAACAAACUUGAAAUUAUAUAUAUAGAAAAACUAUAAGUUAGAUCGGUCAAUAUUUACUAUAUUUAUAGAGAUUUUUGAAGUUGUGUUAUAUUUUAAAGAAUUUCUUUUCCAAAUUAUACUAUUUAUUAUAAUUUGUACUAAUUAUGUUUCAUUCUCUCUAUCACUUAUAUUAAAAAGAAAAGAAUAAAUUAAAAAAGAAGGAUUAUUUUUAAAAAUAACAAAAUAAAUUAAAAUAUUUAUAUGCUAUAGUAAAAUUUUAAUAGAACAUACUAAUGAGUAUCAACGAUAGAAUUUGCUAUACGUAUAUUUGUCAAAUUUUUUAUUUUUAAAAAUUCUCUAAUAAAAACUUUACAUUAGAUAAUUUAGUGAAAUAAAUUAAAAAUCGAUGCCUAAACCACCCUAUCGUUUUUACUUUAAUUUUGAUGCCAUAAAAAAGUAUUUUAUUCUCUAUGAAAUGAAAAAGAAACAAAAACUUUUUCUUGGCAUUUAAAAGAAAGUUAAGAAUCUUAUUCUUUGAAGUGUGUGAAGAUCAUCAUCCAUUUAUCUAUCACAUAUCAUUAUUCUUAAUUUGAAGUAAAACUUACGGUUUACGAUAUUAUAUUUAUCGCAACAUACAAAUAUAUAAUAAAUUUUUUCGAUGUAAUUAUUAAUUUUUAUAUAACUUAAUUUAGGAUAUUUAUAUUUUAAUGAUCGUUGAUGAUUCGAAAGAUAUCAUAUGGUUUAUGUCAUGUGGCGAAGAUGAGAAAGAUCGUAUAGUCAUUUCCAACUUUGUUUAUACCUUCGUAUUAUAUUCCUCUAUCAUAUUUUGGUUAAUUAGAGGCAUGGGUAGUUUAUGUAAUUAAAAUUUCAACUUAUUCAUCAAUAUUUAUUUGAGAUUAUGACUCUUCAUCACCAUUUUGACUCUAAUUAAUUAAGUGUACCACAUUAAUUAAUUAUGUGGGAAUGCUACUUAGUUUUCAAAUUAUCCUAUUUACAUAUAUAUAACAUAUAAUAUAUGGUCAAUUCUUUGUUAUGAUUUCUUCGUGUUUACAUAAAUUAAGAUCAUUUUAUCAUUUUAUUAAUUUCUUCUGCUUUCACAUAACAUGACUUUAUAUAUAUAUAUAUAUUCUUCGUAUGGUUAAGAUUCAUUAAUUCUAUUUUUGUUUUUCUCAUUCAACGUUUAUGUAUUUCUGUUUAAAGAAGCCAAAAUUUUAAAUAUUAUUGUAUGUAUGGUGACUAAGUCACACAAUGAUUACAACGAAGAAAAAAUGAAGAGAGUUGAUGAGUUUUUAUAAUUAAUUAUGUGAAUACGAAAAAUUCCAUGGGGUUUUAAUUAAUUUGGUUUAGUCUUUUAUGCAUUAAUAAUUUCUUCAAUCGGAAUUAACUACACGAUGUGUAUUUAAUAAUUAGUAUACAAAACUUUUAGUCUUUUUUUAAAUAAUAUAAUAAAAUGGCUAAGCUAAUAGAAUUGAUUAAUUAGUAACUUAAUUAAAUAUCCACACAUUUUAAUGUUUAACUUUGUAUAUUUAAUUUAUUUAUAACCAGUGUUUGAAUUCCCAUUUUAAGUUCUAUUAUUCCAUCAACUUUUAUCAUAUGCUUUUGUUAAAUUGAUUGUCUAUGAACUUUCUAUUUUUUAAAGUAAUAUUUUUAGUUAUAAGGAUAAAUGUAUGAACCAAAUAUAAUUGAUUAAGAUAGGAUUAUUUAAACUCGAAAUUUUUCUAAGGUGCUAGAAGUUAUGUGUUUUAGUUGUUAAAGAUAGAAGUUGUGGUUUUGGAUGAAGUAAAGAGAAAAGAAAAGUAAUUAUUUGAUGUGAGAUAUUGAGAUAUAUAGUUUGAUGUGAUAAUAAUUAGACGUUAUAACAAACACAAAAAGAAAAUCACAUUUGUAUUCUUUUCUCCAAAAACUAAAUGAGAUAUGGACUCUCUCCCAAUUAUUCAACUCUCUAUUCUUACUUUGAGUUUGACCAUAUAAUAUAUGAUAAUAUGACGUGGCCAACUCAUACACACACACACAUAUAACAACAAUACACUUUCAUUUGGUGUAUAUAUGGAAUCAUUAAUUAAGUAUAUAUGAUGAGACGUGGUCGGUUUGAUUAUUAUCUUAAUUGAGUCUUCUACAAUUGGUUCUGAUUUCUCCGGUGGUUCCAGUCUUAGGGUCGAGAUUUCCCAUCCUGAUCAUUGAUUGAGCGAAGGCGUCAGCAAAUGCGCUCUCGCUGCUGGCUAAGCUGUUGACAGUAGCGAUAGUUGAAGCUCCUGGAGUGGAGAACAGAACUUGGUCACUUCUCAAAAGCCCUUGGUUGUUCUGAAGGUUUGUGUAGUAGUUUCUAUCGAAUGUGUUUGGCGUCGUCGGGUCCAAAUCCACGAAUGUGCCUGACCCUGAUUGACAAGUUUGGUUCAACUGACUCGCGUAUGUCGAGUCUAUGGGUGAGUCAUCUGCGUUUGGAUUAUUGUUUAGGCGUCCGCUGAAAAACAUGCAUCUUGAACGCCCGAAUGUGUGUGCACCUGCAAAGUGUAUACCAUAAAAAUAUUUAAUCAUUUGUACGUAAAACUAAUUUUGUAUAUGUAUCUUACUAGAUUAUUUAUUCAUAAUUUGACAUAUGACAAACUCAAAUACGUGUACUGCAUGUUAAAAGAUGCAUGAAACACGUCCUUUUUAAUUAAAUAAACUCAAAGAGAGGGUUUAACAAUUGAGAUAAAAAGGUGAUAUAUAUGCAUGUGUGAAAAAUAUUUAACGUUAUAUCUUGGUUGUCGUUCAAUUCAUAUUUAAUUACCACAUGACAAAUAAUAUAUUUUUAUACCAUACGAGCUAUCAAUAUUGAUUACCUGAUAGAGCAACGAGAUCGGUAUUAUCGUUAAGACCAACAUCUCUGAAUAUACCUUGGAUGUUGGAGAGACUCUCAAAAGGACUUGGGAGCCUAUCCCUGGCUCCUUGCAAAUUUGCUGUUCUACUGUCUCUUCUUCCCAAUUGAACCGUCCAACCCUGUCCUGAUGCCUACAAAAUUAUUCAACACAUAUAUAUGUGCUUAAUUAGCUUGUGUUAUUAAAUGAAUUAAUUAACCUAAAAUGGUAAUUAGGUUGGAAUAGUUAGGUACCAAGGUGACUGCGUCUCUAGAACCAAGGGCUAGAAUGUCAGCACAUGAAACGACUCCUGGACAAACAUUCUCAACUGCGGUUUUGAUGUCAUUAACAAUAUUGAAACCCGUGAUGCCUCCGUUUCCAGGUGCACCCAACUCACUCGUUAUACCAUCUUGGUCCUCGAGUAGCACCGACCCAUCACAACCCUGCAAAUAUACAACAAUAAUUAUUUGAUUACAUCAUAAUCCUUUCAACUUACAAACUCUUUUAAUUAAAAUGUCAGCAAAGAGAGUAAGACAGCAACUUACGUCGACGAAACAAUCGUGAAAAUGGAGACGGAUGAUUUUGGCACCGGCUCUAUCGUCACUUUGAAGAGCUUGCUGCAUAACACCAUGCACAAUGCUUGAUACGUUAGGACAUGUAGUGUCAUAGAAGGUGGAGCUAAGCUGAGAUCUCACAGACACAGCCAUCAUCAAACACAGUACCAAAGAAACAAUAACUUUAGAAGAAGCCGCCAUUAUUACAAACUUAUGUGUUAUAAUAAUUAAGCUUUAAUUAAUACUUUAAGUUGUGAGGGAAAGUAUAAACAGAGGCAUGUCCUUUUAUAGAGAUGAAGAAGGUGGUGAGGCUGAGCUCUGCUACGUACCACAAGACAAAUCCAAACGUUGAAAAUAAGCCAACCCUUUUACUUUUCAAAACACAACUCAAUAGAAAAUUUCAGAUUUGCAUGGAUUUUCCCCACUUUGAAUUUUCUUCCCUCCUUUUCUUAAUCUAAUUAUUAUUGGGAAUAUAUAUAAAAACAAACACUGCACAUAACAUGGGGAGGAAUUAUUCAAUUUUGGAGAAUCAAAGUUUAUCAUUUCUUCCUCAUUUCUCCUAUUAUUAAACAUACUUUGGGUUUGUUGAAUUGACUUCUUUAGAAUCAAAAGCUAAUUAGCGACUAAAUCUUUGAUUAAUUAUUAGCGAAGUUAACUAAAAAAAAAAUGCUAUCUCUAUCAAAAGUUGAAUUAUGUAUAUUGUAAACAUUAUUAUGGUAAUUCAAAUGAUUUACGCCAUGGAAUUCCAAGCAGAAGACACCAAAUUAAAUGAAUUUCAUUACUUUUCAACAUGUUUUAAUUAGCUAAUUAUAAUUAAAGGGCAAUUUGCUUGGUGUUUCUUUUUUCUUUUCUUAAAAUAAUCUAUUAAAAGAAAAGGUAAUUAGUUCUUACAUGGCUGCUAGUUAUAUAUCCAACAUGACCUUAAUUAUAAUUUGAUUCCUUUUCAUUGAUGGGUUGAAAUUUAGAAAACUUGUUCAUCAGAAUUAUCGGAUUUUUAGGAGAUUUUUCGGUUAUAUAAAUUAUAAAUGGUUUAAUUAAUUAAUAUAUAAUUGGGUUUGAAGGAAGGCAUCAUAAAAAUUAAAAAGUCAAAAAUUAAUGAUUGAUUAAUUAAGAUGGAGAAUUAUAUAAAGAACCCAAUGGUUAGUAAAGAGAAUAAUUGGGGGUGUGGUAAUGUAUUCCACUCUAAUUUUACUAAGUUUGGUUAAUUAAACAUAUUUAAAAUAAAUAAAUGUAAAAGUCUAUGAGGCUGCAUUUCACGUCAAAUCUUCAAGAUGACAGCUCAAACUAAUUUGGAAUUUUGUUGAAAGAAAAUAAAAUAAUCAAUAUAUAUAUAUAUUAGAUAAUAUGUUAUUCGUGUCCGUUUUGAUAAGUGAGAGACAGUACUCUUAGCCACGCUCUCACCAAUACUUAAUCUCGUAUUUCUCCCAAAAGUAUAGAAUUGCAAAAAUAGUAAAAUUUAUUGACGAUAGACGUUGUCACUUAUUAUAAGUUAUUGGUAUGUUAGUAAUAAACUUCAAGAACCAAAUCUAAACUUUGUCAUAUCUACGCAUUCUUUUGAUAAAAGAAAUACAACAAGACAUUUUUUUAAUCAAACAAUUAACUGUUUGUGACGUUCAAACUAAAAAACUUCUAUUUCUUUUUCUUUUAGAACAACGCUUAGUUGUGGUUGAGCUCAUGCAUCCCUUCAAUUGUGAUUGAAGAAAAAACAUAUAACUCACAAAAGAAAAGUUCAUUAGGAUUAAACAAUCAAUGUAAUUGUAAACUGCAUAAAAAUUGAUUCAACGAAUAAGCUGUUGCAAUUAGUCAGAGGAGAUGGCUAUAAAGUGACAUAUUCAUGUUCUUGUAUGGCUCUAAGAUAUAAACCAAAGAGUCACCUAAGAGUUAUAAACCCUACCAUUCUUGGUUUGAGGGAAAUAGACAUUUGAUUUUUCUUUACAACAGUGAUUGACACAAACACUUCAAACAAUAGUGAUUGAUAUAUAUAUAUAUAUUAUAUAUAUAUAUAUAAUUUAAAAAUAAAAUUCUCCAAACCGCUAAUUUGGACUAAGAAAUUGAAGUAUCUUUUGAGUUUACAUCAAAAAGGCUUUUCUAGAAUUGUAAUCCACGUGAUUGGUGGGCUAAAUGGAUAGAUAUAUGGGACCCUUUUUCUCUCUAUUAUUGCUUUCUCCCUUCUCCAUUACAUACUUAACCCAAUAUCCUAAAUUUGUACAUAAAUUAACUCCUUCCAUCCGAUUUAAUUUGAUACCAGUUUUGAAAUUUGUGAUUGUGAAUUCUAAUUGCAUUUAAUAUUCUUUCUUAAAAUCAAUUACAAUAUCCACAACAAAUAUUUAUAAUUAUAAUUUUAAAUAUAACGUACUUGUAAGAAUUUUAGCUACAUGCAUGUAGAUAAAAAUUUAUUAGUUAAAUGUCAAUUAAUGUCUAGGUUGAUAUAAGAAUGUUUACGUUUUAUUUUUUAGGUUUGAUAUUGAAUCAAGUACGGAUGAUAUAAUAAUGUUUUGUUUAGCUUCUCAUGUAGGUAAAUUUACGAGUAAUUGGAUAAGUUUUUUCUCUAAAAAGUAAUAAUUAAUAUUGCUAGUGACCAUUAUUUUAUAUAUGGGUAUAGUGCCCUUAGCCUAAUGAUUUUUGGAGAAUUAUUUGAGGUUAGGGUAUAAUAUAAGUUAUUGGUGUGGUGGUGGUAUAGUUGGUGUAAUUUUAUUUACCUAUAAAUAUUUGUAAUGUUUUCACUUAAAUGUGAAACAUUUAGUUUUUCUCAUUUUUUUGUUAUCAUUUCAAUUUCAAUUUAUUGUUUUUGUUUUUUUGUUUUUAAAAUUUUAUUCAUUAAAAUAAAAAACUAACUUGAUUUUCUUUUUGUUUUUAAAAAAUAAAUUUUAUUUUUUUGAAAGUCUUUCUUUUUCAUUUUCAAUUUUCUUUCUUAAUUUUAAAGUUUGAAAAAGGAAAAAAGUGAAUCUUUCUUUUUAAGAAUUAAUUUUAAAAAAGAGAAAACGAAAAUCAAAUAGAUUAUAUUAAACGAAAUCUUAAUUUUUGAUUAAAGCACCAAAUCAAAAUGAAACCUUAUGUUAAAAUGAACUUACACGUUCGAAUAAUUUAAAAUGACCAAAAUAAGAAAGAGAAAAAAACAUAUAAUUUAAUUAGUUGUACACGUUCUACUAGCAACCUUGAAAUUAAAAGUUCGAUUCUACCAUAGUCAUAUCUUGUAUGGUAAAAUAGUUGAUCAAUCAUGAAAAAGUUUCUUUUAUAUAGUUGUUGAUUUCAUUAUCAUUUAUAAUUGAAAGGAAGACUUGACUUGUAAAACAAGAAAAAUUUGAACAUCGGUAUGGUACUCCACAAUGCCUAUGGACUACAAUGCAUAAGUACAGUAAUAUGUCUCAUUCAUCAAAUGAGGAGAGUGAGUUUCGACCUCAUCCUUGGAAUAGAGGUUUGGGGAUCGGGCAUGGCAGUUUAGGCCUAGGUCAACACAUAUAUCUCCAUGUUGCAUAAAGAGAACAAACACAUUUUUUCUUCUAAUGCACAUUCAUCUGUCUUUUUGUUUUCUCUGUGUUCAUCGUUUUCAUACUUGAAAGAAAAUUUGAGGUGUUUUAUUACUUUUUGGUAUAUCCGAAAUAAAAUUAACCCAAUCAUUAAAAUCUACCCUUAUGCAUCAAAUUACAAAAUGAUUAAUAAUUAGUAACAAAUAUUCUUUUCAUGUACUGCAAAGAUGGGAAUUAAUAAGACUGGAAGCGGUUGUGUGAAAAGCAGUACUGGAGAGAGAACAAAAUAACCAAAAGCCAUACAACCUUCAGUCCUCAUCCAUAAGAAAAAGAGUCAAGUAUUUAUGUAAAUAAUAUCAAAUGAUCAAAGGUGUAUUUUCAACUAGACUGGGUAUGUUGAGUGUAUAUAUGUAUACACACUCAACAAUUAUCCAUAUCAACCUUCAACUAGACAACUAAACAGUGAGAUAUGAGACUCAUUUGUUGUCUACUUAGUCAACCCUAUCCACCUACCAUGUUUUCAGAAUGUUGUAGCAAACUGAACGGAUAAUUUCGUAUUGUUCUCCUGUGCACAUAAAAUAUCUUCUAGCUCUGAUAGAAGUGGAGUUAAUAAUUAGCACUUCAUUUGUUUCUUAAUUGUAGUUGUAUAAGUAUGACAGAAUUCCACCACCGAAGGCAACUGCACCGUUUAAGAGAUCACAUUCGAAGUCCUUUCUGCAUAAAUAUCACACAAACUUAUAUUGAAAAACUCGAUCCCGAUCGAAGCACCCAAAGCAAACGAACAAGAUAUAAAGGUGAAUAAGAAAUGGGUAAAGAUCAAGCAGGUGUGUGGGUCCAAUAAAUGGGGGGAUUCGUCAAACAAAUUAAUUUAUGCAUGGGAUUUGACAUUUUAACUAAUGACUCUAACACUCUACCAUUCCCUCUUUUCUUUGGGAAUCUUCAUCAUCAUUAAAUUUUAUUUUAUCCAUAAACCAAACAAAUUAACAUGAUUGACCAGAGACGCAGUCAAGAGAACGGUUAGCAGAUUUGUGUAAUUACUCCUGCAUUAAAUUUUCUACACCAACAUUAUUAUUAUUAUUAUUUUCUAAGUUCAUCAUUAAUCAAUGUUCAUUCACAACACUAUCCAAUAAGACUUGUGACAGUGAGAUAUUGCUAUUUUUCUUUUAUUUUCUACAUUAAAAAUUGGACUCUUUCUAUUUAUUUUAGUUCAACCGUUAUGAAUUAUGAGUUACGAAUAUCUAACUAUAGACGAUACUUUAAAUUGAUUAGCUUAUUACACGUGUGAUACAUGUAAGUUUCAUAAUUUUAUUUCAAUAUAUACAUUGGUUUUCUUCAAAAAAAAAAUUUAUUUACAUAUAAUGUUCACUUGAUAUUAUAUCAUCAAACCUACAAAUGAAAAAAUACAUCACUAAUAACAAUUACUUUUAUCACAAUCCGAUUUAGAGGGACUCAUUAAUGAGUAUGUAGAUUUAUCUCUUAAACAACCAACGAUCUUAUUAUAUCAUUUAUCUUUAUAAUUAAGAUUUUGAGGUUUCGUUAUGUUUUUAGAUGUGAUAUUCUCAUAUAUAUAUGCCCUUAAGAUAUAGUACUUUUGUAGGUUCAACAAUUUAGAUAUUUGUUUGAACCUCAUGGGAUCUAAGAUCGGAUUAGGUAUUGAUGAAACAUGUGAUUUUCCAUCUUAAAAUUAUCGAUUGAUAAUAGGAUUAGAACAAAAAUUAGUUAGAUAUAAAAGAAACAAAAAAAAAAAAAAAAACAAAUAGUGAACUUAAAAAGAGAACAUGUGCAAAGAAACAUGUAACACACUAAAACUUGGUUAUAGUUUCUCAUAAUUUAAAAAUAGAAAGAUGAAGGAACACUUAAACAUUGCAAGCCAUGGCACUGGCUUGAAAUUAUCAUCCCCUCAUGAUUUUAAAAUUAGAAGUGUGCAAAAAUUGGAUUGCUACACCUCAUGAAUGGCAGUGUAUUUUAAUUAAAAUAUAAUGUUGCUUUUUUCCAUUUCAAUUUUCUGUUGAAAUAAAUGAAAGGAGAAAAUGAAAACUUCAAACAUUAGAGAUUGAAAUAAUUGAAACCUACUACUAGAGAAUAAUUAAGACGUGUAGCCUAGAGAAAUUUAAACUUACUUCAUGUACUAAUAACCCUAAUCAAUAGGUAAUCUCAACCCAACCAUAAAUAUGAUAAGAGAUUAUUCUAAGCAAAUAAUUUUGUACCUUUAGAUGAAAGAGAGAAGUUAAAAAGUAGUUAAAAUUUGUAUUAGUAGUUAUUAAGAAGAGGUUAAUUGUAGGCCGUGAACAUCACGUACGUACUAAAAUCAUCAAGUUGACCAAUUUAAUCAAAGUCACUUGAGUAGUGUACGUACAAUUAUCAAGUUGACCAAUUUAAUCAAAGUCACUUGAGUAGUUUGGAAAUUAUGUUUGUUAAAUAUACAAAAUCAACAUUGUUCGUAUGCCGACAAAAAAUUAUUUGGUCUAAACUGAGAGACAUAAGUAAUUUGGUCUAAACUGAUCAAACUUAUUUUGUUAUUUUUUAGCGUCAAUUGUCGCUUGUUGUCUCAUCAAAACGUCACUCUCUCCUACGUCCCGAACGCCUCGCCACUUCUCUCCCUCAUCAUGUCUCUCUUUGUCGACCAUUUUCCGUUUUGUCCCUCGCGAUCAAAACAACUUAAUUGGUUAAUCUAUCGGUUUAAACAAGUGAAAAAACUUUAAUAAUUUUGUCGAAAACUCGAUUUGGACCGGUCGAUACUCACCCUCAAUAGUAACAGUUGAAAAAGCAGCUUGUGCGUUUGGUUUGAUCACUAUACAUUUUUGUAAAAUAGAAAGACACCACUUUUAUUGAUCAUAUAUAGAACAAAAGACACUAUAUGUUUUUGAGCUUUGAUGUUUGGCAUCCCCAUGCACUCUCUCAUUUUAAGCCACAAGAGAAAAUUGAUCAAAACCCACUUUUUCCCCUCGAACAAUAAAAAGCAACCACAAAAACAAGAUAUGAUUAUUAUAAUACAAUUGAGUUUGACCGUAACGGAACCACCAUAUAUGAUAUCAUAUAUAUAAUUUUAGUUCAGCCUUCGGCAAUUGGAUCUAAUUUCUCCUUGGUUACCAGUCAACGGUUGGAUAUUUCCCAUGUUGAUCAUGGACUGGCCGAAGCUUUCGAAGAACUGGUUCUGGCUGGCAGCGAAGAGGUUGACGAUUUUGACGGUGUCUUCGCCGGGAGUGGAAUGAAGGACUUGGUCACUGGUGAGAAGGCCGGUGUUGGACUGAAGGUUUGUGUAGUAGUUCUUGUCGAACUUGUUGGGAGUCGUGGGGUCCAGAUUCACAAACGUGUCUCGGCCGCUACUGCAAGCUUGACGGAGCUGUUGUGCAUACCUGGGAUUCAGCGUGCUAUCUGGAUUUGAAACGUUUAAACGUCGGUCGAAAAAUUGACAUCUCGAUUUCCCGAAUGUGUGUGCACCUAUCACAUCACAUUUUUACAUUUACGUUAAGAUAGAUCAUAUCAUUGGUAAAAGACAAAAGGGAUAAUUUGCCACUGAUUAAAGUCUAUCAUAUAGAUUUUGCUAUGUUCAAACAAUUUACCAUUGUUUUUGUACAAAUUAGCUCCCUACGUACACGUACUCUCAUGACACUGUGGCCAACAAGGGAAAGGAACUAAAAACGUAUCAAUGUUCAUAAUAUCUCAUUUCUUUGGGUGAAACCAAAGCUAAGGUUCCCAUCCCAAAGACAGGAGGCCGCGCAUGCAGAGGUCAAUUAUUUGAGUUAUAUCACAGUAAUUUGAUUCAGGAAAUUUUGAAUACAUCUUAAUCGAUCUUACACAUUAUUCAAAUAAUUGAGACAGUAAAAAAUCCCUAAACAAAAAAAGAAAUCAUCAUAAUUUUGAUAAGAAAAAGUAUGAUUAAGACAUAGUUCAAAUAAAACAAAGUGAAUUAAUAAAAAAGAAAACGCAUGCAUACAAAAAUCUAGAGAUUGACAGCUAGUACGCAGGACGAUGGAAUGGAAUAAUCAAAAUAAUUUCAAUCCCUUUGCUUGACCUGAUGUGUUGAAUACAAAAACAUGAGUCACUUUCAAUUUCUGAUUCUUUAAAAAAAUACUUACUAAAAACAAAUUAGUAAGAAUAUAAAAUUAAAUAUUAUAAAAUAAAAAAGGAAAAUGUCCUGAAUUGUUGUGAUCUAAAUACUAUACUUUACAAUACACUCAAUAAUGAGUAUAUAUGUAGAUGAUGCAUGAGAGAAGAAUAAUUAGAAGCAGCCAUGCACGUGGUCGUGGGCUACAUAAACUAGUGUACCUGAUGUGUCUUUUUUGAGAAUAUAUUUAUAAUAUGAUAUUUAUUAUUAUUUGGUUUAAAACGAUAGGGUUUAAUUAUGUAUAUAUACUUACCAGAUAAGGCAACAAGAUCAGUAGAAUCAAGAUCUACUCUAUCGAACUUGCGUUUAAGUUGUGUAACAUUUUCGAAAGGACUUGGAAGGCCAUCUAUUGCGCCUUGUAAAUUUGCCCUUCUACUGUCUCUUCUUCCUAGUUGUACCUCCCAACACGGUCCUCCUGCCUGCACUAAAAAUUGUCAUCAACUACAUUAUUGUAACAGCUUCGACAUGGUUUAGUUUUAAUUAUUAAGUUAAUUACCAAAUUAACUGAUUCCACGGAAGCUAUAGCUAAGAUGUCAGCACAUGAAACAACACCAGGACAAGCCUUUUCGACUGCAGCUUUGAUGUUAUUAACAAUGUUAAACCCUGUAAUAUUGGCAUUUCCAGGAGCGGCAAGCUCACUCACCACACCAGGUUGGUCCUCUAGUAAAACCGACCCAUCACACCCCUGAAAGAUUUUCAAACAAACAUAUUAUCAUAUAGUAAUAACUUUGCUAAUUAAUUAGUGUACUAGUACACAAUUAAUACGAAAAAUUUACAUUUACGAAGCAGUCGUGGAAAUGAAGUCGAAUGAGUCUGGCACCAGCACGUUCGUCAGAGACCAAAGCUUGUUGUACCACACGGCGCACAAUGUUGGAUACGUCGGGGCAUGAUUCGUCGUAAAACGUGGGGCAGAGCUGAGCUUGAGAAGCUCUAACCAUCAACCCCAGAAACAAAAAGAAAGCAACUCUGAACAAGGAAGCCAUCGUGUGUGCUUUUGUUUUGGUGAGGGAUUGUGUGGAUAAAAGCAGGUCCUUUUAUAGAUUUUUUUUUUGUUACUAAGAAAAAGAAUAAUUGGGUUAUGAAUAUGACAAGGUGGUGGUGGCUAAGUCACCGGCGAGAGUUUACGUGAUUAGGCUGAUGAACAUAGUGAGGAGAGAGAAUAAUUUUGGAGCUUUUACUUUUCAAAUUGGGAAGAGAUAUUAAAUUUUUGAUAACAAUGGGGGUUAUGAUUAUUAAUGUCGUGUAGAUGAUUCUUAUUAUUAUUGAUAUAUUGAAGUUGUUGUAUAUUCUCGUGUAAAUAAAAUAAUUAUAGUAUACACAAUAAUACAAUAAUAUGAUGUGUAGUAGUUAGCAAAUAGAAGUUGAAGAGAAGGAUAUAGGAAGUCAAGUUUUUGUGUGUCGUAUGUAUAAAUGUAAUGUAUAAUAUAAUUCUAAAUGAAGUGAAACAUACUCUGAUUUUUGACAAAUUUGAAUAGUUGCAUGCUUUGAUUAAGACAUUGAUUAAUAAUGUAUGUCUGUAUGCUUUCAAACAUAUCUAUCUAUUAUAAAUGUGUGAUUUGAUUCAAUUCCUAAAUUUUAUAUAAAAAUGUAAAACGGAGGAAUUAUUGGAGGAAGAAAGCCGCCCCAAAGUGUUUGAUAGCAUGGCGUUCCAUGUCAAAAGUAAUUAGUGAAUAAUUCUAUGUAUUAUAUGAGAAUGUAUUUUAAACUUUUUGCCUUUAUCGUUGUAAAAAUUUUAAAUCUACAUCUAUAUAUAAAGAAUAUUAUGAAAUAAUAGCAUUGUGCUCAAUUCAUUUUGUAAUUAUAUUUUUUGAUUCUUCUCUAUAUUAGGUAAGCUUUAUCAUACAAAUAAGCUUUGUACUUCGAACGCAAAAGUUCUAUCGUUUAGUUGAUACAAAAAUUAAAUCUAGUCAACCAAAUGAUAGAUGAGUUAUUUGAAAAAGAGAUCACCUACAAAACAAAACAAAAUAAGAAUAGAACACCAUCUUGUCUACCACUCCAAUACUCAAUUGCUUAAAUUAGUUUAUUGGAGAGGGUUAGAGUAAGCAAUUUUUAGGAAGAAGAUGAACAGUUGUUAUAAGGCCGGCCCUUGAAAGUUUCUUGUUUAGUUAAGUUAAAGAAAGUCAAUUUUGUCUCUCAUACUUGUAAUUGCAGUUUCCUAUUUCAUAAUCCAUAUCGAGCUAACCUAUUUAGAGCUUUAUCUUCAAUGUGAUUCUUGAUCCAAAAUAACUCAUAACAUAUGGUAUAAAUUUUUUUGUGGGUCUCUUUUGUUAUAUUUUGUGACAUUUAUCACAUUGCUUAAUUCCAUUGUUCAAACUCAAGAAAUUGAUGUAUGUAUGUAUUAUGUAUAUAUGUUUAUAAUUGACAGGAGGAGGGGUCCCCUUUUCCAAAAAGUCAACAAAUUUAAUGAUGGAUUACUUUUCAUGUUUACUGUUUUAAUAUAUAUAUAUAUAGAUAUAUUAGGACUUUAAUUUGUUUGAAUAACUAACCAAUUUGAUCAUAAUUUAUUUUUCAUUAGGUGUCCAAAUCAAGAUGAUCACCUCAAACCUUUCACAAACAUUACUAUAAUUAAUGUGAGAAGCAAAAGUGAAACUAUAUCUAAAUAUAUGAAUUUUAGUUUAACUCUAACCCUUCAUUAAUUUAUUUUUUAAAACUAGCUAGCUAGUACAGUUAUUUCAUUUCAAUUUGAUAAUUAUAUAGGUCUCUAAUAAUCCAAUCCAUCUUAUUUCAUUUUUUUCUUUUUUGCUUUUUAAUGGACUAAACUUUAUAAAAUACUAUACUUUUGUCUGUAAAUUUUACAUUUUUUAAAAUUCUAAUUUUAAAAAUAUAUUUUCAAAAAAUUAAACAUGAAACUAUGAAACUAAAAGGUAAUAAGAAGAAGAGAAACACAAUUUUCUAUACAACUCUCUUCUACGCUCAUGCUCUUUUUAUCAUUUUUUCCAAGUCGUUGAAAAUUCCACCUUGAAAAAGCUAAAAAAAUUUGCAUUCUCUUUAUACAUAAGACAAAAGAGAUAGUCUCGUACGAGUAAGAGAUAGAUCUAACUAUCUUGAAAAACCUAAAUUAAACCAACCUAAGCUAAAUAAAUAUCUCAUGGGUUGGGUUGAGUUCGGUUUACAAUUAGGCUACAUGAGUUAUUUCUCUAUUUGUUGAUUUGUUUUGAGAUAACUUAAUAUUUUUUUCACCUCUAACAUUUAUCUUCUAUGUCAACGUGAACAUCCAUGCAAAACUUAAGCAAGUGAGUGAAGAGUAGUGUAUGUUCAUCAUAACUAAAAAAUAAUUAUAACGUCAAUUAGAACUUUUGAGGAGAAAAAGAAUACAAGAUUUUAAUCCUCUUUUGGUUGAUACUUUGUUUUAUUUUUUACUAUUCAGAACUAUUGUCAACUUAGGGUUUAAAGUGAAGAAAGCUUAAUCUCAUACUCCUCUCUCCCUUGUUAUAUUCACAAAGAAUCUUUUACUAGAAAAAGACCAUUUUAAAAUUUAAAAAUACCACAAUAUUUUUUAUAUGUAUAUAUAAGAAAUAUGGAGUGUGGCUGCUGAAGGAAGGUUUUGUGGUUUAGGUCAGAGUAGGAGGCUGCUGCUACCUGAUCUCUCUCUCCAUUUUACCUGCUAAUUCUUGGAUUGAUCCUUUUGCCUACCUUUUCUUUUGUCUCUUCUCUCUAUUAUUCUAAUAUACACAAAACAUAUUAAAGAUAAGGACAUUCAAAUUUUCUUGGCCCAUAAUUUAAUUUGAAUUGAAGAAAGAUUAUAAUAUUGUUUUAAGAUAAUAUACCAUGUGAUUGGUGGGAUCCAAACUGCUAUCCAUCAAAACCCUUCUUCAAUAUGCCCUCACUUCAAUGCUUCUGUUUCUUACCACAAUUAUCAUUAUUUUAUAUAAUAGAUGGAAAGAUUCAAAAAGUUUUAACUAAAUAGUUCUCUAAUCAUUGAAGAUACAUCUAUACAUAUAUAUAACAACAAUGAGUUGAAAUUAAUAUAACAGAUCCUAAUUCAAAAACUGUUAUCAAUUAAACUUUUGAGUUAUAACAUAAGAUUGAUUUAGUUAGCAAUUAGUCACACUCUUGUAAAGUUGAUUUGACAUAAAUAAUUAAGAAAUUUAGUGUAUGUAUUAGGUAGUAAUUAUUAACAUGAAGAGAAGGGCACUGGGCCAUAUUCUUCAUAAACUAAUUAGUCAACCAUGAAUGGAUUCAUAGACAAGUAAAAAUCUAGUCUACAUUUACUUUUUUUUUUUUUUCAUUAUAAGUCGCUAUUCUAUACAAAAUCUUCAAAUUUCAAUAAUCUAGAUUUUAGAAUGUUUUUGAAUAACCGAAAGAAUUUAAAAAAUUAUCUAUUAUCGUUGAAAACGUGGAUCGAGUAAUCAUUGAUUUUGAUUGUAUGUCGAUAUAUCUCCGACAAUAAUCUCAUACAAAUUGAGGAUAUCACAAAAUUAACCUAUUUCGUGUAUCUUGCCAUUUAAGUUACUCAAUCUCAUUAGGUCGUUAUUCAAAUCUGGAUAAGGUGAUAAAUUAUUUUAUUUUUUAUUCUCUAAUGACGUGGAAUUGGUGAGCUGCCACUAACAUAAGUGUUGUCAGCACCUAAAUAUGUAUUAGGACUAAAUAGUAUCUAAGUUGGUAAGAUGUUGAUUAUUUGUUGUCUUAAAUUUAAUAUUACAAAAUACAAUCUUUCAAAAAUUUAUUGAUGAAAGAUUAAUAUUACAUGAAAAAUAAAAUCCUUAUAAAUUAAUUGUAAAUUUGAAAAUUGAUUUUUUUAUUAUAAAAUAUUACAAAAUAAAAUUUGAGGUUAAAAAUUUAAAAUAGAGUUAUUUUCAAAUAUAGCAAAUUGAACCAAAAUAUAUUUUAUAAAAUAUUAUAAAAUAUUACCGUCUAUCUAUAAUGAUUCGAGAUAGACCAAAAUAGAUUACUAUCAGUAUCUAUUUAGAUAACGUGUGUUGGACACUUGGGGGACACCAAUUAGACGUUUGCUAGUCCAACAACUGUAUUAGACAUGCAUAUAUGAUAAUCAUAAUAACUUUAAUUUUACUUUUAAACCUAUAGAUGUAUCAAUUUAUUUACUAUGAAUUUUCUUUUACAAUAAAAGUGAAUAUUUUAAUAAACAUAUUUUUGUCGUGUCGUGUUUUAGAUUUUUAAAAUAUGGUGUAUCGCUAUGUCCAUGUCGUAUCGUAUUUGUGUCUUAUGAUAGACACAAAUAUAGAAGUUUAGAUGUAUAGUCAUAUGAUAUUUGUAAAUAUUUUGAAAAUUUUGUUCAAUUAAAUUGUUAAAUAUUUAAAAACAAAAAGCAGAGGACAAAGAGGGCUUUUAUGGGCCCAAGUCGGCCCAUGUAGUGAGACUAUGUACAAUACAACGAUCCAAUUCAAUCAAAUUCAGCCUUUUCUCAUUCUUAAACCAAAACCUAAUUAAGAUUUAUGGUUAAUACAUUUUCACCCAUUUUGCUAUAUAUUUGUAUUUUUUAGAAAAUAUUACUAAAUAACAAUUAUAGUUAUGCAAUACAAUCAUAAUCAACAACUCAUAUCACAAGCUCAAAAGUUUAGUAUAGAAAUUUGUUCAUGUUAAUUUAAAGAAAUUAGUGAUUAAUAUCUCGUUUGGUUUUUUCUUUUUCUUUUUUUCAAAUUAAAUCGAUGAAUUGCCAUGGACCUUGCAUUACAUGUUUGGAAGAUGCAACUUUUUUUUUUUUUUUAAUGUAUGUUUUAGUAUAAGAUUCAAUUUGAUUAGUGCGCAAUUUGUAACUUUUGUUUUAUUAAUUAAGCUCAAUUCUUUAGUCAAUUAAGUUCAUUAUUUAAAACACCAUUACUCAUUCAUAUCAUCAUGACAAUUAGUAUUUUUCGUUUUCAAAUACUCAUAGAGGCAUUUGAACUACCAACUCCAAAUGAUCAUCAACCUAUUCAAGUUGUAGCCAUUAGACCAAAUCCAAGUCAAACAAAUCAAGUUUUAUCUCUUACAACUACAAAUCUAUUUAAAAUGAUAGAUGUUCUUACUAUUUCCUAUUUUAAAACCUAACUAAAUUCAUUCUCCUCACCAAUAAUUAUUCUUUUUACCAUAAUUAAACUCAUGUUAACAUUGAUUGUUAACCAUAUAAUGAUAACACUUCAUGAGCAUAGCUCAAACAUCUUAAGUGGUUAACAUAUUAAACAUAUAAAGUUGAAAUGAUAUAAUCUUAUUGUACAAAUUUAAUUUUGUAAUCAAUGAAAAUAAUAGAUAGAUACCAAUAAUUUACUUUGAAAUUAUGUUUAAUUACUUUAAGAUAGAUAAAUAAUUCACUAGAUAGAAUAUUAAAUUUAAAGUAACAAAUCUAAGAACGUAUGAGUUCCACUUGUAAUUUGAAAUCAAUCUCUUUUUUCUUUAUUUUAUGAUGACAUGAGGACAAUUAAAAGCACAUAAAAAUAAGUAUUAGGUAAAAAUAAACACUAAUUAACACACAUAAUUAUAAACUAAGCUUAAUUAUAGUUAUGGACGUAAUGAAGGAAGAUGAAGAAGCAGAAGCAGGCAGCAGCACAGAAUUAUGUUUACAUGACAUCAUGGCCUUCUUCUUCUUCUUCUUCACCGAACAAUCCAGAGUUGGAAUUAACCCUUCUACAGUUUCUUCUAAUUUCCCCACGCUUUCCAGUCAAAGGUUUAAUAUUUCCCAUAUUGAUCAUUGACUUCCGGAACUCCUUGAAGAAUGUUCCUUCUCUGGCAGCGAAGCUGUUGACAAUGGCGAUGGUGUCAGCCCCAGGAGUAGAGAACAGCUCUUGAUCGCUCUGUAAAAGUCCCUUCCCCACUUGAAGAUUCGUGUAGUAAUUUUUGUCGAACACAUCUGGUGUUACCGGGUCGAAAUUGGCUCUUGUGUUUGCUCCUGCUGAACAAACCCCUUCAAGGAAUUGCCUGUAGUUCGAAUCCAGUGAUGGGUCGGGGCUUCCAGUUCCGUUGAAAUUCGCAAAUCGGUGGCUGAAGAAUACGCAUCUCGAUCGUCCAAAUGUAUGCGCCCCUGUCCAUCAAAUUAAUUACUCACAAUUCCAUCAAUUGAUUUACUGCUCAAUUCAUCCAUUUCAUUUUACCAGAUAAAGCGACGAGAUCAGUGCUAUCCAGCCCAACAGCAGCAAAUUUGGCUUUGAGUUCAUCUAGAGUUUCGAAGGGACUGGCUAACCCACUAUCCGCCCCUGUUUUGUUAGCGAUUCUGCUAUCUCUUCUUCCGUAUAAAACUCUCCAGCUAGGCCCUCCUUGCUGACAAAAGGGAAACAAAGAAUACCCAUUUAACAAAAGAAAGAAGAAGAGUACUGUAAUCGAAUAAAUAUAUUUAUUUACCACAUCGACAGAGUCCUUGGAAGCUUGAGCUAGGAUGUCAGCACAGGAGACGAUGCCGGGGCAUUCUUUUUCGACAUCCGUUUUAAUGGCGUCAACAAUUUCAAGUCCUUGGAUUCCUUGAUUUCCAGGUGAGUUAAGCUCACUGACUAUGCCAGGAGCAUCCUCUAGCAAAACAGAGCCAUCGCAUCCCUACAAAAUAAGUUAAAUCUCCAUACAAUUAAAAGUAGAAAAAAAGAGAGAGAUGAUGAUGAUGAUGGUGAAAAAGUGUAGAGUUUUUGUACAUUGACGAAGCAAUCAUGGAAAUGGAGGCGAAUGAGUUUAGCACCGGCACGUAUGUCGGAUUGGAUGGCUUUCUUGACGGAGGCACGGACAAUGUUGGGGAGACGAGGGCAGGUUUGAUCGUAAUAGGUUUCGGAGAGUUGAGCAAAAGAGGAGCGGAAGAGAAGGGCAAGAAAGAAAAAGGAGGCAACGGCAGAGGCCAUGGUUGAAUUAGGAAGUGAGCAAAAGGUUGAGGAGUGGAUGCUGCUUUUAUAGAGACCAAAACAGAGUGGGAUUUGGCGGAGGCUGCAUAAGCAAAACCAACUAUGUAUUUUGAUAUUAAUGUUUAAGCAUAAGAUUCAAUUUUAUAAGUUAAUCCCAAUUUGUGACUUUCUUAUUAUUAAUAAUUUGAGUCAAUAUAACGUUCAUUAUUUAUAUUUAUCCAAUAUUGACUUUGGCUAUUUAUAGCCUCACAUUAACUUUUUUUUUUUUCUUCUUCUUUUGAGCACAAAUAGAUAUAGUUAUUUAAAUUUGUGAUUUGAAUUUCUAAUUUUUAAAGAAAAAAUAUUAAGUUUAAAUAUACUAAUUAUCUAUUAAUUUUUCUCUUCACCACUGCCACUGACUUAUAUAUAUAAAGAAGGUGGUGGAUUCCAACAAAUUAUUAAUAGAAUAUUAAUUAAUUUAAUACGUAUUACCAUUGUACGAGUUUUAAUUUUUUUAAAUCGAUUUUGGAUAAGUUUAUUAUAAAACAUUUACAUAGAUUGAAAAGUAUUAAAACUAAAAGAUUAUGAAGAAUUUGAACUUACUAUAUUACAACCGUAUUUUGUUUGGAAUGACAAUAUGGUGUAAAGUAGGAUGCCACGGUAUAUUAAUUGGGAUGACAAUUAAUAUAUUUUAAUUAUUCUUGAAUUAUGUUUAUUUGGUGUUUAUAGUUAUUUAAAAUAAAGCUACCAACAUUUUUAAAAAUAUCAAAAUAAAUUAAAAUAUUUAUAAGCUAUAACAAAAUUUUGUAUUGAGUGAUAGAAUUUGCUAUUUAAAAAAAAAAAUCAUAUACUUAAUCAAUUAGAUAAAUAAAUAAGAAAGUUUUUUAAAAUAGCAAAAUGAAACAUAAUGUUUAUAAAAUAUAGAAAAAUUUCAAAUAAUAUCAAUUAUUAACUUUUAUCACUAUCUACUGAUAACGUUGACAAAAAAAAGAUAAAAGUCUAUCUAUAUCUAUAUAGUUGGUAUAGUUAUAUGAAAUCUUGUUAUAUUUUCAAAUGUUUUAUCAUUUACAACAAUUUUUUUAAAAAAAUAAUUGAUUAAACAUAAUGUAAGGUACUUGUUUUAGUGCAUAUGAAUUUCAUAUGUAAUAGAAAAAUAUAUUUUUUUGAUGCCAAGAUGAACAUCGUUCAACUAACAUAAAAUUGAGUAUGUAUAAUGGGUUUCUCUAAUAGGUUUGAUUCAAAUAAAAAUAAAUAAAUUAUCUAAUUAAAUAGAUAAAUAAAAACUGGUUGGAGGUUUUUUAGGAUUUGAAAACAGCGUUUGUUCUUCGUAAUGAACGCUAUCUUCUACAUAUUUCGCUACUAAAUGACUUUCCUUCUUUCUCCAUUAUUGUCAUCUGGUUGUUGCAUAUUGACUAAUAUAAAAAGACUGCAAAGUUGAAAUAAAAAAUAAAACUAUAUCCUCCAUUCAUCAUCUUCUUUAGAUACGUUUAUUAACCUGUGUAUUGAACUCACCCGACAACACAAUAAGCUUAAUUAAUAUAGAAAAAGACGAAGAUGAAUCCAUGAAAACAAAACAAAAGAUGAGCCUACCCCUGCAGUUUUAUUCAUGGAAGAAAGCACAAACACCCAACUAAAUUAACACACACAUUAUGCUUAAUUAUAAGUUAUGGAUAUGAUGAACACCACAUAUGCAGAAACAGGCAGCUCAUUUUUUUAGUUUUACAUAACAUCGUGGCCUUCUGAUCCUUCUCCUUCUCCACCCAACAAACCAGAGUUUGAAUUAACCCUCCUGCAGUUUCUUCUAAUUUCCCCUUGUCCACCAGUCAAUGGCUUUAUAUUUCCCAUAUUGAUCAUCGACUGUCUGAACUCCUUGAAGAAUGUUCCUUCUCUUUCUGCAAAGCUGUUAACAAUGGCGAUGGUGUCAGCUCCAGGUGUUGAGAACAGCUCUUGAUCGCUCUGCAAAAGCCCCUUCCCCACUUGAAGAUUUGUGUAGUAAUUUUUGUCAAACACAUCCGGUGUUACUGGAUCGAAAUUCGCUCUUGUGUCUGCUCCUGCUGAACAAACCCCUUCAAGAAAGCUCCUGUAGUCUGGGUUCAAUGAUUGGUCUGGCCUUCCUGUAUUGUUGAAAUUCGCAAAUCGGUGGCUGAAGAAUCUGCAUCUCGAUCGUCCAAAUGUAUGCGCCCCUGAAAUUUGUUUCAUCAAUCUAACCACACUUCCAUCAAUUCAUUUACUGCUAAAUUCAUUUGUUUGUUAAUUAAUUUUACCAGAUAAAGAGACGAGAUCCAUGGUAUUGAGCCCAACAUUCCUAAAUUUAGCUUUAAGUUGGUCUAGAGUUUCGAAGGGACUAGCCAAGUUACUGUCGGCCCCUGUUUUGUUUGCUAUUCUGCUGUCUCGUCUUCCGUAUAACACUCUCCAGCUAGGCCCUCCUUGCUGAUAAUGAGAUCAAACGUUAGUAAGCAAUAAAAAAUUCAACACAAAGAUUUCUACACUUACGAACAUUUUUUAUUUUUACGUAUAUAAUAUAAAUAUGUCAAAUACGAGUUUGGAAUAGCAAGAUUUUGACUUGGUCAUGCUGCUUCAAAGCAGCAGUAACAGAUUUAAAGCAUGGCGAUGAGCUAAACGAUACGAAUGUAUUGGAUCAAAAAUAUUUACCACAUCGACAGAGUCUUUAGAAGCCUGAGCUAGGAUGUCAGCACAGGAGACGAUGCCAGGGCAUUCUCUUUCGACGUCGGCUUUAAUGGCGUCGACAAUUUCAAGCCCUUGGAUUCCUUGAUUUCCAGGUGAGUUAAGCUCACUGACUAUGCCGGGAGCAUCCUCUAGCAAAACAGAGCCAUCGCAUCCCUACAAAAUCAACAACCCCAUGAAAUUAAAAACAAAACAGAACAGAGAGAUUAAUGAAAAAGUGUAGAGUUUUGUACAUUGACGAAGCAAUCGUGGAAAUGGAGACGAAUAAGUUUAGCACCCGCACGGAUGUCGCUUUCGAUGGCUUUCUUGACGGAGGCGCGCACAACGUUGGCCAAACGAGGGCAGGUUUGAUCGUAAAAGGUUUCGGAGAGUUGAGCGAAAGAGCCGCCGAUGAGAAGAGAUAGAAAGAAAAAGGAGGAGAUGACAGCGUUGGCGGAGGAGGAGGCCAUUUUUGAAUUUUGUAGUGAGCAAAAUGUUAAGCAAUGGAAGCUGUUUUUAUAGAGAUCGGUAAAGCAGAGUGGGGCAUGCCGGCGGCUGAUAUUCAACAUUUCAUCCCUUCUUCUAACUUCUAAUUCAUACCAAUAAUAUUCAUCUCUUUUUCAAAUUUUGCAUUUCUAAUCCUAUUAAUCUUGCUUCCAUUCACAUUAAAUUUCUAAUUCAUCCCAAUGUGAUCUUUGAAAUUUAAAAUGUUUAAAAAAAAAAAAAAGUGAAAUUUUACUAAUACAAUCUAAUUAAUUCCCAUUUUGUUUAUUUUCCAAUUUUGGUAAACUAAGUAGCAUUGAUGUUCAUGUGGGAGACAAGGAUGAUGAUUAUCAUCACUUCUUCCUUUACUACUCUCCCAUUCCAUUUCUCAUAUUUCCAACUUUUUUCAUUUCAACUACACUUCCAACCAUAUUUUUCUUUGGGGCAAUUUUACUAUCACAAUCUAUAUUCGGACAAAUCUAGUUUAUCACAUACCUGAUAUUUUUCUAAAUUUUGUAAAUAUUUUCACAAGUUUUGUCCCUUGAAAUAAUUUCUCUAACCUGGACAUUCUUAAAAAUAUAAAAUAAAUUAAAAUAUUUAUCACUGUUUAUCAAUGCUACAUACCAACAGAAAAUAUUGGUAAACAAAAUUUGUUUUUUUUUUAGAACUAAAGUAAAGUUGAAUAGGAGUGAUGGUUUUUGUCCAUUUGAGAUCACUACACUUCAUGCAGAAGAUAUUAGAAUAAUAAAGGGUAAAGAGUUUGGAAGUUCUAAGAAAACUAUAGACUUAUCUUAAAAAAUAUUAUAGAAAAGAUUGAGUGAAGAACAAAAAUAGCAAAAGUGAAAAGAGAUACAAUAAACUAUAUUAAAAAAAAAAAGGUUCAAAACGUAAUUAGAAAAUAUAUAGAUAAUUUUAUUUAUUAAGUUUGGCUUGAGAAAAAAUACAAAAGAUAUCAUAUAUGAAAUGAAAUCACAUUUGUUUGUCCACAUCUAAUAAGUUAUAAGUUUGUAGUUAUUAUAUUCAACUUUUUUAAAUACAAUUUCUAGGUUGAGUUAGGUUUAGGGUUUGACAAUUUAUCCCUCUUUGAUUUUUUUUUUUAUUUUUAAAAAAAAUUACCCUUAUUUUUUUUUAACCAAACAUAUCUUUACAUUUCAAAAUUUCAUUUAUCAUGAAGAAUGCCAAUCUAUAUCAUAAUCUUGAAUAUAUAUUCAAUAUAAUAGAAAAGGUUAAAAUUAAUUCAACAAAGUCUUUUCAAUUUAAUUAUAGUUUUAGGGUAAAUUUAUGGAAUUGAUAGGAUUUCAAGAAAUAUGAUAUCAGAUUGGAGUUGGAUUUAAUUAUUGAAAUUUUUUUAUGUUUUGGUGGGGUUUAUUGAGGGUCCUUUAUGUACUAAUCAAAUUCAAUGCUGGACAAACCCCUUGAUUUUUUAAAAAUUUAUGGAUGAAUAUGCAUACUUUAUAUAAACACAUAAAUGGAUUCAAAACAAAUUGGACUCCAAUUUGAUCACUUCUAACCAUCGUUAAAUUCAUAAUUCAUAGUUCAACCUCAUUACAAAUGAUUGAAUCAAAAUUUUAUUAGAAUUAUACGAAAUUUGAUGAAGCUAUGAAGGUGAAAGAAUAAUAAUAGAUAGGAAUAAGUAAUUAGAGUGGCGGGCGGGUGUGGACCAAAUACGGCUUCAUUGGAUGUAUAUCAGAAUAAUGAUACCAUCAACCUUCAUCUCUUUUAAUUUUUUCUUCUCCUUAUUUAAUGUUCUGUUCAAUUUUGGCUCCUUUCUAUCCCUUUUCUUUUUUCUUUUUAACUAAAAUCCCCUCAUAAUUAACUUUUUAAAAAGACAUGAAUCAACUUAAACAUCACAUUUGAAUAAGAUUAUUUCAUAGCUUUAAGUAUGGUUAUCUUGAUGAAGCAAUAGUAUGUUAGAAAAACGUGUGUGAUGAAUAACUUUUCAAACCCUAAUUCAAGGGUUCUCAAUCUCAUCAUCAAUGUGGGGGUAGUGUAUGACCUAACACAAUCUGAUCAGUCUUAAUAAGAGACUAAGAAAUUCAAUUUUAAUUUAAAGAUAGCUGUUUAUUUGUUUUCUUUUUUCUUAUUCAGAAUAUGCUUUCCUUCUUCUUCCUUCUUUCUAAUUUUUAUUUAUUUAUUUUAUGAGUAAAAGCCAUUUAUCACUCCCAUUUAUUUAUUUAUUCUCUACCAGCCAAGUUUGAUUUUGGGUUUAGCCUGUUUUCUAGAAAAAACAACUAAAAUAAUCAAGUAUAAUUUAAAUUGUUUUAAUAAUCGUUAAAUUCAAGAAAAUUUAGUAUAUAAUAAUAAUAUAGUUUUAUUUAAAUGAAGCAAAGUUGAUGGAGACACCUUAGUUUAAUUAUUUAUUCAACUUAGGCAUGUGGUGACCAUGAGACUAUAUUAUUGUAUUUCAUUACUUUAGGGCGUGUGAUGAACACACAUAUAUAUACGUUAGUGUUAAUUAGUUAGGUUAAAUUGAGGGCCCCCGAGGGGAAAUUUGGUCAAUAAUUUAUUAUAUCCUUCACGUUUGAUUUCUUAGAAAUUACCACUGAAACAAAGUUUAGCAAAACGAAUCUUUUAAUUCAUUUUUUAUUACUAUGUAUUAAUUCUUUUCUUUAGAAAAAAUUCAAAGUUACCAAACUUGAGGAUGAUGUUUUGUUUAUAAGGUUAAACUUCUCUUUACCGUUGUGUUCGUGGCGAUUACCAACAAUAACGUUUAUUUUGAAUACAUCAUUCUUGAUGUUUGAGUGAGUUUACACCGUAUCGAUAAGAUGAUAUAACAUUUCAUUCUUCUUAAUCAAUUGACAAUAAGAAGGAUAGUUUAUUUAUCUUAUAAGAAAUAUAUGAAGUCGUUUGAUAAAUGUUGUAUAGUUUUUAUAGUUUAUAGAUUUAUUAUCAAUACAUAAUUCAUUCUAUCAAGUAUUUUUUAUUGUCAUUGGGGGAUUUGUUUGAAUAAAGAUUUCUAAAUUAUUUUUCUAUUGCAUUUUUUAAAAGAAAAGAUUUUAUAUUAUAAGAACGUGGAUCCAAAGUGUAAAUCUUGAAGAAACCGGAUUGAAACAAAACUCAAAUCUUAAUGAUAAAGUGUAACAUUUUAGAAAGUUAAAGAUUUGGAUCUGGAUAUAUUUUUUUUUCUAUUUAUUUUAUUUCCUAAUGUUCUAAGUACAAGGACUUUUAAAAUAAGCUAUCAAAUUUAUUUUUGUGACAAAAAUAAAACAAAAAAGUUAUGUUCUCCUCGUUUUUACCACUUGUUUUUAUCUAUGAACCAACCAACAAUAAUUGUUUUAAUCGAGGUGAAAACAUUGAAAUUUUAUUGUAUGAAUUAUUAGGUUCGCCACGCAAAGUUCAAAUUUUACGGGUGAAAUCACCAAACCUAAAGAAAAAUAAGAAGAGUUAUGAGAACAAACACUUAAUCCUAAAAGAGAAAAAAAAGAAAAAGAAUUAUCUCGAAUUUUGAGCUAACCAACGAUGCUCUAAGGAAAGGCUUGGUACAAUGCCUUACAAUCUCAAGGGUAAAAAAUUAAACUACCUUAACAUCUAUUGAACUACACAAAACCACGAAGAAAUGUUAAAAUAAAUGCAUUAUAAACAGUUUCAUUCAACGAUCUCAAAGAAAUAAAGUAAGUAAAUCUUACAAGUAGAGAGUCAUAGUUUAUGUUGCUUUUGCACAUCUAGCUAGCUAUAUACACUUCCUAUAUUGAUUUAGAAAUUUUAGAUGCAUGUCAACUCAAAAUGUGAGUUCAUGACAAAAGAAACAGGUUGGCUAGAUGGUGGACAAGCCCCUACAACGACGACAAGCGAGUGUGAGUUUCACACGCAAACAAAUAAAUAUAUUAAUAUAUAAGUAAAAUUUUUCUCAGAAAAACAACCACAUUGAAUUGAAUAUGGUUGGGUUCCAUAUGUAACAUCUGUUCGUUGAAUUCAAGACUUUUCCAAUUCGCCGCUCCCAACAAGAUUAAUUAUUAUUAACUAUAAACUAUUCAAUCACAUUAAACUUAAUAAUAAUAGUUAUACUGUUUUCCACCUACUUUUAUUCAUUAAUCAUGAUUAUUUAUCAUCAUUUUUACAUGUAUUCACCAAACACCAUUGAAUGAUUUGUGGUUGAGAGAACCACAAUUUCUUAUUGUUUUCAUUUAUAAAUGAAUAUAUGUUUAAAUGUAAUUAACAUGGCUAAUUAGGGUAUGAUGAAACAUAGGAAAGUUAAAAUAGCACAACACAUCUUUGAAAAUUAUUAUUCAACAAUCUAAUUAAGGAUCAUGACUGACUUUAAUUAGUGUAUAUGAUACUUACUAUAAGUAGUUGAAGUGUAAACUACAAUUCACCUAAGAAAUUACUUAGUCAAAAGAGAUGAGUUCCUUUACUUAGUUUUCAAUGGGGAGUAAUUAAUUGUAUGAUAGAUCAUGACUAGAAAAAUAAUAAUAUUAAUUAAACACCUUCCCCAAACUUUCACAACCUAGAGUUAGGUUAACUUUCAAUUCAUAAAAUCCAACCCUAUCCUAAUCAUUCAAUUCCUUUCGAGAAUCAAAUUAUUACAAAAAAAAAUGAAAUGGAAUGUAACAUAAUUCAAAAUUCACGUUUGAAUUAAACGUCUUGAUCAGUCUAAAUUGUAAUAUUAAAUUCAUUAUGUUUAGGUUAAUCUUCACCUAAAUCAUAAUCAUAUUCUUGUUUUCACCAAAAUUCGACACCCAUUCUAAAAUAAGAAAUUAAAUGAAUAGAUUUUGAAAACUAAACAAAUUUACACCUACUCUUCCCUUUUUUUUCUUCCUUGAUGGCCAAGUUUCCUCUUUAUCUUUUUUUCUUUCCCAUUUUGGGAUAAAAUAAUAUUAUCUAUCUUUUAAAAGUUAUUUAUGUCAACUUUUUUUUUUCUAUACAUAUACACAUACACACGUGUGAGCCAUACGUGUCCCUUUUAUGUAGUGAAAAUAAAUGAAGUUGUGAAAUUGAUAAAAUAGAUUGGAGAAAUAUAUAUCAAUUUAUUUUCAAGUGUGCUAACUUCUACGUUGAAUCUAAAUCCAAAACCACUAAUUUGUUUAUUUAUUUUCACAUACAUACGUUGCAAUAUUAGAGUUGAAUUGGAUAUGUUUUAUUAUUAUUAUUUUAAUUUGAAAAAAGAUAUGGUUAAUUAAUUAUUAAUUAUUAACAAUAUCUAUCUAUUUCACAUCUAUUUUAUAUCAUAUUGGUCAAAUGAUGUAUUUUAAUAAUUUUUUUUUAAAAAAUAGAAGCUUUGGAAAUAAUGCUUUUUCUUUGAAAAUAUGAAUGGCAUUUAAAAUUUAAAAUUAGAUAAGAAAAUGCAAAUGCCUAGUUAUGGAAGUAUAGAAUAUCUCUUUUGAGAAAAGAAAAGAAAAUUACAAUAAUGUAUUUUAAAUCAAACAAAAGUUAAAAUGUUUAUGAUGAAAAUUACUAGUUAAAGGGUAAGAACCAUAGUUUUGUUUCUUCUCCAAUAAUUACUUUUAUCUUUAGAUGCAACGUGUCAAUGAGUCAUUGGAGAAAAAUCAAUUUUGAUCUCAAAUUUGUACUUAUCAAACCUUUCAAUUUUAUUAAAUUUAGACUAAUGUUGUAAUUUUUACUUUAAACUUUAACAAUCCAUGAAAUGGAGAAGUGAAACUUUGACUCGACCUUACUAUAUGUAUAUUAACCCUAACCUAUUUAUAUGAUGUGAAACUAAUAAUUUCUCUACGGAAAAACAAGUUUAAAGCUAUUUAUUUAUGUAGACCAAUCUUUUCUUUUUAGUAAAAUUAUUGAUUUUAUGAAAAAUUAUAUUGUUCCUUUUUUUUCUCUCUUUAUAUAUAUAUAUAUAUAUAUAUAUAUAUAUAAUUAAAGUUGAAUUAGCUUAAAUUAAAAGGACAUUUUUUUAAAAUAGAAAAAUAAAUUAAAAUAUCUACAAGUUAUAGCAAAAUAAUUUUAGAUUAUAUCAAUGAUAGUCUUCUAUCGCUAUAACGUAUGCAUGACUAUCACAUAUAGAAUUUGAAAAUUCUCUAUUAAAAUAUUUACAAGCUAUAACAAAAUUUUAGUUUCUAUAGACUAUUAAUAUUUAUUAUCAAUAGAAUCUGUUUUUUUUAAAAUUUAUUAUUUUUGACCAUUUUUUAAAAAGUAAAUCAAUUAGGUUAAAAUUACAACACUUAUACAAGAAAAUCGGCCUAUUAUUCUAUUUUGUUAGUGUAAAAUAAAAGUACAAAAUAAUUUGAACUACAUCUCCGUUGGUCCUCAACAUAUAUAAAUACCGAUCAAGAUAAUUCAUUUUUCAUAAAUGUAUAUUGAAUCAUAUAUUUCAAUACACUAGCUUCCUCGAAUAUUCGUUGUCCGUUUUUGUUAGUAAAACAACAAAUUAGAGGUUUGUCCAAAGAAAAUUAUAUAUUUUUUUGGGUCCAUACUCAAGUGAUUAAAUGACAAAAAGAACAAAAGGAUAACAAACUUAGAUAUUUUCCACCCAAUUAAAUUUUCUACUGCCCAUUUUAAAAAAAUAUUACUUAACUCCCAAUUAAUUACAUAUCACCAAGUUAGUUAAUUAGUUAGAGGAAAACAUAAUGAUUAUUAACAUUAACAUUUUUGGUAAUCACUAAAUAAUCUCCAAUUUCAUCAGUUGUUAGUUGUAACACAACUGAAUAAAUGUAGCUUUCAAUAAAUCAAACUUUACUUGGCUAUUACCGAAUCCACCUCUUUAUUUUCUCCUCAUCUCAUCCAAAAGUAGAUGUCUACUCUCAUGUGGGUCAUCCUAAGUUGGAAAUUCUUAAUUAUAUUUGGACACUCAACCCAUCAAUCAUUUAUUGUAGCGCAGGAAGAAAUUCAGGGAUGCACCAAAUAAGUAGACAAAUAAUAAAAGGCUACUUGUACGAUGCCAUACUUUCUCUCCCUGUUCACACUAUUAAGAAUUAGAUAUUUUGAUUACAUUAUGGAGAGAAGUUGAGGAGUGUAAGAUCAGUGAGAUUAAUUAAGAAGACAUGAAGAGUCGAUGAUGAGAAAGUAAUGAGAAUGAGUUGAGUGAGGUGAUGUAGUGGAGCUAAUUUAUUAUAGAAAGGAGAUGGAAGUGGAAGAGAGAAACAAACAAACGUAAGAGGGAAGACAAAAUUUACAUAACAUCAUGCCCUGUUUCACUUCCCAAGUCAUUAACCCUCCUGCAGUUUCUUCUAAUUUCCCCUUGGCUUCCAGUUAAUGGUUUAAUGUUCCCCAUCUUAAUCAUCGACAACCGAAAUUGUCUAAAGAAAGUUUCUUGUUUCAACGCCAUAAGUCUAACAAUUUCAACUGUUUUAGCCCCUUGCGUUGAAUGCAGAACUUGGUCACUCUGUAACAGCCCUUUAUUGGCUCGAAGAUUGGUGAAGUAAUUCUUAUCAAAUUUAUCAGGUGUUGUUGGAUCGAAAUUCACUCGUGUGUCUUGGCUUGUACAAGCGCUUAGAAGUUCUUGCCUGUAAGUUGGAUCCAGCGUUGGAUCUGGUUGCCCACUGCCACUGAAGUUGGACAAACGACCACUGAAGAACACGCAUCUGGACCGACCAAACGUAUGUGCCCCUGAUAGAGCAACAAGGUCGGUUUCAUUUAAACCAACGUCUGCAAAUUUUUUUACGAGUGGGUCAAGAUUUUCGAAGGGGCUUGGGAGGUUAUCAGCCCCUGUUUUAUUGGCUGUUCUGCUAUCUCUUCUGCCGUAUAGAACUCUCCAACUGGGUCCUCCUUGCUGAUUCACCAAACACAGAAAAGAAAAUCCCAAAUAUUAGUAUACUUUUUUUUUAUUGUUGAUUUUGAAGAUUGAAAUGGGGGGGAACUGAUGAUUACCACGUCGACAGAGUCCUUAGAGGCUUGAGCUAGGAUGUCGGCACAGGAGACAACGCCAGGGCAUUCUAUCUCGACGGCAGCUUUGAUAGCGUCGAUAAUCUCGAUUCCUUGGAUUCCUAAGUUUCCAAGUCCGUUGAGCUCGGUCUCGAAGCCAGGAGGAUCCUCUAGCAAAACAGACCCAUCGCAGCCCUACAAAAUGAACCCCAUUGUAAAAACAUAUGGAAUAGGAAAGGGAAGUAAAUGAAGUAAGGAAGAAUAGUUACUUGGACGAAACAAUCGUGGAAAUGGAAGCGAAUGAGUUUAGCACCAGCACGAAUAUCAGUUUCGAUAGCUCUUUUGACUUCACGGCGGACAAUGUUAGGGAGACGAGGGCAAGUUUGGUCGUAGAAAUUCUCAGUGAGUUGGGCAUAAGAGGUUACAAAGAAAACACAAAGAAACGAAAGGAAGAAACUGAAGGAACCCAUCUUGUUUGGUGAUGAAACAACCACAAAUGAAGCAUCUUUUUAUAGGGAUAUUGAAUGAAGAAUGGAAGAGGACUGAUUCAAAACAGUGGAUAGACGAAAGAGGAUAUUUUAGGGCAAGUGUCCAUGAUUCUUUUUAAUUUAAUUUAAUUUCAUAAUUAAAACUAAUGAUCACAUUAUGGAAGAAUCAUGUUUCAUAAUUUUGUUGAUUAAAACUAGUCGGAACCAAUCCGACCCGACCCAACCCAAAUGCUUGAAUAAGGGUUAUUAAGUUUGAAAACAGCUACUGAAAAGUAAGGUUUUUAUUUGGCGUGUUUGGUAAUAUUUAGAAUCUAUUGAAUGGAAUAUUGGAGUUGGAAAUAAUUGGAAAAGGAGUUGGAAAUAAUAAUGAGCAGCCUAAGAGAAUCUUGGAUUGAAGUAUUGAAAUGAAGUAGAAGAUGCUUUUGAGUGGAGAAAGAAGGCAAAGUUUGAAUACCAUAUUGGAGUUGCACAUAAUAAUAUUAAUUAAGGAAAUGGUAACUUAGUUGUGUGGUUGAAUAUGUUAUUGAAGGAAUUUAUUUAUGGUAUUAGGGGAAAAUGGUUCCCCACGUGAGAGACUCUGCCAAUUCAAACUCUCUAUAAAGUAAGUCAUAUUCAAUUAGAUCACGUCUCACUUUUUUUACUUUUUAUCCUUUACAAAAUCAACUUUCCAUCCAAAAAUUACCCUAACAAAAUUUCAUAUUAGUUUUUAUCAAGUCACGUUAAUAAAAUCUAAAAUUUUAAAACAUAUUAUUUUGUUACUAUUUUUGUUUAGUUAAUAAAAUCUAAAAUUUUAAAACAUAUUAUUUUGUUACUAUUUUUGUUUAUUUUAUAAUAUUAAUUGUAAUUAAUGGAAUUUUACUAUUUUUGAUAGCUAUUAAAAUUGAUCUUAAAAUUGUGCAUCAUAAGUAUUUUAGAUCCCAUUAAUAUUACUAAUCAUGAAUAUUUAGUAAAAAAACCAAUAGUUAAUAUUAUUAACCGUGAAUUUUGAAGUGAAUAUUUAGUAAAAAAUGGACAUUACAAGACAUCAAAACUCUAAAAACCAAAUUAAAACAACUUAAAACUGAAUGAUAAAAUUGUUAGAUUAAAAUCAAACUAAAAACUUAGAUGCCUAUUUUAUUUUUUAAUUAUUAAAUUAAUUUAUGCAUCCAUCCUCAUUUUUCUUUGCCUUUUUCACAUUUGUUUUAGAACUCUAAAGAGAUUAACUUUUUUUAGUGAAAAAAAUAAACUUGGAGUAAACUUAAGAAAAACGGUUGUUCAAAAAAUAUCUUGAAUUAUUUAGUCGGCACUCUGUGAACAACCAACCAAGUUGUAGGUUUCUUCAAAGUUUAAAGACAUGCAAUAUAUAACUAAAUUCACUAAUCGAAUAACGUCAUUUGUACCUAAAACAGUCUACCUAAGACAGUUGUACAUUAUUAGUUAAACAAUGUAUAUAUAGAUCUAUGCGUCGAUCUCUCUACGGUACAUUUCUUUAUAUUCUCUCAAUUUUCAUUAACCGUGUGGAUAUGGGAUACAAUGUUCACUUUGGAAAGGGGUCCUUAAUGAUUUUAGAUAAAUUAUUUCCUCUGAUUUGAUUGACUUUACAUGGCAGCUCAUAGAAGGGAAAGAGUGUCGGUAAAAUCAUCCAAAAAAGUCUACCAAAAGCUAUGCCUUUUUUUCUUUUAACUUUGAGAAUAAUGUACCUAAACCACUCUUAAAUUAUCAUCCACAGAAAUUUUAAAUCUCAUUCAAACUUUAAAACUUUUCAAUUUUACAAAAUGUGUUAGAGACAUUAAUAGGACUAAUUGCAACAAUUAAUAAACUACAGGCAUGAUUAGUCAAAUUAAAAAAGUUAUGGAUCAAACCCUGUAACUUAGGAUAGUUUUGUCCAAUAAAAAUACUAAACAAGCUUGAUCACUUGUUAGCUAGUUUGAUAAUAAAUAAAUGCAAGGGGGGCUGCUUUGCAGUGGGAAUUGAAGAGGAGUCCAAUUGUAAAACUUUGAACUCUGACCACCAAAACUAUUUACCUCAAUAUUGAAUGACCUACUUUGUUUUUGUUCAAUAAAAAAUUAUUAUUUAUUAAUUUCCAUAAAAGGCUAUUUUCAAAGUUAUAGCCUUCUCUGAAUUAAAUAAUAAAUUUUAAAAAUUAUCUUAACGUGUCAAUAUUCAAUUAAUUAAUUAUAUACCCAACAAUCUCAUCUAAAAUUUAUAGAUGUGUGUCAUUAAUGAUACUCAUGAGAAAAGGGGGGGCUUACUCGUCGCUUUCAUAAUGAAUAAACGCAAGGGGUGGGAUGCUUUGUGGUGGGUAAGAUUAUUGGGGAUGGGGCGGCUGCUAAUACUUAAAAACUUUGAACUUUCAACGCCAACCCAUUUUACCUCAUAUAUUAAAUCUCCUCAUCUCUUGUUUGUUGUUAUUGUUUUAGUUUACAAUUUUCUCUAAUUUACUGUAAAUAUUUUAAAUAAUGAUAUGCAGUAAAAGAGAAUUCUAUUAUUUAGGUCAACGAUAUAUAUAUCUUAACCGGUUGAACUAAUACAUCAACAAAGUAGUACAAGAGACAGCAAAAGUAGAAGGGAUGAAGUGGGAUAAAGUUAUUACAUAACGUCGUAGGCUCUGACUGGGUUGACCCUCUUACAGUCCAAUCUAACUUCUGAUGCAAUGCCAGGGGGAGGCUUGAGGUUGCCCAUUUUGAUCAUUGAUUUCACAAAUUGUUUAAAGAAGGCACGUUCGUUGGCAGCAAAAGUUCUGACAAUGGCUGUGGUAUCAGCUCUGGGAGUUGAGAAGAGCUCUUGGUCGCUUUGGAGAAGCCCUCUUAAGCUAAUCAAAUUGUUGUAAUAGGUCUUGUCAAAUCUAGUGGGUGUGACUGGGUCGAAAUUUACUCGUGUUUGUUGAGUAGUACAAAGUCUUCGAAGCUGCUCCCUGUAUAUUGGGUCAAGCGUUGUGUCGGGUCUUCCUGUGCCGUUGAAGUUGAUGAGGCGGUCACUGAAGAACAUGCAUCUUGAUUUUCCAAACGUGUGGGCUCCUGAUAGAGCCACGAGAUCUGUAGAAUCAAGCCCUUGAUCUUUAAACUUGCCUUUAAGUCCCACUAGAGUUUCUGAGGGACCAGGUAAGUUUGAGGUUCCAGUUCUAUUGGCUAUUCUGCUGUCUUUUCUUCCCAUUGGUACAACCCAAAUUGGUCCUCCCGACUGCCAAAACACCAUAAAAGUUAACAUUAUUACUUGCCGAAGAUAACAAAUCUCCAUUUAUCUUUACAAAAGUAGGCAGGGUUUUACUUUUGGUUUUAAAAAAAAUGUUUUGUACCAUUCAAAAUAGUUGUCAUCUUAGCUUAUGUAGUGGGUAUGAGAUUUUAAUUUCAUCGCAUUCUCCGCAUCUCAAUUGAGCUACUUAUAGAAAGAAUAGGAAACAUAAAUUUAAUUAAAGUAAUUACCAAGAAAACAGAGAUUUGAGAUGAAAUGGCUAAGAUAUCAGCGCAAGAAACAACUCCUGGACAAGCACUCUCAACUGCUGCUUUGAUGUUGUCCACAAUGUCCAUUCCUUGGAUUCCACCAUUUGGAGGUCCAUUAAGUUCACUAUCGAUAACGCCCGGUACGUCUACCAAUAGAAUCGAUCCAUCACACCCCUACACAAAACCAAAAAAAAUAUUAAGAGUAGAUUCAUCCAUCAUGUUACAAAACAUUUACUAGAUAUGUGUUUAUGCAAUACGAAAAAAAAAAGAAAAUGAAAUAAAAUAAUACAUUGACAAAGCAAUCAUGAAAAUGGAGGCGAAUGAGCUUAGCAGCAGCUCGGUCAUCAGUCUGUAGGGCUUGGGCAACCACGUUGAGAACAACGAAAGGCAGCUGAGGGCAUGUGGUGGCGUAGAAGAAAGGAGAAAGCUGGGCUUGAGAGGGUGAUAGCAUCAAAGCCACCACCACAACAAUGGCUGCCAUUUUAGGUAAACCCAUUUUUGAUACUGCAAAUGGGGUCUUCUCUGGUCUUUGCUUUGGGGAUAAGAAACUUUGUGCAAACAUAUCUUCCUUUUAUACACACCCCAUCACCUUUAAUUUUUAGUAUACCAAACAACUUGGGAUUCAAUUAAACAAUACAAUAAUCCAACUCUAUCCCACAAUUAAAAUAUGACUUUUCUUUUUCUCUCUUUUUGAAAUUUGGUACUGCCUUGGGUUGGUUUUAUACCAUUAUUGCUUGUCUUCUUGUGUGUGUGUAUAUAUAUUUUCAAUGACCAUUCUAGUAAAUUUGCCUCCUUGUACGAUUUUCUUUUUCUAUCUUAUUAUGCACAUGAUGUAUAGCAGUGUGCAUGCAUCAACGUACACAUAGUUUAACGGGAAGAUUAUAUUGUUUCUUUGUUUAAUAAAUGAAGUUGUUGGGGAUUCAACUUUUAAAAUACCCAAAUUUUUUGUGAAGAGAUGGCUACUGGAUUUUUUGUGAGAUUCCAUAUUUUUAUAAUUUAUUUUAUGGAAUUGAUCAUCAAAUAUAAAAUUACAAGAUUAUUGUGUUGUUGUAAUUUUGUGACUAUUAAUAAUAAAUCCAUGAAUUGUCAAAAAUCUUAAAUGACAAGAUUGGUAGUUUAAAAGUUAUAUUUAUUAGACAUUUUGGAAAUAGAAAUAAAAAAUCUCUUAAAAGUAGAAAAAAUUAUGAAUUCCAAUUUUGAGGGCUGUUGGUAUCAAAAUUUCUAAUUAAGUUCAUUAUUAUAUGGUUACUAUCCAUUUAUAAGUUGAAGUUCUACUUAAUUUUUUUAAAAAAAUGUGAAACGUACUAAAAAGGUUUACUUUUAAAAUUGAAGGACGAUACAUACUUAUUGAUUGAUGAAGACUUCGAGAACUAAAAAAAAUAGAUUUUCUAUUUUUUUUAUAUUUAUAUUAUGUUUGUAACGAUAAUUCUUCAUGCCUAAAGCUAAACUUGUUGGGUAAGGUUGGAAAGAAGAGAAAGAGAAAAAGAAAUUACUACACUAUAAUAAGAAAAGAAACGAGGUAUAUAUUAUGAUAAUUACAAGUUUUUUACCAAAUGACAUUGCUACAAAAAGGAUAAAGAUGUUUAGUUGAAUUUAGAGUUUGUUUAAAUUGAUGGGAGAAAAAAUGUUUUUCAAUUUAAUUCCCUUUUAUUUAAAUAUUCUUUGUAAAAGUUAAUUAAAAUGCACUUUGAUGUUGUCACGAUGUCUAGGCCUUGGAUUCCAUUGUUGGGAGGUGCGUUCAAUUCACUGUCGAUAACACCAGGUACGUCUUCCAAUAGCACAUAUCCAUCACACUCCUACAUAAAUUGACCCAACAUCCAACGUAUAAGUCUUGCUUUAUACUUUCGUAUAGGAAGAAGUGAGAAGAUGUUUGGCUAAACAAAAAAAAAAAAAAGUAUUUUUAAGUAGUUAGAAAAAAUCAAUUCAAAUAGGUUUAUGAUGAGUACGUGCAUUGGCAAAGCAGUCAUGAAAGUGGAAACGAAUGAACUUGGCAGCAGCUCGAUCAUCUGUUUGGAGAGCUUGAUAGACUGUAUUUAGAACAACAGCAGUCAGUUAAGGGCAAGUCGAGGCGUAGAAUAAAUUGUUAAGCUGAGCCAGAGAGGGAGCAAGCAUCAAAGCUACCACAACAAAGGCCGUAAGUUUAGAGGAAGCCAUUGCUAAUGUUUUUGGGUUAUUUGUGAGAGUAAGUUGUGGAGAAAUGGAGAGGUGAUGUUUGAUUAAUUUAUACACAGCAGCCAUGAGUUUGGGGCACAUAUAGUCGAUUGAUUCAAGGUCAUUAACAUUAAAUUAUUAACAAAAUUGAGUAUGAUUAUUUUCAACACAUCAGGGUUUUCGUUUGGUAUUUGGGCUACCUAUAUACAAUAUAAGUGCAAUCUUAUCAUUAAAAUUAAUUGUAUUUCUUACUUCAAUUUGCAGUACUAGUUAGUUUAAUAGCUCAAGUUUUAAGUGCAUAAGCAUGUUGAUAGAUAAUCAAAGAUCUUGCCGAUUAUAAAUCUUGUUAUGAUUUCCAUUAUCCAAUUCCUACAAAUUUCGAUCACUUGAUCAAAAUAUGAUUGACUUUUUUGUUUACAUAAUUCACAUUAAUGAACACGUUUUAUACUAUAAUGCAUCACCUGCCAAAAGAACUAUAUGGUAAUUCAAUUUGCAUUUUCUCUCCUUUAAGUUUAAAAGAAAUCAUAUACCAAACAAAAUAUAUGAUUUAAAUAUUUGUAAGAACGAGAGAGGAGACAUUGGGAGGACAACUUUUUGGGCCCGUUUGCUCUUUCUACACAAGCCUAUAUAUGAUUUAAAUACUGUCAUUUGCACAAGCCAAGACUUUUUGCUCUUUCUAUACUGUCCAAGAUGGAACUAUCAAAGAUGCUUGGGAAGGCUACCAUUUCGGACUGGGAUAUUUUUUCUAGAAGGCUGUUAAAAAGCUUGGAAAGGCAGCAAUGGGAUAGCCUGAAACAACCCUUUAUCUCUCCAAAUAACAAUAGAGGUCCUUAUCUCCCCAAGUGGAAGUUAAACUCUGACGGAAAAUUCACCAUUGAUUCGGUAAAAAAAGGCCUUGAUCAAUGUUGAACAAAGAGAUGAAGCUAAUAUGAGGGCUGAUAUUUUCCGGAAGCUUUGAAAAUCAAAAUAUCGAAAAAAUGCAGAUUCUUCCUCUUGUCCCUUUUACAUAAAUGCAUAAAUACAGCCAACAUACUACAAAAAAAGAUUUCGGCUCUUCAGCUCAACCCGAACUGGUGUGCCAUGUGCUAUAAGCAUUCUGAAGAGAUUGAUCAUAUCUUUACCAGUUGCAAAACUACAAAGAUAUUUUAGAAAAAGCUUGAAAUUAAGUUCUUAUUGGCUGAAAAAAUCAACAUCUUAAUGUUCAAUCCGGAUUGUGGCUGUGAUGAUAUUUGUCUCAUCAAGCAACGUAAUCAGAAGAAUGUCAUUAAGUUCAAUACUAUAUUGUGGCUGUGAUUUGGUAUGUUUGGUUGGAGAGAAAUAACGGUGUUUUCAAGGACAAGAGCAAAUGAACCAUCACUCUUUGGGAAGAUAUAUGCUCUCUUUGGGGUUAUUGGACUAGCAGGUUUUCUCUUUUGUCAAGUUACAAUGCCUCUACUAUUUCUAAUCAACCUUGCUGCUUUCUAAUUUGUUUGUAUUGAACUUUUCUCUACCCCUCUGGUAACUUUUUUGAAUUUUUUCCUUGGUUCUCACGUACAUUUAUUGAUCUAUUUUAAUGAAACGGAAAUGAUGACGGUGCUAAGGAGGUGUUCGGGUACACCUGUUGACCUAAUGUAGCUUUAAAAAAAACAAAAAAACUUUGGGUCCGUUUAUGCUAGUGUUUCUAUUUCCUGUUCCAUAUUUGUCUCGUUUCCAGUUUUUCAUUCCUUGUUCUUUAUUUUACAAUAAAAAAUAACAUUAUGUUUGAUAUAACUAUUUUCCUUUUCUGUUUCUUGAAAAAAUAAACAGAAACAAAAAAUUGUUUGAUAGUCAUUUCUUGUUUCUUGUGUUGUUUUUUUCCAACAUUUUAGUUUAAACAUAAUAUAAUUACGUAAAAAAUAAAAAAUAUAUAUAGAACUUAAUUAUAAUUUUAAAAAAUAAUUAUAAAACAUUAACAUUAACAAAUACAUCUAAGUUAAGUAAAAAAUUAAUAACUAUAAUACAAUAAUUUUUAUUAAUCAUAUGCUACUAAAUUUUGAUUUGAAAUAUUAUUUCUUAUUAAAUUAAUUUCUCUCUAGUAACGUUCAUUCAAAUUAAACUCAAUUAUAUUAGUAGGUAAACGUGUAGGAUUUUGAUUAUCUUAGUCAACAAAAUUUAUAUAACAUAAUAUUCUAAAUUUAUAUAAUAUAAAAUUCUAAAUAAUUUGAAUGAAACUAAAAAUAAUAAAUCUAAAUUGGGAGGGAUGGCCAAAAACUUCAACCUUUUUUAAAAAAAUCAAACACCUCAAUUUUAAAAAACACACUAUUAACGAAAAGCAAGUGGAGAUUAAUUUGGAUUUUGAAUACGAAUGUUCCCAUAAAUAUUAUAGUAUUUUAUCUUAUUAUUGUGUGAUAUGAGAGAAACAGAGCAACCAACCUCUGACUUUGUUGUUUUACAUCACUACUUAAUAAUAAAAGAAAACUUCCAAACACCUAAUCCAUUGAUUUAACAAGAACCACAUAUAUAUAUAUAUAUAUAUGUAUGUAUGUAUGUAUGUAUGUAGCUAAUGAACUGGAUUCAAACAUGUAAACAAACACAACAACAAAGUUGAAGUUUAUUUCUGUAAAUUUAAGUUUAAAUUAGUUAGAUAACAUCAUGGAAGGUCGUGGGUGGGUUGAUCUUCCUGCAGUUCAAUCUGACUUCAGAUGGGGUGCCAGGCGGAGGGCCAAGAUUCCCCAUUUUGAUCAUGGAAUUCCCAAAUUGAAUAAAGAACAGAAGCUGACUAGCAGCAAAUGUGUUGACAAUGCCAAUUGUAUCGGCCCCAGGGGUUGAGAAAAGCUCUUGAUCACUUUGGAGAAGCCCUUUAUGGUUUUGGAGAUUAGUGUAAUAGUUUUUAUCGAAUGUGUCUGGUGUGGUUGGAUCAAAGUUUACUCUUGUUACUGGAGUGGCACAAAGUUGGCGUAGCUGCUCCCUGUAUGCGGCGUCUAGAGUCGGGUCGGGUAGGCCAGUGUUGUUGAAGUUGUCGAACCGUCCUGUGAAGAAGAAACAUCUUGCUCGACCGAAUGUGUGCGCUCCCGAUAGGGUCACAAGGUCCGUAGAACUCAUCCCGAAGGCUGCAAAUUUGGAUUUCAGCACGUCUAGAGUUUCGAAUGGACUUGGCAGAUUUGCAGCUGCGGCUCUAUUUGCUAUUCUACUGUCUUUUCUUCCCAAUGGGACGAUCCAUGCUGGCCCUCCAGACUAUUGCAGUAAUUAACAAUCUUGUUUUAAUUAGAGAGAUAAGUUUCAAAUAUAGUAAAACGAGCUAGCUAACUUAUUUAUAAGUAUAACAGGAUGAAAUCAUCGAUACCUACCAGCACAACAGACACUUGAGAUGAGAGGGCUAAUAUGUCAGCACAAGAAACAACGCCUGGACAUGCGCUUUCAACUGCUGCUUUGAUGUUGUCCACAAUGUCUAACCCUUGGAUUCCAUUGUUUGGAGCUGCGUUCAAUUCACUGUCGAUAACACCAGGUACGUCUUCCAAUAGCACAGAUCCAUCACACCCCUACAUAAAUGACCCAACAUCCAAUAUAUCAGAAGAUGUUUAACUAAAAAAAAAAAAUGUAUUUAAGUAGUUAGAAAAAUGAAUUCAAGUAGGUUUAUGAUGAGUACGUGCAUUGGCAAAGCAGUCAUGGAAGUGGAGACGAAUGAGCUUGGCAGCAGCUCGGUCGUCGGUUUGGAGAGCUUGAGAGACUGUAUUUAGAACAAUGAAAGGUAGUUGAGGGCAAGUGAAGGUGUAGAAGAAAGGGUUAAGCUGAGCGAGAGAGGGAGCAAGCAUCAAAGCUACCACUGCAACAAAGGGUGUAAGUUUAGGGGAAGCCAUUGCUAAGGCUUUUGGUUUUGUGAGAAUAAGUUGUGGAGAACUGGAGAGGUGAGGUGAGGUUUGAUUAAUUUAUACAGCAGCCAUGAGCUUGGGCCACAAGUUGUCGAUGGAUUCAAGGUCAUUAACAAAAUUGAAUAUGAAUAAUUUGAAUACAACAUUAGGGUUUUCGUUUGGUAUUGGGUUACCUAUAUACAUGUAAUUGCAAUCUUAUCAUUAAAUUAUUUGUAUUUCUUUACUUCAAUUUGCACUGCUUACUAGUUAGUUUAAUUGUUCAAAUUUUGAAUGUAUAAAUAUGUUGAAAGAACAAGAAACAAAAAUUAUGGUUGGUAACUAUUUCUUUAAUCUUUUUGUUUAUCAUUUUUUAGUUUAAAUAUAAAAAAUAAAAAAUUAAAUAACAUUAAGCCUCACCCAGGUGAGUAAUAGAAACAAGGAACACAAAAACAAAAACGUUAUCGAACGAGUCUUAAAGUCCUUAUAAUGAUCUUUACUAAUUUCAUAGCAACGUUUAAAUACAACUUAAGCUGUAUUUAUCACAUGUAUUCCCCACUUCUCUAUCACACCAAAAAAAAAAAAAGAAAAACUUAUUUUUAAAGAAUAAAAAUAAUACGAAACAACAUUUUAUUGGAUUAUAUUUAAAUUGUACAAAGAUAGAUGCAUGUAUACAAGGGAGUACUCAAUUAAGUUUUAAAUUUUAUGAUAAUUCUUUAGUAUAAAAAUAAGUCACUGAUUGAGAUUGUAGAUUAAUAUUUACGUGUGUUUUAGAUAUAUAUUAUUUGAAUUGAAAUAGAUGUUAAGAAUAUUAUGAGAGUUGUGAAAUACCUAAUCGGAAUAUCUUAACUUGUCAUUUUUCCACAACAAAAUAAAUAAAUAUAUAUAUAUAUAUAUAUAUAUAUAUAUAUAUAUAUAUAUAUAUAUAUAUAUAUAUAUAUAUAUUAAAGAAAGGAAUUGUCCAAAGGAUAUUAUAACAAAACCUGAAAACCAUUCCUUUGUUUUCUUCUUUCAAACUUUAUUAUAUAUAUGUAAAUAGUACUAAAUAGCUACCUAACAACCCCCUCCAUAGUCCACAUCCAUAUAGCUUUUAUACCAAAAAGAAUAUUACUUACUCACCUCGUUUAUACUAUCCAUCUUUGAAUAGUCUAUUAAAUUUUAAAUACUUUAGUACAUUUUUACGUGAGUCGUGAGAAAAUACACCCAAUAUUACCUCAUUUAAUUUGAUAUCUUCUCCAUUUUUCUCUCUAGAAAAAGUAAAUUAUUUUUUAAAAAAUGGUUCAUUUUCUUAUGUUUGUAUGCAUAGCUGUUUGUUGAGUUAAAAGUCAGUAAAAGAAAAUUUAUUCAAAUUUUAAAUUCAACCCUUACUUUUUAAAAAGAAAAAAAGGAAAGAAAAUCUUGAAAUUUGAAAUUUUAGACAUAGACUUCGAUAUAUUCUAUUUUUAAAUAUGUAAAUUUGACUGAUUCAAAACUUUGAUUUACAUUCCAAAUAUUAUGUUAUUUGCCUGUAAAGUCCAUCCUAUUAUUUUUGUUUAUUUAGAUAAUGUAAUCUAAGGCCCUUACCCAAAACUCAAUAGUUUAUUAAUUUAAUAACCUAAAUAAAACUAAAUAAAUAUAUUUUUUUAGAUUAUGAGAAAUAAAAAGAAAAAAGAGGAGUGGGUGAGUAAAGUUUGCAAAAUUUAAGCAGCCUUAUUUAAUUUAAUUAAUAAUUUUGAAUAAUAUAAAAUGAAAAAGUCCAUUUAAAUCCGAUCAACUUUGUCAAAAAUCCACGUGCCAUUUUUACCAAUUUCAAAUAUUCAUAUCCUCAUAUCCUCAUCUCAUUAUAUAUAUUUUUAUUAUAUAGUUUUAAUUUAAUAUAUGGUUGUUUUGAAGUCUCCGUUGGAUGGCGUCGGACAAAUUGGAGAAAUUGCCACGAAGGAUCCACGAACUUCCCUUCUUUUAAUUUACUUCUAAUCAUUUUGACUAUUUAUACUCUUCAUCUCAUUAUAAUUUUCUCCACAAUUCAUCCCUUUAUUAUUUGUUUUAAUUAAUUUAAUUCCAUUCAGAUUGAGAUUUUGAGAUUGUUUGGUGUUGUUGUGAGUUUUGAUAUCAUCCUCAUCCUUCCGAGAUUUAGAUUGGAUUUCUAAGUUUAGGAUUAUUUGGAUGAAUGAUUCGCAAUAUAUUUAGACGAGUGGUUAGGGUUUAGUAUGCACCUUCGAGAACUACUAACGUGUGACGAUACAACAUUCUAAACUAAGAGAAUAAUAAGUUACUCAAUAAUAUUUAAAGUUAGGAUUUUACGUGAAUAUUGAUUAAGGGGAUCGAGUUGUACAUGUCCUUAUUAAUGUUAUGACAACUGUUAUUGUACAAUAUAAUUUUAAUUGUUGAGUCAAUCUAUGAUCAGUACGUUGAUCGAUGUUUAAAGUGUUGUAUCCUCAAUCAUAAAACAUUGUAACGAUCAAUUACUACACAACUAAUGUAAUCUCUUAUUAUGGGCAUAGUGUCCCCAACAGUUUGAUGAUGUCCUUCCGUAGUUGUUCUUUUUUAUAUUAAUUUUCGAUACAACAAGCAACAAUAACUAAGUGUGUGAUUUUUCAAUCUAGUCUCGAUAACAAAGGCUGAGAUUGGUUUGUUUAAUUUUCUCAAUCUAAUGAUAUUAGUUAAAUUUUAUAAUUAAUAUCUUUGGUAUCUUUAAAUUUAUUAUCUUUUCAUUCUCAAUUCUCACCCAACCUUAAACCUUCCUACCAAACUAAUAUACCUACAAGAAAAUAUACAACAUUAACUCAUCAAUUACUACACAAUAAUAUCAACACAGUAGCACACAAAAGAACAACUAUACAGUAUUUGACUAUAUAAUAUUAGCUAGUGCCAAGUUAAAAUUAAGAGCAAAUCAUAAGGCCCAUUAUUUGGUAUUUACAGAGAGUGACAAAAAGAACAAAGAAAAAGGUUCGAUCCCAAGCAAAUGAGACCUCAAUAUUCACACAAAUGAAUAUACAUUUGACUGAUUAUGCAUUGUUGAUAAAUUUGUUAACUAUGCACUCAUUUAUUAUACUCUUGUGAUAAACUUAACAAUGCUACAUUUGAUUAUACCCACGAUGAUAAUGAUACAUUAAUUUAUAUAUUAUAAUGAUAUAUGGUAACUAUUUUAAUAUUUAGAGUGGCAAAGGGCCAAAAGACACUUUAAAUCCGAGGCUGCGAUUAGGUAAUUGCUAAAGUUUUAAUAAUUAAUUAAUAAGUAAAGAGGAAGUUGGAUCAAAUUUUGUAAUUUUAAGGUUGCCUUAGUGGGUUCUUGGUGGGUUCAUGGCUUUGGAACUGCACAAAUCUCCAAAACAAUUAAACAAAAAUGUUUAGCCACAAACCAAAGAUUAAAAUAUGAACGAAUAUCUAAGUUCGACACCUACGCCCUUAUUACGUUUAUAACUUAGUUUUAUUGAAGAACAAACCAUAAAACAACGACAUACAAAACCAUCCAAAACCACAAGUAAUUAAACAAAGUUACAUAAAAUCACGACCUUCAUCAGUACUUCUAGGCCUUCUUGGAUUAACCCUCCUACAAUUCAAUCUAAUCUCUCCUUUGUUUCCGGUUAAAGGAGUAAUAUUUCCCAUUUUGAUCAUAGACUGACCAAAACUUUUGAAAAACUCGCCUUGCUUUUUGGCAAACCGGUUCACAAUCCCCACCGUGUCAGCCCCACUAGUUGAGAACAGUACUUGAUCACUCUCCAAAAGUCCUCUUAGCCCUUGAAGGUUCGUGUAAUAGUUUUUGUCAAAUGUGUCUGGAGUCGUCGGAUCAAAAUUGGCUCUUGUCUCUGACCCACUUGAGCAAAUUCUUUUGAGCUGCUCUCUGUAGGCUGGGUCCAGCGUUGGGUCUGGCGUGUCGAAUCUUUGGCUGAAAAAUGCGCACCUUGAACGCCCAAAUGUAUGUGCUCCUGAAUUUAAACCCAAUAAUUAGUUUGAUUAUUUAACCCCGACCGUUAAUGGUUAAUUAAUUUUGUAUUAAUUUUACCAGACAAAGCCACGAGAUCAGUGGAAUUGAGACCGAAAGCACCAAAUUUGGCUUUGAGUGCAUUGAGAUCUUCAAAGGGACUGGCGAGGUUGUUUGUGGCUCCUUCUUUAUUCGCUGUUCUGCUGUCUCUUCGUCCUAAUGGCACAACCCAGCUCGGCCCUCCAGCCUGAAUUCAAAACUACUUUGUUUAUACUCUUUUUUUUAAAAAAAUAAAAGUGGGUUAUGAUAUGAUAUGAUAUGAUAUUUAGUUACCAAUACGACGGAUUCUUUGGAGGCAAUGGCUAAGAUGUCAGCACAAGAGACAGUGCGAGGGCAAGCCUUUUCAACAGCGGAUUUGAUGUCAUCGACAAUGUUAAGACCUUGAAUGCCUUGAUUUCCAGGGGCAUCUAGUUCACUGUCUAUGCCUGGUGCAUUCUCUAGCAAAACAGACGCAUCACACCCCUGCAAUAUUACCCAUAUUUCACAUCAAUUUUCGUUUUCAGCAAAAAAAAAACAUAAAAAUGUAGAAUGAAACUGAGAUUUGUUGUUAAUUAGUUGGAUACGUCAACAAAGCAGUCAUGAAAAUGGAGACGAAUUAGCUUGGCUCCAGCUCGAGCAUCGGUUUGCAGAGCCUUAGCAACGACAGCAUUCACAAUAUUAGGUAAAUUAGGACAUGUUUUGGCGUAAAAUGAAGGGUUUAGUUGAGCCAAAGAGUGUCCCACCAGGAAACCCAAUAAGCAAAACAAUGGGAAGAAUAGUGGAGAGUUAGAAGAAUCCAUUUUAAUCAUUGUUGGUGAGAAUGGGAGUGGUGACUUAGCUUCCUUUUUAUACAUAAUUUGGAGUAGAGACAAGAGUAAGUUCUGUAUAAAAGUGAAAGGUGAAUUGUUUUAAAAAUAAUUUCAGGUCACCUUUAGGAUAACCCACAUGGGGCUGCCACGCCUCCUAAUGCCUUUGCUUUUCUCAAGAAAAAAAAUUACAAAAAAUUGUUAAAAAGGAAAAGCUUGAGAGUGUGUUUCAUUCAUAAUUUUGGAAGGAAAGUUGCCCUCUAUACGAGCUGGUGGACUCCAUCAUUAACAAAAUUGAUUUUAUACCUUAAAAACUUCUUACAUUUAAUAACUCUUUACUCAUCAAUAUUCAAUUCCUUACUCUAAACCGUAUCUAAAAGUUCGUAUGGAGUCGAAUUGUUGUAUUUGUUUUAUUUUGAUUCCUAAACAUUAUAAAAAAAAAUUAAACCCUCAAUUCUUUAAAGUGCUUAUAUUUUUUGGUUGUUGUUAUAAUAUUUAUACUAAAAUUUUCAAGAGAAUUAGGGUGAUUCUCGUAUAUUUGGAUGACUUGACCACAAAUUAAGCUCAUCCAUCUAACAAAAAAAUCUAGGGUUUUAAUUUUGAAUUAAAUGUUAGAGGAUGAACGAAUGUUUAAUGGAAGAACUUAAAAGUCACAUUGUCAUGAGAUUUUAAUCGUUUACUAUUUUGGUGAAUUGGUUAUUGGCAUUCUACUACAUUUUCUAACUCAUGUGGGAGAUACUAAAACAUUCAAAUUUUAAGUGUUUUAUCCCUUAAGUUUGUGAUUCAUGAAUGCAUUUUUUUUUCUCGUAUCAUUUUUUCUUCAUUUUUUAAGUUAUGGGAUUCAUUGCAUGUACUGAGAAUAUUUAUUUUCAAUUUCUUAGAGUGUAUUAUCUACCUGAGUUGCAUUUAUUUGAUUUUUAGUUUAUUUUAUCUCGUCACGAGUUGUUAAAUGUUAACGCCCAACAUGCCACUCAUUUUUAAUUUUUUAAAACAAAGCUACAUGGUCGUUCUAGUGACUAAAGUAAAUGAUUUUUAAAAAUUUAAUAAUUUAAUAGACAUUUUUUUUAAGUUUAGAGAUCAAAAUAUAAAGCAACGUUCAAAAUUUAUAGACUAAAAUAAGAUUUAAACAUUUGUUUGAAUGAAAUCACAUGCAUACAUAAAAACAAAAACAAGUAAUUAAUUAUGUUUGUGAUUUCACCCAAAAUACUCAAACAUAUUAAAUUUUGGUGUUAUUUACGUCUGUGAUUUCAUCGUGAGAGCAUACACAUAUAUCAUAUAUAUAGAAUCUCAAUGUUAUUUUGCUCAUAAUUAAAGUAGAGAUUCACAUAACUUUUUCAAAUUAUAUGCGAUCUCUCCAAAUUCUAUACCAAACUCUUACCUCUCCCUCCCUGUAGUUCUCAAAUCAUGUAUGAGAACUUGCAAAUCUUACCUACAAUUUAUAUUUACACAAAUGUCUAAAUUAUUUAAAUAAUUUACCAAUUAUCUUUCCAAAUUUCUCUUAAUUGAGUAAUAUCAAUAGUGUGAUUUUUCAAGGGAGAAUUAUAAAAGAAAAUAACAAAUUUAACAAUAUAUAUAUUUACAACAUAUAGCAAAAUUUUCAGAUUAUAUUAAUAAUAAACUUUGAUAGACAUCGAUAUGUUUCUAUCAAUGAUAUUGAUAGAUAGUGAUAGAAGUCUAUCCGUUUCUAUCAUUAAUAGAAUAAAAAAUUUACUAUAGCCGGUAAAUAUUACUAAUUCUAGAAAUGUCCCGGGAGAAUUACAUGGGCAUUUGAAUUUGUAAUUUUUACCAAAAUCUUCAUUGGUAUUAUAACAAGAAGGUCCAAAACAAUCAACUCGUUAAAAGAAUAAACUUUCAAACUAAAUCUUAGUUGGUAAGCUAAGGAGAAAACUUAAAUUUUUUUUACCAAAAUAUCUCGAUCGAUAAUAUAACAAGAAAGUUUAAAACGUUAAAUUUUGAACUAAAUUUUGGUAUCGAUUUCGCCCGAGAAACGAAUUUUAAAGUGUAAUAGUUUGUAAGGUAAGGUGGAAAACUUAAAAGCAUAGUAUUGUUUACAAUCUGCGAAAGUUCAUCACCCAUAACCUCAAAUAUAACACUCACGUUUAUAAUGUUUUUUUUCUUUUCUUUUAUAAGGUGACGUAAAAGAUGAUUAUAUUCAGAAACCCAAACUUAAUGGACAUUAAAUUCUUCCAUACCUUCACUUUCUUUUUGUCUUUUGUAUGAAACACUAUAGUUUUGAUUGGGAAAAAGAGUCUCUCUCGAACACUGCACGCCAUCUUUGAAAGUAAAUAAAAAUGUAAUCAUAUGUAACUUUCCUUUGAAAGGGAAAAAGAAAGCAAAAUGUAAAGUUUACGUUUUACGUUUUAUGGUUUAGGGUUUAGGGUUUAGGGUAAAAUAAAAGGUAGAAUCCUUUUGUUCAUCCGAAUUUUAGGUUAGUUUUCUCACCUACCAAGUUUAAGAGAAUAGUUUUCAUUAAAACAUACUAAAACAACAACUAAUUAAAUAAAUAAACGUUUUCGACUACCAACGUAUACUAAACAUUUUGUAAAUCCUCGAAGCUUUCAAAAGUUUUUAUUUAUUUUUUAAAUAUCAUUUUGGGUUGUUAAUAUCCUUUUACUUAAUUUUUAUUUCUCUCCACCUUUCUUUUGCAAUUUUUUCUUUUUUAAACUUAUGGGUAUUUAUGAACUUUAAUAGUUCAAAUGUAUUUUUUUAUACAAAUUAACUUUAACAUUCUCAUAGAAAAAACUAAUAAUAAAUGUGUAGUAUCUGUUAAUCCUUUUAAAAUUUUAAAAGUUUAGAAACAUUUUUUUUAUGCAAAAUACAAAGUUAUAUGGGCAUAUUUAUAUAUAUAUAAUUUAGUCUAAUGAGACAAUUAAAUAGGUAAAAGACUACGAUUCUAUUAAAUUUUAAUUAAACUUUACAUUUUUCAUUUUUUUAAAGUAGAAUGGCAUAUAUCCUUAAGGAGAUUGUUAGUUUAGUUUUCUAAUUAUUCAUGUUGAUAAUAUAGUCUGCUAUUUGCUUGUACUGUGUUGAAUCCCUUUUCUUUUGUAUCAGUAAUGAUUAGGUACAACUCCCUGCUCUCCUUUCUAUACUCGCACCAAAAAAUAUUUAAGAAAUUCUUUUUCUACUUCACACUUUCAACUGCUUAGAGUUGCACAAAUGAUCAGAGGUGCAGUUCAAGUAGCAUAUCUAAAUGUUUUAUAUUGAUUUCUGUUUCUUAUGCAUCAUCAUUGGGAGUACUUUUGUAUCCAUAAUAUAUUGUACUGAUGGAUCAUUCUUCUCUAAACUACUUGUUAUCUCUUUUAUCUAACUAUAUUACAAAUGAGAAUGAAGAUGUAUUAGGUAUCUACGGUUGAGAAUCUCACGUUAGAAAAACUAUAUAACUAAAGGAUUUGAUGCUCUUUGAUAAGAUAAAUGAUAUAUAUUUCUUUUAUUUUCAAUUAGCUUUAAGACAAACUCAUGUUAUUAAUAUAUGGUAUUAGAUAAGAGAGACACUAUCUAACUGUUUGUCGAUAUUGAAGAAAUGUUUCAAAAUAUAUGUUAAAGUUGUUGAAGCGUCAAAUGACAUCGUCUUUGAAUUAAUUAUACGAUUUUCUCGAUCUUUCUUGAUUUUCAUACUGAUUUCAAACUUUGAGGUAUCAAAGUGUGAGUCUAUAUUUACGAAACCUAAAAACGCUUUUUACAAAAGUUAAAAAAGAAAAGAAAGAAAAGUAGAAAUGUGUUAUAUACUUAUUGGGAGAAGUACUCAUGUGGAGUGGUGGAGGAGAGGGGUGGUGCUGCUCACCUAACUCCAUAUUAUAAAUAUUGCAAAAGUAGGGUUUUGAUAUUUUUUUGACGGAGACCCUUGCAAAAAUAGCAAAAACAAUUUUUAUAAUAAAAUUCAUGUUACUAUAUUUUCUAAUUAAAUUACAAAUGUAACAACUUAAAAAGUCAAUAAUUCGCCUAUAUCACUAAUUAUACAUAUGUAUAUUGUAACAUGCAGAACAAAACUGGUGCGAUAGGCUAUUUUUUUCUGAACAAAACUGGUGUGAUACACUAUUUUUUUCUGAAUAUUUUUGUUAGGGGAAUUUUCUCUUUUUAUAAAACUGAUGUGGGUCCCACACCCUUAUAUAUAUAUAUAUAUAUAAUUCAUUUUUCUCAUCAUAUUCAUGUGCUGAUAUUUUUCAAUUUCCAAUUUCACUUUCUCCCUAUUAAUUAUUGUAGUAGCCAUAAUUAUUAUUACACUAUGGUGCAAAGCAGGAGCUAUAUCUUCCCUUUUUAAUCCUCUUUCAUUAACAUUAUACUUUUAUUUUUUAAAAAAAUUAUUUUAAACAGCUAUUUGAAAAUAUUCACAAAUUACAUCAAUACUUGACUUCUAUUAAAAUAAUAGAUAUCAAUACUUAUCACUAAUAAUAAGAGAAGACAAAUUUUGUUAUAUUUACAAAUAAGUGUUGGACUCAAUUAUUGUUAUAUUUGAAACCAUUGUUUAUGUUUCUUUUAGUCAAAACCCACGUUAAAGUUGUAUUCAUGUGUUGAUCCUAAUUUGAUUCCUCAAAAGUUAGGGAGGAAUUAUUUAAAUUCUUUAAAAUAUUUUUAUUUAGAAAAAAAGGUGGAAAAGAAGAUAAAGCACUUUUGGACACAGCAUGCUAAAAUUCUUCGUGGUCUUCAAAUAAUUUUGAUGCAAUUAGAGAAGUUUAAGAAGAAGAAAUAUAAAGAGAGGAAGAUAAUUGUAAUAAUAUAGUAGCCAUAUAUUUUAUACUAAUAAUACAAGAGGCAGAAAGUACUUGUUGGAGAGCUAUGAUUGACGUCGAUCACUAAUAUAAUAGAGUAAUUGAUAAAUAUCUGGAAGUCUAUACAAAACAGGUAGUAUUAGAAGUAGAAACAAAGUCUCAUAUUGAUGAUUAAGGACCAUAUAAACAUAGAUACUCAUCUCUAAUCGUAGGAGGCGUCGUGGAGAAAGAAACAAACAAAAGCAUGUUUAUUUAAACAAACAAAUUAGAGGGUAUGAAACUUUUUUUCUUUUGUUUUGGAGAAAUAGAGAAAAGAAAAGAUAGAAAGAAGAGAAAGGGCCAGCGUUGGUUAACAUAAAACAUAUGAAGUGUUUCCAUAUGGUAAAAUAAAUUAGCAGUUACAUAACAGCAGUACCAGCAGCAGUAGUAGUAGGAUUAACACGCCUACAAUUGGUCCUGAUUUCUCCCGCCGGUGCCACUAACGGUUGAAUGUUCCCCAUAUUUAUCAUUGACUGACCAAACUGAGCGAAGAAAUCAGAUUGGUUCCCGGCAAAACGGUUGACGAUCUCGAUGGUUUCUGCCCCUUCGGUUGAGAACAGCUCUUGAUCCGAUUGGAGAAGCCCACGGUUGGUAACCAAAUCAGUGUAAUAUGCAUUGUCGAACGCAUCCGGUGUCGCCACGUCCAGUGCGAUGCGGUUGUUUCCAUCGCCGGUCGGACAAGCGAUGACCAAUGCAUCCCGAAAUGUAGGGUCAAGAGUCGAGUCUGGACUUCCGGUGCCAUUGAAGUUGUUUAGCCUCCCACUGAAGAAUACGCAUCUUGACCUUCCAAAUGUAUGCGCUCCUAAUAAUAAAAACCAUAAUACAUUUAUUGUUCUUAAUUACUUUGUUAGUUAUAUAAAUUAUAUAUAUAUAUAUAUAAUAAAAUUGUUAAAUUAUUACCAGAUAAAGUCACAAGAUCGGUAGAAUCGAGCCCAGCUGCAUUAAAUUUUGCUCGAAGUUGAUCGAGUGUUUCAAAAGGGCUUGGGAGGUUGUUUUCAGCUCCAGUUCUAUUUGCAUUUUGGCUAUCUCUUCUUCCUAAUUGGACUACCCAACCUGACCCUCCUGUCUGCAUUUAGAUUAUUGCAUGUUCAAAUCUUCACAUCCAUACGUUGUUACCGAAAACAUAUUAACUUUUGAUAAAUAUAUGUACUAAUUAAAUUACCAAGACAACAGAUUCACGGGCUGAAAUGGCUAAGAUAUCUGCACAAGACACAGUGUUUGGACAAGAAGCUUCAACUGCAGUUUUGAUGCUGUCGACAAUGUCAAAGCCUUGUAUUCCUUGGUUUCCUGGUGCAUCUAAUUCACUCUCUACACCAUCUUGAUUUUCUAACAAAACUGACCCAUCACAACCCUGUACUCAAAUUCAGUCAUAUAGAAUGCAACUUAAGUAUUAAUUUUAAAGUUCGCCAUAUAACUAGUGGAAGAGAAUAACAAAUGAGGUCUUACGUUGACAAAACAAUCAUGGAAGUGAAAGCGAACAAGCUUGGCUCCGGCUCGAACAUCACCCUGCAAUGCCUGGCUUACAGUAUCUCUGACAACGGCGGUAAGAUUAGGGCAAGACUGGUCGUAGAAGGUAGGGCUGAGUUGGGCAAAAGAGCCCCUCAACAUCAUACACAACAAGGCUGCUAAAGCUGCAACUUUAGGGAACGACAUGGUCUAAUAAUUUUGGUCUUAAUUAUAACUAAAAUUGAAGGAUUAUAGAUAUAUUAUUCAGAAUAUAUAUGAUCAAUGAAUGAAACUAUAAAUCUAACCCUUCCCUUUUAUACACAAAGAUGGGAUUCAUUGUUAUUUUUAUUUUAUGUGAACUUCAAAGAUCAAAAUGGAGUGUUCAACAACCAUAUUUUCCAACUUUGUAAAGUAUAUUAUAUAUGAAUAAACGACACACACUAAAUUCAAAAUGCUAAAUUUAGUUAAAUAUUGUUAUGUUCUACUAAUUAUUUUUAAACUCGACUAUGAUUAAUUAUUUAACAAAUUUGUUGAGUUGUAAUAUGAUAUAUAUUCUGAUAACUACCCUUGAUUAGAAGAGAAAGAGCUGAAUAAUGAAAAACUUUUCGAAUACAAUAUUUGAAAAGAAAAGAAGCAUAUAAUCUUUGAAAAAAAGAAAAAUAUUGAAGUUCUCUCCAAAUAUAUAUAUAGUUAAAAUGGAAUUAAUUAAAGAAAAAUAUUCGUUGGUAUCUACUUUGUUGAUAUAAAACAGCUAAUUUAAUUUAAUUAUCAGACCAUUCCAAAACCAUAUGCUUUUACAAAAUGAUAUUAAUAUCGAGACCUUGAUCACUUUUAUAUAUAUAUUGUUGACCAAUAUUAUUCGUUUUUUCACUACUUUUGUUUCUUCCUAUAAUCUUUUUAAAUUAUUGUUAGGGUAGUUGGCAAUUUGGGCAUCGUUAUUCUUCAAAGACCAACGGGGCAAUGACUAAGAACAAAGUUAUGUAUGUUUUCUCAUUAAACUAAAUAGAAUAAAGUGAUGAAGGGUUAGGCUUACACCAUGCAUAUAUACUAUGUAACAUACAAAGCAAUAUUGGAAGAUUUAUUUGAUGUAGUAUACUUGCCACCAUUUCAACCUCAAACCUAAAACUAUGUAAUAUAUAGUUUAAUCCGUCUAGCUUAUUUAAUAUCGUAUUAAAUAAUAAUAUAAGCUUAAGUUUUUCUAUAAUUGAGCUUUGUACAUCAAUAAUAUUAGGGUAUGAGUCGAACUAUUAUGAGAUCAAUAUAUAUCCUUUUUUAGGUGGAUUUGAUCGUACUUCUCCGAGAAGUGAUGAACAAGAUUAAAGAUAUCUAGCUACUUAUAAAUAAUAACAUAAUAUAAUUUUUUUUUUCCAUUUUGGUCCAUAUAUAACAUUUAAAAUGUUUGUUUUCAUCAUAAAAUUUCCCAACUUACCUAUUUUCAUACUCUCUUUUUUUCCUCUUUCAAUAACUCCAAAAUAAAUAACGGUCAUUAAUCAAAAUAAAUCGUAAAUAAAAUGCUUUCUAACUUUUUGUUGUGAGCUUAGCUCUAACUCUUUAGCUUUCGUGCUGUCGUUUGACUUUUGUCUAUUGUAAUUGUACUAAUUUUUCCUAUAUUAAUGAAAGUGAAGAUGAAUGGGGUGCUAAGGGGUGUCUACCUAAUAAAGAUGUAUUGGUGCACCUGUUGAUCCAUAUUGUAUAUUUUAUUAUUUAAAAAAAUUAAUUCUUUUAUGCCCCAAAAUUGUCCCUCUAAAAGAAUAAUGUGCUUUUUUAAACAAAAAAAAAAAAAAAAAGGAAAAAGAAAAAAAUUGCUUCAUUUGAUAAUGAAAUGUUGUAUUAAUCUUUAGUUUAUAAAUAAAUUAGUCACGUCCCACAAUUAUGUUCAACAAAUUUCUCUUUGAUCAUAAUUUGUUAAUAAAAGGAAGAAGUUAAGACAUUACAUCUAUCAUAUUAAUAAAAAAUUUGAAUAUUUACACCAACAUGCAUUCUAUUUCUAUCUAACAAUAAGAAUAAAAUAUGUUAAUUAAUUAAGAUCAUUAACAUAACUACAAAAUAUUUAAAGUUAAUUAAUUAAAGACUCAAAUUCUUCUUUUUCAUAUAUUAUUGUUGUUCUAGAAAUGAUAAACGAAAUACAGUACAUCAAAUAUAAAUAAAUAAAUACACAUACACACAAACAUAUAUAUAUAUAUAUAUGUAUUGAGUUGGUGUAGACUUGAUUCAUUAAUUUAUUAAAGAUGGCUGAAUUAAAUUACAAAGGGUGAAUAUAUUAAUAUCCAGCAACCUAAAUUUGUCUGUUCUACUAAAGCAAUUGAAUCCAUACAUAUCUAUCCACAGACCAAAAUAAUAUAACAAAUCAACCAAAAUAAUAUAACAAAUCAAACAAUUGGAUGAAUAUAUGGAAACUGCUUCUCUAAUUAAAAUCAAACAUGUGCAAUUUUGCCAAUUUUAUUUUCAUGUACUUUAUAUUGAAAACAUCUCCAACUUUCCAAGGUCUUUAAAAUAUCCAUAAAUGAACUAAAAUAUUUAUAAAUACACCAGGAAAUGUAAACAAUGAGAUAAUGCAAGACACUAAUGUAUUACUAGUAGAUCAUAUUUAUUACUGCAUGUCUAUAUAGUUGAUGGAUGGUUAAGGUUUAGUAUAUUUGAAUUAUAGUAGCUAAGAGGAAUUAACGAUUCCGCAGUUGUUUCGAAUCUGUCCAUUGGAGCCAGUGAGUGGGCUCAUAUUCCCCAUCUUGAUCAUGGCUUUAACAAAGUCGCUGAAGAAAAGCGUAGUGUUUGAGCUAUAAGCUUCGACCAACGGUUUUGUAGUGGUUUGAGCUUCAUCGCUUGAGAACAGGAUCUGGUCGGACGCCAACAGCCCCUUUUGGUUCAGCAAGUUCUUGUAGUAAUGGUUGUCAAAUAAAUCGGUUGAGUUUCGGUCGAGAACAGUGGUCUUGUUGCCGUCAUCGGUGAGAGGGCAGAGAGCUUGAAGAUCAGAUACCAUCAUGGACUCCAUGGUUGGGUCUGGAGAAUCACUUCCUGAGAAGUUGAACAGCCUAUUGUUGAACAUCGCACAUCUUGCAAAUCCAAAUGUAUGAGCUCCUGCAUGCAUGCCAUGCAACCAAUAUUAUUCCUUGAUCAGUUAGCGGUUUGAUGGAUUACAUCUAAUUAUCCCAUUUUAUAUGUCACGUUGAAUAAUUUUAAGAUUGGAAUUCAGAUCCAAUUCAAAGAACAACAAAUGAGUUGUAAUGGGUUAUUACUCAAACUUUAACUUCAAACGAAAAUUGGCUGUGUGCUUUCAACAUUUAACUGAUGACAUUAAAAUCAAUGAAACAUGCGAUUCUCAAACUUUCCUUUUAACUUCUUUGUUAUUUCACACUAUAGUGACAUUUUUUUUCCCUUACGUACGUUUCAUUUAUUUCUUUCACGAUAUAUAAUAGAAAGAUUGAUUUACGAACAGUUGUUAUUACAACAGAUUUCAUAAUUCGAAAAUUGUAAACAUGCAUGCAUGAUUUGGUUAAAUAUAUAAUACAAAUAUAUAGACGCACCAGAUAAAGCCGCGACGUCAGUCACAUUGAGCCCAACUUGAAUGAAUUUCUUGAUGAUACCAUCAAGGCUUUCAAAUGGAGAAGGAAGUUCCUCGGCUCCUGUUCUAUUCGCUACCAAUCCAUCUCUUCUCCCCAAUAAUACUUUCCAUGCCGGUCCUCCGCUCUACAACAUAUUUCAACCAUAAUAUUGAUUAAAAUCCCCCCUCCCCCCAAAAAAAGAGCUAUAUCUAUAACUAUAUCUAUACAUAUAUAUACUUGAGUUGGUGAUUAAUUACCAAGAGAACAGAAUCUCUGGCAGCUAUGGUUAAUAUAUCAGCACAAGAUACAACUCCCGGACAUGAAUUCUCCACUACUGCUUUGAUGUUAUCCAUAACUUCAAGCCCUCUCAGAGAAUUGAUGUUGGGAAGUGCAUUUUGCUCCCCAUCACUCCCAUCCAACAGCACAGACGCGUCGCAACCCUGUUCGUUUGUAGUGUUAGAUUAGUAAGUGCCAUGGAUCACGGUUUUAACGCUAAUAAUUUAACAUACAGCAAGAAUGGAAAAUAUAAACACACUUUUCUUAACGGUAGACUUUAAUCCUAACAGAGGUCAAUAAGUUGAUAGAUGUUUCAACACCUAAAUCUAAAUUUUACUAUAUUUGUAAUUUUUUUUAUUGUGUUAUAUAUACUACUAAUACUUUGAAUUUGAAUUUGAGUUUGAGUGUUAUAUUUGAAACUAUUCUCCUAAAAAAUCAUGAAAAGAACUAAUAAAUGCAAUGAUAAUGCAUGUUUAAUUACGCUAACAAAGCAGUCGUGAAAAUGGAGGCGAAGAAGGGAAGCAGCCAUUCGCAUAUCGUUCUUGAGAGCAUUGAUGACUUCUCUCCUCACGAUUCUGAGAACAUUUGGACACGAUCUUCUGUAGAAAUCUACAGUUAAUUGAGAACUAGUGGAACCACAAAUCAUGAAAAAAAUUAUCAUGAUCAUAACCAAAGAAAAACUUCUCUUCAUUCUGCUGGUUGAGAUAAUUUCCAUGGCUGCUCCUAAUAAUAUGAGCACACAAACUUUCAGAAACUAAGUACGAUUCAUAAUCUGAUGAAGGCCUUAAUUUAUAGCCUAAUGAAAAAGAGGCAUUAGCUUUAAUUAAUCUUAGUUGUGGGUGAUGCAUGGCGGCCGAUAACUCGCACUGAGGAUAGAGAAAUUAGAUUAUAUAUAAUACUAUUGGUGACAACUUUAGAAGAUGGAGGAUGGUGGAAUGAGAUUAAUUAGUAGCAUAUGUGCAUGAACAUUAUGAGUUGAGUGGCAGUGGGUAGAGCAUGUUUAGUUUGGCCAUAAGAACUUGAGCAAAACAAGCUCAUAUCGACCAUUACAAUAAGUUAUAUUUUAGGCUAAAAAGUUUGGAAGUAUGUGAAAUGAGAGUUUAGAGGGAUGAAUACGUAUCUGUUAUGUUAAUCUCAAGUUGCCAAAUGUAAAAGGUUUCUUUUGCUUUUUGGUUGUUUUUGUUAAUAGUUUGGUGCAUGCUUAGUGGACACUGAUUAGCAGCAUAUACAGGGCAUGGAUAUGCUUUGGAAUAUGUUACUAUUAUUUGCAUUAUGGUUUAAUUAGGAUAAUUACAUGAGAUUAAUUAGUAGGACUCCCUAAAGACAGAGACAACAAACAAACAAAAAUCAGAAGAGCAAUUGAGACACUAAGUUGAGUUACUCAAUCCAUAAUUAGAAAGUCUAUGUUUUUGAAGUACAGAAUUAUAAGAUUAAAUUAUUUUGUAAAUAUUCAAACUUUUCAACAGUAUUUAAUUAUAAAGAUGAAUUGUUUUAACACCUAACUUCAAAAGUUGGUAAACUAAACACUUCUUAACUGCUAUAGAGAAGGCUAACUCAUAAUAACCACAAGAUAUCGAUCCAAAAAUCAGUUUUUGCAUUUUAGUGACCAUUAAUAUACAUCUGAGGGAUUAAUUAGCAAAAAGUAAUAUGAAACUACUUUAAAUAACAAAAUUUCUAACAAAAUUUCUAAAAAUAUUUAUCAAGAUAACACAAUAUCAGGUUAUGUAUAUGUGGUAGACAGAUAUUGUGUUAUAUUUUUGGUGCACUUUUGUGUUUAAAAAUGGCUCCAAGUAUUUUCAAUUUGUGAAUCUCAUAGCAAGAUUUGGGUUUGAUUUAUAAUCUUAUAUUGCAUCAUUCCUGUCGAUGAUAGUAAAGGGAAUUCCCUCCCCCGCACUCCCCCCUCAGUAUUGGCCCACUCUCUUCAUACUUUGGGUGGCAAUAAAGCAAAGAAGAAAAAAAAAAGAGAAAUAAUGAGGUUGUGAGGAAAAGGGAGAGAAUAUGCAACUUUUUAUUAAAUAAUAAUAAGAAAACAAAUCAAUGAUGCAUAAUUACAGAAGUUGAUGUACUUGCUACACGAAAAUGGAAAAUUGUCCAAAUGAGAAGUUGCCGUUUGUGGCAACUUAGCAUUAGUAUGUACCUAAUGGAAGGCUUACAUCAAUGGCAACAAAGAAUAGGGCAGUUUAGAGUAUGGAGGCAGAGGUCAAAUUUUAAAUCAAUGCACUACUGAAGAACAACAUUGUAGUGCUUGUCAAAAACCUGGUUGAGAAAACCCACCUAAGCCCGCCUUUCACAUGCAGCUGCCAAACCCUAACUUCAAAAUCACAACCAAAGAAUUUUGCUAAUUACAAUACUGAGGACAGAAAAAUAAUUUAUAAGAUUGUUAAGAAAAGGUCACAAAUACUUCCAUUAGAGUAUCCAAUGAAGCAUUACACAAGAAGUAAACUUACCGGAUACAGCAACAGCCCUUUUCCCAGAUCAUGGAAGCAAAAUCUUACAGCUUAUACCUUUCAACCAUUCUAACUGCGCCCUGUUCAGCCACUGGCACCCGAGUUAUCAAGAACAUGAGAGAUGUUAGUAGCAGUGCCAAUUUUAUCAAUGGCAACAAAAAAGAAAAAGAACAUUCAGAAUCUAGAGGUCGCACGAGGGUCAGCGCAAUCAAAUGAAUAUAUCCAAUUUUACUAAGGAAGCUCAUACGAAUGAUGCAAAACUUGAUGCUCGGCAGCUCGGGCAGCAUAUGAUUCAGACAAUUACAAAACAGAUAAAGAAAUGUGAUAAACACAUAAAGAAAAUUGUAAGCAUAGCCCCAAAACCACACUGAUUCUUUGAUAAAGGGAUAGACGUAAGAGGGAUAAAACCCAAACAAGCAUCUUUUGCAGGCUGUACGAUCAUAUUAACCACGGAGUAUAUUACACAAGAAAGACAAAAAAGAAAAAAGAAUUUAAAAUAUAGAACCUAGAAUCUAACACAAAAGCCUUGAGAGUUAAGUGAAACAAGAAGCUGAAUUGAUCAAGAAACAUCAGCCGUUUCCAACUAGAGAGAUUCUAAAGAAAAUAUUGAUCAGGAAUACUGCAGCAGUGACGAUAAAAUUCCAAGAAAAUGCCUCAUCAGAGAAGUGGGUUACAUUAACACAAAAUUAAUCGCUUAUGCAAGCACUUCUCUCGAUGGAGCCAUAUCCUUACAAACAGUCAGUUUCCUGAUACAGAAUCCUCCCUUGUUUCUUCACAUCCUUCCUUUACAUCUAAAGCUAUUUUUACAGGUACAACUCUGUUCUGUUCUGCUUCAUCAUUGGCCAUGGCUACACUUCCAACCCCUGAAUCCGUGUGCAGAAUAUUACCCAAGUUUUCAUUCAUAUUGUCACAUUCAUUUACCUUCCUCGAAAUAAGUUCACCCUUAAAUUCUUCAUCUUUUGUCACACAGUGUUCUGGAAUCUGUUCAUUUGAUUCCUUCACCAUUUCAUCAUUCACUAUGUAUUUCUCUUCAACCACUUUCCCUCUCUUGAAAUCUUCACCCGCACAUUUUUCCCCACCCUCAAUCUCUAAGACUUCUUCAUCUUCCUCUUUAGAAUCAACAUCAACAUCUUGGUGUCGUCUAAUUUCGGAUACAUACUCCAUCUCCAACCCUCCAUCACUCUCAUUCUCAGAUACAUUCUCCACUACUUCCUCAUUCACAUCAUCAAUAGCUGGGUUUUGCCCCUCGAGAAGUUGCAACUUCCUCCUCAAGUCAACAAGCUCUCUCUCCAUAAGAAAAAGUCUCUCCUUCAGUGUCAAGUUCUCCUCCUCCAACUGAGCUAUAUGGCUAUCCUGAUCAUCGACCCUAUUUUCCAAACAGUUAUUAUACUCUACUCCAUAGUUCUGGUAUAUCAUUUCAAAUCGGCUCAAGUCAUGGUCCAAUCUGCGCUCUACCUCCAAGUGUUCCUCUACAUCACUAUCACUCGAACCACCACCAACUUCCUCUUCUUCCUCAUCCUGCACUUCCACCUUAUUCUCAGACCCCCGUAGCCUUAUCAACCCUUUCAUUGAUCCAUAACCAUCAACACCCCAUUCCUCCUUGGCCAUAUCACCCAACGCCUCCCUUGAAGGUGAAAACAUUGGAGUAGGAAGCACAGCGGGUGUUACAGGACUAGGAGACACAAGUGAAGCGAUCCCACCAGACUUCUUUGCACGAAUUAAAAAAGAAGUGGUAUUCCGAGGUGCAUAAGGUGCAAACCUAUUGCCAAACUUCUUUUUAGAGUAAAACUUUCUAGCCCUUAAACGAUUUUGAGACUGCAGCUCAUGAAGACUUGGAGGUUGAUAACCUGCAGCAUUAUUUGGACCACUUAUGGAACCCAAUAAAGGUUUUUCCAUUCUCCUAUUGUUUAUCCUUUUGUCACCAACGCCUUUUCCCUUCCAAUUGCCUCGACCCGAUCUUGAUUGCUUCAUAUUUCCAUAGCUAGGUUUUGGGAAGUUGCGGUACUUCUUGUUGGGAUCCAAAGGGGCUUGUGGAUGUGCCCACACCUUAUAGUUGCCACUCAUCAUAGGUGGCAGAGAAUGAUUCAUGAUCAUCUGGGAUUGCUGCAUGGCCUGAGGUUGAGCCAGAAGAUUUGCCUGGUUGAUGGCCUGUGACUGAGACAUUAUCUGAGAAUGGUUCAUUAGGCUUUGGUUCAGAAAUUGAGGUUGAUUAAUCACCUGUGGCUGGUUCAUAACUUGAGACUGAGGCUGGUUCAUAACUUGAGACUGAUUGAUUACAUGAGGCUGGUUUGCCAUAGGUGGAUGUCCCAUACUAAUCAUUUCUGAUCUUAGAUGAAGAUUUGCCAUCUUUUGUCUAUCCUGUAAAAGAAAUGAAAAGGCAGUUAGGAAAUUGUUUAGAAGAAUAGCUUCCACUAAGAAAAUUAUGCUUCAAUUUCUUUCUUUUUUUUUGGAUAAGAAAUUAUUACAUUGACAUGAAAUAAUCCAAGGAGAUACAAAAAGAAGGCCCUUUUUAUAAAAUUAUGUUUCAAUUAUUUUUAAAGUUUGUUUUCUUUGUUUUCUUUUUCAAUUUUGUAUUGUUGUAAAAUUGGUUUCCCUUCAAAGAUCCAGGAUUUAUUUUAAAUCAAGUUGUAGAUGGUGAUUUUAAAUUUUCAAAUUUCAAGUCAUUCAACUAUAAUUCUUAAAACAAUUUAGAAACAUAAAUUUGUUUAUCAGCAUAGAAACUCAAAAUUGUACCUGCUUAUCGUCCUCCCCCAUGGGUAAAUGCAGAAUAUGCAAAUAACUUCAGACACGGCUUAAAAGAAGCAGAACAAUCUAAAAUCAAAAGAAGGCAAUUAAAAAAUUGACCCAUAUAAUUGGGCAUAAGCCACUCUAGAUGCAAAAAGAUACCAAGAAAUUAAGACACAAGAAAAUUACAGAAACCAAGUAACAAACAAGCCAAGAGGGUAAUGUAAUACUGAAUAAACAAAUUUCAUAUUUGUGGUCAUAAGUAGAGAAAAUUUAACAGAGGGUAUGAAAUAGGGAAGGAGAGGAUGACAGAGAAAGGAUCAGAGUUCCAACCAUUGCACAUAAUGUGAACGAAGGAGCCACAAGGUUUGCUAAAGCAUGUGCCAUUAUCUCCUCGAUUAGAAAUUCUCACUAGGAAAUCAGCACAUUCAGGAAUAAUUUCCCGUCAAUUGAACUCGAGUUCCUCUCUAGUUUCAAUAGCCACCUUAUACAUGCUAGGUAGCUAAAUUUAAUAUUUGCCAAAAAAAUCAAUUGAACUUGGUUCUUGAAAUAGCCACUAACAAAGCUAAAAUUUCUUAGCUUCCUACAUUCCAUCAGAAGGAUGCUAGAGAACACCCUCAAAUAUCUGCUUUCAAACAAAGAAGUUGUGCGUUCAACGACCUGUCAGUGCUGUCACCACUGAUGACUGACCAUACACAAUUUUUGUCUCUAGAUUCUUCCAUUUUGUGAUAUCCCAAUCAAGAGACUGAUAGGAUUAAUCCUAUCAGAGACUUACCUUCUUCUUCCCCUUUGAAUAAGAAGGGUUUUGCAGCUUUAUGGAAGUCCAAAGAGAAUCGACAUCCUCUUAUCGAUUAUGCCAAACAGUAGUCUAGUACUUCUGAUGAUUUUCAAAGGAUGAUAGCAUCCAACUAUCUCAUGCCUUCAGUUUGCUCUCUUUCUUGGUUGGACAGUAAUGACCUCAAUCAAGUGUUUUUCGCAUGCCACCAUUGUCCACUGCUUGAUGCCUGUGGCUUUCUUCAAAACAAAAACUUCAAAAACAUCUAUGCAGAGAUUAUUUCGAAAAGAAAAAAACAAAGAGCCAUCCGCAUUUUGAGCUUAGGGGGAUCUCCCCAUUUUUUAGCAUCGAAAAACUCCAGAACAUGAUUUACUGCCGACAGUACAAUUGUUUGGGGCUUCAUGACGACUACGUUUGUAAGGGAAAAAAAAUAAAUUAGACGUAUAAGUGCUGUGAUUAUAAGUAGCAAUAGAGCUGAAAUAUAAAAACACCACUUUAAAUGUGCUCUACUCGAUAUAACGAUCUUGAAGUCGAUGAACUAGAUGAAUGGAGAAGGAACAUAAUCAGGGGAAAAUUUAGAACAGACGUUGAAGUUAAGUGGUGUUGAGAUAGAAAGACGCCUAAAAAUAGAAGAAAUUGGAAACUCAAAAAGUCACUAAUUUGAUUUCGAAAUAAACGACAGAUUCAAAUUCAGAAAAGGAAACCAAAAUCCAAAAAAUAAUCGAUUAAAUUUAUAAACAGAAACGUCCAAAGUAACAAGGAAUCUAUAGUCGAUGAACAGAAUCAAUUGAUCUCACACCGAUGGAAAAGGAAUCAAGGUUUCAGAAAAAAGAAGGAAAAAAACGAGAGAUAAACGGAGAAAUCCAACGAUAAAAGUACCAAAAUAAUCUCCAAAGCAGCACAGAAACACAUAGUGGAUCCACACAUAAUUAAAUAAGAACCAAGCGAAAUAGAAAAUGAGACAAGAAAGAAAAACGUAAGAUGAAAUAGAAUAACGAGUGAAGAAGAAGAAAAAUGAAUAGAUUUCUAACCUUGGAUGAGCAAGAAACGGUGGCCGGAAAAGCGCCGGAAGGGAGCGGGAAGUGCUUGGAAGUUGGUGAGGAAGAAGAAUUUAGGGCUGCGAAGAAGAAUUGUUUUAGUAAAAUUUAGGGGUAAUUUUGGUAUUGUGGAGGUAGAACUACAAAAGGCCACGCGUACUACGAACUAAAUUUAGAAGCAAAUUUAGGGGCUAUUUUGGUAUUUCAUGUCUCGAUAGUCCAUUGUAGUUUUGCAGAGGUUGUGCGAUCGUGUCUACAUAGAUAGAACAACAAAAGGCAGCAUAAGGACACUUGGCUUGGCUCAUCUCAUAUUGAAUUUGAACUAUGGUCUUCUCUCAAUUUAUGUUAAUCAGCCCUACUUAGAAGAAGAUAUAGCAGUUCUUAAUUCUUAUCGUACCUUGUUGGUUCACGUGUGUGAAUCUCAUUCAACCACCUCAGAUUUCUCCCUUCACAAAUGCAAAUCAAUAAACCCUUGCUUACACUGCCACCACUACUAAAGAUAACAAGCAAUCUGGGCGCGUACCUCACCUCAGCUUGCUCUGUUUUUGCCUUUCCCAUGCCCCCCUUAAUGGCUCUUAAAGCUAAUGCUAUGACGCCCACUUAUCUUCACCGUUCAUUCUUCACUCCUCAGACUCCAUCUCUCCCUCCCAUCAAACGGUACCAUCGCCUUCACACACAUAUUCGUCUCCGUUGUCGAUCUUCACUUGUUGAUGAGCAGCAGAAAGAAGUUGUCUCGUUUUCUCAACCGGAAAAUUCUCUCAUUGAUGCUCUCAUUGGUGUCCAAGGUCGAGGCCGCUCUGUUUCAUCUCAGCAGCUCAGCGUAAUUCUUCUUUUUUUUCGCCUUCUUUUCGUUCUUUUCUGCUCUGUUUAUUAAACUUCUUUUAGUGUAUUGGUUUCUUCAGAAUGUCGAACGGGCUGUCAGUGUUCUCGAAGGGUUGGAAGGCGUGCGAGAUCCGGUAAUCCGGUUGGCUUUCCCUAUCGAUUUUUAAUAGUUUUGCUACGGUGAUAAACUGUUCGAAAUAUUGCCCGUUAAGUUUUUUAUUUGUUUAUAUCAUCUCGUUCGAGCUUUGGAAUAGAAAGGAAUUGGCUUUCAUGGUGGUUGUAGAAGUUUAUCUAUGAUACUCGAAACCCCAUAUUUCCAGGCGUUCUUAAUUACUCUUUGGUUACUCCUUUUGUUGGUUCAGUUUUACAAGUUUGUUAAUGUUUCAGUAGUCUUCUGAAGAAAUUAGUAUGCUUCAAAGUUUUCUUUUAUUACUCAAUGUUAAAGCAGCAACUUGUUACAUUGUGUGGUAAUCAGGAGACAUCCUUAUUUUAUUUCUCUGUCCACUACAUAGAGAUUUAGAAAAUUUCAUCCUUGGUAUUAUAUCUUCAACAUGAAUGAAAAUGGUAACUGGUGUCUAUUUUACAGGUUUUAAAGCUUUGUCUUCGCUAAUCCUGACUUCUCUCUUUCAUUGCCUGCAGACAAACUCUAGCCUAAUUGAAGGACGUUGGCAGUUGGUAUUCACAACUAGACCUGGAACAGCGUCCAUAAUACAGGUUCGAUUUCAAUUCUUGAUACGUGUCCAACAAUGGCAAUUCCCUUUUCUUAUAUUGUGAUCCUGUACCUAAACACCAUUAUAAAAUCAUAGUUCAGAAGUCAGAUUCAAGAUUUCUUUCUAGUAUUUUGAUUAAAAUUAGGCGAAAGGUGACUUCAAAACAAAUCGAUUAAAAUAACAAAAAUGACUAUUUCAUGAGCCGUAGACAACGAAAAAGAUCAUGAUUAUCUGAUCUCGUUGCUGAAGAAAUUAGCAUAGAACAGAAACUGGGACUUGGAAGAAAGAAUACACUCUUCAAUCUCCACUCGUUCCCUCGCCUCGGAUUUGGGACGCACUCCCUAUCCAUUAGCAAAAGAUUCUUAGCCCAGGGAAAUAAAUAUUUUUAGACCCUUGAUGAAUAUAAAACAUCUGAAUUGUUUUUUUGAGAUCUAUCCCUGUCGUGGAGAAAUUCUAGAAUUCUUUGAAGUCCAACGAAACAAUAUCUUUGAAAAUAUCUAUUUAUAAAUUUUCUAAGAUAAUUAUAGAAAGGGCUAGUAUAUAUUAGUCAUUUAGUUAGUGUUGGUUUUUUUUUAACAGAGGAUUUUGAAAAUGUUUUAUUGCUUCAUCUCAGUAACUAAUAUAUAAUGAGUUUGUUAUAUAAUAAUCUGAAGCAUUGAUAAUGACAAGAAAUGGUAAAAUCUUGAAACUCUUAUCCUUCAGAGAACAUUUGUUGGAGUUGAUUUCUUCAGUGUGUUUCAAGAGAUAUUUCUACGAACAAACGACCCACGAGUCUCCAAUAUUGUUAAAUUCUCUGAUGCAAUCGGUGAGCUGAAAGUAGAGGUAUGUUUGCAUAUCUUUUAAUAACCGGUUAACAAUCUCGGAUCCUUGCUGUCUAAUAUUAUUCUCCCCUUAUAGGCGGCUGCAUCAGUCAAAGAUGGCAAACGCAUCCUUUUCCAAUUUGACAGAGCAGCAUUUUCUUUUAAGUUCUUGCCUUUUAAGGUCCCAUAUCCUGUACCGUUCAAACUUCUUGGAGAUGAAGCAAAGGGCUGGUUGGACACCACAUAUUUAUCUCCCUCAGGGAACCUCCGCAUCUCAAGAGGAAACAAGGUAAAUUACUUCACUUUCUUCUGUUACUCAAACAUAUCUUACAUACUUAAAACUUUUCGAGUUGAUUUGGUAAUUGCUAAGGACGUACAGAACCAUUGUAAUAGUGUAGGGCACCACGUUUGUGUUGCAAAAGCAAACAGAAGCAAGGCAAAAAUUAUUGCUAGCAAUUUCUACAGAUAAAGGAGUUGAAGAGGUAAACCUACUUUCCACACACUCAUCAUAAAGAAAAUGUUCGACCUCAUUAUAUUCUCCUGCGGCUGAUUUCUUGAGCGCUUGAAUACAGGCAAUUGAUAAGCUCAUCUCUGAAAAUCAGAAUGAAAAUAAAUUUGAAGAGGAACUUCUCGAGGGAGGAUGGAAUAUGUUAUGGAGUUCACAGGUAGUCUAUGGAUUCAUAUUUUCGUAUGCUGAACAAAAUAAAAUAGAUUACCAAAAUAUCAGUGGUAAAAUGUGAAUAGGCUGUAUAAGCAUGUGAAUAAAGUAUAAGACGUAAUCGGUUAAGGAUAUGUGACAUGAGAUGUCAAGUAGUAGUAGUUCUAGUUAGACAUAAAGAGAAAUGUCAGCAGAUUACAUGGGAAGCUGUGAUUAUUCCAGCUAAAUACCUCUCUCAAAAAACAAUCUUUUAUACGAUGUCAUCUGGCUUGAUUUACUUGUUUUUCCAACUUCUUGAUAGAUACAUAUCCAUCUCAAAAAGCAAUCUUUUAUAUGAUUCCAUAUGACCGCCCUUGACAUUUAUCUGGUCCGCUGCAACAGAUGUCUAGAGUAGCUUGAUGAAUCGUAUAAAAGAUUUCUUUUCGGGAGUAGAAAGAGCAAGGGAAAGAUUGCUUCUAUUUCAUGUACUUAUCAAUUACUGUAAACUGCAGAUGGAAACAGAUAGUUGGAUAGAGAAUGCUGCAAAUGGUCUCAUGGGGAUGCAGGUAGAGUGAAUAGGAUACCAGCUGUACUAAACUCCAAUAAUGUAUAAACCUUCAUUUCUAGACUAAAAGAAUCAUAAUCAUUCACUAGUCACUUGCAUAAAGUACACUCUUACCCUACCCGACAGGUUAUCAAGAACGGGCAAAUGAAGUUUGGAGUGGAUAUGUUGCUAGGACUGAGAUUCUCCAUGAUUGGUACCCUUGUGUAAGUUUCCCAAUCAUAUAGUUCAUUUUAUUGGUUAGCAAAGCUAUGAGAAAAAGGUUUGGAAGAAUUGAAUCCAACAGGCAAAUACACAACACGAUACGUUCUCAUUUGUUAUUGGGUCCUCGAUUUGUCAUUAACAUAAGUUUUCUCUGCGGUAGGAAAUCUGGAGACAACGCAUACGAUGUAACCAUGGAUGAUGCUGCAAUUAUUGGAGGCCCCUUUGGAUAUCCUUUGGGAAUGGAGAGCCGGUUCAAGCUCCAACUUCUGUGAGAUAUCUCCAUAUUUGGUUGUUGUUUCAUUUGGCUACUACAUAGCUAUUUAACUUGCCGGGUUGUUUUCAGAUACAAUGAUGGGAAGAUUAGGAUCACACGAGGAUACAAUAACAUCUUGUUUGUGCAUGUACGGGUGGCUGAAUCAAAGCAGGUGUAAGAAGACUUGUCAAAAGAAGGAAGCCCUUGAGGUUAGGAACCCGUGUAUAGUAGUAGUAAGACAUGCCCUCGGCGUCUUUACAAUGUAUAUUCGUCAAUUGAAGUUGUAAAGAUCUCGAACGUCAAAAUUUCACCACCAUCCUUCCAAUGAAGAAUUUCAAUCUCAAGUUUUAUCAAUUAGUUAGACGGGAGUAUCUUUCAUUUGUGAAUCUCAAACCAAGGUGUUCUUUUUUUUUUUUCCACUCUUUGGUGAAAAGUAGAAAAUGGAAUGUUGCUAUUUGUUACGUUGUGGCAAUACCUGAUGUGAUAAAAGAGUUAAAUUAUGAAAACAUCAAAAAGUAAUACAUUCUACACAAUCACAGAAAGGAAAUACAUUUCUUUUCAUAAAAGGUCAUCAAUACAUGAAUGCCUUUUAAAUAAAAUAUAGCACAGCGUCUUUUUUUCAUAUUCAUACAACAAAAGAGAACUUAAGGGCACGUGACAAAAGGACUUUCCAAUUGUUGAAUAUCAUAGAAUAUAACAAAGUAUCUUAACAAUAUAUUUAUAUAGUCUAUUAAAAAGAAGUUUAUUGCUAAUAAAUUUUAUUUUUAAAGUAUUUGUCAUCGAUAUCCUCAAAAUUGUUGGAGAAAAUAUCACAUUAAUGAUAUCAUAUCUAGAAUAUGCCCAAAUAUUUUUCAUAACAAAAUAACACUUGGAAGUUAGAAUACAAAAUGCUAAAGUAUUGAUAAAUUUAGAAAUUGCAUAAAAUCAGGAUAUAAAGCACAAACAAGCAUCUUUGGAAGACUCAUCCCAUGAACCACCGAGUAGACUGCACCAAAAGAAAGAAAAUAAGGACAAAAAAUAUACAACCAAGAAACUAGCAAGGCGAACAUAGGCUAAACAUGAAGCAGACUUGAUUGAGAAACAUCAGCCUUUUCAAACAAGAGAAAUAAAUAUGCAACUAAGAAGCUGCGGAAGAUAACAACAACCAUGAAAUUCGAACAAAACAAUUCAUCAAGAAAUACCUUACGUUUUACACAAAAUUAAUCAAUUAUGCAAGCACUUCGGGCGAGUAGGCCAAUCAUUUACCACAGUUGAUUUUUAAGAUAUGUUUUCAUUAGAAAUGCAUACAAAAGAUGCUUUCAAUUUGCAAUAAGGAAAGAUAUCUUCUUUGCUUCCUGAUUUGGAAAUCUCCAUCGAGUCUUCACAGCCUGCCUUUACAUCCACAACUAUCAUUACAGGGACAACUCUAUUGUGCUGUCAUUCACUAUGGCCUCGUUUCCAAUCUUCGAACCUGUGUGUAAAAUAUUAACCAACUUCUCAACCAAAUGCUUGCAUUCAUUUUACUUCUCCAAAACAAGUUUGCCUUUCAUUUCUUCGAUGUUUUGCUUUGACAUCUUCGAAAAGAUGCUCAUCUAUGGCUUACCCAAUUUCAUCCUUCACUAUCACUUAAUCUCCAACUCAAGACGUAAAAGAAGGCAUAGCAGAUUCAGAUAAGAACCAUUUAUAGUACAUGUUUCAAGAUACACAUGAAAGCAUUUAUAUACCCCACUAAUAGUAUGUCAAGUAUAAAUUACUCAAAGAACUAAACCUCAGAGUUAAUAAAACUGAUCAUUAGCUAGCAUGAGAGAGGCCCUCCUUCUAAUUGACAGGACUACCUAAAGUUGGGCACGAUCCAUUACAUAAUUGUCUUUGACACAUCGGAUUUGCACCUCAAAUAUAAGGGUCUUAGUCAAGUGUGCAUGCGGAAUGCACCUAAAGAAAGUUUAGGUUAAGACAACUGUUGUUUCUUCAAAAUUUCAAAUUUACUCCUCUUGAAAAGAUCUCUAAAGCAAUCAAAAUUCCUGAAAAUUUAGAGAGAAUGGAAGUGGCAAAUAAAAUUCUACCAUACAAAAUAAAUCUUUGUCAAAGGAUGCCCAAUAUCAACAAUGAACCUGAGACAACAGCACAUAUAUCAAAAAAUGCAAAUAUUACAAACAAGGUUUGGAGAGCUUUGUUGAAAAGGGUAUGCCAUUUGAAAAGUUCACAUAGCAUUAUAAAGAAUGUCCAUACUAAGUGCAUUAUAAAUGAUGACUUAAUAUUACACACAUUAAGUGCUACUGCAACAAUAUGAAGCAUAUACCAGAAAGUAAAAAAUAUAGCCUCCAUUGUAACAAAAUGACUAUACUUCAGAAAUGCAUAAAUCAUAACCAUACCUUCCCUGUAUGUCUCGGGCUCCCACUUUAAUGAUAUGGUUUUUGUGAGUCAUUUUAGUUCAUCACCUUAUCAUCUUGCAGAUAUGCUCAUGGACACCCUAUGCAUUUUUUGGUCUUUCCUUUCAAUAUAGAAGAACAUGUAGUAAAUUUUGCUGCUAAUAUACUUAUUGUAAAAAAAGGGAGAGAGAAUAUACCCAUCAUUAUCGAUAAUCACUUCCCUCUAUCCUUCAAUCAAAGCACAAUCCAAAUCAAAUAAGAGUAAGAGGUGUUUAUGUCACAAAAGAAACCAUAAAGCUUCCAAGAUAAUAACAAUGGAAAAUAGAUUUCAAUGACACCUCUAGGUUUAAUAGCAAAUGCCUUACCUUGCAAAUGUCAGACUCCUCUCUCUGCUUAAGAGAAGUAGGACCAUUAUUGCAUACUGACUUCCAAUACCAACGAUUCAAGCACAAUAUUAAAUUUAACUUAACAGCCAUCCACAACAAGACCAAUGUAAAAGGAGAAAUAGAGGUGACGAAGCCCCGCCAUCAAGGAACAAAUAGAAAUAGAAUUCACAAACCCAAGCCAAUAAGCAAAGAAAGGAAAUAGAAUCGACAUAAACCAUGUGCGUACAAGUUAUGAGGUAUAUUUCUCAAUUAAAGAAGAAAUAGAAUUCACAAACCCAAGCCAUUAAGGAAAGAAAGGAAAUAGAAUCGACAUAAACCAUGUGCGUACAAGUUAUGAGGUAUAUUUCUCAAUUAAAGAAAAAUCAUAGGGAACUAUCAAUGAGAGUCUUAAAUUGAUGGUUUAUCCUAGCUUCCUAUAAAUCAAGAGUUUAUUUCUUGCUCAUAGUGAAAACGUUCAUAACCUUUUUUAAUCUUCAAUCAUUAGAAAAUCAAGAGUAACCAAAUUACAACAAUUUAGUGAUGAGUUAGAUAACAACUAGUGUUCACCAUUGGACCAUAGAUCUGAAACAUCAACAUUGUCAUAAUGGGCUAUUACCAUCACAACACUAAUUGAUGUUGCCUUGGCUUAACUCAUCAAGACCAAGAGGAAGAAAAGAUCAGAGAAACCAGUUAACUCAUAUCAUUCCCUGUCUCCAAGCCACGGCCCAUCAUAGCCCUUCACAUUCUCUCACCACAAGCAAAAUUAAACUUCCUGCACCAUAGAAAUUAUACAGAAAUAAAUUAUGUAUAUUGAUUUGGGUGAAAUCGUGCUCAAUUUACAAACAGGCAGAGCAGGCACUAUGUUAAAUUGGAAAAUGAUUUGUAAGUCAACAAAAACAAAGAACACGGCAACUUGAAUUCACUGCUGUCAUCUUACACAAAUGGUUUCGUUUCUGGGGAAUGGGGAAUGAGACCAAAUGCAAAAUUGAGAAAGAAACACUUAAGAGAAAAGAGAGUUCAUCUUCAAUCUUAGAACCACUGAAGGGAAAAAUCAAAAAGAAGAUUCAAGUAAAAGACUGCAUGGGUUUGUAAGUUAGUUUUUCUACAUCUAUAGCAGUCUUGGAGCACUUUCUAUUAACCAAAGACAUGUUAGAAAUGUUACAGCCAAAGCACCAAAUUGAAAAGAAAAGGGUAAGCAUACAAUUCAUUGCGACUGAACUGAAUUUGUUCAGCAUCACCAUUAGAGGAAAAGAACUGACUUAACUUAUGAUUUGCUCGAGGAGCAUUUAAUUCAAAUUUAUAAUACAUGGGAAUUAUAGGGAUAGAAAUUAAGCAGUUAUAAAAGGUAAUUACAAUGGUAUUAAAGAUAUAAAUGGACAAUGUUAUAAAAGGAACACAAUACAAUAAUAUACAACUUUGAGAGAGCAGCUGUGUUGAUGUGAGAAAACGCCACAUUGCAUCUAAGGCCCACAUGGUUUUUAUUAAUCUUUUCUCCACAAGGGAUGGAUAUUUUUUACUCAAUCGAAAAAUCUUUGAAAAACAAAAACUAUGAAACUUUCUUCUGCGGCAAUUGAAUCUCGCAUGGUAUAUUCUACUUUUGUCAGACAAAUUUCUACAAGAACAGAGACGGGAGCUUCAGAACUGAACCUGAAUACGACGGGAAGCCGUUUCAGUGGCCGCCACUUCAAUCUCAAUUGCAGUGACUUUGAACGUCAGGAUCGUUAACUACUUUCUUGGUAAGCAAGCUAAGGCUAUUCCAUGGUGGGUAAGAGGUAAAAGAGAUUUCAAGGAGAAGAAAGGCAACCGCUGGCUUUGAAAUGCAAAAUAAAGGACAACGAAUUUGGUUUUCAGAAAUUAGUUUCAAUUAACCAAAUAGAUUGCAGUAAAUAAUUGUCAUCCGCCAGCACCCCUCUAUUUUUCUUUCCAUUUCUUAAAUUUAAGUGUAAUCUAUACCCACAAUUAUGGUAGUGUAUGCAUUCCUAUUUACGAUUUCCCCUCAAUCUCUAAGACUUCUUCAUCUUCCUCCUUAGAAUUAACAUCAAUAUCUUGGUUUUGUCUAAUUUCAGAUACAUACUCCAUCUCCAACCCUCCAUCACUCUCAUUCUCAGAUACGUUCUCCACUACUUCCUCAUUCACAUCGUCAAUAGCUGCGUUUCCCCCCUCGAGAAGUUGCAACUUCCUCCUCAACUCAACAACCUCAGUUUCCAUAAUAAAAAGUCUCUCCUUCAGUGUCAAGUUCUCCUCUUCCAACUGAGCUAUAUGGCUAUCCUGAUCAUCAACCGUGUUUUCCAAACAGUUAUUGUACUCUACUCCGUAGUUCUGAUAUAUCAUCUCAAACCGGCUCAAGUCAUGAUCCAAUCUACGUUCUACCUCCAAAUGUUCCUCUACAUCACUAUCACUCGACCCACCACUGCCUUCCUCUUCUUCUUCCACCUGCACUUCCGCCUUAUGCUCAGAACCUCGAAGCCUAAUCAACCCUUUCAUUGAUCCAUAACCAUCGACACCCCAUUCUUCUUUCGCCAUAUCACCCAACGCCUCCCUCGAAGGGGAGAACAUUGGAGAAGGGAGUACUGCUGGAGUUACAGGACAAGGAGACACAAGUGAAGCGAUCCCACCAGACUUUUUAGCACGAAUUAUAAAAGACGAUGUAUUCCGAGGUGCAUAAGGUGCAAACCUGUUGUUGAACUUCUUUUUUGAAUAGAACUUACGAGCUUUGUUACGAUUUUGAGACUGCAACUCAUAAAGACUUGGAGGUUGAUACCCUCCACCAUUAUUUUGAGCACUUAGAGAACCCGGUAAGGGUUUUACCGAUCUCCUAUUAUUUAUCCUCUUGUCACUAACACCUUUUCCCUUCCAAUUGCCUCGCCCCGACCCUGACUGCUUCAUAUUUCCAUAGUUAGGCUUCGGGAAGUUACGGUACUUCUUGUUAGGAUCCAAAGGAGCCUGCGGGUGACCCCAUACCUUAUAGUUGCCAUUCAUCAUAGGCGGCUGAGUCUGACUGAUGAUCCUCCCGGACUGCAACAUGGCCUGAGACUGCUGCGGCAAAAGAUUUGGCGAAAUUAUCUGAGAAUGGCUCAUUACCUGGCUUUGAUUCAGAAACUGAGGUUGAUUAAUCACCUGUUGUUGGUUGAUCACAUGAGGAGGCUGGUUUGCCAUCUGCGGAUGGUUCAUACUAAUCAUUUGAGCUUGAUUAAUCAUCGAAUUCUGAUCGUUCAUAGUACAACUAAAUCAAAUCCAAAGAGAAGAAAUAAAACCCUAACAAAUUAAAGAUCGAUCGAUCGAUAAAACAAAAUCUAUCCCCCUUUUUCAGAUCAAAAAAUCGUCAACCAGAUCGAGAACUAGAACACCCUAAUCAAAAUAUUCGCAACGAAUGAACCAAAGUCUAGAAAAUUCCUUAUGUAUCGUUAUAGAUUUCGCUCGCAAUUUUUCUCAAUACGUCUUUUUGUAUUACUCUUUUUCUCCAAUCUCUAGGGAAUUUCGAUUUCUUGAGAAAGCUGGUUUGAGUCGGCCUACGCGCCCCCUCCAACUUAUUUAUAGAGAGAAAGACGACAGAUAGACGGUGAUGAUUAGCCAUCAGAUGGAAUUUCGUCAUGACACGCGUCAUACCUUUUCCUAAUCGGAAUAGAAGUUUAUUGUGCCAAAAUUACAAAUCUCUCCUCGUCUUUCAUAUUAUUUUCAAACCUACCAUCUCUCGGGUAUUAUGGAUGGUUGGGCCAAUUCCACCUACGACAAUAUAAGCCCACGCCCAAUUAUAAUUUCAUGUUAAAUUACUUUACUUUUUUGGUUUUUUAAAAGUUGUAAAAUUACUUUAAUUUCGUAACUAUUUGAUUUUUUUCUCCUCCUAUUUUUUAAACUUUUUUAUUAAAAAUAUAAUUCGUAUAUGCUCGGUAACUAAUUUUUUACGAUUUUUAAAAAAAAUUGUCGAAAAUAGAUAUUUUGACGAAAUAUUUAUAUAUAUAAAAAAAAGAAUUGCUUCAAAAGUUUUAACUUUAUUUUGUUAUUUAUUAACGAAAACCAAAAUCAUCCGGAUGAGAUCUUGAAUGUAAAUCGAAGAAAAAUAUACAAAAAUUGUCCCCAAAAAAAGUUAAAUAGGUAAAAUAUGUACCCUUUAAAGUGUGAUUUAUUUUUUGAAAAAAAUCCUUAAAUAUAAUAUAUUAACAAUAUAAAUAUAUAUUCUUAGUAUAUAAAUGUAAAAAAUAACAAAAUUGAUUGACAACAAAAAAUUUCUACCGCUUAUAAAUAAUUUAAUUUAUUUUUCUAUUUUAAAUAAUGUCUCAACAAUAUAUUAUAAAAAAAAUUAAUUUCCAUGCACUUAUCAAGUAUGCCUUGAUUUAUUUCUAGAAAGGUUGAAAUAUAUAUUAUCAAAUAAAUUGUGUUUUAUAUAUUAAAAGAUGCCUUGUUUACUCAUAUGGGUUUCUUUGACUUUUGUUGAUGAGGGAACAAUUUUAGAAAAUUUGAAGAAACUUUCCUCAAAGUUUUUGGAAAUUAAAGCAUAAAGUUUAUGACAUAAACUUGGUUGGUAUAGGUAUGUUUCGAGUCUCUAAAAUAGAUUUGAGUCAAAUGUAUUUGUGUCAAUUUUUAAACCAUAUAUAUUUUGGUCUCUCCAUAAAUAAUGAUAGACAUUAAUAGUGAAUAGUAUUAAUAGAGAUAGAUGAUAGAAGUCUAUAAAUACAUUAAUACAUACUAAAACUCGAUAAAAUAUAAUUUUUUUUUUUUUUAUAUCUUCACAGUGUUAAUUGGCUAUAUAUAUACGGAUAAGCAUUGGGAACAACUUUUACAUGGAAUAUGAAUACGAUGAAAUUACUACAAAACCAAGAGAUAAAUUAGCUUAUUCAAAGCUUGUUCCGAAACCAAAAUACCCCUUUACUUCUAAAAGCUUCUGAGUCCCCCUCCUCAUGAUCAUCUUCCUCUACAUAAACACAUUCUCUAAACUCCCUCCAUGCAGCCUUCAAGAUAGGCGUCUCAUCAAACUGAUAGUACUCUCCCAGCACUUCCUUCACCGCCCUCGUCGCCUCCGCUGCAUUGUAAUGUGGCAUUGAAGGGAACAAGUGAUGAAUCACAUGUGUAUCCGUUAUAUUAUGUAACAUUUUAUUCAAAAUCUUCCCGUAAUCUCUAUCCACUGUAACCAAAUUCCCUCUCAGCCAAUCCCACUGACUAGAAUCGUAAUACGGCAAUGAAGAGUGUGUGUGUUGUAAACAUGAUAUCAACACCACAAACACGUUCAUAACCGUUAAAGGCAGUAAGUAUAUGCGAAUGACCCACGUGAUUCCUUUUGUAACUGCGAGUUUGUAAAGUAAGUAUAAAAUGGUUAAGACUCCGGCAUUGGAUAUUUGAACUUGAAGUCGUUCCUUUUCGGUGAAUAUUGGGCUGUUUGGAUCGUAGUGGCUGGUGAAUCUAUCAUAGACUCGGCCUGAAUUGUUGAAGGCUAUGUACAUUGGCCAGCCAAGUGUGAGGGUCAUUACAAUAAUGAAGAGUCUAGCAGGUGGGUUGGUUAAGUGUUUGAAAUACCUGUAAAUUUUAACUUCAUGAUUAUACACCAUAGAAAGCUUCAUUAUAUAAAAUAAUAAGAGACAACAUUUUGAACUAGAUAAUUUUCACAAUAACAUGAGUUAGAAUAGCAUACUUUGAUCCAUGAAAACCAAUAGUUUUAGAGAGUGAUUCAUAGAGAAGAUAGAGAGAUUGUGAAGAAAUGCAUUAGGGUUUCUCAUAUCUUGAAUUUUUUAAUAAAAAUAUAUAUAUUCAUAUCUGUUUUUAGAAAAUAAGGUAUCAUCUAUUUCUCACAUCAGUUUCUAUAUGUUUGUGCCUCAUAUAAACAUCCAAUCAUGGUAUUUAAUAAUGAUAUUAAACCUAAUUAACACCAUACCAAGGGAUUUUGGAUUUGGGCUUGGGGACAAAGACCUCGUCGCGGUGGAGUGAUGCAGUGUUGGCAUGGUGGCGGCGGUGGCUGAUUUUGAAAGAGAAGUAAGGGAUGAGGAGGGAAGAAUGGAGGAGGAAGCCAAGGAAGUCAUCUAGGAAUUGGUAAUCACUGAAGGCAUGAUGGCCACAUUCAUGAGCGAUGACCCAGAAGCCGGUGAAGACAAUGCCUUGAGAGAGCCAAUAAAGAGGCCAAGCUAAGUAGUGAAGCAGUAGUGGGUGGGCGGAAAGGGUGUGGAAAUAGGUGGUGGCUACGUAAUAAAAAGUAGAGAGAAGGAUGGAGUCGAAGAUAACGUAAGAGAAGGAGCGGUAGAGGGAACGAUUGAAGCAAUGGGAUGGAAUGGAUUUCUUGAUUUGUGUGAUGGUGAAGGGAGGCUUGGUGUGUGUAAUGCGCUCCCCCAAUGCUAAUUUGCUUCUAUUUGGGCUUCCUUUCCUCAUUUCUAUUUCUUCUCACUCCCUCCCGAUUUGAAAACACUACGCUCUCACACCUUCACCCUCACCCCUACGUUGCUUCUUUAAAUAAUAUUUAAAACUUUCCAUUUUCACCAGAUAUAUGUGUUACUCUCCUCAAGGUGAAGUUCAUGCCAUCUAAGAUUAAGAUUGCUAUAAAAGUUCAUAUAAAAUAUUCUAAACAAAUCACACUUAGUCUCAAACAUCUCAUUCAAGAAUAGUUAAUGUAAAACAAACUUGCAUCAUGGAUUGCAUCUAUCUUUAUGUGUAUUUAAGUAAUGAAAGUUUGGUUAUGUGUGUGGUAGAUUUUUUUUAGCUUAAAAACCAUCUCUAAAAUUUGAUGGUAGUUGCAACUAUAAUUUCAAACUAUUAAGAUUAAAAAUAAUUAAACUUUUAAACUUAUCCAAAUUUUAAAAUUAAGUUCUAAAUGUAUAAAUUUUAGUGACGAUAUAAAUUUUCAUUUUAAAUUUUUAUCAUUUGUGAGUCUAAUCUUUAAUCUUUACAAUUAUUGAACUAUUUUUCUCAUGCUAGAUUGAUUUUGAGUGAAUGUAUUGAUUUUUAAAUUCAUAUUUUGGGUAGAUUUUAAAAACUAAAAAGGAGUUUUUUAAAUAUAGUAAAUAAACUAAAAUAUUUAUAAAUUAUAACAAAAUUUUGGAUUAUAUCAUUGAUAGAAACAGAUAACAUACAGAUAACAUUCUAUCACACUAUCUAUCAAUGUCACUAAUUAUAUAGGCAUAUAUAUUCGUGUCUAUCAAUAUCAAUGUCUAUUAUUGGUAGAAUUUGAAAUUUAUCAAAUUUGCUAUUUUUGACAAUUCUCCAACUAAGAAUUUAUCGAAAGGAGAUUGAGACAGGUAGGGUGAUAAUCAAGAUUAUUUGUUAACAAUGAUUAGGUGCAACUACGUUGUUUGUCCACGAUAUCCAAGUUUUUUAUUUUUUUUGGACUUGUAUUAUAGAAGGAAACCAAACACUUGUAAAAAAGAAAAGGGUUCAAAAUGAGACGUAUUAUUUGCUUAUGUGAUGGCUCACAACUUUAAGGGGUAUAUGUGUUAGGCUUGGUGAGGGAAAACAACAGCGAGAAAGCAUAUAGACAUAUUUCAUUUGGGAUAUCUGUUGUGUGUUACUUUACUGCUUUUUGAAAAUUCCACAUGGUAUUUUAAUUGCACUGAUUUUCUACAAGUGCUCAAACAUGCACAACAUUUUAUGCCUCUCCUUUGUAAGCCAUGCAAAUUUACACGUCUGUUUUUUUUAAGAGAAACUUAGCCACAACACUUGUGUUCUCUUCUCAAUUCAUUGCUACAAGUUUUGAAUCAACUUUAUCUUUGGAGGCUUAUCUUGGAACAGUAAAACACUAUAAAAUGUGCAUAUUAAUGGCAUUCACAUAUAAGAUGUAUUUCAAACUUUCUCUCUUUCAAAUUACUUGAUAAAGCAGCCUAGCUAGCUAAACCAGCAAUUAAUUUCUAUAAUCAACACACAGAGACUAUCAUAAUAAACACUCUACAGUUAUCAACCAAAGACAUAAGUAGUUUUAUCAAUUAUCUUUUCUUCUAUGAAUCUAACAGGAACUAGCAGCUAAUUAACUAGAAACAACAAUAAUUAUCAAGCAAAGACAUAUAAGUUUUAACAUGGAAAAAAUCCUCAGGUAAAAAACCACGAUGUCGAAAUAACAAAUGCGACAUGUUCUUCCUAAUCGAAACUAAAGACAUACAUGAUAAAUAUUAUCUCAAGAUUAAUGACAUGGCAACUAAUCACAGCAUAAAUUCCAAUUAUACCCGUUGUAAUCGACUUUAGUAAGUCCAAUCCAAAAAAAUCCCACAUGCUUUUCUCAAUUUUCUCUCUACUGUCAUCACUCUAUUUCUUGGUCGUGCACGUACGUUGCUCAACCAACCGACGAGGUUUUUAUAUUAAGAUUGAAAUAUCCUUGACUUUGUAUAUAUUUUAGGUAAACAAUAUCAUUCAACUUUCAAAAUAUACUUAAAGUUAGUUCUGGAUGAAAAGGGACAGUGUUUUGUGUAAAAAAUACUUUAUGAUUAAUACCUCUGGCAAGAAAACAAUAAUUGAAGUUCAAAGAUUCCUUUGUGCUUCAAUUAUUCUAUAAUUUAACCUAUAUUUAAUAGGCCAAAUGAGAGCCAUAAAUGUGGGGUUUCUUCUCAUUUGACGAGCAGGCCGAACAAUUUAAAUCUAGAGCAAUACUUAGGGUACAACCCAACACUGUUUCACCUAAGUUCCUUCACCCUUUUCUUCUCUAUGAACCUAAAAAACUAAACAUUGCCACUUAGAAGUUUUAAAUUAGAUCCAGAAAGGGUUUGGGCUGCACCCAAUUUUUUUUCUUACAUUCUAUGCAAACUUUAUUUUUCCAUUUCAAUUUUUGCUACCUCUCUGCUAAAUUUCAAAACAGUUAUUAACAGUAAGUUCCAAACAUGUGUUUGAGCGUUUCGAAAUUACUUUUUAUGUUACCAAAUCACUUUUAAAAGUAUAGACACAAACAAACGUUAAUAUGGCAUGAAAAUCACUUCUAACAAAACAUUUAUUAAUAAAAAUCAAUUUUGUUAAUUAGUUUCUAAAAACACUCUCAAAUAUACCUUCUAUAUCCUGGUUUAAGUUUUCAAGAAAAAUGACUAAUGGGCCGGGAUCAAUACUCAUGCCAUGGAGUGGCAAAAAAGAGGUUGAGCUUUGUAUUUUAAGGAGAGUCUUUCAGCUCAUAUGAUCUAAAAUGGUACAGCGUAUUACAAGAUUGACUUAAAUUUUUCAAAACUUUAAGAAAUAUCUUAAAUUUACUAAUAUUUUACAUAAAUAUAGGGCUUAAAUGACCUAUUUAUCUAUAUUUAUUUUUAAUAAUAUAUUAAAAAAAUAGAAAAAUGAAAGUGGACUAUGAUUAAAAUUUGUAUUUAUUAAAUAUCAUAGUUAAUUAUGGUAAGUGAUUAAUUCUGUUACAGUAUAUUAUAAUAAAAAUAUUAUCUCAUAAUUAUUUUUCUUUCAGUGAUUUUGUUAAAAAAAGAUUCUCUCAUGAUCUAUCUUUCACUUUCCAAUUUCUCUAUUCGUCCACUAUUUCUUUUGUUUCGCAUUGUUUUUCAUAUAUUUCAUGUAAUUAUAGUAUAUAUUUAAUAAUAGAGUGUAUAUUUUAGUUAUUCUCUAGUAUAUGUUAUGUUAAGGAGCACUGAAUAUGUUUGCGAUGUAGGAACUUUGAUAAAAGUUUUGAAGAUUUAAAGAAUUGUAUGAAAAAGUGGUUGAAUGAAAAAUUGGUUGAUGAAUAGUAUAUAUGAAAUAAUUAAUUGUAUAUUUUAUGAAUGAAAUGCUAUGCUAUUAUUAAACUGGUUUAUUAAUGGUAUAUAUAAAAUAUAUGUAUUAUGCAAUAGUAUAUAGGUAAUAAUUAAAAAAAAAUCCUGAUCUGUUACAUAAUAUGUGUAUGCAAUGAAAUAUAAUUUCGAUAAGAAAAAAUUACACAACUAAAAAAAAAGUUGUGAAUGUAUUAUUGAAUAUAUACAGUAGUAUAUAUAUGAAAAGGAAAAAAAAUACAUAACAAAUAUAUAAUUCGUGUAUGGAGUGGUAUAUCGAACAUGAUAGGAAGAUAAACUAAAAAAUAUAAAAUUAAACAAAAUAAGAGGAACAGGAUUAGAAUAUAUGUCGUCGUUGUCGGAAGAAAGGACCAAAAAAAUUGAAGGGUGAAGUUGUUGCCGGCAACUGAUGGAAGCACUCAGAUUAUUAACAUGGUAUGAAUAAUAUGAAGUCAUUGCAGCCGAAAGAAAAGACAGAAAAAGUUGAAGAAUGAAGACGUUACUGGCAAAAGAUGGAAGCACUUAAUAUGGUUAUACUUAAUUACUGAAUUAUUCCAUAUUAGAAAAGAUUUUGUUUUAUACUCAAUUAAAAAUCCAUGUCGAAUUUAUUUUCAUAAUAAAAUUAGACAUUAAUUAAAAAGUUAUCAUUUCAUAAUAAAUUGGAAAAUAAGGAAAUAAUUUAAAUUUAAUUUUGAAAAUCAUAUAUAAUUAAUAAUAAUAAUAGAGUUAUAAUUAUCCAAAAAAUAUACGAAAUCCUAAUAAAAAAAUUUAAUUUAAGAUAUUUGUGAAAUUUUAUACUCAAUCUAGGUCUUUUGUCUAAAUCUUUCUUUUAAGUAUCAUGUUGACGAAGGACAUGUAAAAGGUCUUAUGAUACAUAUCAGUUGAGAAAACAAGUACUAAAAGAAAGAAAAAUAUUUGAGUGUAUCAAGAAUGCACUAAUAUAUAGAAGGUUAAGCAAGUGGAUAAGAGAGUAAAUUUAACAUAAUGUGCUCAUUCUCACUUGUGAGUUUGAAAUAUGAAAAAGAGAGCAAGUCAAGUAAGAAUGUAAAUGUGUAUAUUCAUAAAACAAGAUGCUAUCUCAUAAGACACAUGAAUUUAAAGUAAAUAAGAUAUAGGAAUAAAUACGUCGUGGUACGUUAUACUAACACAAAGAUUUUAACCGUUAAAUAAAGAAAAGACAUUAUUAGGACAUAGUUAAAUUUUGGGUAAUUAAUAUUUUUAAGCAAAGCCAGAUGGACGCACAGGCUACAAGAAAUAGACAAUAAUUUGGAUAAAGGCAAGGCAAGGAAGGGAUCUCGUGUGAUUGGAAAGGAGACGAAGGGUGAUAAUAAGGUUACCAUAAAAGUAUUGGAAAAUUUUAAUUGGACAAACCAUAGUUUUUGUUCAACGUAAUUCCCCCAUGGUAACUUGGUCCCUAAAUUUCAUAAAUCUAAUCUCUACUGCCAACCUGUCCUUCUCAUUCAUCUAAAUCCUCUUUGACCUACACCUGGAAUGUCUUAACAAAACAACACAUUAUUUGCUUAUGGGAUCAAUCAUCAUUUAUAUUCCCUCUCUCUUUUUCUGUGUACAAAACACCCAGAUUCUCUUCUAAUUCCACCCUCAGAGAAACUUGAAAUUUAUCACCUACUACACAGCCUAAUAUCUUCCAUGUCAUUGUAGCAUUUAGGAGUGGAGGUAGAUGACAUCAAAUGAAAGAUUUUAAAAGUACGAAAGUAUAGCUAGCAAUUAGAAAUACCAAUCUAAGAUGUGUAUAAGAUCUACUCACCCACUAGCUAACUACAAGUAUAGUAAGCACAAAAAAUAUUGAGAAAUUAAAAAGAGACUGUAAUAAGAACAGAAGAAGAAGAAAAGAUUAUGUUUUGUUUGAUGAACUUACUUUGAGUCAAUCACAAAUUUAACACAUCUCAUUUGUACCAUUUAACUUUGUUGGCAUUUCAAACCUAAUAAUGAACAUUUCAAUUCAACUCUUCUGUCUCUUGAGUACUGUAGCUGAUGAAUGAUGAUUAUUUUCCAGUUUGUCUCUACUCGAAAGACCAGUUUGUCCAUUUCUACUUUAAUUGUCAGCCUUCCAGCUUGUCAAAUACAUCAGUUUUUAAGAUUUUCGUGCACCCCAUAUCAUUAAUCCCUUCCUAAGCUGAUUUUCAUUUGUUUAUAUAUAUUACACUUAACACUUAAACACUCACAUACUUUAACUAAGAAGAAAAAUUAAAAUGGAGUCUCAUCAAAUGUGGCGUCAAAUGAAAAGCCAUGAAUAUGAUCAUCACCGUCGGUUUCAAUCUGAAAGUCAGGUGGAUCUGACACUCCGACUUGGAUUCCCCAAUGGCACUGCCGGUGAACGUCCUGAUAUUGAUCAUCAUCAUAAUAAUAAUCCCUUCUUCUCCACACCAUUUCAUGCUCUUCAAACCCAUCAGGUUUUAAUUUAAUUUGCUUCUCAUUUAUUUCAUGAACAAUACAUUAUUUGAAUUUGCAUGACUUUUUUUCCUUAUCAAUAUAGUAAAAGAAAACAGUGAGUGGUAGAGUUUGGAAUUUCCAAGUUAAGAAAAGGAUUAGAAAAUUACUUGAUCAAUUUGCUUAAUUAUAUUAAAUCUUAACUCUGCUCACAAAUCUCAUACUUAGCCUAUGAAUUUUUCAAAAGCUAUUGUUGUUCUAAUAUCUCUGCUUAAACCCUAAUUAGGAUUUUAUUUUCUUUUUUGAUAGAUGAUUUGACCAAUUUUUUUGAAUACAAAGUGUGUACGUGAUCUCUAUUGCUAUUAAUUAACCUUCCAUCUUAAUUAACAUACCAUUUCUUACCCUGAUUUUAACCAUUUCAAUUUCAGAUUUUCAAAAAAAAAAAAAAAAAAACGUAUAUCGUAAUCUGAAUGUGUAAUUCUUUUAAGAGUAACAAUUAAAUGUAUAACAAAUUGCAAUAUAGCUUGUAAUCGGUAUGGAAAGACAUUUACAAUUUGAUUGGUAUAUGGUCCAAUAGACACUCGUGCCCUGCUCUCAGUUUUAAUGUUCAUUUAGAUUAACAGUUUUCUAUACGUUUGAGCUUAUCUCCAGCCCCUAAGGUAUCGUCUGUACCUCUAUUCUAAUUGAAUAUCAUUUGCUAGAGAAUGAUGAUAGUGUGCCCACCAAGUGAAAAUAUUCGGGUGCACUUUUUGAUCCAUACGUCUGCUUUUUGAAAAAGAAAACAAAUUGUAACAUAGUGAAAUCUGUCGAUUUUAAUGGUGAUAGAUUCAUAUGAGAGUUAGUACUCUUAAACUCUGCUAUUUGUUAAUAUUUUGAGCUUGGUUACAUAAGGGAAUUUUUAAUUUAAUUUUGAUCCAACUUUUUUUCUUACAUUUCAACUUGAACUUCAUUUUAGUUAAGGUCAGCAUUCAAGUAAUUAGUAAGUAUCGAAUAUAUGUGUGUGUAUAUAUAUAUAUAUGUGAUAAUUAAACAUGUAUAUAAUUCUUACUAAAUAUAUGGUAAUGUGUGCAAAUUCAAAUUGGAACUAUAAUAUAUCACCGCAAAUAUAUACAUUAUAAUAACUAAGCAAAACUAACUCAAAUGGAUGACCUAGCUUGUGAAUGAAAUGAAUCAGGUGAUGGCGAACAAUCAAGGGUUAACCAGAAAUAAUGAAAUGAUGAGUGAACCAAAUUACAAUAACCCUCACCAAAUUGUAUGGUCAAAAGAUCUAAAAACCUAUGUUCUUAAGUCAAAUAAUAAUUUUGGGCAGCAGCUUCAUCCAAGUUCAUACCCUAAUACUCAUCAAGCAAAGCCCAUACCCACCAGUACUCCAAAUAACACCCCAAAUCUUCCUCUUCCAAAACGAGGACACAAUAAUGACCUAUACACACUCCUCAACCCUGCUUCUAGAGUAGCAGAUGAUCAUGAAGCCGAAGCUUCCUCCGCUGGUCGGCGAAAAGGGUCGCGACGACGUCGAGUUUCAGCCACCAAUGAUGUCGAGAGAAGGUGUACCAAUUACAAUUGCAACACCAACUUCACACCCAUGUGGCGUAAAGGUCCUCUUGGUCCUAAGGUACAUACGUAUUUGAUUCAUUAGAGCAUGUUUGAAAGUGAUUUUGCUUUUGACCUGAUUUUGAAUGAGUGUAAUGAAUAUAUAUUUCAGAGCCUUUGCAAUGCAUGUGGAAUAAGGUAUAGAAAAGAGACUAUGAACAAAGAAGCAAUGGCAGCAGAAAACAGCAACGGGUAGGCAGCUGGGGAGCCCAAAUCAGGAAACCUAUUUUUGUUGAACGUUUUUUUCUGCAUUGCGUGGGGUUCUUUUUUAAUUAUUUGAAUUAAGCAAUGCAUGUGAAGAAGAAGCAAUGUAUGUUUUACUUUAUAAGAAUUUGAUUUCUGUCUCUUCAUCCCUUUUCAAUUAAUUGAAGCUUUGUUUGGUUAAAUGCAUUUAUUUACCCUUCAAUAAUUUUAUAUUCAUUAUUUCUAUAGCGUUUAUAUAUAUAAGCUAUGUUUGGAUAGCCAACUUGUAUUAAUUUGAGUUUGCUAAAAGAAAUUAAUUACUACUUCAAUUUAGGGGAUGAUCACCACAACUCAACUGAUCAAAUGAAAAUGCUCUCCCUCCAUAUCAAAAAAAAAAAAAAAAGAAAAAAAAAAGAAAAAAAAAGAGUUAGAUAGAUUUUUAAAAUGACAUGUAAUUUGAUUUACUUGUUUUUUUCUUUAUACACUACAAGAAAAUGGAGCUAUUCCCACACUUUUUUUUUGCGUCGUCGGGAUAAAUAAUGUUAGAAAAUAUAGUUUUUUUCAACACCACAAGAAAGAUGUUAGCAUAACAAUUUUCCGGUGCCACACACGAAGACGUCAGAAAAACGAUUCAUUUAAAUAAUAAUAUAUAUCUUUUUCGAUUCAUGCAAGUACACAUUAGAGAUGCCCCUGCUACGGUCGACGUGGAAGUGUAAUGUGUCGGGAAAGUGAAAAUUAUUAUUAAAAUUAAGACCAUCAUGACGUUCACGUGCAUGGCGUAGACAAUUUGUUCGCCUAUGCCGACAUUAGCUUUGACCACGUCGACAAAAGUUGAACCUUUAAACAAUUAUAGCAACUUUUUUCCAACGAAAAAAAAUGAUCAAACGUCGAAAUUGGUCAACCUUUGGCCAACGUAGGGGUUGACAAUGUCGGAAUAAAGUAUAACGUUUGAAAAUUUUUGAAAACUUUUUUCCAAUGCCAUAAGUGAAACGUCGAUGUUGAACCCAAGUAAUCCCGACGUGUUCACUCAUAAUACCUUUUUUUAGGCUACAUCGGGAGAACUCCAUUAACAAAAUGUUGUUUUUUCAGUUUUAUGACAUUUUCUUUUCUUUUUUCCUUUUGAUUAUCCAUGUUAGGGUACUAGUGUCUUCAUUUACAUAUACUUUUAUCAAACUAUUGAACUAAAAACAGUUAGAAUAAUUAAAAAAAAAACUAAUUAUGCAAUUUAAAUCAAAGUAACAUUGCAUUAUAUUUUUUAUCCAUAGUAUUAAUUUUUCAUUGUGAUGUCCAUUUUUUCAUCCAUGUUAAUGAGUUUGAUUUUGUCAAUAUUCUUGUUAUAUUAUAGAAAAGACGAAAAAACAUAAAAAAAAUUAAAACUAAAAUGUCAUUGACAUAUACAUAUAGUAUAAUAUGAAUAAUAAACGUGUUAACUUUUAACUCCUAUAAAAAUUAGAAAAUAUUUACUAAUUUUAUUUAAAAUUUAAAAUUGACCAAAAUAUUAUAGAAAAAAAUAAUUUAAACUAUUUAUGAAUUAUAGCAAAAUUUUGGAUUCUAUCGAUAAUAAAAAUAGAUAGACUUUACUAAUAUAAUAUAAUAGAAGUAUUGAAUAUGAAAAUUUUGUUAUAUGUAAUAAAUAUUUUUUUUUUUGUUAAAUUUACUAUUUUGAUAAUUUAUUUUUUCUUCAAUGGAUCUGAAAUAAACUACUACUAAUGUAUGUAAGUAUGAGAUCCUUAUUUGAAUCUCAACAAGAACCUAAUGCAUUUUAUUUUCAAAACUAAUCCUUUUAUUAUAUUUUGAUUCUCAAAACUAAACCUAAAAUUGCCUAAUCUUUUUUCUAAAGAAAAAAGGCCUUUUAAUUUUUUUUUUUGAAAAAGGGAAAUUGAGAGCGUAGUGUUAAUGCGCGAUCUACUUUGCUGACUGUCGACAUUUUCCAAGUCCCCAACCCUUUCCAUCAUUGUUAUCAUCGAAACUCCUAUAAGCUGUUGCUUCGCCAUUCUUGUUUCCUAUUUCAUUUCUCUUCCUCCCCUCUUGGGAAAACCCCUUCUCUUUAAUUGCUCCAAUUUUCCAUCAUUCUCUACAUUCCCCUUCUCUAUCGCAAAAAUGUAAGCAUUUCCUUCCUCUUCUUCAACUCUAAUGCUCACCUUUUAACGUCUCAAUCCUUGUUUCCACCUUUUGUUUAUUUAAUUUCCUUCUGCAAUCUUAACUUCUAGAUCUGUUGGUUUCUUUAUUAUUGGAAUUUCUUUUUCCAAAUGCGAGGUAUACAAUGUAGAUACAUUUUGCUGUACUUCAUUGGAUACUAGUGCGCGUCAGUCUCUUGUCUGUUUUACCUUACCUUGACUAAUUGCUUUGCGUGAUUUGUUAACUGAGUGAUCUGGGUUCGUUAUGUUAUGCCCAUAUGUUAACUGGGUAAUUGUGGAAAAUGAGUAGUUGGGGUUUAGAAAAACCAAUGCUAUAAUAAAAUUGCGUCUUUUUGUUUCGAAAUGAGUCUUCUACAUAUCUACACAAGCGGGUUUCGUCCUUUUUUGAUUAAUCAGGUUCAUUAAUACAUAAAUGUAACUGAGCUAGCUUGACAAUUCUUGUUGCGAUUUGGCACUUUGGAUCCUGGAUAUUAGUUAUAUUAGUGGAGUACUAUAUCCAAGUCAAUUUUUUUCCCGGCUCCAAUGAACUUCAUUUAAGUGAAAUGGUCUUUUAUUUGACAUUUGAAGCUCGAGUUCCUUAUUGUUUCCGUGGUUUAAAUUGUGCAGAUUUCGAUUUUCAUUAACGAGAUACCAGUUCCUGAAGAUGGCAGCAGCAGCUUCUAACCUUCAGAUAGCGACACUAAGACACUGCCAAUUGCCGUCUAGGAAAGGGUUCAAACCAUGUGGAACAACCCUUGGCAGUUGUUCUAAAGUAUCAUCAUGGGCUAAGCUUUCGAGUUGUAGCAAUAUAUCAUCUUUACCAUUUUUCCAGCGGAAGUUUGUUUCAUCUUCUGUGAAAAAUGAGAGAACUGUAACCAAAGCAAUGGCUGAAGCUAGUGAUAGUAAGCCUAGCUCUGGGCUGUCAAUUGAUCUAAAAGGUUAAAUUUCUGGUGAUUUAUUUUCGUUAUUUUGUUGUUCUGGUUUACAUAUGUUGUGUAUACUUCUCUGUUUCUGUAUUCAUUUCAGUCUUCUUGGCUCACUUGCCUUUAAUAAAUUGUGGCAUUCAUCCAUAGUGCUUCCCGGGGAUUCUACGAACUAUACUCCCUUUUUGUGGGGGGCUUGGUUCUUUUCAUGCCUCUUUUAACUCUUUCAUUCUCUUUAGGAAAGCUUAGUAUCUUAUUAAAAAAAACUAGAUUUUUUGAAUUGUAGUCGCAACUAUUAUUCACAUUAUGGUGUCAGACCCUGUCACAUUUGAUGUAUAAGGGGGAUUUUGAAUUUGCUGUUACUUUAUUUUCACAUUGUGUAUCUGGGGUUAUUCUUUCUCAUAUAUAGGCAUGAAAUACUUGAAAAUUAACAAGUACUAGAAAGUUUUCAAUGAACGUCGCUUUCUCAUGUGUAGGUAAGAGAGCAUUUAUUGCUGGUGUAGCUGAUGAUAAUGGAUAUGGUUGGGCAAUUGCAAAAUCUCUUGCAGCGGCUGGUGCUGAAAUUCUUGUUGGCACGUGGGUUCCUGUAAGUGAAAUAGCUAGCUCAGAUUGUUAAUGUUUUAUUUCUUAUUUGCACUUCUUCCCAAGGAAAACAAAAAAGCAUAAAUCUUUUGGUUCUCUCUUAGGCCCGUGUUUAGUAUUAUAACCUUUUCUUGUUCAGGCCUUGAACAUUUUUGAAUCCAGCUUGAGACGUGGAAAGUUUGAUGAAUCACGAGUGUAAGAUAUUAUUCUUAUUUCUUUCCAUGUUCUUACUAGAAUGAAGUUUCAUUAUUCUCAUAACCAUUGUUUGAUAUUCCAGACUUCCUGAUGGAUCUCUCAUGGAGAUCACAAAAGUAUAUCCUCUAGAUGCAGUUUUUGACAGUCCGGAAGAUGUUCCCGAAGAUGUAAUUUAGUAAUCUCUAAUUGGCAAUGUAAAUUUUUUAUGCUUCGAUUUUGUCUGUGUUAAACAUUUUUGUUUCUCCCAUCCAUGCAGAUAAAAUCAAACAAACGGUACGCUGGAUCCUCAAAUUGGACUGUGAAGGUACACACAUAACUUCCCUUCCUAUCCAAUACUUCUAUAUAGAAAAGCAAACAAUACGGUUGAUUGUCUGUGUGAAUGAAUUUGAAGAAUCUCAUUAACUACAAGAUAAUACAUCUCAUAAAUCCGAAAGCCAAGUAGAAAGUAUCUGUGUUAUAUGCACGGUAAUGUCUCUUGAAUCAAGUGUGCCAAAGUUUGAUCAAGUCUUUAAGUUAUUGUUUCCUUGAACCUAUCUGAUGUAUUUGCAUAAUUUCAUGCUUCCAUUUUAAUGAUAUGGCUACUCUUAAACCAUCUUGCAGGAAGUUGCUGAGUGUGUGAAGCAAGACUUUGGCAGCAUUGACAUUCUUGUGCACUCCCUUGCUAAUGGACCGGAGGUAUUUAGCUAGGAGGUUUCAUUCCAUAAUAGUUUUUCAUCUCUUGCUUGUCUUCUUAAAACAAAGUCGCUCUCUAUAAUAGGUAACAAAACCUCUGUUGGAGACAUCUCGGAAUGGUUAUCUAGCAGCUUUAUCCGCAUCAAGCUACUCUUAUAUAUCUCUACUGAAGCAUUUUGUUCCAAUCAUUAAUCCAGGCACGUUAAAAUAUUUCCAUUGAAGACUUUGGCUAUUACCUCAUCCACUAUUAUCGAAGCUUUUAUAUUUCCAGUUAUUUGUCAGGCGAGACAACAAAAACAAACAUAUAAAAGAAAACUUUGGUUUUUGUUAUAGGUGGUUCUUCAUUAUCUCUCACAUACAUAGCAUCUGAAAGGAUCAUUCCUGGGUAUGUAUGUAACAUAUUUGGUUGGCAACCCUAUAAUACAAAAACAUGCUUGGGCUUCCCCAUUUACUUUUUUGACAACAUUUCUCAAAUAGACUACAGUUCUCUUAUUUUUGUUUGGUGGUUUCUAUCACAAAAAAUUCACUUUAUAUAUCGUUGUGAUGGAAUUCUUAUUUCAGGUAUGGAGGUGGCAUGAGUUCUGCCAAAGCUGCUUUGGAGAGUGAUACACGAGUAAGAUUUUCUUCCUCUAUUCUCUCUUUCUGUGGGGCUGGAACUGUUCAUUCUCAGUUCUCACCACGACGAAUUAUUAUUCUUGUAGGUACUUGCUUUUGAAGCUGGAAGAAAACACAAAAUCAGAGUGAACACAAUAUCUGCUGGUAUAUUUUUCCCUUUUUUUUCUUCUGUUUCCCAGAAAAAACAGCACAGGCAAAUAAUUUUCUCUAGACAUUGGAUAGUUCGUGUUGUGUUCCACGUGGAAUCUCUUGAAGUCUACUAUAAUAAUAUUGAUUUCCUGCUUGUGUUCAGGUCCACUAAGAAGUCGAGCUGCAAAAGCAAUUGGUUUUAUUGACAUGAUGAUUGACUAUUCAUCAGCCAAUGCACCCUUGCAGAAAGAACUAUCUGCUGGUAAAAAUUCCAUUAAUUCUUUUGUACAUGUUCUUUUUUUCACCUUACCAUCAUUGGUUCAUGCUGAAAUGCUACCUUUUGUUAAACAGAGGAGGUGGGGAAUGCAGCUGCCUUCUUGGCAUCACCUCUGGCUUCUGCCAUUACCGGAGCUGUCAUUUACGUUGAUAAUGGUUUGAACGCGAUGGGCGUAGGAGUCGAUAGCCCAAUAUUUAAGGAUCUAGAUAUUCCAACAGACAAGCAUUAGAUUUGCUUGCAGAUUGGUUGAUAGAUGGAAUCGGUACUGUGAGAUUGGCUUUGGCAAGCUGCCACGAUUUUGGAUUUUUUGUUUCUAAUCAUGCUCCUUGUAUUCGCCACAAGCGGAGUUCAAAAUCACUCACAUCUGAAUGCUAGGCAUUGCUUUAGUACGUUACGUUUGAGAGUAGUAAAUCCUCGUCAUUCCGCCUUUCUAUUUUUUGAGGGUAUCCUACACAUUCUGAUGACGAAGAAACACUUAUUUAUAACUUCUGGUUUGAUUUGGCUAUAAAUCGAAAUGGGUAUCUGUAGAUUUUAGCAAACUAAUCUUGGAAAAUCUGAAAUUGAUUUUAGCAAACUAAUUAGGCAAAAUCCUUUUAGCAUAUUGAGAAAGUUAUUCCAAAAGAAUGCAUGGUUCUAUGAGAUAGCAUUAUUUCAGAAUCACCAUACACUGCCUGAAUUUUUCAUGCUAUUCGUUCGAAUCCUAACUAGAAUUUAGUUCUUGUGGUUUCAAAAGUAAUUUACAAGCAAUAGGGAUCAAAAGUAAUUUCCAAGCAAUUUAACAACACUUUUUGCUAUCUAAUUCCAUAAUACGAGCAUAAGGGAGUGUAAAUAAUUUGAUCUAAUUCACAUAUUACAGGAGGAAUAAAGUCAUAGUCGUCUUCUCGGUGAUAAUAUAAUCCAUUUACUAUGUAUUUGCAUAAGAACAUUUAUCUUAUGUGGGUCAACAUUUGGGUAAUUUUAUGUUUAUUGUAACGUAAAUGCUCCUUGACAAUAUUUGGAAGUAUAUAAUAUUUCAUUUUUAAAAACCUUCUUAGCACCCUGUUUUUGUUUUGUUUUUUCUAAUACAAAAAGAUUCGUUUAUAUUUGUGACAUCGUUUUGAUUUGUGUUUGUAAUCACGUACGAUUGCAAUCUGAAAGACAAAAGUGAGUACACCUUUUUUUGGUUUCCUUUAUUUUAUAUAGGUGUUUGAACUUUGAAGAGUAUAAAGACCAGCAACCUGUCUACUUAUCCAUAUUAUGAUACAACAAUUUAUUAUUCAAUCACUCAGAAAAGAUGUUAUCAACUCUAAUCUAAGUUGAUAUCUAAGUUGCUCUUAUGAUUUCUUCUUUCAUAGCCAAAGAGAGAGGUGCAAUACUUGCUUCACUCUCCACUCUUACUCCAGGCAUGGCUAUUGCUCUGCUACCCACAAAACCAUCUUCUCCAAUCUCAAUAUUUCCAAACUUAACUACCCCUCCUCCUUCAUAUAUGUGUCCAAAUAAUAGUGCUUCUCUUCCCACACUGCCUCCUCUAUGGACUCUCACCAUUUCAGGAUUCAACAAAGCUCCCAUGCUGUCUACAUAAGUCCCUUGGUUCAUAUCCACAUCUGAACCCAUCAACUUCAUUAUCAGCACAAAUAUGAAAGACCCAGUUGUCAUUUCCAUGAAAUAAUCUCCCACCACUGUUUUAAUGGCCUGCCAUGUUGUGUCCAUGAAAAUCCUUAUGCUCCAAAUCCCUAUUGUUUCCCCUUCUUUCUUCUUCUGCACUAGAAUCCAUUUUGCAACAACACAACAAAGUGCAGCUAUUAUCCCUGAAGACACCCACAACAAUGGAAGUAACCAAUGCAAUGGAAGUUUCUUGUUUUCCUUCAGGUGCAUAACAGAAGCUAGUGGGGGAAAGAUGACCAAACCCAUGAUGAAAUAAGGCAGAGCUGUUUGUAAUGUUGGUUGAAAGAAUGUAAGCCAGAGGUUCUGAUACCAAGUUCUGUCCAGCGCUGUUUUUUCAUUGCUCCUUUCCUUUAAAGCUGCAGCCAUUGGACAACCAGAGAGAUCUACUUUUGUAUCUGAUUGUUGAAGGAAGAUUUUCCAGGCUUCUGGAAGAGGAGUUCCAUUUCGUAAAUGCUGGCAAAUUUCGUAGAUUAAUGAACGGCCAUGAUCGAUUGAAGCACUCUGGGAGAUUGAUGUAGCUGAAAUGACAUCAACCUCGUGACAUCGAAGAAAGGGGUUGAACUCCAGUGCUUCAGAUUCUUCUUUUGACAGGCUUUGAUGGAUUUCAAUUUCUCCGAUGUCUUGACAUGGAAACUCAGUUUCAUCCCAAGGUUUGGUGCAGUCAAGUGCGAUGUCUUGUUCAGCUUCAUCUUGUGGAACUGGACGAGUUUGAAUCUGAAAAACGUAACGAACACCUUCAGGCGAGUUCACACGAUUAAGGAAAUCUUCAGCCAAAAACAGCAAUGGGCGUUUGUCAUCAUCAGCUCUUGGAAUUGCACCUGUCUCUGGCGGGAGAAUUCCAAUCGGCUCAACCUUACCAGAAUCCUCAUCGAUUGUUUUAUCGUAAGGCCUCAAUUUUAACUUCACAUACAUUUCUUGUCCAUCAUUGAAUCGGAACAAUCUACAUAUGUUUGAGUAAUAAUGUAGCUCUGUAUAUGAAUUGGUUAAACGGAGAGAAUUCCAUACUGCAUCACGGAUAUGUGGAACUUUCUUGACAUGCUGUUCUCUUGCUGGAAGUCCACAAACUAGCCAUGAUGCAAAGUCUGCAAUUGUUCUUGCAUAGAAUGCAUUGCCUGUUUUCAAUGUCAAGUCAAGGAGUGGUGUAGUGUCUGAUCCAUCUGAAAGUAUUCUCAAUGCUGCUCCACGAGCGUCAAUCCUGGCAUCGUCAUCGGCACUCAAGCUGUUGCUAUGUCUGAUGAAUACAGGGUAACUCUUCCCAGGAGAGAAUAUCUUGUGAUCAGGUAAACCUUUAAUGUCGUCGUAAAUUGUCAAAUAUCCCUUCCCACUAACACCAAUUCGAUGGAAGUACCUUCUUUUGACUUUUAAAGUUGUAGCGGCUAAAUUUGCAGCCAGGUUGCCAACUAUCUUCUUGUAGAUCCUGUCCAUCUUUUCUAUUCUUUCAUCUAAUAUAUGCAUAGUAUUCUUGAUCAUGACUGGAGUUCGAGAACCAACAUAAACACCUCCCCUUAUGAGUGUUGAGUUCAUUGGGGAAACUGAGAGUGCACCAAGAACAACGUCUUCUUGAAUCAAAGAUCCAGGAAGGACUAUACUUUGGCUGCCUAUAACAGAAUUUUCUUGUACCUCGAUUUUCCCACGAGUAAGGCCAUUAGUUGAAUAGAAUCCAGAAAUAAUUCUGCUGAAGUCACCAAGAUGCACACCCAUGCGAAUAGAAAUGAGUUCCGGAUCCGAUACUGGAUUGAUGGCUCUGAUUGAACAAUGUUUGCCAAUUUUUGCACCCAACAGGCGCAGGUAUAUGCAAAAGGCUUCUGUUCCAGACAAGAGUUUAGCAAAUCUAAGGUGGCUAGCAGUGAUAAUUCGAUGGCAAAGCCAAAUUUUCAGGGGGGUUUGCUCCAUUUGAGGUUUGGAAGUGAGAAGUUUUUUCACAAAAAAUGUGAGGAUGCAUAGUAUAAUGCCAUGAAAUAAAUACAUGGAGGAAAACAAGAUGGCAAAGCUAAUUGCAUUUGAUGGUACUUCAGCGAAUAUGGUAGCAUAAGCAAUUACGGUGAAUGGUAUCCAGUGGAAGGCUCCAACUAAGCAAAGAAAUGCAAAAUGUUGAAGUGAAGGAGAGCUUUGAGAUAGCCAAAUAUAGAAAUAGUAGACAAUAGCUGCAGAAAGAGAGCCCAAAAAGCCAAGUAGGUAGAUUCCUAAAAAGUGAUAAAUGGUGUCACGUUCCUGUCUUUCACCUCCAGUCCUCCGUGGCUCGCUACCCUGGUAAUUAAGUUAUUUUUUCGAGGAGCUUAUAUCAGUGCUUUAGCAUAGAAAGAAAAUUGAGAGUUGCAAAAUGUAAGAUGCUAUCUGAUUGUGCAAAGCGCCUGAAAGUAGGAUAAGAACUAUGAAUUCACGUAGACAUAGGGCUUGAUGUCAAAAACAGAAAAUCUAGAAAUUCAAUAUAGAAUGAAAUUAUGCUGAACAGCUCAACUUUAUGGCAGCGGAAUAAAAAGAAUAAAAUUAAAGGUAUAUGAUGGAAAUUGAUAUUUGAUGCAAGCAAAUUAUUGCUUUGCUUGUUAUAGACUUUCUGGUAGUAGUAGAGAUGGGUUUUUCAUUUUUGCAUAUCAAAUAAUGCCUAUGAGUUAUGCAAUAUUAUCAAGAAAAGAUUUAGCUUAAUCAAUGUUCUCUUAAAUAUUAUUACUAUAUACCUAUGUAGAAUGACUAGGCUGAUGAUAAUCGUUAUUUGUUAUGCAUUGUACUAAAACAACUAUAAGAUGUGCUAUACCUUUUCAAAACAUCUGUUACCGGAAGUUGUCUCAAUGCCUUCAAUCCUUUGCAGAGCUGGAACUUCAACUUCUUCUCCUAAAAUGGCACCUUUGUGGAUUGAAGCAUAAGGUCCCACGGAAGAAUUUUGGCCGAUUCUAAUUGGAAGAAAGCUCAAGACUCCAUUUUUUACCUCAUGGCUUUGAAUCAAAGCCCCUUCUGCAAUAACAACUCCAUCACCAAUAGACACUAAAGAGGGAUCAGUGAUAUCUACAGUAUCAAGAAUCACUGAGGAUCCUAUUCUUGCUCCAAACAUUUCAUACCAGUAUUUUAGGAACACGGUUCCUCUUAAAUGAACAGCUAAUACUUUAGAAGAAACAUCUUGUGCUUUAUAGAGUGCCCACCACUUGACAAAAUCUAAUGACCAGAUGGAGACUUCAGGGGUGAGAGCAUAAUUUGGUCUCAGAAAAGAGUUUCCAAAGAAUGCAAUGCAAAUGCAAGAAGAAACUAUGCAAAGGAUCCAAGCUAGAGGAGCUAAAGUUAAAGGUAAUAGAUAAUUCAUCAAAUAAAUGUUGUCUGUCAAGUCGUGGAGAAUAGGCAAGGAACUUAGGAAAGCUGACAUUGAUAAAUAAGCAGGAAAAAUCACCAUCAUAGCCACAAAUAUGAGAGCCAGAAGUUGGAAAAACCAGAUGCCGAAUUGGUGAGUCCAGGAAAUUGUUUCCAUCCUGACUAGCGCACAAUUUGUUUCAAAUGUUAGAUUAGUUGUAUUUUUUGUCGAUUGUGCACGACUCUUGGCCAAAAUAUUCUCGGAGAUACUUGCCAAGUCUGCAAUGCAACUCGCUGUGAAAAUAUCCACAGCCCCAACUGGCACUCCCAGGAAAUUAGAAAGUUUCUGCGCUGCUCUGACCACAAGAAUUGAAUCAAUUCCAUAUGACAAUAAACUUUCUGUGGCACAAAUUUUGUUAAUUGGAAUAUUUGUCAGUUCAGAUACCAGCCCUUUCAAAAACUCUUCAAUAUCCCUAUUACUUAUCCUGGGAUCUGGUUGAACAGAAGCUCUUGAAAGAUUCGUUUGCUGAAAACGAGGUGUAAUUCCCUCCUUACAUGUCCCUGUGCUGAAGGAUCGAAGAAAAGUCCUCCUGAGCUUUAUUGCAUCUGGUACUACAUUAAGAGUUCCAUCAACAAACUGUUUGAGGCAUUCGAAUCUCUUUAUUUUUCCUGAUGUUGUUUUACUGAUGGUCCUAGGCUUUAUCAACUUAAUUGAAGCAACACUAACCCCAUGUUCUUCUGCCACACGAUUCUGAAUUUGGUCAAUUAUAUCCUUAGCAAUAGGCUUACCAUCCUUAACUUCAGCAAUCACAACCAGACCAACUUGGUCAGAACAAUCAGGAACUUGAAUACCCUUUUCCAUCAGGAUUUCUUCUGGAACACCAACGACUGCACAACAACCUGGGCGUAGGAGAUCGGAUGAGCUCUCAACUGUCUUUUCAACAUCUGCUGGAUAGAUGUUUCUUCCUGCUGCAAUAAUGAGAUCCUUUAUCCUUCCAGUAAUGAAUAGCUUCCCAUCAAUAACUCUUCCCAAGUCACCAGUUCUAAUAUACCUCCGGCCAGGAUGGUUUUGAAGCUCAUUUCUGAAAGUCUCUUGGCUCAAUUCUUCCCUUCCCCAAUAUCCAAUUCCAGCACUCGGACUACUGAUCCAUAUCUCUCCUUCUUUUCCAUCUUCUUCAAGCUCCUUGCCAGUCCCCGGAUUGACUAUUCGUAUGUCAAUAUCUGCAUUGUCUUGAUCCACAUAUCCACAGCAAACUCUCCCUUGCCAGUCUACGAAGAUGGGAAUUCCUUCUCCAAAAGCACAACUCACAAAUACACAGUUUUCUGCUAAUCCAUAACCAGGGGCCAUCUUCUCUUCAGUUAGGCCAAAAGGGGCAGUUAGCUCAAGAAAUUUUUUCAAAGUAGUUUUCCGAACAGGUUCAGCAGCAAUCAUGAGGAAAACCAUGGAAGAGAGGUCAUACGUCUGAACCUUGCCCUUGUUAACCUCUAAUCUUCGAGCCACCAACUCAAAGGCAAAGUUGGGACCUGCACUAUGAGUAGCUUUAUAUUUGCUCAUAGUAUGCAGCCAUAAAAGGGGAUUUUUUAUAAAUGUUAAUGGAGAAAAAAGGAUUGCAGUUCCACCACUCACAAGAGCAGUGAAAAGUCCACCAAUCAGUCCCAUGUCAUGGUAUUGAGGUAGCCAGCUAACAAGGACUGUCCUUGAGGUACUCUUGUAUCUUCUGCGCAUCAACUUCACAUUAUGAAUGAGGCCACCAUGUGUAAUCACGACUCCUUUUGCAUCUCCUGUUGACCCGGAUGUAAAUUGCAGGAAACUUACUUCAUCUGGAUGGGGAUCAGAUUGGUCAGCCAUCGUAUCUGGAGGAGUCAAAUUAGCAAAAUUCUUUAUCCAACUAUCAGUGUGCAUCCAUGGAAGUUUAGGCCAGACUGCUGAAGAUUUUCCCUUUUCUCUCAUCAAGCCAAUCAUAUUCUUGACCUUGCCUACUCUAACUGCUGAGUGAUAACCAAGGGUUGAUAGAAUUGCGACAGCACCACAUGAUUUUGCAAUGUAUUCGAUUUUCAAAAGUGCUUGGCCACCUCUCUGCAAGGGGUCGGGCGGAAGAACUGGAACUGGUAGAACUUUAGCUCUUAAGCAUCCAAAGAAUGCAUCAAUGAAGUCGAGGCCAGGAACAUAUAUGAGAAGAACUCGAUCCCCUGGUUUUAUUGAAGGCUUCUGGUUUGACAGCAGCUUUUGAGCAAUGCAAGAAGCAUUGAGAUGAAGCUCUCUGUAGGUUCGCUGGCCUAACACUAACCCUUCUUCAUUGAGCCAAUUGUAAAGCACUCUAUCUUGAGUGACAUGAUGAGAACCCCAGUGCCUUAAAUAGCCAUCGAGCGAGGACAAAUUGGGAAACUCCACUCCUGGUAAUUCGCCUAACCCCAUGGCAUCCCUUUCUGGUUUUGAUUGAAAGAGAAACAUGGGCUGCAGAUGUGACAGGUUCUAGUUUAGUACAGAUAAAAAAGAAAGAACGUAAUAAGUGUUGCUUUGUUUUCUAUUCAGCUGACAUUCAUUAUUGCGAUCACCUUGGCAUAAGAAAACGUUAGAGAUGAGUUGUCGUUAGCAAAGUGCUUGCAUACUAAUGCCAUGGCAUAUGAAGAAUUCCUCUCUGUAAGUUCAAAAGCCAUAAGCCCUCCUGUGUAAUACGUGUUCAAUGAACCUUGGAGCUCCAAUUCCAAUCGCUUGUAGAAUCCAUCCUCCAUAUCUGCGCAAAAGCUUUAACACAUUGGCAUCUUAUCUUGAGUAGUGGAAGAUUAAUUAGAAAAAGAAAAUAGAUCAUACUUACCUUUGCUACAAACAUGAGGGAAAUAUUUAAAUCUUCUUUGUAGAAUCACCUUCUUAACUUCUCCCCCCAUUUUCGCAAUUGUGUUCAUUGCCAGCUCAGUUACAUUUGGACCUGUAAUGUCGGCCGAGUUACCAUAAGACCAGAGCAGGAAAAUAUUAGUGUCUGGGUAGAAUUUCUGCAUGGCAACUGGAUAGCCAAUUGUUUCCGGAUUGUCCAUAUGUUUCCCGAAGUAAUAAAAACCAAGCGGUAAAUGAUUUAGGCCAUCUAUCUUCAAAACUGUGGUGUAAUAGUCGAUCGUGUAUACUUUACUGAACAACUCCUCUUCGAGGUGGCUCAUAUCCAUUACCUCAGCUUCUUCUUCUGCAAGUAAUAUUAAUUGAAAACCCAUUAAGAAAAAGCAAAUACAAGGGAGAAAGGAGACAUGGAUGGACAGAGCUAGUUGAAGGCAAUCCAUUCGAAACCUGAUAAUUUUGGGCUUGAGGAUCUGUAAGUUCUACAAUUUCUAAAAGGAAAUGAACCAGAGAUGAUAAUCUUAUCGAACUCCAAACUUGUGAAAUUUUUGUCACGGUCCAUGACACGAAGAGUUACACUUUUAGAACUCCGUCUCACAGAUACAACUUCAGUUUGGCAGUGAACUUUGAUUGGAAGUGACUCGCUGAUCCUCUUCCAGAGGCCUCCAUAUCCACCUUUGAAGCGUCGAAUUUUACCAGCCAUUGAAGUGCGCGUGAACUCAUGAACAUAAGCAUAAGGCAUAUCUUGUACAAACCCAUAACCAGAAGCAGUGUAACCAUACGCCACAGAUUUUGGAACAGAGGUUAGUCCAUGAGCCUCAAGAUAUGUAGGAGUUAAGUCAGAUGCAAAUGCACUCACAGCAUGAACACCAAUAUAUCCCGAAUCCUUAGCUUUGUCCUACACAGAUAAAUCCAAAUUUCCAUCACUAAAUAAGUGUACAGAUAUUCGAAGAUUCAAAUCAUAACCAGCCAUAGCAGGAGAACUAACCAACCUGGAGUUCUAAGGUGAGUGAGAUACUGGACGUAUAAUCAUCUGCGACGCGUAUGUCUUGAUAUUCCCCUGAAGUAUCAAUGAGGGCUAGCUUAUGGGAGUCCAGUUCUUCUAAUUCAGAGCCAGUUUCUUUGGCUAAGUGAAAGAUUGUUGGAGCACUAUUAGCAGCAAGAACUUGACCUCCCAAAUCAUAUAUUUUACCUGUAAGAAUAGUGAAUCCUUAUUGUUAAUCAACUUCAAUCUCAUAACAACCAUGUCAUUGAGUAUUAAAUAAGUCGUACCUUCAAUUUCCACUGACUCACACAUGCCCCCAACAUCUUGAUUCUUCUCCAAGACUGUUACUUCAUUGUAACCAAGCUUGGCCAAUGCAUAAGCAGCUGACAAGCCACUUGGGCCACCUCCUAUAAUCCCAAACCUAGUGUUCAAAGGAAGGGAAGGGUGAAGUUUAGAGAACUUAUCUUCAAAUGACUUGCCUGUAUCCAUAAUCACAGACAAUAUUCACUUCAACCACCAAAAAACCAACUUCACAAAUCAAAUAAGUGUUACAUCACUGUUGAACAACCAACAAAACUUCGCUCAAUAUCAUCAUAUAUACAUAGUUUUCAGGCAACCCACAAGAAGGAUCACGAAUUGGUUAGUUAAAAUCUGAUGACUGUCGUAUUCCACAAAAAGGGUCAUUUAAAUAAGUGCCAAAUGGCCAAAAACAAUGAGAAAAAUGGUUUCCUUGAUGGGGACAUCUUAAAAUAAAAUAAUAAUCUAUAGAAACUAAAUGACGAAUAGUUACUUUCUCAGCAACUUUGGACACUCCGAGAAUUAAACUCAAAAUAUUCUCUCAUCAUCUACUACGUAUUUGUUAGUUAAAAUUGUUCCUAAAGAACAAAUGGAUCGAAGGAUCGGCAGCGACCAGCACAAAGCAAUCAUUUGCACAUUUGGCACUUUGCUUCCUAUUUCUUACAGAGAAUUUCUACUUUCUGUCUUAAUGCAUACCCCUUCUGUUAAAAUAAGUUGAAUGAUAUUGAUGUUAUUGUCAUGCUAUAUUAAAAUUGUAUUGGAAUAUUCCUCUCAUUAAAAAAAAGAAAAAAUCAUGAAACAUUACAAGUUACUGAUAUCAAUAUUAAUAUUACACAUUUGAACUUAUUUAAUAUAUACAUACUGAAAUUUUUCAUGGAAUUGAGACCUUAACACUUCCGUCCAGGUUACGUAAACCUCUAAACCUCCCUAGAAGUUACGUAAACCUUUAAACCUCCUUAUAGGUAACAAGUAAAUUAAUUUAUUUUUGAUGAGGGCCUAAGUGAUAGGUAGAGGAGGAAAAAACAAAGAAGAGGUUGAAAAGGACAAACAAAGAAUGGUGGACUGCAUAAUCCACUCUUAAAGGAGAUAUUCCACAGGGCCAAAUCUUCGUCACUUCAGGCUUUGAUUCUAUAUAAAAAGUAGAGCUUUGUAAUUUAAGAUCCAUUUCUUAGUACUCAUCGACAAUAUAAUAUCCGAUGUUUAUCCCUUUUUAGACUAAAAUAUUCAUCUCUUUCCUUCUCAUUUUAUGUUGGUAAGAUUAUAUUUGAAUUCAACUGAUUUAAUGAAUGCAUGCAUUUUUUUCUUUCUAAAAGAACAUGAUUGUUUCUUAAAAAGAAAACAGAAAAGAAAGAAGAUGAAUGGGUCUUAAAUUAUAUUGAUAACAAUAAUUAACAUAAAUUACCUUUUGACACGUGAAUUCAUUCGCUCAUAUAAGAUUGGUAUUGUGUCACAUACACCCUUGGGCUCAUAAUGAUCACUCCUUAAUUCAUGUAAUCAAUGAGUCGGUAACUUCAUGAAUUUUUUGUUGUGAGCUUCAUGAUGCUAUGACUUGAAGUCUUUCAAUGUACUUUUGAGCUUCAUCGUGUUAUGACCAGGGUCUUUCAUGGUACUUUUGAAGUUUCUCCUAGAUUUUCUUAAGUACUUCUAAGUUCCAUGUACUUCCUCUAAGCUACCUUUAGAUUCUUUCAUGAAUCUUUUGACCUACCUUUAAGCUCUCUUAUGGGUCAUCUGAGCUACCACUGAGCUCUCUCAUGAGUUCUUUGAGCUAUUUCAAAACUUUCACAUUCUCUAAGUAACUUUAAGUCAUUUCCAUGGAUUCUAUAUGAUAUUAUUAGACACUCUUAUGAGUCGUCAUAUCGAAGUUACCUUUAAACUUCCUCGUGAGUUACAACCUGCCUAAAGUCAUGGGUGGGUAGUGGUCAAAUGUAUAUUAGAAUUUUUCAAUUUCACUUUUCAUCUUUUUAGAGUUACCUUCAACAAUUUUACCAAAUUAGAUGCCAAAAAAGAAGAAUAUAUAUAUAUUCUUACAACAUUUCAGAAGUAAAAAGUAGACUUUACAAACAAAACUACACACAUGUAUUUUGAUAUUUUGGUGGUUAACGUUGAAUCUAACCUGCUGCAAUGACAAACCUGUGUGUUCAAACAUAACUCAACAAUAAAUAAAAUACUACAAAUUACCAUUCCCUAUGACAUCAAUUCAUAUCACUUUCAACUAGAUGGGUAACAAAUAUGACUUCAAGGUUGGUUGAAAUGGCAUCCUCAACAGAGCAAUUUAAUUUUUAAGAGUCAUAAAUCAACGACUUCAUAGAAAUGGGAACACCAAUUUUCUUGUAAACCUUACAAAUCAAUGAUUUCACAUACUCAUGGCUGAUUCAAGCUGCUACCAUCACUUGAGAACAACUUUGCAAUUUAAUAAUAAAAACUACAGUAACGAUGAUAUAUAUACCUUAAGAAAGUCAAGAACCAUUGAACUUGGACUCAGUUUGUCCGUCUCUCCAAAUCUUUGUUAAUUUAAUUUAAUUUAUAAAUCAAGAUGCAGCCAGAUGGGUCAAAUUAAUCAAAGCAUAAGAUAUUAACUUUUGAAGUGAAAAAGCUGAAGGAAGAUGGAAUUUCCAACAAUGACAAACACCAUGAUAUAAUAAUUAAUUGAAUGUAAUGUAAUACCCACUUAAGUGAAAUAGAAAUUCAAAUAAACUUCUGGUCACAACAAGCUGUCUGAUCUUGCAGGCAAUCUUCUAAAGAAGGUGGAAGGAACUGAAGGAAGUUUAUGUCGAAAUCUUGGAUGUCUCAGAACAUAAAUACCUCCAACAAGGCAAAUAACUUGAAAUGGGGUCACAUAAAGAAUUAUAGCAGCAAUCAAGCAAAAUGUUACAAAGAGAGCACUUGCUCUUGGGUCUCUCCAGCUCAAUAGUGACUGAAAUCUUUCUCCUUGAGUUGCAAGAUCCCCGACCACAGUUUGCACUCUCCCGGCUAUACUCCGUAGGCGAUCGUAUCUCAUCCGAACGGUGUCGGAAGAUCGGGAUGUAGGAAAUGUAUCAAAUUCUUCAUCUAGUUCAUCAGGAUGAGUUGCAUCAGCAUGAGACAACCUAGUGUCCAUGUGUUGGGGGUGUCUAGGCCUAUGCUUGAAAUUCCAAAUACCGAUAACAAAAAGGUAAAGAAAGAUGGUUGGAAGUACGAGCUCGGGGUAAAGAACUAAAAUGAUGAAAAGGAUGUGGAUUAGUAUUGUUGUUAUAGGGUUCUUCCAGUGGCAAAUAUGAUCAAACCAUUUACCAAAUGCAAUGAAUCCACUUAAAACGCCCAUUAUUCUGAAGAAAUUGGCUUUGCUUCUCCUCAUGCUCCACAUAUGUGAAUCUACAUCCAGCAUAUACUCCACAACCUCUUUCCUCAAUGCAGGCUCAGCACGCGCUAACCUCAUCGAGACAAUUUGCAUAGCCUGGUGCCUUAAGCUAUCAAGUUGAAUCACUGAUAAUGGAUGAAUGUAAUGCAUUUUUGGCAACAAUGGGUUGGAGUACAUAUGCAACAUGUUAACCAAAGAUGAACAAGUAAACCUUACAGCUAACUGCACUUCACCCAUUUUCUUCACUCCUGAAGAAUGAAGGACCAGAAGUGGAUAUGAAUAAGUGUAAACCCUAUCAGUUUCAAGGGUCGAUAGCCGAAUCCGCACCUUUCCAAUCCUUGAAUCUUUUACUCCACUUCCUCCACCUAUAUAACCAUUGUCAAAGACCCCAACAGUAACAACAGUACAGGGAUCAAAAACCUCCCAAGUGUACUGUUCAUUCCACUUUGGACUGAAGCUGUCCACAAUAGUCCUUGUCCGAAUCCAUUUCUGUCCAUAUUUUGCAACGCAGUACGAAUCUGUCUUCCCUCUGCCAUCUUUCGUCUUCAUCGGCAUCAGCCCUUGAGCACUUAGAAUCCCCAUCUCUAGAAUCCCAAUGCUAGACUUCCACAACUGUUUUGCAGUAGGCCUAAGAUCACUACUGUAGUGGGUUGAUUCAUCCAACACAUGAUACCCACCAUCCAAACAAAUCCUUAGAUGAAUCCUACUGGCAAACUUGACUUCCUUUUUCUUUUCACCAUCUGCAACGAUAUGUUUCUCAAGAUUGAACCAUCUAGUAUUUACAGGUUUAUGAUCUAAUCUCCUCUGCACAUUUUGCAGGGGAAUCAAACACCUCCCAAGAAUUUCGUCUUUAUUUGAUGCUACCUUGUCUUCAACUGUCAGAAGUAGUGGCUCUUCAAAUGGUUCAGCAGCCACAAACAUUAAGUCCUCAUUCCACAUUGGAUUUAUAGACUUGCUUUGAGAUAUUCUACUUCUUAGAGCCUGGGCCCCAAGAAUAGCUUUCACAAAAACUUCUGGAUACCGACUCUUAUCGCUCGGUAGUAAAUCCUGAGCUUCAAUGAUGUUCACUCUAACAUACCAAAGUUUGGGAGAAAGAUAAACCUUUGAUCUGAUGCUAGCAAUGGCAUCAGCACCCACGGUUACAGCAUCUGAAUGCCAGGCAUCAGGAAAUGCUUCAUCUGCUUGAGUCCCCAUCCACACAGCCAACAUAAGCUCUCCUUUUACCUUAUCCCCUUUUCGGUCCUCCAGCCUAUACCAUUGCGGUGCCAGUGGACUAUCAGGAGGGACACGUUUUGGAACAUCAUUGAGAUCGAAAAUAGCCCGCCCCAUGAAAUCGUCUACUACAAAAUCCUUGUCUUUCACCACCACUUCCAAAAGAGAGGCUUGGAUUCGUUCCCUCGAGAAAGCAAAAACUUGUUUCCACUCAGGGUUGGACUUCUUCUCAAAGUGUUUGGUUGUUCCCUUAUAGUUUCCAAGUUUCACUUCCACAUAGGGAUCACAACUACCAGUAACAUCUUUUCCAGGUAAAUCUUUAGCUUUGACCACAUAGACAUAAAGAUAUUGCAUUUGCUCCACAAGAUCAUACGUGGAAGAGAGCUUGUCUCCCGUUAUCGAGACUGCACCUAUUUUAGGAUACGUCUCCUUCAGAGCAAAAUCAUGAGGUUGAAGAAUCUUCUGCAUCUCUUUGCUUUACGUAAUACCAAAAAGGACAACUUUUAGACACUCAGAAUAAGUAUAGCCUUAACUUCUUAAACCCAAAUUUUACCAAUCUCAAUGCAACUAUAGACACUCAACUCCAGUUCAUCAAGAAUAUUUAGGCGAAAUUUGUAACGGAGCAACUUGAGGUGAAGAAAACUUAGCAAAGGGAUGAAAUUUUAGAACUCUCAGCUAGCCUCUGUGGAAUGUUCCAAUUAUGUAGCACAAUCACCUGCAGAUGAAAAACAGACUUCCAUUCAUUUACCAUUUUGAUGUCAUCAUUGAUUCAGCUGCUCAUUGAAAGUUGAAAAAAUCACAUAAAGCUUGAUCAAUUCCUUGUGUAGAGUGUACUUGAAAAUUGGUAUCCUUCACUCUUUAUUUUUUCUCGGUAACCAAAAACAGAAUACAGAGCCAUUUUGCAUGGCAAACAAGAAUCACAAUUUGUUGAAAUCUACUUCAAGACAAAUUAGCUGCUUCAGUUUUACAACUAAUAGGUUUGUAUGGUAAAAAAAAAAAAAAAAAGGUCCAAUAAGUUUAAAACAAGAAGUAACCUCCAAGUUCAAGGAAAAAGACUCAUUUUGUUUCCAACACCUAAUACUAGCCAAAAACUUGAAGAAAACAAAACCUCAAAAAACAUAAGGUUAGCUACAACCACUCAAACCAACAUGAUAAAACAAUAACUUGAAGGAAAAAUGAUGGGUUUGUUUGUUCAAGGAAACAGAAAAAAAAAGCAUUUACCUUUCUUGAACAGAGAUGAAAUGGAGUUGAAUGAAAGGUGGGUUAAGAGUGAAGUGAGUUAGAAAGUGCAAGGGAUAUCAUAGAGAAGACUGAAUCUUUGGAGAGAACACAGAUAAAAACAAACAAGACGCCAACCUUUUGGAUGACCAGCUUUUGUAUCCCUUCGGACCAUUGCAAGUGAAGACAAAUAUCAUAAGGCACGUUUGGAAGGCUGUGGUUGGUUUUGGCACGCGCGGAGGAGGUUGUCUGACGUUGUCCAUACUCCAUUGGUGUAUAUCCUCUUCAGGAGGGAAGGAAUUGCUAAGUUCCAAAAAAGAAGAGACACUAAGAUCUUUACCUGAAAUUUUUAUUCAUAUUACUUUUCAAAAGUUAAUACAACUAAAUACUAUAAAAUAUCUUUUGAGGUCACCUCUUGCUCAAUGUCAAAAAGACUUCAGUUUUACGGCUCACUAUAUAUACUCAAGAAUGUGGAUUAGGCAAUUCUCUUUAUAGUCAAGUCAUUACUAUGCUAUUUUUUCACACUUUUGAAUGAUUUUUCAAUUUUUAUCCUUAGAUACUGUUACAAAUAUUGUUAUUAUUGUAGUAGAAGAAUUAUGAAUAUGUGACUCAGUUACUAUUGCAAUCACAAAUUCCAUUACCAGUUGAGCCCAAAUAGUAUUGAUAAUGGUAAUGGUAAGAAGAUAAUGAUAUCAAUGUAAAUAACCUCAAUUUUAAUCAAAUUACAUUUGGAACAUUUCACAAAUGUUCAAGUAUGUGAUCAAAAGAAAUUCAAUUAUGAUUGUAGUUGAUGCUCGUUAAGAUUGGUAUAUAAAUGAAGACCCAUUACGAUUACACUAAAUUUGAUUACGGAUUAGAAAAUAUGACAUAAAUUGUAGUUUAAAAUGUUACAAUGACCGCAUUACAAAAUUUGUAAACUAAUCUUAAAUAAAAGAAAUUUUGAAUUCAUGCAGAAGAUGAAACUCAAUACUUAUGUGGUCGGAACAAUAAAAUUAAAAGCUCAAACUUGACAAUCAAUUCAAGUAUAAAAGUGAAUAUGAUUUUUGGCAUCAUAUCAUCAAUAAUCAAUGUUUUGAAUCACCCUAUAUCAACGGCAAUUGCCGGGUCAAAAAGAAGAAAAAUGGAGUUCUGAUAGGACAGAAGGCCAAGUUGGAAAACAAUGGGAAACCCCUUGGAUUGAUACUGAUAGACAAGUCAAUUAUGAGUUUAAGGGUUUGAUAGGAAAACAAGAAACAGAAAGAUAAUGUUUGCUCUUUCAGUUUGUUGAGUGGUUGAGCAAAAUAAUGAGACACAAUUUGUGUUAGGUGUGAUUGGUUGGAUUGGUUUUGAGUACAAGCUUCACUUUUCUCUUCUUUUUAACUUUUACUACCAGAACUAUCCUAACCUUUCUUGAGGCAAGGGAGUCAACUUUGGCACAUAAGAAUAUCUUUCAUUGUUUAACUGAGAUUGGAAAUAUUGCAUGAUCGUAACAUCCCCUUUUUGGGAAAAACAAUCCAAUUUCAUUCCACCGAUCAGACAGUACUUUUGGCAUCAUUUUAACUGUUAUCAAUAUCCAUACAAUCCAUCAUUGCUUAACCGUCUAGAGGUUUGGAAACUUUUGAUUAAAAAUAAUCGACAGAAAAAAGAGUUUGAAACUUCACGUAACAACUGUAAAUUUGUAUUAAUGGAGGAGAGGGGAAUAAUGUGACCUACGAAUUGCACAUAUGUGCAAACGCUUACGGCACAAUGCACACAAUCUAAUGCUUAAGUCAGUUUGAGAUAAUAUGAAAACUUUAAAAUUCGAGAUUGAUUUAUUCAUAGAAAUUGUUUGACUUAGUGCAUCAGAAUUGGAGUUUUGAGGUCAAACUGAACCAACUUGUGGGCCAAUGAGGUUGGGACAUGCAUUUUGGACACUCCUUUUUCAGGAGGUUAGCCUCGGCCUCAACCUUGUUAGAGGCAGUGUAGGAUUUUGGUUCUUUUGACUCAUUCUUUUCAAUUCAGGCAUGCUCAAUGAUACGAGGACGAGAGUGGGCUUUGGAGCUCCCUCCCUUCCGAGUACCCAGUGAAAGUAUAUUUCAACUUGAGUCUAAUCUCUUUCUUGGUUUAAUUAUCUUUGAACUCAACCGAGAUAUCGAAUAUGUCAUUUGGUCCAACAUCAUUCAUAACAAAAAAAAAACCACGUAAAAAGUUAUUUGACAAUUUCUAAAGUAGUGGAAUGUAAAUGCUUUUUAUGAGUCUGCCAAAAGAUAAUGAAGCAUGCAGCCAAAUUCUAUGGAAAUUUAAUAAAUUCAGCUAAAGUUGAAAAAGAAUGAAUCGUAGAUCAAACCUCUUCUUUAUUACAACUAAAAUAUCAGAUGAAUGUAAGAAAGUAAAUAUGAAAAGUAAGUGAAAGUCAAGUCUUUCUUGAAUGCAGUUUGAGAUGUUUCAGAAGCAUUGCUGAUCGGUUUCUCAAAAAAUGCAGUUUUAAUUGGACAAUAGCUAGACUAAUGUUACCUAAAUUUGUCAACAAAGACCAUGCUUUGCUAAUUAAGGUAUUUCUAAAGUUAAAAUCUUUUCACUUGAACAGGAGCCCCAUGCUUUGCUCCAGAUUCAAGCAUUGCUUCUAGCACUGCCACAUCUCUAGCACCCUCGAUGAAAGAUAUACGAUCAUCAGCUUUAUCAUCACUCCCCUACAAUCAAAGCAGAAAUAAAAACCACUCAAUUUUACAUUUUGCUAUCACAAAACAAACUCAGUUUGUGUUUUGACAUGUAUUAUCCAAAACUUGGACGAAAAUUGGUUAUAGAUGUUUCCUCUAAAAACACUAAGUGAUUUUUAUUCACUUUUAGAAACUUUAAGACUAUUUUUACUUCUCCAUGUCUUAGAAAAUAAAUAAUUUUAAUCCGUUGAUUAUCUAUGAUAUUACCUCCGCAGAAAUAGCAUGAAUAAAAGUUUUUAGUUCUUCGGUAACUCCACUGAAUGGAUAGAAAGUACAUCUAUUCAGUCCACUAGCAUCAGUGAAGGAAACCUGAAAACCAACAAAAGAAAUGGGUCAUAUUUGAAAGACUGGAAGGUAGCAAAUCACUUGGACAAUUGAGGAUCAGAAGAUUUGAUUUCAAGCAGUGCCCAAAACUAAGCUGAAGAUUUUUAGAAGAAAAAAUUAUAUACCAGAUAGCCAUGUUUUCCAUCCUGGUUCCCACGUUCAAUCUGCAGCGUUCCCUUUAAUCCCACAACUCGCCAGAAUAUCUGAAGAAAUUAGAAUACAUUGUGUAAAUGAAAUAAUUUUUUGAAAGAUUAAGAAAAAAAUUCUUCUUCUUGGAUUGCUUACCUUGGGUGAUUUUGAGGAGACUACCAUUACGAAAACACCAGAACAUCCAUUCUCCAGUUGGCUAAAGGAGGGGAAAAUGUCAUCAUUCUUAAUUUCUAGGUUUUCAAAUUUGUUGGUGACUCAUUAAUUAGCAGUAGGCAAUUGAAACUUACAAGAGCGAGGAUAUGUUAUCUGGCGGAGGUAAAGACUUAUCCACAUAGGAGGUAGUCGCUGAAACUGAUACCACCUCACAUCCAACAAGCUGUUUACAAAUACAAGAAACUAGCAUUUCCAAAUUAAAAAUAUCAUAUCAAGGAUGGUGCCAUCGGGGAGGGAACGUAAAUGCCAUGCAUGACUAAAGGUGGUUUUUUUUUCAUCCACAAAUCAGAGCCUUUGUGACAGUCACGCUUGUAGUUCAUCACCACCUCAUCUUAUGUACUUGAGACUUGUACUGGUUUUAUAGGUUUUGUCAAUUUUGAGAUUAUAAACAUUUUGGACUUAAAGAAGAGCAGAAAUAGUAAUGGUUCAUCAGCGGGCAAGUGAUAGCCAUUAGGAUAGAACUCAAAUAUUUUUCUCAUAGGAAAAAAGUUUCAAAGGCAGUUACCAUCCGUAAUCCAGCAAUGAAGUGUACGCCCAUAUCCAGAAUGAAACCCCCCUGACACAAGACAUAUGUUGUCAAUGAAAGAUAAAAUUUAAGACUACAUCAUCGGGAUAAAAAGAACAAAACGAGAGAGAAAGAUAACGUAGAUAUAAAUGUAGAGGUCUUGUUAUUGGGCAUUCCAUUAUACAAUAGUUCCAUCUAUAAUAAGAACAUCAUAUUCUCCCAUGAAAAAGUGUAAAAGUGGCAAUCAUGAAUCAUGAUUUGAUGGAAAAAAUGAAAACAACAUAGAUAAUAUUUAAAAUUUGUGUUGUGAUUGUUUACUAGAAGAACACUUACAGCGAAGUCCCGCCGCCAAGAGCUUGAGAAGUAGGGGUUCGAACUAUUCAUUGAUCCUUCAACAAUCACUUGGACGCUCAUCAUAUCCCCAAUGUCAGCAAUUAAGUUUUUGCACUGCAAAACAAUAAAGAGCAUUUUGCUGAAGUACUAGAAAGAAUCAAAAAACAAGAAUAAAAAAUAAUCUAAAAAAAGUACCUCAACAAAUGCUGGUUCAAAUCGAUAAUUUUCUGCCACAGCCCAUAGUCGUUGACGGGAAAAAUUGGCACUUAAAGAUUUGUAAUUUGAAAGUGCAUAUUCCAACUCGCUUGUGGCUGCAUUACGACCAUAUUGCCAAUUUAGAAAUUGCUCUUUGUAAUAUCUUCAACUUUGACCAUUAAUAAAAAGACCCAAACCAUUUUGGAUGCAACUUUUUCAGUGUACGUAAAAUGACUUUAUGGGGUUCGUGGUUGAUGAUAUUGAUUUGGGUUUUUCUUUCCUUUUUUUCCUUUGCUCAAAAAGGUUAAAAUAGGAAAGCCAGUACCUUCAACUCAAUAUAACUUAUAAGAUGAAAUAAUUUUUCUCUAUGAUCUAUAAAGUUGCAUUAUUUAUAUCCUAUGUUUCAACUGGUCCAUUAGAACUUUCAUUGUCAUAUCAGUUUCAUAAAUAGUGGUAAUAGGAAGACAACAUCUAGUCUCGGUAAAAGUGAUAUACAUUGGGAUCUAUACUAUGGGCAAUUAGAAUUUAUACUUCCAGAUCAAUAUUCUCAUUUCUCAAGAGAGAGACUGAGGUCCCCAACAGAAUUGAGAUGUAACAGGGAAAAGACAAUUUAUCUGCACCAUGAAAUCAUGAUCGGAUGGUGACCUUGACCGAAAAGCUAAUCUAUAAUUAACAGUAACCCAAUUUAAGAAAUGCAUAUGUUACGAGUAAGUGGGUAGAGUAGUGCGAACAAUUGAACUGAUACUUAAAAUAGUAAUGAAAAUAAAUAAACAAGUAGGAUACUUACAGGCUGCUGCUGGUUUCUCUUCAGGUCCAUGAAAUUUAGAGAGAAUACAUACAAAAUUUCCAAACAAAAAGAACAUUAGUCUAUCAUACAGAGCCACACGCCAAUAGGAAGUGUCUAAUGCAAGAGCUAAAAUGCUUUUUAUUUGGUUUGGGUUACUUCAUGUAGCAACCUCAGUUCAGGUAGUUUGGAAGAAACAUAGAAACCCAAAUUAUGAUGCUAUCGUACCAGUAGCCAAAGCAGUUCUGAGGAAGCACCUAAACGUUAAAAAUUUCAGUCCCUUGAUUAUUUCCUAUCAUAAAAUAAUAAUAACAGAAAAUCUGGCUCUUGGCAUGCAUCUUUGGAAAAAAUAUAUUAGGUAAUGAACCACCAGGAACAAUGCUUGACACCACUAAGUGAUCCAUGUUGGGGGAGAACCAUAAAGAGGAUCUCAAUUGAAAAGAAUUAUGUCAAAUCUGUGAAUCUAACCUUUUACAAAUGGAUCUUUUCCAUUCUAUUGGAAAGAGACAAAUCUGAAGCUAGCUAACUGAAAAUGUGGUCAGACUAAUUAAUUAAUCAACAGCGAUAAAAGAGAUAGCACACUCAUACACGACAUAUAUCUUCUAAAUCACAAUCCGCCUGAAUGAGUUGCAUUGUCUUCUUCUCUGCUAUUCUUUUUAUUCUUUUCACCAAAAUUGUUUAGACAAAAAUAAGCACAACUAAAAAAAAGUCGCUUAUAUAAGAUUUUUAUGCUACAUUCACUGUCUGGUCAUAUAAGAUUAAUCUCUAAGACUUCAGCAUCCAUCACUGAGAUUCUUAUGCUACAUUUACUAAUCAACCACAAGGUGACAUGAUAUAUCAAAAUUAACAUAUGAUAGAAAAACCAAGUGAUUCAAACUGCCAAUGUGAAAGGACUAUACACCAGUCCCCUUAACACCACUUAUGCUACUGUUUGAAAGGGAAUUGGUCAAGCACAUGAUUUAUGAGUGAAUCCACCAAUUGGGAAAUAAGCAAAGAAGCAACCAAAACUACGAUUUAUUCUUAGUUGAGGCAUGAAUUACCUUGGAGGACAUGUUUCCCUGCUUUGAGCAAUCUCAAUGACAUAUCAACCUACAAGGCAAGGGCCAUAUGAAAAGAACAGCACAUAAGGUGCCAAUGCCAAUGCUCAUAAAGUAAAAGUUAAUAUAAAAUAUAAUGUAUGUAACGUUUUCCCUUUACUUUUCCACCAGAUUAAAAAUUAUAACAGGUCUUAGACGAGAAGGCAACAGUAUUCAAUAUGUCAUCUCUUAAAGCAAGAACUAAGGUCGAAUGCAAAUGAAAUACAGAAGCAUAAGACUUUGCAUAAAUAGCUAAAUAGACAACAUUUACUGAAGAAACAUUGUGAAAAUCGUUCCAAGAGUUGACAUUUGUGGCUCUAAGAAUAAGAUACCUGAGCUUGACCAGCUAAUACAACUGCAACUCCAAGAAUUGAACUGUCUUGAAUGAUAUCAUCAAGACCCGCAUCACCCCACUUACACUCCACCGUGGGGAAGUAAUUUCUCGCAAUGUCGACGGCACCUUUAGCUGAUGCCUGCAACCCAAAUCAUAUGGUUGUUUCCCGAUUUCUACUAGACAUAAAAAACAAUGCAAGGUAUGAAAGGUUAGUAAGAAUGAAGAACCUCGGUGCGACUCCAUAUAGCCUUAACAAUUAGAAGAUCAGAGAUCUCGGCAAGUCUGGGAAGGUACUGUGUCUUGACGAAUGUACCAGCUCCAAGAAUGGCGAUCUGGGGUAGCUUCGCCAUCUUCAAAUUGAAUGAUUCAGUUUAGCACCAAUCGUGGAUCCUUUGGUAUUGGCUUAGCAGUUUUCUGAAGGAGAUUGAGGAAUGGGUAAUUUUACACUGAUGUAGUUUUUUUCAAUUUCAUCUAUUUGAUUCGACCCAUUGGUUUCAUCAUUUAUAUACUUUGGUGUACUUCACAUUCACAUUCACAUUCACAUUCACAUUUCCUCAGUUGAAUAUUCAUACAAUCAGAGUAUAGCUCACCAAUGAUACCAUUUUGAAAUGUGGAUAUUCUACCAUGCAUAUAACAAUCUCACUAAAUAUAAAGUUAUCAAUUCACUUUUUAAAAAUUUUGAAUACAUUAAACAAUUUUUAGAGAAAUUAAUUUUUGGACUCAUUACACAUUUUCAAAUUUAGACUUGCUAGAUAUAAAAUUAAAAUUUAUUGAUGAAUUUACAAAAUUAGAUACCAAGUAAAAAACGACUAGUUUGAAGAAAAUUAAUGAAUUUACAAGAUUAGAUACCAAGUAAAAAACGACUAAUUUGAAGAAAAUUUUGUAUUGAAUUCGAGUAUCAUUAGACCUGAUUUUGUAUUGAAUUCGAGUAUCAUUAGACCUGAAAAGUUAAUCGCUAUUUAAUGACAAAGAUGGUGGUUGAGUAGCAUAGGCACACAAACUUUGAUAUCAAUUAACUUUUUUAUUAACCAAACCUAAAUUAUAUAAAUUGGAUUGGCAUUUAGAUUUCGGCACCAUACACAUUUAAAAUUGUUUAGGUUAGUCUAAAACAAAGAUUAAAAUAUCCAUAGACAUGUUGAUAUCGAAUAUCUAUAAGAUAUAUUCAACAUCUUUUAUAAAAGGCAAUAUUUCAAACAAAAAAUGGUACGUGAAAUUCUUUAGAAUUAAUUUCCUCUCUUUUUCCUCAUCUUCUAUCUUUAUUUUUUUUUUUUCCCACAAUGAGUUCAAUAACAAUUACAAUUUGGUGCUUUUUAUCUAUUCAUAAUAAAAUGAAUAGGUAAAAAAUAAUCAAUCAAUGAAGAUUAACAAAUCAGUCUGAAAACAAACAAAGGGCUCUGAAAGUCAGUGAAGCUAUGUGUUGCAUCCAGUGAUUGAAUAUACAUUUCUUCUUUGGCUUCUGCACUUGCUCCACUCUGUGUGGCAUAUUCCAUGGCCAUUUCGUGGUCAACCUGAAAAACGAAAUGAAAUGGAAAUUUGUUAUAUGCAGUAAACUCGAUUCCACUAGGCCAAACUAUAGUUUUGCUAAGAUAGAAUCGUAAACCACUUUGGUCUGUUUUCAGUCCAAAACCAAGCAGAGUCCAAAGAUAACCAAACAGAACCAGACUUUUUUUUUCUUUUUGGCUAUGAUGGUUUAAACAGAUGUCUCAAACUGAAAAAACUAUGUGCUACUCCCCACUAAACCACCCUUGGAUGUAUGGUUAAACGAAAUCUUUAGUUUCUGUAAUUGUAUUGGAUCACCAACCGGCUACCACCCUGUAGCUUCCUUGAAUAAUUUCUCAGAAAACUAGCGUUGAAGUUAAAUUAAUACUCCACUGAUCAGUUUAUAACUUAAAAUUAGGCACAAGCAGAACAUGGCUUGACCUCACCUGUUCAACAUGUUGUGCAAGUUUAUCCCUCAAUGUCUCAUUUGUAAUCAAGCGAGCAGAUACUUUACUGAGUAUUUCAGCAUCCUCACAGUCAUGACGUUUCUUCUUUGAUGCAUGCACUUGAGCCAUUUCUUUCAAAACAUUAUAAACAGCAUUUGUUGCAUCCGGGAUAUAUCUAUAAACCAAGUCAAUACAAUGUGAUUAUAUUACCUCAAGGAAAAUAUAUAUAACGGUAAAAUCUUCAAAAUGGUAAAACACUUUGAAGAAAGAAAUCCAAGAGGCAUGAGUUGAGAUUGUUAAACCAUCAAUCAAUCCAAAAACUUAAGUUGAUGAGUUAUAGUAAAAUAAUACAUCAACCCUUCCCCACAAGAGGUCGGACACAUGACCUCCUGUUUUAAUUCCAUUUUAAAUCACCUACAUUUGAUCUUAGCCAAAAGGCCAAGAAAGGUGUAUUUCAAAUCACCUAUAAUCAACCAAAAAACUUAGAAAAUAAAUUUAAUAAUAUCAAUCAUUCUAAAGAGGGAAUGUAAAAGUUACCUGCUCAAAUUCCGCUUCCUCUCCUGUUGCUCGCGUGCUUGUAUUUUCUUCACUAUUUUGCUUUUCAAUUGAAUGCAGCACUGCUGAAUGGCAGACUGUAAAACUAACAACGUCAGCAUAAAGUUAAUGGUGACGGUUCUUAACAAAUGCAUAUUGUAGUUAUAAUGAAAAUGUAUACCUUGACAGCAGAUGCUAUUUCAGAUAUAUCAUCUCCAAUGUACUCCUUUCCAGUUCCCUUGAAAGGAAUCUUAGUACUAACAAUACUCACGAACACACCAAUUUUGUCUUGAGCUUGAUUGAUUUUAUAACUAUUCCAACUAAAGAAGGAGAAAGGAAGAGGUAAAAUGGUUAAGAUGGAAGUCAGUCUUCUGUUAAAAAACAAGAACUUCAAUUUACAAGAAUGUCCAAAACAAGAUUCCGCCAACAAUCUUCAUUCCGCUAUCAAAAGAAGAAAAAAUUUAAAUGGAAAUAUCAAGUGUUUCCGUUCAUACUUGAUCCUCUUAAGUGCAGUCCUAGUAACGACAUCAGCACCUUGCUCAAAAAGAAGGGGUAUCCGAUUAGCAAACCGGAAAAUAUUCAGACCCUGUAAUAAAAACAAGUUCCAAUAUUUACUUACAUUUACUUUUUCACAAUCAAAUAAAGUUUUAUCGAAGUAUUUUACUUGCAUGGACUCAAAAUAUAGAGUAUAUAAAGCUAGCAACUGAAAACUAAGAGAUAUGACACUAGUUAUGACUUUGUGGGUUGCUGCUAUGAUAGAUCUAUCUCUGUCAGACUUUUUUUUGUUUGACUAAUUAUUGUUUUAGUAGGUUUUAAGGAGAAAACUUUAUUUUGGAGUUUUGAGAGAUUUUGUGGAAUUUUAUGUUUAACCCAAGUUUAGCAUAUGGAUUUUGAUGGAUAUAUCAAAGUUUUAAUUUUACUGAAAUUACAAUUUUAAUGGAUAUUUGAGGAAAAAUUACAAAAUAAAUCAAAAAAUAAAUUUGAACUAUUAAAUAAAUAUUUUAUUAUUUUUAAAUAAGUAAACAUGUCUAUUAUUUAUAUUAUAUUUAUAUCAGUGUCAUUUUGAUGAUUAUUUUUUGUAUUUCAGGAAAUUUUUUUAAUGUUUUUUAAGAUGUAAUGAAAAUAUCAUUAAAGAACCCAUGGAAAUAUGAAAGCAUCGACAUAUUGAUGGAAAUUUAAAACUAUAGUUUUAACUUAAAUUUUUUGUUUUUAUUUUGGGUGUUAAGAAAUUUGGUGUAAGAUUGGAUUUAUGAGAGUUUUUUUUUUUUUUUAAGUGUAUUUACCAAACUUUUCAAUAGUUUAGGAGUAUUUUUGAAACUUUCAAACUAUAGUUUUAACUUAAAUUUUUUGUUUUUAUUUUGGGUGUUAAGAAAUUUGAUGUAAGAUUGGAUUUAUGAGUUUUUUUUUUUUUUAAGUUCAAAAAGGUAUUUACCAAACUUUUCAAUAGUUUAAGAGUAUUUUUGAAACUAUUGAAAGUUUAGGGACAUUUUUUUACCAAACCACAAAGUGUAGGGGUAUUUUUUUUAUAAUUUAAACUUUACUUUUCUUUUUCAAAGUUAUUGUAAUAAAUGUUGGGGUGGGAAUUUGAACCCGGAACCACUUGUUCACAUGAACAUACAUGUGGCAGUUGAGCUAAGCUCGUAUUGACAAUUUAACCUUUAUUUUAUAAGUAAUUGGAAUUAAAAUAAGACGUUCAAAUGUCUAUCAUCGUUAAAUUUCAGUCCAUGUACAUGCAGGAAAACUGAUAUUAAGGGAGGGCAUCAUUUUUGUCUCUCUACUUCCUCGGGCAGACUAGCACUAGCACCACCCUAAAAUUAUAUCGAAUAAAAUGCUGAAAAUAACACAAGCUAGCAUAGUACUUAAAUGGCAAAUAAAAUAAGUUAAACCAAUUAGGAAGAAACCUGUUUCACAUCUUUUCCUCCAAUACUAACACCAGCUUCAACAAUGAAUGGAUGUCCCUCGAAAACUUGAGCACUGUCAACAUUUGACAUAAGAUUAACAUACUUGGAAGCUAAUAUGAAUUACCAAGGCAAAAAAUCAAGACCUCUAGUUUAUUUAGAAGGAAUAUAUACGCACAUCAUAUCAAUAUCAGCUUCAAGUAAGAAUAAGAAGCAUGCAGAUCUAGCACAAUUUGCAGAGUUCCAAAUUCAAGUACAACCUGCCUGAAUAAGUAGCAACCAUGUCAGGAUGCAGUUCCUUUAUAAUUCCAAGUCGAAGAUUGUACUCCCCAGCAGGACUAAGACACUGCAAAAAUGUGCACAAAUAAUUUGUGUAAACUUAUAUACAGAAACCAAGAAGAGAUUCAAAGAACCAAGGCUCAUAGUUAACAAAAAGAAUGAGGCAACUUACAUCACCACUAGGAUCAUCAAAUUUAGCUUGACGAAACAACUGAUGAAUACGGACUAUUUGCUGAGAUGUCAGAGACUUAACAGACAUUUUUGGGCUAAAUUCUGGGCCCAUUUCGCCUGGGAAAGAUUAUUCAUAAGAGAAUAUGCAAUCAACUUCUAAUUUUACUUAUUAAGAAUGUAAUCAACUGGAACUAAAAAUCUAAAAAUAAAUAUUAAAACAGCCUCUAGAAAUACCAAUCAAAAGAAUUACUUAAGAGCUUAACAGAUUUUAAGCCCCGUGCAGCGUUGUUCAGGCACGGCCAGGCACUUGUGAAAGUAAACACCUCCCAGGACCCCAAGUCACAUAACUACAAACACAAGCCAUCUUUGAUAACAAAGAGUAGUAUUGGAGAACUUUAUCUAUUCAUUAUUUAAGUCAUAAAUGUUUUUGUUUUCUGUUUUUAACUCUCUUUUUCCUUUUGGUGUGUGUAAGUGUUUCUAAACCCACAGAAAGAGGUACUGGGAGAAGAAAUUAAGAAGUAGAAACUCUCUUGCAAAAAUAAAAGUUUCUGUAAGUAGACAAUACGCACGAUGAUUAAGAAAGGGAUGAUAUGCUAACCAAUUAACCGUUCAGCAAAUGGUUUCCCUAUGUUUACAAAUUCAUGCUGGAGAAACUGUAAAAGGUUCUGUUUAGCUGUUUCUGCAAUAAGGCGCUUUAUCAACAGUAAAUCGACAGCAGAUGGAUGGUGUUUAGUCUCUAGAGGAACUGGAGGCAUAACAUCGGUUCUUCGGGAAAAUCUAAUUGUGAUAUUUUUACUGCAUAAAAAGGGCAUAUAAGAUAUACAAUAGUUUUUGGGAUGUGCACGUGAGAAAGAGAGAGAGAACAUACUCAGGUGUGUCUGAAACAAAUCUGAAAAGAAAUUGAGCAUAAGGUGUAAUAACUGCCAUCUGUCGCAUAUAAUGCAAAAUUUUUGACUGCAUUUGCACAAUAUGGAAUGUAUUAAAGAUGUGAAAUAUUUACUCAACAACUCUAGGGACUGGAAGUUCCCUCAAAAUGGGAAAUAGUAAGUAUCAUUAAAGUACAGCAUACACGGUAAGUUGUCCAAUUUCCUUCAAUUACAACUUGAAUUUCAGCUCCAUGCCAUAGAUCCUUGUUAUCACGUUUUUCUUGGAUAUGAAUGUGUGGAAUGUUCCUGUAGGGAGAUGCACAUAAAAUGAGGCCCACAGGAACCAAUGACCAAAAAGGAAAUUACAUGUGAGCCAAGCAGAUAUUGUUAAAAUGGACAAACAAUCUUAUUUAAAAAAAAAUUAAAAAGGGAAUAUAUGAUUUAUUGUGUGCUAAUGAGAAGAACAAAAUCAAGUAUGCAAGAAAAAUAUAUCAUAAAAUCAUCAAUGCAUCCAAAAAGCCUAGCAUACCGAUGAAUAUCGAUAUCUAAGCGGCAGAAUGAAGUGUAGUUUUGACCCUUCAUUGAUGAUGAUAUCUCUAUAGGAAGACCAGUACUCAUCUUAGACCAAAUUAAUGCCUGCAAAAUUAUAGGAGUUUAAAAAUGUGUCCCAUCUUAACGAGUGGAAAAACAAAGGUAAUAGAUUGAUUGCAUUUCGUACACAUAAUAUAAUACGUAGUCAUUUACAUAACUAAAAAUGAGAACUAAUUGCUAUUAAGAGUUACACAUAUGACAUAACAUUCUGGUUGAAACCAUACAGUAUAUGUGAAGCUACUUCGUUUAGGCAUAAGGCUAUGUUAAAUAAUGACCAUGGUGUCUCAUAUUAAUUCAACUUGCCUUAGUUAAACCCCUAUGCAUGAAAGCUAACAUAGAAUUAGAAUUUAGUAUGCAAAUCAUAGUAAUUACAAUACUUUCCAAGUGCAAGUGAAUAUGCAACUGUGUUAUAAAGCAUUCAGUUGAAUAGAGUCAUUUCCUCAGUAUAUAGAACAGUGCCUACCAUCUUUGCACCCAGACCAAACUUUCCACGGGUUUGCUUCAAGCCAUAUUUUGUUCCGGAGAGCACUGCACACAAAACACUGAGAGUUUUAUGAAGUACUAUCGAGCAGCAUAGGUUUUAUUAGUUUGAAGUAACUAUCCGAUCUCAUUGGCAUAACCACAAGUGAGAGAAGGAAGUAAACCAUCAACGUAAUAUAUUAACCUCGGCCAAACAUAUUUGGUAUGUCAUCAUGUGGCAUUCCUUUUCCAUUAUCCUUGAGAUUUAAAAAAAGAAAAAACAGAAAAAAAACUAAGUUUGAUUACAACAUAAGAUAUUCAAGAUCUAUAUCUGCAGAAGAAGAAAAAUUUAAAGGGAACAAAAAGGUAUGCUUUGCAUGAUUGACCAAAGGAGGGGAAUGGAGAAAAAUCAUACUUUGCAAGUCACCCGGUAGAAUGAAGCCUCACCACGACCUUUCAUACCCUUUGAGGCUGCAGGUUCUCUGCCUUUCUUCCCAAGGGCAGCAUUUUUCGCCUGUAUUUCUUGAGCACGUGCUUCUUUCGCUAAUCUUUUCUGAGACAAAAAAAAAAAAAUGCACAGUACGAAUUUUAUCAGAAAUGUCUUUCUACAUCUGAUUUGGUGAAGACGUUGGUAAUUUAAGAUUAACUAACCUCACGAGCCUUAGCAGUCUCAUAAUCAUCAUAAAGUUCCUCAUCAACACGUUCUCGAUCAACCAGACCAAUCAUAGAAUUAAACUUGGUUUUCAAUAUCUCUUCACUGCAUUGCAAAACAUCCAUGGAACUCACAUAUCUUAACCAAUUUGAUUUGCAGAGUCGACCAUUUAUGUGGAAUUUUCUAAAACAAAAUUUCGAGUUAUGUUCAUGCGAACGUAAACUUACAUAGUAAUUUCUACCACGGGAAGCUCAGAUAUAGACUCUGCAGAAUCAAGAGAAUUUUCCACAAGCUCCCUCACAGUAGUAUAGAGACACUUCCCAGGCUGGCAAUUCAUAGAAGAUCUCGAAGUAUCAAUAACAAUAACAACAAAACUCGCAUACGAAAAUACUCUUAACUAGCAUCCUAACUUCUUCCCAAUUCAAUUAUAUCAAGAAAAACAACCACAAUUCACCUUGACUAAUUCCGGCGAUUCCUAGCACUAAAACUAACCCGUAAGAAAUGAACACAGAGAGAGUGAGAGAGAGAGAAAAAAAACUGAAUGCAGCUCACAUUAUCAAACCCAGCAAUAUUCUUGUUCUCCGCAAAGAACUCAGCUGGUGAUUCUGCAAAGUGGGACAAAACUCAAUCAAAUUAGUAAAAGUAGAAAAACAACAAAGAAAUCGAACUCGUAAAAGAGGGAGAAGAUACUCUGCUUGAGGAUGCUUUCUUUGGGCUUCCUGGGUGUUUUUGAUUUGCCCUUCUUCGGCUCAUCAGGACUUUCACUACCACCUCCUGCCUCCAUCAAAUUCCACUCAAAAGAUUCUGUUAAACGGAAUAAGUUAUAGCUAAAUCCAAAAUUCUACUCUCUCAAUCUUCCUUAAACAAAGAGAUUUUGAAAUUCAGUGAUGGAGAAUUCCACCACUAGGGCAAGCAAUCAAAGCAAGCAAGUGUUCUGAUGAAUACAAUGCGUUCACCUGUAUUCCAAACGAUGGUACUUCACACUUUGCUGCUUUACCCUUUUUUCUCUCCUUUUGUCUAUGGAUGUCCAUCAUAGUGACACGUUUCUCAAAAGUGAAAUUAUAAACAAUGGACGGUUCAGAUAAAGAGGCCGGUUUGACUCUGCCGUUUAUUGUAAAUAAAUAUUACAAUUUAGUUCCCGCCAAUGUUUAGAUCGACGGCAAAUAGGAAGCACUUGGGGCAACAUAUGAGAAGGCCCAAUGGGCCGCGGCCACCCAUGUAUUUGGGGACAUCACUUGCAUUCCUUUUUUUGGUAAUUGUAACUGAUAGCAUAGCAAAACUAUUACUGGUAUCGAUUACGAGUCUAUCAGAUCAAUAUUUGCAAUAUGUCGAUGAAAUUUGACAAGUUUUGCUAUAUUUAUAAUUUUUUUAAAAUGUUGAUAUAUUUUUAAUUAUUUUGAAUCUAAUUGCUAAAUUUGCAAUUAUUCAUUUUUUUUCUAAAUAUUCUUUAUAUUUUUAUUUAUUCAAGAUUGUGUACAUCUUGAUACACAAGCUUGUUUAGAUUAUAUAAAUUUAGAUAGUCAAAUCUAAAUGAUCAAAUUGACCAAAGUGAUAGCCGACAACACCACCAUGACCAAAUUGACCAAAGUCCAAAGUGAUAGCCGCCAAUCUAAACAACCAUUGACCAAAGUGAUAGCCGACACCACCACCAUGACCAAAUUGACCAAAGUCCAAAGUGAUAGCCGCCAAUCUAAACAACCAAACAUUUACGCACGAUCAAAUUCCAAAGUGAUAGCAGUCAAUCUAAACAACCAAGCGAUAGCAGUCAAUCUAAACAACCAAGCAUGCCACUCUAAACAAACCAAGCCGUCAAUCUAAACAACCAAACAUGCCACUCUAAACAAACCAAGCCGUCAAUCUAAACAAAACCAAACAUGCCACUCUAAACAAACCAAGCCGUCAAUCUAAACAACCAAACAUGCCACUCCAUUUACGUGAUGAUUGGGGUAUUUUUUGUAUUUUCAAUUGUGUGAGUUUUUUCCAUUUUUCAAAUUAUUCUAGUAAAAAAACAUUUCGUUUUGGUAUAUCUUUUAAAAAACCUCUAUAUAUAUAAAAUAAUUUUUCUUUUUUAUUGAGCAUUUUGUGAUUUAGGAUUCGUGAUAGUAUUAAAAUUUUAAAUCAUUUUAGAAAAUGAUAAACUUAAAUAUUCAAUAAAUUAGAGAUAGUUUUAGGAAGCUACAACCGAAACCAACUAUUUAACAAUGGAGUUUGAGCUUAACCAUUAUUGUAAUAGUCAAGAGUAUGAUAAAAAGAGUCCUUUUUAAUUUCAUGAGCGUUUGUGUUACCUUCUUAGCUUCCUUAUACGAACUAUUCAGUUUGUAUAUGAUUAGUAGACUUAAUCACCUCUAAACAAUCCAUAUUUCACCUUGAUCGAUCUUCAGAUGGAGUCAAACGUAGGAUACAAGCUAGAAAGAACUUCAAUGAUGAUCAUACCUCUUCUAGCUAGGAUGAUCUUGAUAUCAUAUGAUCCAACAAUGGUGUUGUGUGUUUGCUCAAACAUGACUUGAUUGAUUAAUAUAAUACCCACUACAAUCCCUUUUUGUUGUCUUCGAGGGCACCGAAAUAUUAAGAAUUGAGCUUCCAUGAAUUGGGCGUAGGAGGAUGUGAUAAUUGCAUGUCAUGUUUGCAUAUAAUUAAAGAGUGUCACUAAAGCCUCAAAAGUUCUAAGUUACCCAAAAUGAGUUAAGUAAAUGUUUAUGAGUCAUUUUGAGUUGUUGUUUGAGGUUGUUUUGAAGUGAUCAAUUGGGUUAUUUUUGUUACAAAUAUGGUCUCACUACCUUUAUUUAGGAGAUUAUUUAUUCGUGGUUGGUGCGAUAAUCCUAUUUUUUUGGGUUGUUUGGAUAUCUUUUAAGUAAAUAUUGUUGUUGAUCCUAUUAGUAUAAGGUGGAACAAGAAAGCAGGAGAGAGGUGAUCGGUGACAGUUUUGGAGAACUUUUUGAAGUAACUAAUACAACACUUGAAGUAUAAGGGUUUUUACAUAGCUAUCAAAGGCGCUUAUGCUAAGAUUGCGAUUGUGUAUUGAUUAAGGGGGUAUUUUCCAUAAUGUUAUGAUACAUGCUUCUUAUGUUUUGGCAUGAUUCAGAUUAUUAAGUUAGUCAUUAGUCAGCACACAUAUAUUCUCUUAUCUAGGUCUAAGACCUCAGAGACGUAGGUGCAUUGUCAUCGAACUGGGUUACUAAAAUUUUAUGUGUUUAUGAUUUACUACUCAAAGUUACAACAUUAGGUUAUGCUGUAACUAAGUGUGUGUUUUUUCAAUUUUGAUAUUUAUUUGAGCAAGAAAAUCAAAUGCAUUUUUAAAGUGACCACGUCAUGCCCUAGACCCAAAACACAAAGAGAUUUUUGCAAUAGUUCAUGUUUAAAGACAUAUUGUUUAAGAUUUCUUUAGGUUAUUGUAGCCCAUGAGACGUAAAUGUAACCUUUCUGGAGAGAGGUUGAAUUAUUAGAUUUUAGCUUCCCAACCACCCAACCCAUUAUUUUUCUAGCAUUUUUAGAGGAACCCUAAACGUGUAGACUUUGUUUCAACCACCCAACUCCUUAUUUUUAAAUUUCUCUUCACUUUCACUUGUUAUUUUCCUUUUUCCUUUUUCUAGUAUUUCAUUUAUUUCUCUACAUUAUUAUAACAACUCAUGACAUUUUGUCGUUUUGAUAAAUUAAUGUAUUCUCAUUCAUAUCCACUAGUUUUAUGACUUAAUUUUUUUGCAAGGGAUUAUCCAAUCUAGUAGAUACCUUAAAGAAUAACAUGGCAUAGUUAAUGCAUGCAAUCGAUCACAUUACUGCAUCACGCUCUCACUUUCUAUUCUUCUUUUGCUGAAGCCUAUAUGUUAUCUUUUUAAUUAUUUUGAACUAAUGACUUAAAUUAGUGUGCUAGUUGUGGUUUAAUGAUGAGAAAGUAAAAAUAUAAACAAAACCCACUAAGGAAUACAUAUAAUAGAAAGUCACAUGAUCUUAGAUAUAUGAGGUACACAGUAGAAUCCAAGAGAAUGCAUCAAACUAUCUAAGAUCUAAUUAAGCUAUAUGAAUAAAGGAUUAUUAAACUUAGGCUUUUAAGGGCAUUUGAGCACAAGGCUAAGUAGGAGUUGUUCUUAAUUCAUGCAGUUGUAACGACCUUUGAACCACUUCUUUUAUUUUAUUGACCACCAAACAAAUUAUUUCUUAGAAAAAUUGAUAAUUUACAUAAAUAGUUGUGUUGGACAAUAAUAUUUAGAAUAUAUUCAUAUCAACAUCACACUCCACAAUUGAGUUACUUCUCUCCUUGUCAAUCAAUUAUAAGAUUCGAAAUCAAAUAUAUAUUAACUAAUAUGAUGUUAGAACUCCGCUAAAAGGAAAUUGAUCAAAACCUAAGUUUUCUAUCCAUCGUUGAACUAUACUCAAUUUGACUCAUGUAUUUUGUUUCAAAGCUAAGACAUUCGUGAUCUUAUAAUUUUUUUUUCAUUUUCACGUAAUUUCUCUAUAAAAAAAAUUAAACAUUUUCCACAUUAAAAAAUUAAAAUAAAAUAGAUAAUCAAAACAAAAGAAAGCUAUUCAUACUCAACCACCUAAUCAAUAUCAACACAUGGCCAAAAAACCAAAGAGAGGGAGUGAGGGAGCCAUCAACCACGAACUUAAGAGCAUAUCUAUACAGUAUGGGAUAAUCGACCAAGUGUGAAUUCAAUUAUGGUGAUUAAUAAUAUCAUAGAGGUAGGAAGAUUAAAUAUUUACCUCAAUUAUCAUAUUAAAAAAAAUUAAAAGUAACGAUAAAAAGUAGAAUAAAACAAAGUUGAUCAUUAUUGUGCCGUGUCGUACUAUCUUGAAAGCAAUUUGACGUGACCUCAGUGCUAAAUCGCAUAUAUCGAUUGUUCCUUGAAAUUAACACAACUUCCUACUCAAACGUGCACUCUCGUGGAAUCAAAUAAAAAAAUUAGUUAAAGAGGAAUUAAGGUUUUUUUUUUGUCCUUUUUGCAAGAAGGAGAACUCGGCCUCAAAAACAUUUUCUUUAUAAUAUAUAUAUAUAUAUAUAUAUAUAUAUAUAAAAUAAUGAGUUUAAAAUUGUAAAAUAUAUUAAAUAAUAGUUAUUAUUAAUUUCCAACCCAAAUAUUAAUUAUAAAUGUGUCAACACUUACAUUUGUUAAAACUUUGAGUUCAUAUAGUUAUAAAUUCCACAAUUGACGUUUUUUUUUUAUAUCAUAAAAAACAAAUGGUAUAAAUAUAGUUAAUAUAAAUAAUAAUAAUUAGAAAAAUCAUCAUAUUUUAAAACGUGUAAAAGGUAUAUAUAUAUAUAUAUAUAUAUAUAUAUAAGUCAAUUAUGUAGAAAAUUAUUAGUCUUUUCUUAAUAAUAUAACAUUUAUGAAUGAAAAGUUAAAAUUAAACUUCAAACUUUCACACCAAUAUUAUUUAAGGGAUUCACAUAUCAAUUAUUAAUUAAAAAACUUUAUCAUUUAUCAUUUAACUAAAAGUUGUUGGCAAGUAGAUAGGAGUGGGAGUAACCAAUGAUAAACAAGAGUCACUGCAAAUAUACAGACUUAUUGCAAUGCCAAACAAUUAUGUAACUAGUUUUUUAAAAUUAUGUAAUUACACUAUUACAAAAACAGGUUCUCUUGACGUUUUUAAACUGUCAAGAAUCAUUAUUCUUGACGAUUUUAAAACUGUCGUUGAAGCCAGCGUCAAGAAAACCUUGGUAAUCUGAUAUGUGUAGAUGUUCCACUUCCACACCAUCAGUGUCCUCCGUUUCAUGAUCUUCUUCACCGCCAUAAUCUGCAUCUCCUUCAAGUCCAUUAGGGUACUAUUUAUUCUUUUCAACAUAUUCUAAACAUGUAAUAGAGAAAAACUGACGUAAAGAAAUGGAUACAAUAUACUGAAUAAAAUAAAAUACCAUAUCAAUGCUUGUGAAAUAGUUGAAGCAGCUUAAAAUAUCACCAUCAAAUCAGCAAACUUAAAAAUUCAAAUCAGUAGAGAAUUAAAUGUUAUGAUUAAGUCCAAGUUUAACAGCAAAACAAUGCAACUACGAGGGAAAAAUGUAAUUUUCUAAACUCUGCAAGUGUCGUCACAUAUUAGGAAAAAAACGUGUCUAAAGUUACCGAUCUAUAAAAAAAUUUGAUAUAAAAGAUAGAAGAAUACCAAAUAAGAAUAUCAUACCAAGAACAAGUCCUAUCUUUUCACAUACAAAUGCAUCUCCAAUUUGGUAAUAUGAAGUACCAAGAAAAUCAACAUCCAACAAAAGAGAAGAGAACAAUAUGACAUCAUGACCAGCAAGUGUAAUAGCAUUAUGAAAAAAAAAUAUGCUCAGCUAACAAAGUGGUCUCUACACAAAAAAGACCGUUGAUACAUAACAUCUCUAUAUCUAAAUAUGUCUCAAGCAAAGGAAAAUCAAUGCAUGAAAGUUUCUACAACAAAGAAAAAAAACAUAAAUUUUUGAAAAUGUAUUUAACAUCUAAAUAUCCCAUUUAUUUUAGGUUUCUAAACAAUCUAAGUAGGAAGAUACUGAAGAACAGACAGAAAAAAGGAAAAAAAUAGAAUGAAACUUCACACCUUUUAGUUUCUUUUUACAUAGAGUCCUCAUACUUUCUCUUAAUUUAGGUAAACUCAUAAUAAGAAUAACCCUAUUAACAAAUUGAUUAAGAAAAAUAAACAUAUUUUAACUUUAAAAAAUUGAUUAAAUAUCAAGAUUAAAGAAUAAUUUAUUCUUACUUCAACAUUUCAAAUUCUCAAUAAUCUAAUUAACCAAACUAAAAUAAUAAUAAUAAUAUUACAUCGGAUUUUACUAAUGAAUAAAUAAUAAUAAUAACAUUAAAAGACAAAAAUAAAUAAAUAAAUAAAAACCCUUUAGCGACGUCGACGUCGGAGAAGGCUUAUGCGACAUAUUGGGUCGUGCGCAGGGAAAAUUUUCUUCGACGUGGGAGCAAGGUGCGUCGCGGAAAGUAUCCCCGACGGACUUUCCACGAUGUGGAUGUCGACGUUGUGUACGACGUCGCGGUAGCCUUCCGUAAUGUUGUUUAGGGUUUUCGACGUCGUUACACUGCGUUGGAGAAGACCGUAAUUAUCGUAGUGAGUGGUUAGUCAAUAAUAUAUUCCAAGAAACGACCUCGUAUUGAAUAUUACAAACAUUUUGUUUAUAUCGUACGUGCCGAUCACAUGUUUGCUUCAAUCUAGAGAACGUUAUUUAAUGAAUUCAAUAAUAUAUAAUCUAAAGAAAUCUAUAAUUUCAUUUUUAGGAUCCAUAAUCUUGUUUCACACAAUAUCUAUCACUUCAAUUUUGGUUUUCCCCCCGUAAGUCAACUUUUUAAAUUCAUAAAAACUGAAUAUGCAUCAUCUUAUUUUAGAAAAAUGGUUAAAAGUAGUAAAUUUGACAAAAUAUUUACAAAAUAUAUCAAAAUUUUAGAUUCUACCAAUAACAAACAUGUGAUAGUCAGUAAUAUCAUCCUAUCAAUGGCAUUGAUGAUAAAAGUCUAUCACUAGUUAUUCUAUCAUUUGAUAGAAUCCAAAAUUUUUGCUAUAACUUGUAAAUAUUUUGUAAAAUUUGCUAUUACUACACUACACAUGAGGGUGGGGUCUCUAUUAAAUAAUUUUUUUGUCACACAUUUUCUUAAAUUCAUGAUAGUUUUUUCAUUUUUUUUUACUAAAUACUCAGUCACAAAACUUCUUUUUUUUUCUUCAUGAAACACACAACAAACCAGUAGAAUUAACAUGCAUAUCUUGGGUUAUAAGUAAAGAAAAUCACACAAGUAAAGAAGAUAUAUCGAAAAAGGAAAGAAACUUAAUUAUUGUUUCAAUGAAUGCACCGAUAUAAAGGCUUAUAACACUUUGAAAUUUUAGAAGAUUAAAUAAAAAAUCAAACUCCAAAACUUAAAAUUACAAAUGGUAACAAAUGAAUUCUUAUUUUUAUAUUAAAAAAGGUCGAUUAUAUGGAGAAAAAUAACCCAUAAAAAUAACAUAAGUAUGUAGAGAAAGUAAACAUAGAAAUAGAGUUGUUAAUGAAAAUUUAAUGCUAUGAAUAGGGUAUCAUCAAUAUUUUCUUAGUACUCUACAAUUACCUACGUUUCAUUUUUUGGUUCCAUUGUUUACUAUCGUCUUUCCAUACUAACGUGUUAAGAAGACUAAAAUAUUAAUUAACUAAGUUGAUGAAUUUUUUAACACAGUAAAUAAGAGAGACAUUGUUUUUGUUUUAACUUCCUUUGGAAAGAGAUCAACUCCAACAAUCUAAUUAAUGUUAAUACGAAGAAAUUAGUACUUCAUUGAAUAAGUUUGGCAGAAAGAAGAAAAGUUUUUCUAUUUGCUGCUAAAAUAAGAACAAAUCAAUUAAUGAGAGAGAGAGAGAAAUUUGGUGUUUUUUUUCUUUGCAUUUCCUGACAAAUAAAUUGAAAUUUCAAUCUAUAAAUAUGGUAAGAGUUGUUGGUAGUUAAACACCAUCACACAAGAAAGAGUAUUAUAGCAGCAGAGGUCAUGGCGUCUAACAUCAUUGCAAUUGUUUCUGUGAUACCCAAAAGCAAUGGAAGUAUUAUUCAUUAUAAUGAUUCUCUCUUGCUCUUCUUUGCUAGCUCCGAUUUGGACAGAGGUAAAAAAUAAGCAAAAGAAUGCAAUCUUUUUUGUUAAUUUGUGUUAUAUUCUAUAGUUUAGAUCAUAUGUUAAAGUUAAUGGAUUUGUAAUAUCGUUCUUGAUCAGAUGGACAGCAAAAACCACUGAUCCGAGGUGUCGCAGAAUUAAUCAAGAAUGAAUCUACGAAGGCAAAGCACAAAUACGUUGCUAAAGUUCAAGUUCCAAAAGGUUAUGGAGAGAUUGGAGCUGUGGUUGUUGAAUUGGAAACCCACUCGUCUGAGAAAUUUAUCGAUACUGUUAUUGUUGCAAAUUCAACAUCUCAGAACACAAUUACGUUCAGCUGUACCUCAUGGGUCCAACCCAAAAGUCUCAUUCCUGACCAACGCAGGAUUUUCUUUUCCACUAAGGUUCGAUCGUUGGUUCAUAUAUAUAUAUAUGUAUAUAGUUGUGUAAUGAUUAUGAUUUAUGAGAGAUGAUUCAAAUUAAUUAAUUGUGUUACUAAUAAUUGAUUAUGUGUAAUAAUAUGAGCAGUCCUAUUUGCCCGAAGAUACGCCAGCAGGGCUGCUGAAGUUGAGAGCGGAGGAUCUUGAGAAUUUGAGAGGCCAAAAACAAGAUGGAACAGUGGAUACGAAUGAGCGUACGAAGUUCGAAAGAAUUUACGAUUACGACCUGUACAAUGACCUUGGAGAUCCGGACGUAGACACCAAAUGGAAAAGACCUGUUCUUGGUGGUUCAGUUCAGUAUCCUUACCCUCGACGUUGUAGAACUGGUCGUCCUCAUACCGUCUCAGGUGUAUAUAUAUAUAUAUAUACUUCUUGUUUCUUCAUCGUACACUUUCAUUCAAGUUUGGAAAAUUUUCAAAAGCAGCAAAUUUUACAAAAUAUUUACGACCUAUAGCAAAUUCUAUAAUUGAUUGUCAUUGAUAUAUUCUAAUGAUAGAAGACUUUGAUCCAUAAAAUCCAAAAUUUUGUUAUAACUUGGAGAUAUUUUAAAUUAUUUUGCUAUUUUUAAAAAUGCUCCUUAAAAUUUUUCAUUUUUAUGGUUUUUUUUUUUACUUAUAUUUUCAAAUUCUCAUCAUUUACGUUUUGGUUUAUUUUGAUUCCUUAAAAAUAUAAAUAAAAAUAUCCAAAAAGGAAAAUAACAACAAAACAAAAUGGAAUAGAAAAAGAAUAUUACAUCGCAACAAGAUAAAUCAAAGUUCAAAAAUAAAAGUUGGUAUUUUCAAAUAUAGAAAAAUGAACAAAAAUAUAUAUAAACAAAAUAUUCAAAUCUGUUACUUAUAUACACUAAUAAAAUGUCUUUUGUUAAUAAAAUAUAAAAUUUUGCUAUAUUUUGUAAAUGUUUUCAACAAUUUUGUUAUUAACAAUAAGUCUAAAAAAAAUGUAGGGAUAAAAUAGUAUUUAAAUUAAAGGUAAUUAUAAUGGGUAGCAAUUUAAAAAAUAAUAAACUAUAUAACAACAUUUUUAAAAAAUUGCAAAUAUAGUCAAGUCUAUCGGUGAUAAACUUUUAUCGUUGAUAGACUACAUUAGUAAUAGACCAAUAUUUGGAACAUAGUCUAUUAGUGAUAAACUCUUACGGAAGUGUUAAAUCAAUAUUUGCAACAUAGUCUAUAAACUAUUAUUGAUAAAUUUUGAUAUAUUUUGUAAUUUUUUUAAAAUGUUGCUAUAUACUUCAUUAUUUAGAAUCUAACGGUUAUAUUCACAACAAUCCCUUAAACUAUAUAUAUUUUUUGAAUAAGAAAAUAAGAGUUGGCAUUUAAUUAACAUAAGAGAAAACAUAUAGUUACUUGAAAUUAAAUAAUAAUGUUUUUGGGAAGUAAUUAAUAUAUGAUACAAUUGGUUAGAUCCAAAGUCAGAGCAAAGAAGUGCAAAAAGCUUUUAUGUUCCAAGAGAUGAAGCAUUCUCAGAAGUGAAGCAGACAAUGUUCCCAUCAAACUCAGGGAACAAAGAUAAGUUAGGAACAAAACCUUUCACCGACUUCACUCAGAUUGACUUAAUGUUCAGAGAUGGCAUUGCACUCCCAUCCAAUCCACAUGAAAUUCUUCAAUUUAACAUUCUCUCCACACUUAAUGCAUCAAAUCAACCCGCCCCACCUCCUGUUCAGCCCAUUCCUGUUCAACCCAACACCCCUGUAAUCAAAUUCCCACCACCUGAGGCUCUCAAAAGUAAGCACCAUACAUACACAGUACAUAAACAUAACUUUUCUUUUUCUUUUUCUUUUUUGUAAGCAAUUAUUAGUACAACUUAAUUAAUUCAUUUACCUCACAAUACGUAAUCCUUGUGUUUUUCCAGGAGACAAGUUCAAUUGGCUUAGUGACAGUGAAUUUGCAAGACAAACAAUUGCGGGUCUUAAUCCCUAUUGUAUACAGUUGGUCAAGGUGACUGAUAGACUGACAAUAAUCAAUAAAUAUAUAUCAAACUACCCUUACCCACUAGCUUUAAUUCAGACUACGUCAAAUAUUAGUGAUUUACUACAGAUAUUUCUAACCUGUUUCUAUAGUAUAUAUGAAAUUAUAGCUUAAUUGUUUUGUAUGAAUAAAUUCAGAGUUGGCCUUUGAAGAGUGAGCUGGACCCUGUGGAAUACGGUCCUCAAGAAUCAGCAUUCACCACGGAAUUGGUUCAAAAAUUAAUAGGAAGUUCCAUCACAGUUGAAGAGGCUAUAGCGCAAAAGAAAUUGUUCGUAUUGGAUUACCAUGAUACUUUGAUGCAAUAUGUAGAGAAAGUAAGAAGCAUUAAGCGGACCACACUCUAUGGAUCAAGAACCUUGUUCUUCCUGGAGUAUGAUGACACUUUGACUCCCAUGGGUAUUGAGCUAACUCGGCCACCAAUGGAUGGAAAGCCCCAAUGGAAACAAGUUUUCUCACCAAGCACUCAAGGAACAAAUGCUUGGCUAUGGAGGCUUGCUAAAGCCCAUGUUCUUGCUCAUGAUUCUUGUGUUCAUCAACUCAUUAUUCAUUGGUACGUACCUAUAUAUAUAUAUAUAUAUAUAUAUAUAUAUAUAUAUAUAUAUAUUUUGCUUAAAAGAAAAACAAUUUUUGAUAUCACCUUGUUUGUGGGUAGUAUAUAUUAAUUAAUUAUAUAUCUAUAUAUGCAGGCUUAGAACUCACUGUUGCAUGGAGCCAUAUGCAAUCGCCUUAAAUAGACAAUUGAGUACUAUGCACCCAAUUUAUAGAUUAUUGCAUCCUCAUUUCCGAUUCAAUAUGCGUAUCAACGCAAAUGCUCGUGAAUCUCUAAACAAUGCCGGAGGCAUCAUUGAAAGCACAUUCUCUGUCGGAGCUUAUUCCAUGGAAUUUAGUUCUUUGGUGUAUAAGAAGGAGUGGCAAUUUGACACACAAGCACUCCCUGAGGACUUAAUUCGCAGGUAAUUUUCAAGACGUACAACUUUUGAUUUGAAAUUAAUAAAAUUAAAUUUGAGCAGUCUUGGCUAGACCAAAUAUAAUUAUGCAUGCUAAUAAUUAUUAGUGAUAAAAUUUAAAAUUAUUAGGGGAAUGGCGGAAAGAGAUGCAAGUGCACCACAUGGUCUGAAGUUGGCCAUCAAAGACUACCCUUUCGCCAAUGAUGGUUUAAUCCUAUGGGAGGUCCUAGUGGAAUGGAUCUCAGAAUAUGUGAACCACUAUUACCCAGAUGAGAAAGCAAUAAAGAACGAUAAAGAGUUGAAAGCUUGGUGGAAAGAAAUCAUGGAAAAGGGACAUCCAGAUAAAAAGAAGGAAGCAGGAUGGCCCUCACUGAAAACCCCCAAAGACCUAAUUCAGAUUGUGUCAACAAUAGCAUGGGUAGGAUGUGGGCACCACUCCGCUGUCAACUUCAUUCAAUAUGCACAUGCUGGCUAUUUUCCUAACCGACCCAGUAUUACAAGGACAAACAUGCCCACAGAGGACUAUGACCAAAUUCCAGAAGCGUUUAUAAACAAUCCUGAAAGUGUGAUACUUGAGGCCUUCCCUUCAAUAGCUCAGGCUUCUGCAGUGGCACAAACUAUGUUGAUAUUGUCAGCACAUUCUCCAGAUGAGGAGUAUAUUGGGAAGAAGAUAGAGCCAGCAUGGGCUGAGGACCCCAUGAUAGCCAAAGCCUUUGACAAAUUUAAAAUGAAGUUGGAUGAACUAGAAAAGACAAUUGACCAAAGGAAUGAGAACAAUGAAUUAAAGAAUAGGCGCGGAGCUGGGCUUGUGCCUUAUGAGGUUCUUAAACCAACUUCAGGUUAUGGGGUCACAGGAAAGGGAGUUCCAUACAGUGUUUCCACUUGAACCACAUGAUCCUCUCUGUCUUCCAGUUUUUGCCUUUCAUUUGGAAUAAUAAGGCGCAAAUGCAAUUUGUUUUUCACUUCUUCGAUUUCCUUGUCUUUUACAGCCUUCUGCUUUUUUUUUUUUUCUUAUUGGGGAACAAUAAGAUAUGUAAUUUUCGUUUUGUACGUCAGUGUCAGUGUCUUUGCCUCGUGCACAUGGCUUUAUUAGAAUAAUUUAAAUACCAAGUAAUUUAUCUAUCCAUUACAUUAUUUCAUUUUUCUUCACACCAAAUUGAUCUUUAAAGUAAAAUAGAAGAUUUAGAAUAUAGAUUGGUAACUGAGUCUCUAAGAAUUUAUGUAGACGUUUUUAAAAAUACAAGUUGCAAAAUUUCUGGAUUUUAUCGAUGAUAGUCAGUGAUAGACUUCUAUCAUUGGCUAUCAAUACCACUGAUAGAAGAAUAUUACUAGUUAUCAAAUGUUUGUUAUUGAUAAAAUCUUAAAAUUAAUCAUAACCUUGUAAAUAUUUUGUCAAAUUUGCUAUUUUUAAUAAUUUCUCAUAUAUAUACGUAUAUGUAUAACAUAACAGAAUUGAUUCAAAUGUCUAUUAUCCCACCCAUUGUCAAACUCUAUUUCAAAAAUAAUAAAAGUUUAGAAGAGUUGUGUGAGAUUUUUUUUUUAUAAAAAAAGAUACAAUUACAUCAGUAGGUACAAUGGAACAUCUCCACUAGAUGGACCCCUAUAUCACCUUCAUUAUCCCUGCUUCAUCGAUAUGUAACAAGAAAGUACAAGGCGAAAAUAAAAAUGGCUAGAGAGAAGCCCAAACAACUCAACAAUACAAGUCUAGACAAAACAUUAAGAUUUAAAGCAAUGGUUUCAACCGAAUAACUUGAGACUGUGUGAGAUUUUCAACAAGGUUAUAGAAAAUUUCCACAACGAUACAUGGAAAUUCCUUCAAAAAAAAAAAAAGAAACGUUAUACUAAAUGCACUUUAAGAUGUGUGGAAGUAUUUUAGAGAGACAUUUAAUUUGUUUGAAAACUAUUUUGAUUUUUGUUUUUGUUUAUUAGAAUUAUUAAACCUAUAAAACUAUUUCUACCCACACAACUUUCUACCUUUGUUAUAUCUGUUGGAAUAAGUGGUUAUGAUCAUUCAUGAAUGAAUUCUUCAUGAAUGCAUACAUCAUUUCAUGAAAAGUGUUAUUAACCAAAGGAUAUGACUUUUCGAUUAGCCACGAAAAAUUUAUAAAUAAGUCUUUUUGGUUCAGAGAAAAAAGACAUCAAAAUCAUUUGUCUUCUAGAAACAAAUUUCUCUCCGUAUCCACAAUUUUGACGUUUGGUAAAUUCACAAGGUUUCGUUCGUAGAUCUUCUAUACGGGGUGCUACAUUUAGAAGAAAAUUGAUAUGUUCUAUCCUGAGAGGCAAUUACUUCAAAUACUCAAGCACUAAGGUGACUAAAUUUGUCUUAAGGAGACAACGUGAAUUCGUUGGACUCAGAUCUAUAUUUAAGUAUGAUUUUUUAUUCAUUGUGAUAAUAAUCUUCGUGACAUUUUGAUAAUCUGUAUAACAAUCUUAAGACAAUUUUUCUUUUACAAAUGUUUAUGCGUGAUUAAUUUCAAACGAAACAUAAUGUAUUUAGAUUUAUUCAUAAUGGAUUUUCUUCAUCGUUUUGUAGUCACGGUUGCUUUUACAUACUUUAUGUAUUUCUUCAAUUAACAAGAUUAAUUUCUGCAUUUGAAGUUCUAUUUUUUUUUAAAGAUUAUCAAGCAUCUUUAAAAUCAUAUUUGGAUAACAAUUUUUUUAUACAGGCUAUUUUAUGUUUAUAUGUAAUAAGAAUUAAAAAAAAAAAAAAAUCCUUCACAGCAGCAGUGUAUAAAGAUUACUUAUCCAUUUAUUGUUUUAAUCUUUACUUUGUUCGAUUUUUUUUUUUUCCUUUCACUGCCUUAGUUUAUUCCACACACAUAUAUAUUAGUUUGUUUUAUAUAUACAUAUUGUUUAAUUUUUGUUUAUUCAAGUAUCGCAGUAAGCCUAUUAACUUGAAUGUGUUAAAAAAAAGUUUUAUUCAAGUAUUACAGUAAGGAAAUUAACUUGAGUGUUUUUCAAUAUAUAUAUUUUUCUGGAUUAGUUUGUAUAUGAGAAUUCAUCUUUAAUUAUUUGUUUAAAAUUUAUUUGUUUUGAAAAUAUGACUUCAACAAACUUUAAUUCAGUUCCUGUAACUAGUGUUGUCCAUGGAGAGAAACCUGAAAAUUUUGGUGGUGUUGAUUUCAAAUGUUGGCAACAAAAAAUGUUGUUCUAUCUCACCACUUUAAAUUUGGCAAAAUUUCUCACAGAGGAUGCUCCUAUUUUACUUGAGGGAGAAACUGACAAAAUUGAUGCAUGGAAACAUGCAGAAUAUCUUUGCAAAAAUUAUAUUUUGAAUGAGUAGGACAACACACUGUACAAUGUAUAUUAGUAGUGUUGAUUCGGCUAAAAAUCUAUGGACUUCGUUAGAGAAGAAGUACAAAACUGAAGUUGCUGGUGCAAAGAAAUUUAUCGUUAGAAAAUUUUUGGAUUACAAAAUGGUGGACUCCAAAACUGUAAUCAGUCAGGUUCAGAAAAAUCCAGUUAAUUCUACCUGAUAUAUAAAUACUGAAAAUAUGACUUUGAGUGAGUCUUUUGAGUGAGUCCUUUCGAUUAUUCUCUUCAAUCCCAAGUCGGACCACAAGUUCCUCAAGAUUUAUCGUUUAUGCUUGAGAUGAUUUUUGAAGUCCUUCCAUGAGGGUGACAAUUUUGCAUGAAAAUCCCGUGCAUUUUUAAAGUGAUCCCAUUGUGCCGUGGAUCCAAAACACAAAGAUCUGUUUAGGUUAUUAUAGCCAAACGUGAAUGUAAGAGUGAGAUUUACAUUUCUUGAGAGAGGUUGAAUUAUUAUAACUUCGUAACAUUACUUUUGUAGGAUGUAAGAGUGAGAUUUACAUUUCCAACCACCCAACCCACUAUUUUUCUAGCAUUUUAGAGGGAACCCUAAAUGUGUAGGCUUUGUUCCAAGCGCCCAAUUCUGUUACUUCCACUUGUUGUUUUUCUAGUAUAUUUCAUUAUUUCUCUACAUUAUUAUAACUCAUGACAUUUGUUUUGAUAAUGUAUUCUCAUUCAUAUCUACUAAUUUUAUGAGUUAAUUUUUUUGUAAGGGAUUAUUCAAUCUAGUAGGAUACCGUAAGAAUAUAUAUAACAUGGCUUAGUUAAUGCAUGCAAUUGAUCAAAUUAGUUACUGCAUCUCGCUCUCACUUUCUAUUUUUUAUUUUGAACUAAUGACUUCAAUUAGAGUGUUAGUUGAUGUUUAAUGAUGGAGAAAGUAAAAAUAUAUAUAAAUCUCACUAAGGAACACAUAUAUAGAAAGUCACAUGAUCCAGAUACAAGAGGUACACGUAGAACCCACAAGUGAUUGCAUGAAACUAUGUGAGAUCUAAUUAAGCUAUAUGAACAAAGGAUUAUUAAUGUAAAACAGAAUGAAUUCCAACAUAAGAGCAUAAGUAUUACACUUUUUUUUUAACUACUCACCAUUUGUAACCACCUAUAAAUAUGUAUAGUUGCAUUCUAACAAAGUAGUCUAUAUACAUAUAUAUUUCUCAUCUCCAAGAAAAAUAAGACAGAAAAUGAGAGAUUUUUGUAUACUCAACUUCAUAAAUAAGAAAAGUUCCUUCUCGUGGACGUGGGCUUCAACUUGCCCGAACCACGUAAAUUUGUGUAUUAUCUCCUCUCAUCUCCCUCAUCUUCAUACUGGUGUAUGUGCAUAUAUCAUCUACUUGCCCAAAACCAUAAAAAGCUUUCAUUAGGAUUUGAAUAACAGAGAGAAAACGAAGAAGAAGGAGAACUAAAAAGAAAAGGUUCUAUUAUUCUCCUCCAAGCUUUCUUGAUCAUCCUGCAAAACAUUGAGGCCCAAUUAACCAAAACAUAUAAUUAGGCCUAACAAAUAACUUAGGCUUUUAAAGGGCAUACUUGAGUACAAGGCUAAAUAGGAGUUGUUCUUAACUCAUGCAAUUGUGACAUUUGUGAUUGAUAGCUUAAUUAAGGCCGUUUGUAUUUAUGGGUUGAAACUUGACUUAACUUCUUGUUUGCUAUUAUUGUUUAUCUUCAUUAUUUGCAACAACCUCUGAAUUACCACUUCUUUUAUUGGUUACUAUUUGAGUGACCAUAAAAAAAAUCUUUCAAAUCGGACAAUGAUCCUUAGAUCACAUUCAAUAGUAUAUUCAUUCACACUUUUUAGAAUCACACAAUAGAAAAUCAAUAAAGCUCACACUUCUUAUAAAACAGUUGAGUUAUUUCUCUCGUUCUCAAUCAAUUGAUUUUGAACCCCAUUAAAAAGAAUUUUAAAAUCCAAAUUUUCUAUCGGUCAUUGAACUAUAUUUGAUUUAACUCAUGUAUUUUAGUUUAAAGUUAAGAUAUCUUUGAUCUUUAAACUUUCUUCGAAGUAACAAUUUCGUCCUUAUAAUUUUUUUUCAUUUUUACGUUAAUUUCUCUAAAAGAAAUUAAACAUUUUCCAAAUUAAAAAAAACAAAAUAAAGUAGAUAAUCAAAACAAAAGAAAGCCUUUUUCUUUCUUUCUAGAAGCUAAUUAGCUAAAAAUAAAAAUAAAAAGAAAUAAACAGAAAAUAAAUUAGUAAUAUAAUUAACUAAUAAAUAACCCAUAAGGCUUAUAAAAAAUUUAAAAAACUCAAGUUGAAUAAUUUGAAAUACAUCCAUUAAAAGGGAAAAUAGUCAACAAUGCAAAUUAAUAACUUAUUGGAGAAGUAAUUAUUGUAUGACUAUGAGAAUCGAAAAUAUAUUUGUAGAAGAGAUCAUUUAAAGAAAUAGUUAUGGUUCUUAAAGAUUGGAUGGGUGUGGUUGGCUGUUCAUACUCACCGCCCACCUAAUCAAAUUCAACACAUAUCGCCAAGAAACCAAAGAGAGAGGGAGGCCAUCAACCACGAACUUAAGAGCAUAUCUAUACAGUAUGGAAUAAUCGACCAAGUGUGGGAAUUCAAUUAUGGUGAUUAAUGAUAUCACCCAGAUGGAGACUUCAAAUCUUUCCAUCUCAAUUAUUGUACUAAAACACAAAUAACUCCAAAUAUAAAACUUACAUUCAAAAAAUAAUUAAUUAUACAAUAAUAUUUUUAAAAAAUUGUAAAUAUAACAAAAUCUGUCAAAAUCUAUGCUUAAUUAUUAUUUCUAAAAUUGCUACCAGUUAUAAUUACUCUUAAAAAAAGUGAUAAUGAUAUAAAUAUAACUAUGGAAAAUUGCAUUAGUUAACAAAAAAAUCUAGAAAAAAAAAUACUUCAUAGCAUUUUUAUUAAAAUAUUAUCUCUUUUAAAUUUGUUACUUUUGUAAUUUAUAAAAUGGAGUGAUAUGCGCCUUUUUAUCAUAAUUUUUUUUUAUUGCUAUUUUUGUCAACGUCCCUAUGAUUAAUAUAGAUAAUAAUAAUUAAAAAUGAUCGAAUUUUAAUUAAAUGUGUAAAAUGUAUUUUUUUUUUCCGUUUAAUUAAGUGUGAAUAUAUGGAUAAAAUAGAAAAAGAAGUGUUGUGAUGUAAGUGAGGAAAACGUUAAAAUGAGAGUAGAUAGAAAAGAAAAAGAAAGACCAAAGAAAAGAGAGAGAGAUUUAUAAGUCAAUUAUGUAGAAAAUUAUUAGUCUUUUCUUAAUAAUAUAACAUUUGUGAAUGAAAAGUUUAAAACUUCAAACUUCCACACCAAUAUUAUUUAACAGAUUCACAUAAAUCAAUUAGGCUUUCCAUUUCAUUUAAAAGAAAGAUAGGAUUAUAUACAUCACAUCAAUUCUCAAAUAACUUUAUAAUUAUAUUUUAAAUAAUUAUACGACUUCAUAUCCUCUCUAAAACUAUUUUAAGAAUUUUUCACUAAAAAUAAUAUAAAAAAUUGACAAACUAUUUACUCUACAAAACAAAACUACAUUUUUUACAAUUUUUUUUUUAAAUUUUAAAUAUCAUAUAAUUAUUUUUUUAAAAAUCAAACGUAAAAGACUUUUAAAACCUUAUACCUAUUUUUUAAAACUGAUCAAGUAAAAUGGUACAUUAUGAAAACUCGAGAACCAAAUAAAUCUAUUGUUAUAAAACUUGAUAAAAAUCAUUUUUAAAACUUAAUGACCAAAAGCACAUAUUCAUCAAAACUUGGAGACUAGAAUUGUAGUUUUUCAUAACUUUAGUUAUAGAUAGUGUAACAUAUUUGUACAUUUGAUCAAAUUAUCUAAUCAUAAUUUAUCACGUGAUAAACUUUUUAGGUGAGAUCCUCCCAUUAUUGGUUAAAAAAGUUUAUCAUUUAUCAUUUAAUUAAAAGUUAUUGGCAGGUAGAUAAAGAUUGGUGGGGACUAACCAAUUAUAAACAAAUGGUUAAUCAAUAUAAUGUAUUCUAAGUGAAACGACCUCGUAUAAAUAUCUUGUUUAUAGCGUACGUGUCAAUCACGUGUUUGCUUCAAUUUAGAGAACGUUAUUUAAUGAAUUCAAUAAUAUAUAAUAUAAAGUAAUCUCAAAUAUCUAUGACUUCAAUGUUGGUUUUAUACUAUGUCAACUUUUUAAAUUCAUUAUAAUACUACAAGUUUAAGGAUGAAAUUAAUAAUUUUGUCUUCUAAAUUUUUAUUAUUUUUGAAAUAGAGUUUGACAAUAUUGGUUUGGGAAAAUAGCCAUUAUUUGAAACAAUGGUGUUGUGUUAUACAUACACGUAUAUAAAUGAGAAAUUAUAAAAAAAAAAAAAUAGAAAAUUUGACAAAAUAUCUAUAAGUUAUAGCAAAUUUUCAGAUUCUAUCAAUAACAAAUAUUUGAUAACUAGUAAUAUUUUUCUAUCCGUGGUAUUGAUAGCCAAUGAUUAUUACUAACUAUCAUUGUUAGAAUUAAAAAAUUUUGGUAUAACUUGUAAAUAUUUUAAUUUUUUUUCUAUUUUUAAAACUGUCACUUUAUAUAUAUAUAUAUAUUAGAGAAGAUUUCCACAACAAUACUUGUAAAUUCCUUAAAAGAAAAUUGGAAAACUGCACUUUAAGAUGUAUGGAGGUAUUUUAAAGAGACAUUUAAUUUGUAGAUUUUUUAUUUUGUUUAUUAUAUUUAUUAAACCUAUAAAACUAUUUCUACUCCCACAACUUUCUUCCUUUGUUAUAUCUACUUUUUAUACAUAUCAUGAUCAAAGGGAUAUAUAUAUAUAUACACCAAUAAUGAUCAAAAAGUGUACUAAAUAAAGUUAUCACCUAUAUAUAUAUAUAUACACAUAAUUGUGGUGGGUGUGUUUAUAUAUAUACACAUCAACUAUCAUAAAAACGAUUGUCAUAAAAAAGGCAAUCACUCAUUAUUGUGGUAUAUAUAUAUACCAAUUAUCAUCAAAAUUAAGGCCAAUCACACAUGAGAUUGGGGUCCUUAUUAAAUAAUUUUUUUGUCACACCUUUUCUUAAAUCCUUAGUUUUUUUCAUUUUUUUUUUUACUACAUUCUCAAUCACAAAACUUUUUUCUUUUCAUGAAACACACAACAAAUAAAUACAAUUAACAUGCAUCCUUGGGUUAUAAGUAAAGAAAAUCACACAAGUAAUCACAUACUUUUUUUUUUUUUUACCUAUAUAGUAAAAAGAAAUCAAAUUAGUUUCAUAUUAAAAAAUAAAUCUAGCAUAUGAAAAAUAUCCCUAAGUUUAGAUAGAGAUGGGGCAUUUUUCCUUGAAAGAAACAUGUAAUUGUAAUAUAUAUCUGUUUGAAAUAAAUUUAAAUGAAAAGGUAGAGAUGGGAAAGGGUUUACGAGUUAUUUCUUGGAAAGAGAAGGGUCCCAAGGCCAGCUUGGCUUUCCAUUUCAAACAUAAAUAAAAUAAAAUAAAACCUUAAAAAAAUAAUUAAUAUAAUAAUUUAUUUUUUAAUAUCAUUAUCAUACUAUUGGAUGAUGACACAAUCUUAUCCACAUAAUCAAAUAAAUAAAAACAUGAUUAAAAUACCAUUUGACCAAAUUUAUUUCAUUUUAGCCAUCUUAAAAAUUUAGUCACUUAAUAUUAAAUUUUGUUUUAAUCAACUUAAUAAUAUUAUCUGUAUGCACUAAAAAAUUGUAGUAAAUAAACUGAAAUAUUAAUAAAUAUAAUAAGAUAUAUACUUUUAUUGUGUCUAUUUGUAUUAUGAGAGGUUGAUAUAUAUGAUAGUUUAUGUUAAUAUAUAGUAGUAUAUUAUAGAUAGAUUGUGAUAUUUUACUAUGUUUUUAAAUAUUUUAAAUGAUAUUAUUAAAAAAUUACGAAAUAUGUAAAUGUAUUUUUAAAAUGGAUAAAAAUGAAGGGUGAAGUAAGGUAUAGAAAAUUAAAAUUAGAUAAGCAAAAGUAUAUGUACUAAAAAUGAAAAAGGUUGUAAAAUAUAUAGGAAAGAGUAAGAGGCAAAUGAUUGUUUAAUCAAUUUGUAAAGUUUGAAUCAUUCGUACGUGCAUGUGAAACCCAAAAGGUUCGAGAGACAAAUUUUCUCUCCUUUAUUUUAUCUAUUAUUAUUUUAGUUUGCCAAUAGCUUCAUCUUGAAAUUAGAUAACGAUAUAUAUAUAUAUAUAUAUAUAUUGAGAUUGAUAACUAUAUAGUUAUAGAGAAUGAUUCUCCAAUAAAUAAAUAUAUAUAUAUAUAUAUAUAUAAUUAUUAUUAUUAUUAUUAUAGUUUUCUAAUCUUAAAAAUUGUUUUAUUAGAUUCUAAAAAAGCCAUCGAUGAGGGACCCAAUCCCCACUUGUAAUGAAUUAUGAAUUAGAGUAUUUUCAAGGAAAAUUUUAAAUAUAACAUGUAAUAUAUAAAUUGAAACUAUUUAAAAAUUAUAGAAAAAUUAUUAAAUUAAUUAUAACCUAUUUGAAAUUUUUAUCGUAGUUUUGAUAUUUUUUUGUUAUUUCCUCGUUUAAAAAUAAUCGAUAAUUAUAAUAAGUAGCAACUUUAUCAAUAAUAAUUAAGCAUAUAACAACAUUUUACAAAAUUACAAAUAUAGCAAAGUUUAUAUAUGAUAGACUUCUAUUAUUGAUAGAUUCGAUCUAGUGGUUUAUUAAUGAUAGAUCAAUAUUUGUAACAUGGUAUAUCAACAAUCGACUUUCAUCAAUGAUAGAUUUUGACAGACUUUGUUAUCGUGCAAUUUUUUUAAAUGUGUUUGAAAAUUUUACAAAAUAUUUACAAGUUAUAGCAAAAUUUUGUUGUUGAUAGUUAUUGAUAUGCUACAGUGAUAGAAGUCUAUCACUAAUAUAAUAUAAAAUCUUGCUAUACCUUGUAAAUAUUUUAAUUUAUUUUAUUAUUUUUAAAAAUACUGUACGUUGAUAUACGUUAGUUUAUAUUUUUAAUCUAAUUGGCAUUUAUCCUUAUUAUUUACAAAUACCAUAUAGAAGUUGAGGAAGUAUUAUUCACUUUUCAAUUUAAAAUUAUACCUUUUCUUUGCGAGAUUUUUCCGGGAGAAAUUUGUAUUUAUUUUAAUAUGUUUGAAUCGAUAUAUUGUACAAUGAGUAUAUGAUACCCUGUUUAUUCUAAAAUAUUGGAAAUGUCACUUGUCAACAAUUUUAAAUCCUCUUAUUAUUUUCGAGAAUUUUCAUACAUUAUCUUUUUUUAUACUUUUUUCCCAUUAUUUGUUCAAUUAUAUAGGUUUUUUUUGGAGAAAUAUAUAUUCCUUUCACAUCCAUCAUAUACAAAUGAAUUCUGAUUUUUAUAAAACAAAAGGUCAUAAAAUAUAAACGAUUAUGUAGAGAAAAAUAACCCAUAAAAAUAACGUAAGUUAUAUUAAUUAAAAAAGAAAGUCAAAUUACUAAAAGCAAAUAUAUUUAUACAAAUUAAUGAAAAUUUCUUAGAAAAGACCACCAUAAUUCAAAAUUUAAAAAUAAGUAUAACACAACAAACUAAAAUAUUUAUAAAAAUAUAACAAUUUUUUAUAUCUACUAUAUUGUUAUUAUUAUUAUUUUAAAACUCUUGUAAAAAUAGGAAAAAAAAAUUAACGGUAAUAUGAUUCAUAUCACUACAUUUUAUAAAUUACUAAAACAGCAGAUUUAAAAGCUUAUAAUUCUAUGAUUAUCGUCUAAUAGUUAUCUGAUAUCACUAAUUCUAUCAUAUUUCCGUUAAAAAAGUUGUUUUUUUCCAAAAUGUUUUGUUAUUUGGAUGAAAUUUUCCAUUAUUUUAUUAUCAACAAGCACAUGAGAGAAUGAGAGAAUGUGAAAUGGAGAAAUUGAUUAUAAUUGUUUGUCAGUUAUCGGAAUUUGUAGUCAUUAGCUUUCUUAUUCUAUAAUAUAUAAUCUAUUUCUUCUAAAACCAAAUCCAAUUAAUAUUUCCCAUUCCACACUCUCCUUCUCUUAGUUAUAAAUUCAAUGAUUUAUAGUUUUUCCAUACCUUCCAACUCGGAUGAACAUAUGGGAUUUAACAUUUCAUAUAGUAAAUUGAUUUAUUUAAUAUUUUGUUUAGUAAGUUUUGUUCAAGUUCUUCAACCACCACAUGCACAGAAUGAGGAAAUGAUUACAAAUUUUAAUCAUAAAACCAUACAAUAAAUUAGUUUUAAUAAUUGUAAGGAGAAAUUAGUAUAUAAAUUACAAGUUGGGUAUAAGAAUACAUAAAGAGAAAAAAAAAAGUAGAGAUUGUUAGGUGGAGAGAACAAGUGGUGACUGCUACUGGCGUCCUUCCCAGAAAAAAAAAAAAAACUAUUGCAAGUUGUUGAAUUUUCAACACAAUUCUAAUCUAAUUUUAUCUUUUAUAUAUGUGUGUAUAUAUUUAUGUAUUUAAUACGCAACCCUAUCCUCUUCUUAUGUUGAAUUUAAUUAAUUCAAUCAUGUACAGCCAAGCACGUUAUGCGUCGACUUCCGAGUCAAUUAAAAUAAUCAACAUUUUCUUACAUCAAUUAUUAAAAUCCUCUUUGCUUUUUUCUUUUUUGUAACAUACUUUUAUAUUUAUUUAUUAUGAAAUUCUUUGUUUUGUUUUGACAACCAUAAACAAUAUAAUAUAAAAACGUAAUAGAUGAGAUAUUAAAAACAACAAUUACAAAAAUCUAUGAAUAUAUAACAAUUCAGUCAACUUUUCAAUUCAUGAUGAAAAUAUCCAUCCCUAGUGUCAAUUUCUAAUGGGAAUCUAUUGAACAUAAUUAUGAACCAAUAAACAAACAUUUUAUUACCUUUAAAUUAAUCAAAAUUACUAUUAUAUUAAUAAAAUAGAGAUAUUGACGUUGAAACUACGAAAACAUAGAAAUAUUCAUAUAUUCAUAGAAAUAUUGAGAUGUUAAUGAAAAUUUAAUGUUAUGAAUAAGGUAUCAUAAUUCUUUCUUAGUACUCAGCAAUUACCUCAUUCCAUGUUCGAGACUUCAAUUAUAACAAUAUUUCUUCGUUGCAUUAUUGUUGACUAUUUUCUUUCCAUGUUAAAAGGAUUAAAAUAUUCGGUACUUGUUAUAAUUAACUAAGUUAAUGAAUUUUUUAACAGUAAAUAAAGAAGACAUUGUUUUUGUUUUAACUUCUUCGAAAGAGAUCAAGUCCAACAAUCUAAUUAAUGUUAAUACGAAGAAAUUAGUACUUUAUUGAAUAAGUUUGGCAGAAAGAAGAAAGGUUUUUCUAUUGGCUGCUAAAAUAAGAAUAAAUCAAUUAAAGAGAGAUAGAGAGAGAGAGAAAUUUGGUGUUUUUUUUUCUUUGCAUUUCCUGACAAAUAAAUUGAAAUUUCAAUCUAUAAAUAUGGUAAGAGUUGUUGGUAGUUAAACACCAUCACACAAGAAAGAGUAUUGCAGCAGCAGAGGCCAUGGCGUCUAACAUCAUUGCAAUUGUUUCUGUGAUACCCAAAAUCAAUGAAACGUUUCCUUCUGAUGAUACUCUCUUGCUCUUCUUUGCUAGCUCAGAUUUGGACAGAGGUAAAAAAUAAGAAAAAGAAUGCAAACUUUUUUGUUAAUUUGUGUUGUAUUGUAUAGUAUUGAUCAUAUGUUAAAAUUAAUGGAUUGGUAAUACCGUUCUUGAUCAGAUGGGCAGCAAAAACCAUUGAUCGGAGGUGUGGCAGAAUUAAUCAAGAAUGAAUCUACAGCAGAAAAGUACAAAUACGUUGCUAAAAUUCAAGUUCCAAAAGGUUUUGGAGAGAUUGGAGCUGUGAUUGUUGAAUUGAAAGACGACUCGUCUGAGAAAUUUAUCGAUACUGUUAUUGUUGCAAAUCCAACAUCUCAUAACACAAUUACGUUCAGCUGUACCUCAUGGGUUCAACCCAAAAGUCUCAUUCCUGACCAACGCAGGGUUUUCUUUUCCACGAAGGUUCGUUGGUUCAUAUAUAUAUAUAUAUAUAUUGUUGUGUAAUGAUUAUUACGAGAGAUGAUUCAAAUUAAUGAAUUGUGUUGCUAAUAAUUGAAUAUGGAAUAAUAUGAGCAGUCCUAUUUGCCCGGAGAUACGCCAGCAGGGCUGCUGAAGUUGAGAGCAGAAGAUCUCGAGAAUUUGAGAGGCCAAAAAGAAGAUGGAACAGUGGAUACAAAUGAGCGUAAGGCGUUCGAAAGGAUUUACGAUUACGACGUGUACAAUGACCUCGGAGAUCCCGACGUAGACACCAAAUGGAAAAGACCAGUUCUUGGUGGUUCAGUUCAGUAUCCUUACCCCCGACGUUGUAGAACUGGUCGUCCUGCUACCGUAUCAGGUAUGUAUAUAUACACUUCUCUUGUUUCUAUAUCAUACAUUUUCAUUAUGGAGUUUGCAAAAAUAGCAAAAAAAUUACGAUAACAGAGUCCAUCUCAAUUACUUUUUCAAAAUUGUAAAAAUAACAAAUUUUAAAAGUAGAAUAUCGUCGAUUACUGUCAUAUUUGCCAAAUUUGCAAUAUGAAAAAAAAAAUGUUAUGAGCUAUUUUUUCUAAAAAAAUUUUGUUCCUUUUCGUUAAAGUUUUUCUUUUUCAUGGUUUUUUUUUUACUUAUAUUUUCAAAUUCUCAUAGUUUACGUUUUUAGUUUAUUUUGAUUUUUAUACAUUUUGUCUUAAGUUUUUAAAAUUGGACCAACUUGAUUUCUUAAAAAUAAAAAUAUGAAUGGGAUGAAUCAUUGAAUGAAAGUUGAAAAAUAAAAAAUUUGGUAUUUUUAAAUAUAGCAAAAUAAAUAAAAAUAUUUACAAAAUAUUCCUAUCUAUUACUUACCUACACUAAUAGUAUUUAAAUUAAGAGUAAUUAUAACAAGCAACAACUUUAAAAAUAAUAAUGAAGUAUAUAGUAACAUUUUUUUAAAAAAAUUAUAAAUAUAGUCCACCAAACCAAUAUUAGAGCAACAUAGAGAUUGAUUUUGGUAUGUGGGUAACUUUUUAAAAUUUUGUUGUCCACUUACAUUAUACAUAAAAAUAAAAACUCAAAAAAUAUUUUUAAGAAUAAGAAAAUAAGAGUUGGCAUUUAGUUAAUAAUAUAAAAGAAAAUUAAACAUAUAGUUACUUGAAAUUAAAUAUAAUAAUGUUUUUGGGAAGUAAUUAACAAAUGAUACAAUUGUGGUUAGAUCCAAAGUCAGAGCAAAGAAGUACAGAAAGCUUUUAUGUUCCAAGAGAUGAAGCAUUCUCAGAAGUUAAGCAGAAAAUGUUCCCAUCAAACCCAGGGAAGAAAGAUAAGUUAGGAGCAAAGCCUUUCACCGACUUUACUCAGAUUGACUUAAUGUUCAGAGACGGCAUUGCACCUCCAUCCAAUCCACAUGAAAUUCUUCAAUUUAACAUUAUCUCCACACUUAAUGCAUCAAAUCAACCCGCCCCACCUUCUGUUCAGCCCACUCCUGUUCAACCCGACACCCCUGUAAUCAAAUUCCCACCACCUGAGGCUCUCAAAAGUAAGCACCAUACAUACACACGACAUAAACAAAACUUUUCUUUUCUUUUUCUUUUUUGUAAGCAAUUUUCAGUACAACUUAAUUAAUUCAUUUACAUCACAAUACGUAAUCCUUGUGUUUUUCCAGGAGACAAGUUCAAUUGGCUUAGUGACAGUGAAUUUGCAAGACAAACAAUUGCGGGUCUUAAUCCCUAUUGUAUACAGUUGGUCAAGGUGAGUGACAGACUAACAAUAAUCAAUAAAUAUAUAUCAAACUACCCUUACCCACUAGCUUUAAUUAAAACCAAGUCAAAUAUUAGGGAUUUAAGACAGAUAUUUUUAAUCUGCUCUCUAUAGUAUAUAUGAAAUUAUAGCUUAAUUAUUUUGUAUGAAUAAAUUCAGAGUUGGCCUUUGAAGAGUGAGCUGGACCCCGUGGAAUAUGGUCCUCAAGAAUCAGCAUUCACCACGGAAUUGGUUCAAAAAUUAAUAGGAAGUUCCAUCACAGUUGAAGAGGCUAUAGCGCAAAAGAAAUUGUUCGUAUUAGAUUACCAUGAUACUUUGAUGCAAUAUGUAGAGAAAGUAAGAAGCAUUAAGCGAACCACACUCUAUGGAUCAAGAACCUUGUUCUUCCUAAACGAUGAUGACACUUUGAGUCCCUUGGGUAUUGAGCUAACUCGGCCACCAAUGGCUGGAAAGCCCCAAUGGAAACAAGUUUUCUCACCAAGCACUCAAGCAACAAAUGCUUGGCUAUGGAGGCUUGCUAAAGCCCAUGUUCUUGCUCAUGAUUCUUGUGUUCACCAACUCGUUAUUCAUUGGUACGUACCUAUAUAUAUAUUGCUUAAAAGAAAAACAAUUUUUGAUAUCACCGUGUUUGUGGAUAGUAUAAUUAAUUAAUUAUAUAUCUAUAUAUAUGCAGGCUUAGAACUCACUGUUGCAUGGAGCCAUAUGCAAUCGCCUUAAACAGACAAUUGAGUACUAUGCACCCAAUCUAUAGAUUAUUGCAUCCUCAUUUCCGAUUCAAUAUGCGUAUCAACUCAAAUGCUCGUGAAAUUCUAAUCAAUGCCGGAGGCAUCAUUGAAAGCACAUUCUCUGCUGGAGGUUAUUCCAUGGAAUUUAGUUCUUUGGUAUAUAAGAAGGAGUGGCAAUUUGACACACAAGCACUCCCUGAGGACUUAAUUCGCAGGUAAUUUAUCAAGACGUACAACUUUUGAUUUGAAAUCAAUAUAAUUAAAUUUGAGCAGUGUUUGGCUAGACCAAAUAUAAUUAUGCAUGCUAAUAAUUAUUAGUGAUAAAUUUAAAAUUAUUAGGGGAAUGGCGGAAAGAGAUGCAAGUGCACCACAUGGUCUGAAGUUGGCAAUCAAAGACUACCCUUUCGCCAACGAUGGUUUAAUCUUAUGGGAGGCCCUAGUGGAAUGGAUUUCAGAAUAUGUGAACCACUAUUACCCAGAUGAGAAAGCGAUAAAGAACGAUAAAGAGUUGAAAGCUUGGUGGAAAGAAAUCAAGGAAAAGGGACAUCCAGAUAAAAAGAAGGAAGCAGGAUGGCCAUCACUAAAAACCCCAAACGACUUAAUUCAGAUUGUGUCAACAAUAGCAUGGGUAGGAUGUGGGCACCACACUGCUGUCAACUUCAUUCAAUAUGCACAUGCUGGCUAUUUUCCUAACCGACCCAGUAUUGCAAGGACAAACAUGCCCACAGAGGACUAUGACCAAAUUCCAGAAGCGUUUAUAAACAAUCCUGAAAGUGUGAUACUUGAGGCCUUCCCUUCAAUAGCUCAAGCUUCUACAGUGGCCCAAACUAUGUUGAUACUGUCAGCACAUUCUCCAGAUGAGGAGUAUAUUGGGAAGAAGAUAGAGCCAGCAUGGGCUGAGGACCCCAUGAUAGCCAAAGCCUUUGACAAGUUUAAAAUGAAGUUGGAUAAACUAGAAAAGACAAUUGAUCAAAGGAAUGAGAACAAUGAAUUGAAGAAUAGGCGUGGAGCUGGGCUUGUGCCUUAUGAGGUUCUUAAACCAACUUCAGGUUUUGGGGUCACAGGAAAGGGAGUUCCAUACAGUGUUUCCACUUGAGUCACACGUCUCCCUUCCUCGUAUUCGUUGUCUUUUUCAGCUUUCUGCAUUUUUUUCUUACUUGGGAACCAUAAGAUAUGUAAUUUUCAUUUUGUACGUCAGUGUCUUUGCCUUAUGUGCAUGACUUUAUUAGAAUAAUUUAAAUGCCAAGUAAUUUAUAUAUCCAUUACAUUAUUCCAUUUUUCUUCACACCAAACUGAUCUUUUAAACAAAAUAGAAGAUUUAGAAUAGAUUGGCCACCGAGUCUCUAAGAAUAUAGAAUACAUUCAACUUGUGCAUGUAUAUAUAUAUAUAUAUUAUUUUCUUCAAGUUGUGAGUUGAAGUGUCUAAAACAUAGAAACUUUCUUUUCUUAUAACCAAAACUCAAUUUUGCAGACAUAAGCUUAGUAAAAAAAGAAGAAAUAAAAGGAGAAAUUGCCAAAAAUAUUAAUCAAUUUAUUAUCAUUUAUUGAAACCUUCAAAAUCAAAUAAAACUCCUCUACUUAUAAAAGGUGUGUAUUUUGUUGGUUUAUACCUGGUUAGUCCAUGGAUUUGAAUCUUAAUUAACAUUUGGACCAAAUUAAGUAUAUUUUUAGACUAAAUUAUAUUUUAUCUCUUAUGUUAAUAUCAAAUUGAAAAAAAAUGAUUUUAUUUAAUUAAACGGUUACAACGAAAACACGAGACAAUAUUGUUGAGAUUUAUCAAUUUAUUGUAUUAAAUUUGAGUUUAAACACAAAUGUAACUUUCAUUUAAACACUACUAAGUUUUUUUCUUUCUAAUUAAAGUGCAUGAUCACAAAUUGACUCAAAUUUCUUUCAUCAAAUUUAAACACUUCAAGGUGUUGAUUGGUAAAUUCAGGGUGAAACAAAGGAAGUUCAUCCUUAGAUGAAAGAAAACUCUCCAACAAUCAACUAUUCUAAAGGUACUAAUUAAUUUAAACUAACAACUAAAGUAAUAAUUAAAUAUUAAUUGUCUAAUAAUUGAUCUCACAUUUUAUUUACAAAUAUUAAAUUAAUUUACUAAUACACCCUAGGUUCUUCUAGAAGUAGGAAAAGAACAAUUAAUAAAAAUUAAUUUAUCAUUUCAUUUAAUUUCAAAUUUUAGCCUACCUAACAUAUACAUAUAAUUGAAUUGGCAUAAAUUAUUUGGAAUUUUUUAUAAAUUUAAUAAAAUACCAAAAUAUUUAUCCAUCCUAUCACAUAAUAAAAAAGUCCAUAAAACCAAUCAUUUUUUAAAAAAAUAUUCCAACUUUGUCUUUUUCUACAAUUUUUCUUUUUCUUUCCACCGUUUUUUUAUCUUCUUCUAUAAUUUUCUUUUAUUUUUUUUAACUAUUAUUUGGUUCAAGAUCGUGUACCAAAUAUAAAAAAUUUAUUUUUUUAUUAAAAAAUCUAUUUUUUCUUUAAUUGUUUUCGAACUAUUAUUUCGCGCUAUUCAAGAUCAUGUACCAAAUAUAAAAAAUCUUGAAAAAAAUGGAUAUUGGUACACUUUGUAGCUAAAUCUAAACGAUGCUGUACACAAAAAAUCUUAUUUAGAUUUUGGUCCAAAAUCUAAAAGUACGUUUAGAUUGUGCAUGAAAGAAUCUUGACAAAAAAUGAUCGUUACCACAAAUAGGAUAAGUUGUAGCUAAAUCUAAACGAUCUAAAAAAAUCUUUGAAAAAAUUUGUUUAGAUUUGGGUAACGAUCAAAUUUAAACGAUCGUGUACCAAAUAAUGUUGAAAAAAAAAAUCUCUAAACGAUUCAUACUAAAUAAUAGCAAAAUUUAAACGAUUGUGUACAUAACAUAUUUAAAAAAAUCGUUUAAAUUUGGACAAUGAUCGUGUAGCAAAAUCUAAACAAUUUUGGUGCGUGUACUAAAUAUAUUAUAUAUUAUGCGUGUGAGUGCCAAUUAAUCAUGUGUUGAUGAAAUACUUUUUGUAUUUUUCAUCGUCGAUUGGAAGGUUUUGAGUUCAAAAUUGUUUAUAGAGUAAAAUUGUAAGAGUAAACUAUUUUUUUCUAAUUUUAAAUCUUAUAGCAUUAUUUAAAAAAAAUAAACAACUUUUUAUACUUAUAUUAAAAACUCAAAGAACUGCAGCAGCUAACCCAUUUGAUCAUUUUUCAUAAAGAAAAAAAAGAAAAGAAAACACUUUUUAAACAAUUUAAGGACUUAUUGAAAAGAUACAUUAUUAAAAUUCAAGAUUGAAGGAGAAAUUGGGGAAGUAAAAAUAUAAUAUUAUAUAAAAACAAAUUUAUAGUUUAAAACUAACAAGUUGAAAGGAAGGAAGGUGGUAAUGAACAAAGAGAGGGGCCAACAAAAGGUAGCCAGUGGUCAAUAUAUUCCAAAGUGUGGGGUUAUGAUUAAUUAAUGCAUUCACAUUUUAUAGGAUUAUUAUUACAAUUCUAUGGGACGACCUCGUACCCCAUGAUUUAUAUUAUUUUUUAUGGUGAUCACAUUCAUACUAUCAUCUAAUGAAUUCAAUGUAAGAAUUAAUUACCUUUGUUUAUAAAAUAUCAACCACUAAUUCACAAGACUUCAACUUUAGUUUUUUCUAAUUAAAUUCAUGAUAUAACUAAUAUUUUUCCUUUAUUUUAGGAUAAUUUUUUAAUUUCUAUAUAUAUAUAUCACUUUCCUCAAAAUUUGUUGCAAUUUAAUUGUACGGACAUCAUAAAUUUAAGAAGUUCAAUCAAUCUAACUUACGAGUUGAGUUGAACCAACUCCAAGUUUUAAAAGAUAAGCCAUUCACUUAUCAUAUAUAAUUGUAUUUACAUGUAUUUAUAAUUUUCAUAUUUUUUUAAUAGUUUAUUCCUCAUCCACUUUUAAAGGAGAACAAUAUUUUAAAAAAAGAGCAAAAUAAAUUAAAAUAUCUAGAAGCUAUAACAAAAUUUUGGAUUCUAAUGAUGACAUAUUAAUGACUAUCAGGAUAUAAUUUGCUAUAUAUUGUAAAUGUUUGGUAAAAUUUGCUAUUUUAAAAAUUUCUUCAUUCUUAAAAGUAUUUUUUUAAUAGUUUAGAAAUAAUUUUUUUAUUGAGUUAUUAACCAUAAUUUAUUAUAUUAAAAUCAUUAAAUUAUUUUUUAAAUAAAUAACUUUAUCCAAAACUCAUAUAUUUUAGGAUAAUUUUUUUAAAGAGUAGAUUUUACAAAAUAUUUGUAACCUAUAGUACAUUUUAUCACUAUAGCAUAUCAUAGUAUCAAGCGAUAGAAUUUAAAAUUUGGCUAUAAUUUAUAAAUAUUUUAAUUUAUUUUACUAUUUUUAAAAAUAUUUUUAUAUUUUAUGGUUGAGUUAAUUAAUUUUUUAAUAUGAGUUAUUUGGAUGGAUUAAAUCUACAACUCUAAGAUGUGCUUCUUCAAGUUUAUUCCAACCCACAAAUCCCCUAACUUUUAGUGUAUUCUUUCUAUCGAUAAAAACAACGUGUAUCUACGCAAUAUUCAAUCUUCUAUCUACGUCUAUAUUUUUGUCAGCAAAAAUGAAUACGUAUCCACCCAACGAAAUUAUAUCUUUACCUACAUUUUUUCUUUUGUCGUUAGAAAAAUAACUUUCGCUUGGAGUGAUAAGACAUUUUAUGUGUGGUGUGAAAUGACUGACACUUCUAGGCUACAUAAUUUCUUUUUCCAAAAGAAAAUUGGACCCCAAACAAAUAAGUAGUAACUUAUUUUAUGAUUAGUCCAAAUUUUGUCCAUUCACCAACUAACUUUUAAUUAUAUAUAGAUAGAUAGAAGUUUGACUAAAUAAACAAUUGAAAUACUAGGUAAAAAAUUCAUAAAAUUUAACAAAAAUAAAUUGUGGCUAAUCAAGGUCAUUUUUCUCUAGAUAACAUGUUAUCAAAUCGAUAUAUAUACAAGUCGUGAUUAAUUGAGCUUUAGGAUAUAGUUUUUUUGGCUCGUUCCACCAUUUCUUAAACGAUAUAGUUAUAUUUGAACCUUCAUGAAGUUAGAUUAUGUUCGUUACCCAAAAAUAACAUUAUAAUUUAUAACCUAGCUAAUGUUAGGUAUUUCCAUAUUUUCUCCUAAUACACUUAAUUAAAAUAAAAGUUCUCAAACCAAAAUUUCAAAUGGACAAUCAUUUUAUAUAUUUCCCUUGAACCUCAUCAUAGUAUUUUUCAUAGAUGUAAUUUGGAAUUCAAAUAAUAAAAACAAAAGAUUGUUUGUGGAACACAUUCACACAAACUUUCGAUUCUUACUGGCAUCAUUAUCGUUAUAAAUAGCAUCCAACAUACGUGUUAUUUGCUAUGCUUAAUUUAGCUUGCUAUUCUAAUCAACCUAGGAAGAAACAUGGUGAAUGUUAAUUUAAGUUCUUCCUAGUUAACAUUCAUCUUAGCAUAAUUCAAAUUCUCAAUACUUUUUUGCUUAACUUGAUCAUUACCCCACUUUCAUCUAAUUAAAUUGACUAAUUGAUUAGUUAGAACUCUCACUUCCUCUUUCAAGUGAGUUGACUAAGCUUAAAUAAAAUAGAAAAUAAUUCAAUGAAUCUAUAAUCAAGUUAUAGUUGAAGAAAUACCUCAAAAGAUUAAGUUAGACCAUAACAUAAUUGUAUUGAUCCGUUUGAAUUUGUAUCUUCAAUGAACUCUCUUUUAACUUAACCCAUUAACCCACAAAAAAUUGUUUGGUUGGAUGCUUUUUUCUUUCUUUCUAUAAUUGUAAAUAUUUUGAGAUAUCUAUAAAAUAUUUUGUUAAAAGAAUCAAUAUUUAUAUACGUAUUUAUUCAAAUAGUAAUUCAAAUCCUAUCCACCUAUUAUGAAACAAUGUUAGUAAGUCAAGAUGUUAAUACGACAACGAUAAUAAUGACAAAAUUAUGAUGGUUGGAUUAUUAUUUUAAUAAUAGAAAUAAUAAUAAUUAAAACAACGACGAAGAUAAAUAAUAUCAAUGAAAUGUUUUAUGGCGUCGACUUCGUAGUCAACUCAAAAAAAUUAUUUUUCUAAGAAAUAUAAUUUAUGUACUUUUGUAUUUUCUCUGUUUUCAGACUAUUUAUAUGUAUAACUUUUAUAAUUUAUGUACAAUAGAUUUCUCAAUAAUGACAUCUUCCUGAUUGUUGUACUAAUACAAAAUUGUAGAGUGUUCGGAAACAUGUCAACUUCAUACAUAUUUUUAAAGUUGUAGAUAAAGACAAUAAACUUUUCUUUAAUACUUUCCAGGAGGAUUCAUACUAUUAUAGAAAAUGAUUUUUUGUUUUAACUUCUACUUUCAAUCGAUCUAUAUAUAAAUGUGGUGGGAAUUGUUUGUAAUUAAACACCCUUGUCACACAAGAAAUUAUAAUCCAAGUUUCAAAAUGGGGGUUAGAAAAAUUGUAAGUGUUGAUGUGAUACCCAAGAUCAACGAAAAGUUUCCUUCCGAUGAUACCCUCUUUCUUAAGUUUGCUAGCUCCGAUUUGGAUAGCGGUAAGCAUGUUUAUGAUGAUGAUGAUGAGUAUUAUUGUUUAUUUUUACUUUUGUAACAUUCAUAGGUGAAUAUGUAAAAUAAUGGAUUUUUUGAAUAAUGUUUUGGCUGUUGAAUUAAUAUACACACAGAUGGGCAAGAAAAGGCAUUGAUCGAAGGUGUGGCAAAAAUACAUAAGAAAUCAGAUCAGAAGUACAAUUACGCUGCCAAAAUUGAAGUUCCAGAAGGUUUUGGAGAGAUUGGAGCUGUGAUUGUCGAACUGAAAGAAAAAUCUACUGAGAGAUUUAUCGAUACUAUUUUUGUUACGAAUCUGGGCGGAUCGACGAUCGUGCAAGGAGAGACCGAUGGCCUUCCUGGACUGAUUAGGCGUAUAUAUACAUACUUAGUUGUUCUGUUUUCUAUCAUAAGACUUGUUUUUGAUUCAGUGAUUAGGUGCACAAAAUUGUGGUUUCGUGCCCCCCCACAGCAGGCUUCAACGACAGUCGGAGGUGCUUUUUUCUGCAUUUAGAUUGAUAGUAUUUUUAGUUUUUGAAAAGAAGAACUUAACUCAAUUCACAUCUAUACGUUGUUUAUGAAGUUAAUGGUUCGUGUUCCAACCGGAAGUGCUUUUAAAUGUUAUAUUUAUAUGAAUGAUGGAUAUAAUUAAAGUAGAUCCUAAUUUAAUUUAUUUAAAAGUAUUAUAUUUAUAAGAAUGAUAUAUCACAUUACAAAUUUAGAUUCUAAAUUUCUAAAAUUGUGUCUAAUACAUUUAAUUUUGAAACAUAUUCUAAAUUUCUGUUUUGUUUCUUAAAUUUUUUGUUCAUGAAGGUUUGGGUUCGCCACUGCAUGCAAACUGCUCAACAUCUCAAAACUCAGUUACGUUCAGCUGCAAUUCAUGGGUUCAACCCAAAAAUCUUAUUCCUGACCAACGCAGGAUCUUCUUUUCCACUAAGGUUGUUGGUUCAUAUAAUUGUUGAUAAUGAUGAAAUGAUCGAUUCAAAUUAAUAUUAUUGUCCUACUAACAAUUGAAUAUGAUCGGCGACAGUCCUGUUUGCCGGGAGAAACACCAGCCGGAUUGUUGAAACUGAGAAAAGAAGACCUUGCAAAUCUAAGAGGUGAAAUGAAAGAUGGAACAACAGAUAAGAAUGAGCGUAAGCCAUUUGAAAGAAUUUAUGAUUACGAUGUCUACAAUGAUCUCGGAGAUCCUGACACAGACACAAAAUGGUCAAGGCCUGUUCUUGGUGGUUCGGAUGAGUAUCCUUACCCUCGACGUUGCAGAACCGGUCGUCCUCCUGCUGUGUUGGGUAUAUUUAUUUCCUAACCAUCUUAUUUCAAACAUUUUUUAUAGUUCAUAUAAAGAUUCUUAACAUAAUCGAUCGGUUCUUAACACACGACACAUCACUAGCUUGAUAAAUUAUAGUUGAACAAUUUAAUGAAUUACAAAACGAUGGAUACCUUCUUAUGUAAUCUAUUAGUUAGUUGUGUCAUCCUAGUUUAUCAUGUGACAAAUUCCUCCUUCAACAGUAACAUUAACAUCCAAGAUCUACCAAAACCUUACUCACAUACAAUUUAUUGUGCGAAAAUGAUGUUUAAGAAAGUGGCCAAAUUUCUUAAUUAAAAAAAAGAUAAAAAAAGAAAGAAUCAACUCAAGUUGCCAAAAUUGAUCACCACACAUUAUGACGUUACGUUGUUAAUUCUUUAAUCAUGUUUAUUUUAAAAUGCAGGGAAUCUAAAAAUGAAAGUAAAGUUUUUGUUUGAUUUGACUUUUAAUUAGUUUUAAGUUUUUUGUAAAUCAAUUCUACAAAAAGAAAGUUUGUUGUUAUAAAUAGUCAGAAAAUAAGCAAAAUGUAAAAAUCUUUUUUAAAAAAAGACACAUAACACAUUAUAAUUAAUUGAGUUACUUUUGAUACAAUUGUUUAGAUCCAAGUUCAGAACGAAGAGUUGAGGGAAGCUUUUAUGUUCCAAGAGACGAAGCAUUCUCAGAGGUGAAAGAGAAAAUGUUCCCAAUGAACGCAGGAAAGAAAGAUAAGUUGGGAAACAACCCUUUUCCCAACUUCACUGAAGUUGAUUUAAUGUUCAGAGAUGGCAUUGAAAUCCCUCCCUCUUCUCACGACAUUCUUAAAUUUAAUAUAAUCGCCACACUUAAUUCAUCAAAUGAUCAACCCGCCCCACCUUCUGUUGAUCAGUCAAAUAUCAUUCAACCGGACAGCACCAAACUUAGAUUCCCUCCACCUGAGAGUCUCAAGAGUGAGUAUAAAUAUUUUUGUAUUAAAAAGUUCUUAUUUUACAUCAAGUAUCAUUGAUGUUAAUUUGAUUAGACUUCAAUUUCCAGGAGACAAGUUUCUUUGGCUUAGUGAUGGUGAAUUUGCAAGACAAACACUUGCUGGUCUCAACCCUUAUUGUAUACAGUUGGUCAAGGUGAGUGACGAUUGAAAAGUAUAAUGCCAAUCAUAUAAUUAAUAAUAUGUAAUGAUAAUAUCCAUCUCUAAUAGAAGUCAGCUUCUUUUUGUCAUAAUAAACUAUUCAGAGCUGGCCUUUGAAGAGUGAGCUUAACCCUCAGGAUUAUGGACCUCAAGAAUCUGGAUUUACCACUGAAUUAGUUCAAAAAUUAAUAGGAGGUUUCAUCACAGUUGAGGAGGCAAUAGCGCAAAAGAAAUUGUUUGUAUUGGAUUACCAUGAUAUUUUAAUGCAAUAUGUAGAGAAAGUAAGAAGCAUUAAGUGGACAACACUAUAUGGAUCAAGGACAUUGUUUUUCCUAAACUCAGACGAUACUUUGGAGCCCUUGGCAAUCGAGCUGACUCGCCCACCAAUGAAUGGAAAGCCCCAAUGGAAAAAAGUUUACUCACCGAGCAUUGAUCAUGCCACAGAUAUCUGGCUAUGGAGACUGGCUAAAGCCCAUGUUCUUGCUCAUGAUUCUUGUGUUCACCAACUCGUUGUUCACUGGUACGUGCAUUUAUAUAUCUAUAUAUCUAUCUAUUCAUAUAUACAAAUUAGUUUUGAAAAAUCAAUUCAAUAUAUAUAUAUAUAUGCAGGCUUAGAACUCAUUGUUGCAUGGAGCCAUAUGCAAUUGCCUUAAAUAGACAAUUGAGUACUAUGCAUCCAAUCUAUAGAUUAUUGCAUCCUCAUUUUCGAUUCAACAUGCGUAUCAACUCAAAUGCUCGUGAAAUUCUAAUCAAUGCCGGAGGCAUCAUUGAGAGCACAUUCUCUGCUAGAGGUUAUUGCAUGGAAUUUAGUUCUUUGGUGUAUAAGAAAGAGUGGCAAUUUGACACACAAGCACUGCCCGAGGACUUAAUUCGCAGGUAAUUAAUGAAGGAAACUUUUGAUUUAAAUUAAUAAAAUUGAAUUUGAGCGUCUUGCUAGACAGAAUUAUGCAUGCUAAUAAUUGUUAGUGCUAAAAUUUAAAAUUAUUAGGGGAAUGGCAGAAAGAGAUGAAAAGGCACCACACGGUCUUAAGUUGGCCAUAGAAGACUACCCUUUCGCCAAUGAUGGUCUAAUUCUAUGGGACGCCCUGGUGGAAUGGAUGACAGAGUAUGUGAACCAUUAUUACCCAGACGACAAAGCUAUAAAGAAUGAUAAAGAAUUGGAAGCUUGGUGGAAUGAAAUAAAGGAAAAGGGGCAUCCAGAUAAAAAAAAUGAAGUAGGGUGGCCUACACUAGAAACCACCAAAGACCUUAUUCAGAUUGUGUCAACAAUAGCAUGGGUAGGAUGUGGACACCAUUCUGCCGUCAACUUCAUUCAAUACGCACAUGCAGGCUAUUUUCCUAGCCGACCCAGCAUUGCAAGGAUCAACAUGCCUACAGAGGACUUUGACCUAAUUCCAGAAAAGUUAAUAAACAACCCUGAAAGUGUGAUGCUUGAAGCCUUCCCUUCAAUAGCUCAGGCUUCUACCGUGGCACAAACUAUGUUGAUAUUGUCUGCCCACUCUCCAGAUGAGGAGUAUAUUGGGAAGAAGAUAGAGCCAGCCUGGGCUGAGGACCCGAUGAUAGCCAAAGCCUUUGAUAAGUUUAAAAUGAAGUUGGAUAAGCUAGAAAAGACCAUCGACCAAAGGAAUGAGAACAGUGAGUUGAAGAAUAGGCGUGGAGCUGGACUUGUGCCUUAUGAGGUUCUUAAACCAACCUCAGGUUCUGGGGUCACAGGGAAGGGAGUCCCGUACAGUGUUUCCACCUGAACCACAUGAUCCUCUCGCCUUCCAACUUUUGCCUUUCAUUUGAAAUAAUAAGACGCAAUGCAAUUUGUUCUUGUUUGUCUUUUUCUCUCAUGCAUGGUUUUAGUAAAACCACUAGGUUAGAUUUCUACUAUUUUUAUUUCAUCAUCCUUAUUUUGUUAGUUUUGUGAUAUGGCCAAAAUUUGGAAUGUUGUUGCUUUUUGAGAUAAAAUAAAUUAAAAUAAAUAAAAAAAUACAUUUUUGAGUAAUUAAUGAUAUUUAAACGUUUUUAUUUUUCAUUCUUAUUAAAAGAAUUAGUUCUUUCUUUUUCCUUCCCAAUAUUUCUCCAAUCCAAAUGAAAUUACAUAAGAUAUUAUUAUUUCCUUUAUGUAAUUAAACUUAUUUCCAACCAAACUAUUUCUUUCUUGGGACAUUAAAUCACUCUCUCCUCUUUUCAUUCUCGUGUUUUUUUCCACCAUCGUCCCCUAGGUAGAGCAACUUUUCAUAGUGGUUUUCUAUAACUUCAAUUCUUAACUAAAUAAAUUUUUGGAACUAUUUUAAGUUAAUUACAAUCCCCUUUGACCAGGGAGGGUUGGGAUGGAAGAGAUUAGAUAUUCCCCAUCUCAUGCCUCGCCCCUCUCUUUUGUAGAUUUAAUUUCAUGAGAUUAUACGUGUUUCCCAUCCCAAGUGCAUGUCGCUAACCCUGCAAUAGGUGGGAAGAUUUUUUAAACUUAGGGAAAGAUGCUUGUAAUUAACUACCGAGGUUUAUGGUGCACCCUCAAACACUAUAAAACCUACUUCUAUAGCAUUAAACUUUUUUAAGUUGUAAAACACUACCUUCAUACUCACAUUCCCUUUUAACUUUAUUUUCUCUCUCUUAUUCUUCUUUUAUUAAGUUAAGUAGAGAGAAAACUGAUGCAAUCCCGAAUGAGAUAUCUCUAACCUUAACUGGUGUUGUGACACUAAAAUAGACAGAUGGUGCGGAUGAAAAUAUAUUCAUGAAUGAAACUUCAAAGUGUUACAUCUCAUAGGGCCAUUAAUAUUCUUUUUCAGAUUAUGCAUUAUUUAAGCUUCAUUUUUAACCGUUUUAGCUUUCAUAUAUUUUGGAAUUAAAAUCUUACCACUCAAGUUAUUUGUGUAUUUUUAUUAAAUCAUUAUUAAAAAAUGUUAUAUUUUGUUUGAUUUUGAUUAUGUGGGAAAGAUAUAGGUAUGUAAGUGAAAUAAAUCUUCAUUUUACGAAUAAAAUUGAAAAGUUAGAAAUUUAUUAGUAAGACUUGACAUUUUGAUAGCCAAAAUAUGUUUUAAACAAAUAUUAUUUGAAACAAUAUGAGGGAGAGAACCAUGAGGGAAUUAAAUAACAUUGCAUGCUUCACGUUAAUGUUACUUUAUUAUUAUUAUUAUUGUUAUUAUUAUGUUCACAUUUUACAAUACUUUAAUUUGUUAAAAACAAAUUCAAUAAAUGUGUGUGAAUAUGAUCAUUGAUUAACUUAGACCCCUCUCUAAAAAAACCUUUGAUCCCAUCCAAUAAGAUGUAGACUCACCAGACUUUGGAGUCAAAUUAAAAUAAACGUAUAUAUUGAAAGGUGAUUUAUUUAAAUAUACCCAAAUGAACUAUAAUAUAACGUGACUUUUUGCAAUAUUUAAAAAUAUAUUCAAAUUUUAUGAUUUAGACUAAUUUUUAUAUAUUUAAAUCUUAUCUAUUUAUUUAUUUUUGUGGAUAUAUGAUCCUUAAUUAAGUUGUGCGAUUGAGUUAGAUCUAGAUGGGGUUCUUCUUUUAAAGAAAUAAAAGAAGGUAGGAGACACAUGGUAGGUGGACUUUGGAGUCAAUAUAAAAAUAAAAUAAAUGUAUUUAGGGAAUUUUACAAAAUAUUUAUAACAUAUAGCAAAAUUUGUAGAUUCUAUCAAUAAAAAAUUGAUAGUAUAUAUAGUUAUGAUAUACUUUUAUCGAUGAUGUUGAUAGACAGUGAUAUAAUUCUAUCAGUUACAGAUAGAAUAAAAAAUUUUGCUAUAUCUUGUAAAUGUUGUAAUUUAUUUUGCUAUUUUAAAAAUGCCCCAUGUAUAUAUUUAUUUUAUGGUAAAUGAUAACAAAAAGAAAAAUGAAUAGUUGCAAAUAUAACAAUUAAAUUCAAAAUAAUUAAGUAUAUAACAAUAUUUUUUUUAAAAAAAUAGCAAAUAUAGCAAAAUCGGUUAAAAUAAGUCUAUCACUGAUAGACUAUGUUGCAAAUAUUGAUCUAUUACUUAUAAAUCAUAAGAGUUUAUCAAAAACUUUAGUAUAUUUGUAAUUUUUAAAAGAUGUUACUAUAUAUUUAAUUAUUAUUCCUAGAGGUGUUAUCCAUUAUAAUUACUAAUUAGUCUACUUGUUCAUAAAUCUAUAUUUAUAUCUUUAGUAUAUUAAAAGGAGAAGUUUGUGAAUUUUUAUAUUCCAUUUUAAACCUACAAUUUUAGUAAAUGAACUUAUUUGUUUGUUUAUAAAUAUUGUGACAAUAGAUUUCACAUAUGUUAAAAUAAAUAUUUGAAUUUUCAAUCCGAUAUUAAAAGGUAAUUGCAAUGGACAUUCUAAAAUAAUUACAGAUAUUUGCAAUCUUCCAUUCAUAUUUCCCAAUAUAAACUCUUACAAGUAGGUAUUCUUGCUAGUUUUUUUUCCUUUGUAUUUUUGUUUUCUCUUCUUCUCUAUCGCUUCCCCUUAUCUCCCAUUUUUAGGGUUUGAAACUAAGUUGUGAGGUCAAGCUAUAAAUCAAUACCACCUCAUGCUAAUUUAUAUAAUUAAGACUAUAAUUGGAGAGUAAUGUUAUGAGAUAUAUACUAUUAGAUGAUAAAGGAGAAGUUUUAAUUUUUUUUUUUAAGAGGAAGUAUUAAGUCAAUUCAAUCUUUUUUAAUUUCAUUGUUGUGAUUUUUUCCCCUACUCUUUUGUCAAAGGUUAGAAUUUCUAAAUAUUUAUAUCAUCAUUUGUUAAGAUAAAAGAGAGAGAGACUAAAAUGAGUUAAACAAAUUUGAAAAAUUAUCACAUAUCUAAAAAAAAAUGUCUGUAAUGGAUUAUGGAGAUCCAAAAAAGACCUCAAGUCCAUGAAUCAAAUUAACGAACUUAUACUAACUUAAUUUGUGUGGUCGAAUUCUACCAUCGAUAGAGUUAUAUCAUUGAUAUACAUUAAUAGUCGUAUGAGCUUUAUGGAUUGAUCUAAUACCAUUCGAUAAUAUGAAAUUCUAACUCAAAACUAAUUGACAAAUGAAAGUAGUAGCUCAUUUAUUUUACAAGGAGUGUUAGUUUCGUUGGUGUUUCAAAUUCUCAAGGUCUCAUCAAACUACCAGACUAUCACGAGUAGAUUGGGAUUCAUAAAUAUUAAUGAAUGGGUUAAUAUUAUAAUUCUAUUAAUCAUGAUAGAAGUAUAUAACCAAAGUGAUAAAAAAAAAAAAACAAGUGUGAGAUUGAAAAAUAGUGAAGAGACAAUAGUUAUUUUGGUUAAGAAUAUAAUAAUGCCUCAUCAAAUCCACUAUCUUAUAAAAGAAAAGAUAAAUGAUAUUUGUUUAAUUGAAAAAGAUUCCUCCAUGAGUGUAUAAAUAUGGUUAAUGAUAUGUGUUGGUAAUAAGGGCAGUGAAAGAGUUUGGGUUUUGUGAUAUUCCAAAUUUGUUAGUUUGUAAACCUCCGAAGGGCAGGAAAGGAUGAGUUAUACGGGUACUGUAGUUGUUACUAUGAAACCCAAAAAGGAUGAACAAUUUCGUUGGGUCGAAAUCAUAUAUCUCAAGUUUGCUAGUGUCGAAUUGGAUUCGAGUAAGUCCUCAAUCUUCUCUCUUUAAUUAUUAAUUUAUAUAUGUUUUUCUACAGUACUGCUAAUGUAACCUAUAUAUAUUCUUCUGAUGUAAAAUGAUUUACAAUGUACAUAUGUACAUAUACACAGAUGAACAGCCAAAAGAAUUUAUCAAAUGUGAGGCUCAAUUACAAGAAGUUGAUGAAUUGGUGGAGUACAAGAAGUACAUAGGUGAGAUUGUGGUUGCUGAAGGUUUUGGGGAGAUUGGAGCAGUGAUUGUUGAACUGCAAGAAGGUGUGAAUGAGAGGUUUAUCGACACCAUUUCUGUUGAGGCCGAAGAGCCUCCAAUCUCGAUUACGUUUAGCUGCAAAUCAUGGGUGCAACCCAAGGGUCUUAUUGACCACCGAAGGAUCUUCUUCUCUUCCAAUAAGGUGAUGGUUUGCUUCAUUAUUUCAUUUAUAUAAAUUAAUUAAUACUCAAACCCCAUUAUUCUCAGUCCAUAUUUAAAAUAUAAAGUAAUUAUUCAAAAAAAAUAAUACGACGAUAAACUAUUAUAUGUGUCUAUAUAUCUAUCUAUUAUUUUCAAAUAAGUAAACAUGUUUACUAUUUGUAUUUGUAUUAGUGGUAUUACUUUUUUUCUUGUGUGUGUUCUGCGUGUUUUUCAAGUAUAUAAUAGAAAUAUCAUAGAAAUAUUGCAUUCAUCCCUUAGUUUAUUGACAUGACCAUGAAAAUUUAAAAUUAUUUUGUCAACUAAUUAAUAAUUGAAUAUGGGGAUGGAUGCAGUCUUAUUUGUUGGGAAAAACACCAAGAGGACUGGUGAAGCUGAGAGAAGAAGACCUUGCAAAUCUGAGAGGCGAAAAAGAAGAUGGAUCAGUAGAUAGAAAUGAGCGUAAGGCGUUUGAAAGAAUUUAUGAUUACGACCUGUACAACGACCUUGGAGAUCCCGACCUGUCAAUGGAUUUGAAAAGGCCUGUUCUUGGUGGUUCAGAGGAGUAUCCUUAUCCUCGACGUUGUAGAACUGGUCGUCCUCCUACUCAAAAUGGUAUCUUAAUUUUCUACACUAUAAAUACAUACACAUAUAUAAAUAUAUAUAUUAAUAAUGGAUGUGUUUGACUGUACAAUUGGGAUUUAGAUCCAGCAUCAGAGAAAAGGGUUGAAGAAUGGUUUUAUAUUCCACGAGACGAAGAAUUUUCAGAGAUAAAGCAAAGUAGUAAUCAACCAAGAAACAAGAAAUUGUUGAAAAAAGCUCCUUCCUCUGACCUCCCUGAAAUAGGCAUUAAAAUGCCUUCCGCUGCUUCCAAAAUUAAUCUUCAAUGUAAUGUAUCAUCCAUUGUUUGCUCUCAUCAACCACCUGCAGCUGCCAUUAAUUCAUCAGAUGUGCCCAGUAGUACUCUCGUUGAACUCCCACCACCAGAGUCCUAUAAGAGUGAGUAUAUAGGUUUAUGAUAUAUAAGACACUUUAAUUUCAAAGUGCAUGCAUGUGACAACACUAAAUUAUAUGCCAAAACCUUUGUUGUUUGAUUAUUAUACUUCAUUAAUUUUCUCUCAGGAGACCAAUACAAUUGGCUGAGUGAUAUUGAAUUUGCUAGACUCACACUUGCUGGUCUAAACCCUUACUCUAUACAGCUAGUCAAGGUAUGUGACAAUUAACUCACAAUCAGUUAAUAAUAUAUCUUUAUAAAUAUGAAUUAAUAUCUCUAAUUUAAUUAUUCUCCUGAUAAUAAUUGAUCAGAGUUUGCCGUUUAUGAGUAAGCUUGACGAGGGAGAUUAUGGACCUCGAGAAUCAAAAUUCACUCCCGAACGAGUUCAAGAAUUACUUGGAUGUUGCAUCACAGUUGGAAAGGUGAAUUAAAUUAUCUCAAUGUAGUAAUUUAUUAAAUUAGAAAUUAAAUGAAAAAAUGUGAUUAAAUUUUUAUGAUUUUAUGCAGGCAUUAGCCGAUAAAAGAUUAUUUGUUGUGGAUUAUCAUGAUACUUUAAUGCCAUAUGUAAGAAGAGUAAGAAAAAUAAAGGGGACGACACUAUAUGGAUCAAGGACCUUGUUCUUUCUGAACUCUGAUGGCACUUUGAUGCCACUGGGUAUUGAGCUAACUCGACCUCCAAUGGAUGAACAUCUUGAACAAUGGAAAGAAGUUUUCACACCAGGUACUAAUUCAACCGAUCUGUGGCUAUGGAGGUUUGCGAAAGCCCAUGUCCUUUCUCACGAUUCUUGCAUUCAUCAACUUGUUAUUCACUGGUAUGUAUGUCUAUAUCUAUAUACAUACAUUAAUACAUGCAAGUAUAUAUAUAUUUCUUAUCAAAUAUAGUAAUUGCCAUGCAGGCUCAGAGCUCAUUGUUGUAUGGAGCCAUAUGCUAUCGCUACAAAUAGGCAAUUAAGUACGAUGCACCCAAUCUAUAGAUUAUUGCAUCCUCAUUUUCGGUAUAACAUGCGCAUAAAUGCAAAUGCUCGUAAGAACCUUAUCAAUGCUGGAGGCAUCAUUGAAAAUGCAUUUUCUGCUGCAUCUUACUCAGUGGAACUUAGUUCUUCAGCGUACAAAGAGUGGAGAUUUGAUAUGCAAGCACUCCCUGAGGAUUUAAUUCACAGGUAACUAAUUGAAUUUAAUUAAUGCGAGGUUAAUAACGGAAUGGAAUUAGUGACAAUGUGUUUUGUAACUUAAUUUAAAACAUAGGGGAAUGGCGGAAAGAAAAAGAGAUUCAGAAGGUCGUGAUGUUCUUGAGUUGACCAUCAAGGACUACCCUUUUGCAAAUGAUGGUCUCCUAUUAUGGAAUGCUCUGUUGGAAUGGGUGACAGAAUAUGUGAACCACUAUUAUGGAGAUGAAGAAAAUGCAGUAAUAAAUGAUACAGAGCUACAAGCUUGGUGGGGAGAAAUUCAAGAGAAAGGGCAUCCAGAUAAAAGAGAAGGAUGGUUUGCAUUAAGAACUCGAGACGAUCUCAUUAAGAUUGCAUCAACCAUUGCAUGGGUAGGAAGUGGGCACCACGCAUCUGUCAACUUCCUUCAGUAUGCAUAUGGAGGCUAUAUGCCCAACCGACCCACUAUUGCAAGGACCAACAUGCUCACAGAGAACCACAGUGACAAAUUUUUAAAAGACUUUAUAAACCAACCUGAAAAGAAGUUGAAUGAACUCUUUCCUUCAGAUGCUCAAGCUGCCAUAGUGAAACAGACUAUGUUUUUGUUGUCAAUUCAUUCUCCUGAUGAGGAGUACAUUGGGGAUGCUAUAGAGCCAGCCUGGGCUCUCGAUCCGUCCAUAAGUAAUGCCUUCGAAAAGUUUAAAGCCAACUUGACGGAUCUUGAAAAGAAGAUCGACGAGCUUAAUCAAAAUAAAGAUUUAAAGAAUAGGUAUGGAGCUGCGAUUAUACCUUACGAAGCUAUGAAACCACGUUCAAAGCCUGGAAUCACUGGAAGUGGAGUUCCAUACAGCGUCUCCAUUUAAACAUAGCCUCUUCAUAUUAGUUUCCUCUCUUCUUAUUCCUACCAAUAACAUGGAUUUUUCCAUUUUGUUUGUGGGAGCUCUUUCUUGUUGCAACUUUUUUUUCUCUAAAAAUAAAAAACACAUGUCAGUCUAUUUUAAGUGUGUUUUCCUUUUUAACUACUAGUAUGUGUGUCCCAUUUAGGUACGGGAUAUUAUAGUGUGCAUCUGGAUAUCUCCAUUGGGAGAGCAUCCUUCAGCACAAAACUUCCCAUAAAUUCUAUUAAUUUACAUGUGUUACAAGAGUAGAUCCAAGGACUAGAGGUAACCCCAUCUGCCAUAUGUCAUAAUAUUGAUGAUUAGUCUAAUAUAGCACUAAUAUUAAGAGAGAUUAUGCAAGGAUUAUACAAUUUGAAAAGAGUGUCUCUGCUGGGCCAUAAUCUAAUCAAAUUGCAAAUGUUCUCCCCAAGAGUUUGUGUUGCUAAUUUGCUUAUUCUUGAAUAUUUUGUUGUUUCUCUUCAUCCAGAUUGCCCAAAGGAGGGCUACCACCAUUUGUAUCUUGAUGUUAUUAUUUUAGUUGUGAAAUAUCAACCAAGUUAUUAUUUAUGAUGUAGGUGUGCACUAAAAAAAUGGGCAAAAUAUACUUUUUGAUCCAUUAGAUUUAAUGUUAGGGUCUAUUUGCUUUACGAAAUUUGAAAACGAACACUUUAGUCCCUCGAGUUAAGGAAACUUCUAAAUGGUUCCUCAAAUAUUAGUUGACAUGAAAAUUGAGUUGUCAAAUUUUUAAUUAAAAUGAAUAUUAUUAUUAAUUUUUGGAGCAAUUUUAAAAAUAGCAAAUAUAUUAAAAUAUUUACCCUACCAAAAUUUUGGAUUCUUAUUUCUUUUCUUCUUGAUUUCCUUUCACUUUCCCUCACUCAUUUCUCCCUUUCUAAAAAGGAUGUGAAAGUUGUCAUGUUAAGCACCAAGGAUGAAAAAAAAAACUUCUUUAGAAAAGCAUUUUUAUUUUCAAAAAAAUAAAGAAGAAACUCAUUCUACUCGCCAUUUUUUCCUCUCCAAUUACUAACUAAUUGAAACCAUCUGAAUGAUAACUCUCAUCUUAACCCUCCAAAUUUGCAUCCUCUAGCAGCAAAAUCAUAAUUUUUUUCUUAAUUAAUUUCAUUUGUACACAUAUAUUCACAAUCAAACAUACAAAGAUUUAUAUAUAUUUUUCUUAAAAAAAUAAACAGAAGAGAUGAGGUAAAAGAAAAUUAGAAAGUGAUAUUUAUGCUCUUUUGUUUCUUUCUUCCUAAAGUGAUAUUUAGUGUCGAUUUCGUAGGAUAUUUCCUUCAUUCCCUUCUAUUUUUUAAGGCUUUACACUUCGUUUGUUUAUGUAAUUUAAUUUCCUUCUUUUUGUCUCUUUGUUCCUAUAAUUUAGUUUUCUUAGUAGAUUUUUCUAAAUAUUAUACUUUUCAAGGAAAAGCUUGUGUCUGACUUUUGAAUUUUCCUCCUUCUGUGCAGUAUUUAGAUUGCAGAAGGUGAUAAAGACAGGGGAAGAAGAAAAGAUGGGGAAGAUGAUAUAAAUAAUAUAAAAUUAAUAAUUCGCAAUGUAAGUUUUCCGUUACUCAACAAACGGUAAAAUAGAUGGAGGGAUCAUUUAAAAGCAUUUUCCAAAUAUAAGGAACUAAAAUGCUUAUUUUCAAACUUUACGGUCUAAGUAGACACUAAACUCAAAUAUGAUGAACCAAAAUUGCAUUUUGCAAAGAAAAAACGGUAAAUUUUGAUGGAAUCUGAUACAUAAGUGGUCGUAUAAAGCAAACUAGUUGCUAAUUGUUGUAUAAUUUUCAUAUAGCUAUCCUUAAUUUAUUUUAAUGAUUUUACCUAAUUGGUUGACUAUCUAUAGCUUAAAUAAAUGAAACAAAAUUAAUUAAAUAUUGUAAAUUAUAAAAUAUUAGAACCGAAAACGUAAGUUUUAAAUUAAAUUUAACAAAUCUAAAGUCACACCAUGCAGGAAUUUCACACUCAUAAAUCAUUCAUAUAUUUUAUUUUAUUUAUCAUUUAAUUAUAAAACAUGAGCAGUAUGCAUGUGUAGUUUAUAAAAUAAUUUGGACUUUUUAUUUAUUUAAUUAAAAAGCAAUAGUUUAUUAUUAAUGACGUUUAGCUGCUGAUAAAAAAUUGAUGUCACCUGAUUAAGAUAAAUUAAUUUUAGAAUUAUUUAUUAAAUAUCAUUCAUAAACAAAUUCAACUUUAAUUUGUUUCAUAACAAAGCUAACUUCUAAAUUCAUUAAAAGAAAUUGUCACUCAUCCUUCAAAUAAUUGGAGUUAUUUUCGUGUAAACUAAACUAAAAUAAGAAGAGAAAAGAAAGGUAGAAAGCAUGUGAGAAAUUUGUUGUUGAAGCGUUUUUUUUUUAAAAAUAUACUUUCGGUCAGAGACAAGGUAGAUACAUUCUAAAGCGUUACACCACCACUUUAGAAUAACAACGAUGGUGCCAACCUAACUAGUAGGGAUGAUUUGAUGCACUUACUUACCCAUAAAUCAUAUCUUCUUCCUGAACAACUAAAUUUAAAAGUGCUUAAAUUAAGUGUCACCUAUCGAUCCCCGCACCAUCUCAAGUACCUUGAUCUGACUAUUUGCUCAAAUAUCAAUUUAAUCAUUGGAGGUUUUGUGAUAUACACCAAAUUCAAUUGUGUUUCUUCAUGUCCUCAAAAUUACAAAUCCACUAUGGAAGACAUUGUGUUCGUGCCCAAGUUUUGUCAUCAACAAUAAUAAGAAAUUUAUAUUAAGGUUUGGUUGUUGUUAUAAAAUUGAUUAAGCAACACUGCUGGAUAUGGACAAUACAAUUUUUGAAACUGCUUAUAAAUAUAACUAAUUAACAAGUGAGGUUUUAUAAUUAAUUAGGACGACUUUAAUUUUAAAUUCAUAAGCUCUAAUAUUGUUUAAUUAUCUUCAUUUCCCUUUUAAUUUAUUUGGACUUUUUCUCCAUAACUUUUUUAAUCUAAUCCUCUUGACUUGGUGAACCCUUCCAAAUUCAGCAUCUAAAUGGAUCUAAUUUUUAUCCAAAUAGAGUUUUAAAAAUUAAGAAGAAAAUAAAUCAACAAAUAGAGGAAAUUUUUUUUUUUCACUUCCAUGGACUUAUUCUUUAAGUUGACCCAUGUUGGUUUCCCUUGUGAUUGUUGCAAUUAAUACUCCAAUAUUUUUAGACAUUUAGAAAUAUAUAUUUUUAAAAAUAUCAAUAUUUACGAUGUUAACAAUAAUAAUUUAAUAUGUUUAAGAAACCAAAAACCAAAAAUGUUUUUAUUUUGGAAAGAAAUAAUUUAAUAUAUAUGCCUAUAUAUUCAAAGAGUAAUUAAAAUCUCAACCAAUGUGGAUAGCUAGGUCAAUAUUAUAAUAUUCUAUAUAAUAACGACAAAAUUAUGGUAGUUUAGUUGUUUUUUUAUUUAAAGGAUACGAUGACUAAGAUUUUAUGAGCGGCAAAUAUUCUCCCACAUAUUUUUUUUGAAAAGGAUAUUUGGGUCGGAAGAUGCACUUGGACAUCCUACUAGGUGGACACCCCUUAGUACUAUCAUCAUAUUCUCCCACAUAUGGUGCUAACAAAUUUAUGGUUGAAAAUUGAUCUAUUGUUUCUCUCUAGCCAUAUUGUCCAUAAAGAGGCCACACACCCAUAUUAAAAUAUAUAAUACCUUUUUGGUUUUUUGUAUUGAUAAAGCAGGGGUUUUCACAUAGGCUUCGACAACUUUGACUAUUGUUUUUCCAUCCUAUAACGAAGCUUCAUGUCUUUUUCCAUAGGGACUAAGCACUGUUGCAAUAGAUGAAAAGGUGAUCAGUAGGCUCACUACUCUUUUGGCAGAGGAUACACUAGCUAGGACGAAGGCGUAGUGAUUUUUCAGUCUUCUUUAAAGAAUAUCACAAGUGAAAAUACCAUAAUGAAAUAAGGUCCACAUGAACAUACUGGAGGUGUGUAAAGUUUGUUUUACAGAGGCCGUAGAGAACAUACUGUUGCCACUAAUCUUCCAAAUUGCAAAUUGCUAACUUCAGACCACUUCCCUACUAUUCCUGAGACAUCAUCUAGUCUUUGUUGGAGAUCUGUUCCUUUCUGAUUUAAUCUUUUAUAAAGCAUAGACCAAACAAAAACUUUUUACUUUUUGGAAAGGUAGGUUGUGGCUCCAUAGUGUACCAAUAAAAGUACUACGAGGAGGCAGAACUAACUCUUGGUAUAACAUAGUUUUCGAAAUUGUUUACCGUUAUUUUAAGAGACAGUUGCAAAUAUACAUAAAUUUCAAAACGUCUCAAUAGAAUAUAACGGGUAGAUGUAAAUAUAUAAAUAUUAAUGAUGUGUUAAUAUUAUAAAUCUGAAUGUUUUUGUCCAAACUUCUUAGUAUUACAAUAGCUUUAAAUCUAGCUCAAUGUUUUUUUUACUAAAUUUAUACUUGUUGGAUUUCUCUCACCCUUUUUGUUCUUGUCCUUGCUUACUUUUUUUUUUUUUUAUAUCAAUGACGCGGGAAUGAUGAGGGUGCUAAGGGAUGUCUACUUAGUGGAGAUGUUCUAGUGCACAUAUUGACUCAACCCUAUCCUUUAAAAAAAUAUAAUAAUUAUAAUUGUAAUUGAUGACCAUUUGUAGAAUAAUAAUUAAGGAUAUAACAAUAUUUAAAAAAAAAUUAUAAAUAUAACAAAACUAUCGUUGAUAAGCUUGUAUCGUUGAUAUACUCGUAUGAUCUAUCAGUGAUAGACCAAUAUUUAGAAUAUGGUCUAUCGGUGAUAGACUUGUAUCAUUGAUAGAAUUUGACAAAUUUUGCUAUAUUCAUAAUUUUUUUAAAAUGUUGCUAUAUACUUAAUUAUUUUGAAUCUAAUUGUUAAAUUUGCAACCAUCUUAGUUAUAACCUUAAUUAUAAUUCUAAUAACGGUGGAAGAAUGCAAUUAAAGUGAUAAAAAAAAACAAGUGUACAUGUGAGAUUGAAAAAUAACGAAGAGACAAUAGUUAUUUUGGUUAAGAAUAUAAUAAUGCCUCAUUCGUAUCCACUAGCUGAUAAAAGAAAAAGAGAAAUGGUAUUUGUUUAUUUGAAAAAGAUUCCUCCAUGAGUUUAUAAAUAUGGUUAAUGAUAUGUGUUGGUAAUAAGAGCAGUGAAAGAGUUUGGGUUUUGUGAUAUUCCAAAUUUGUUAGUUUGUAAACUCUCGAAGGGCAGGAAAGGAUGAGUUAUAAGGGUACUGUAACUGUUACUGUGAAUCCCAAAAAGAACGAAGCCUUUCUUACGAUCGAAGUCAUAUAUCUCGAGUUUGUUAGCGUCGAAUUGGAUUCGAGUAAAUCAUCAUCUUCUCUCUUUAUUUAUUUAUAUAUGAUUUUCUACACUGCUAAUGUAACCUAUAUAUAUUCUUCUAAUGUAAAGUGAUUUAAUAAUGCACAUAUGACAUGUACAUAUACACAGAAGGAAAUCAACAGAUUAUCGGAUGUACGGCUGGAUUAAAAUGUGGUGGUGACGUGAGCAAGCUGUUUGAAACAAGUAUUGAUGUUCCUGGAGAUUUCGGGGAGAUUGGAGCAGUGAUUGUUGAAUUGGAUGAUGAUGUGAAAGAGAGGUUUAUCGACACCAUUACUAUUGAUUUCAAGAAGUGUACCUUGUUGACGUUUAGCUGCAAAUCAUGGGUGCAACCCAAAAGUAGUACUCACCAACGAAGGAUCUUCUUUUCGUCCAACAAGGUGAUGGUUUGCUUCAUUAUUUAAUUUAUAUAAAUUAAUUAAUACUCAAACCCCAUUAUUCUCAAUCCACAGAAAUAUUGAGUAAUUCAAAUUUCAGUGGAUAUUUUUUUAAAAAUUAUAAAAAUGAAAAUUAAUUAUUAAAUAAAACAUUCUAUUAUGUAUUAUUUUAAAAAGCAUAGCAAAAAGAAGUAAAGCAUUUACAAAAUGCAACAAAUUAUCAUACUUUGUCACCCAUUUAUUAGAGGGUAGAUUGUGAUGUUUUGUUAUAUUUAUAAAUAUGUUCAUAACUUUUGUCAUUUAAAAUAAUUGUUUUUUAUUAAUUUCAAAUAAGUAAACAUUUUACUAUUUAUUCUACUUUUUUUUAUUUUUGUUGUGUGUACUUUGCGUAUUUUUCUACGUAUAAUAGAUAUAUUAAAUUCAUGUUUGGUAUCAAUAUCAAACCUAAGCAAACGAUGAAGUAUGGAUGAAAAUAUUGAGAUGUAGAUGGAAAUUUAAUAUGAUUUUGUGAGGCUAAUUAAUAAUUGAAUAUGAGGAUGAAUGCAGUCUUAUUUGUCGGGAAAAACACCAGAAGGACUGGUGAAGCUGAGAGCAGAAGACCUUGCAAAUCUGAGAGGCGAAAAAGAAGAUGGAUCGGUAGAUAAAAAGAAGCGUAAUGCAUUUGAAAGAAUUUAUGAUUACGAUCUGUACAACGACCUCGGAAAACCCGACGAAUCAUCAGAUUUGAUAAGGCCUGUUCUUGGCGGUUCAGAGGAGUAUCCUUAUCCUCGACGUUGUAGAACUGGUCGUGAUACUAGUGACAAUGGUAUCUUAAUUUUCUAAAUCCUUUCUUGUUAAUUUAAUUGUACAAUACAUACAUGGGUAUAUAUUAAUGGAUUCAUUUGGCCUUACUAUUGGAUUUAGAUAAACAUGCAGAGGAAAGGAUUGAGGCACCUUUUUAUGUUCCACGAGACGAAAACUUUUCAGAGGAAAAGCAAGGAAGUGUUUUAGCAGAAAACGAGGCAUUGCUGGGAAAAGCUCCUUUCUCUGACCUCCCUGAACUUGACAUUAAAACGCCUUUCGCUGCUUCCAAAAUUAAUCAACUUCCAUUUGAUAUACCAUCCCUAGUUUCCUCUAAUCAACCACCUCCUCUUAAUUCAUUAGACGAUGAACCCAGUAGUUCCGUUGAACUUCCACUACCAGAGUCCUACAAGAGUGAGUAUAUAUGUUUAUGAUAAGACACUUCGAUUUCAAAGUGCAUGCAUGUGGCAAACACUAACUAACUAAUAUGCAAAAACCUUUUUCGUUUGAUUAUUAUACUUCAUUUUCUCAGGAGACAAAUACAAUUGGCUGAGUGACAUUGAAUUUGCUAGACUCACACUUGCUGGUCUAAACCCUUACUCUAUACAGCUAGUCAAAGUAUGUGACAAUUAACUCAAAAUCAAUUAAUAAUAUAUAACUUUAUAAAUAUGGAUUAAUCUCUCUAAUUUAAUUAUUCUCCUGAUAAUAAUUGAUCAGAGUUUGCCGUUUAUGAGUAAGCUUGACGAGGGAGUUUAUGGACCUCGAGAAUCAAAAUUCACUCACGAACUAGUUCAAGAAUUACUUGGAUGUCGCAUCAAAGUUUGCAAGGUGAAAUAAAUUAGCUCAAUGCAGUAAUUUAUUAAAUUAGAACUUAAAUAAAAAAAUGUGAUUAAAUUUUUGUGAAUUUAUGCAGGCAUUAACCGAUAAAAGAUUAUUUGUAUUGGAUUACCAUGAUAUUUUAAUGCCAUAUGUAAGCAAAGUAAGAAAAAUUGAGUGGACGACACUAUAUGGAUCAAGGACCUUGUUCUUUCUAAACUCUGAUGACACUUUGGAGCCACUGGGAAUUGAGCUGACUCGACCUCCAAUCAAAGGACAUUCUGAACAAUGGAAAGAAGUUUUCACACCAGGCACAAAUUCUACAGAUGUAUGGCUAUGGAGGCUUGCGAAAGCCCAUGUCCUUUCUCAUGAUUCUUGCAUUCAUCAACUUGUUAUUCACUGGUAUGUAUAUUCAUAUCUAUAUACAUACAUACAUGCAUGCAUAUAUUUAUUAUCAAAUAUGAUAAUUGUUAUACAGGCUGAGAGCUCAUUGUUGUAUGGAGCCGUAUGCCAUCGCCACACAUAGGCAAUUAAGUACGAUGCACCCAAUAUAUAGACUAUUGCAUCCUCAUUUUCGGUAUACUAUGCGCAUAAAUGCAAACGCUCGUAAAAUCCUCAUCUGCGCCGGUGGCAUCAUUGAAGGAACAUUUUCUGCCGCAUAUCAUUCAAUGGAACUUAGUUCUUCAGCGUACAAAGAGUGGAGAUUUGAUUUGCAAGGCCUCCCUUAUGAUUUAGUUCACAGGUAAUUAAUUGAAUUUAAUUAACGCGAAGUUAAUAACGGAAUGGAAUUAUUGACAAUGUGUUUUGUAACUAAAUUUAAAACAUAGGGGAAUGGCGGAAACAAAAAAAGAUGCAGAAUGUCAUGAGGUUAUUGAUAAGUUGACCAUCAAGGAUUAUCCUUUUGCAAAUGAUGGUCUCCAAUUAUGGAAUGCUCUAUGGGAAUGGGUGACCGAAUAUGUGAACCACUAUUAUAAAUGUGAUAUGAAUGCAGUAACUAAUGAUAAAGAGCUGCAAGCUUGGUGGAAAGAAAUCAAAGACAAAGGGCACCCAGAUAUAAAGGAAGGAUGGCCUAAACUAGAAACCAAAGAAGAUCUCAUUAAGAUUGCAUCAACCAUAGCAUGGGUAGGAAGUGGGCACCACGCAUCUAUCAAUUUCCUUCAAUAUGCAUAUGGAGCUAUAUACCCAACCGACCCAGUGUUGCAAGGGCCAACAUGCUCACAGAGAACAACCCCAGUGGAAAAAUUUCCAAAGACUUUCUAAACCAACCUGAAGACAAGUUGAAAGAACUCUUUCCUACAGAUGAACAAGCUACCAUAGUGCAACAGACUAUGUUUGUGUUGUCAAUUCAUUCUUCUGAUGAGGAGUACAUUGGGGAUGAUAUAGAGCCAGCCUGGGCUCUCGAGCCGUGCAUAAGUAAGGCCUUCGAAAGGUUUAAAGCCAAAUUGACGGAUCUUGAAAAGAGGAUCAACGAGCUUAAUGAGAACAAAGAUUUGAAGAAUAGGUGUGGAGCUGGGAUUAUACCAUACGAAGCUAUGAAACCACGUUCAAAGCCUGGAAUCACUGGAAGUGGAGUUCCAUACAGCGUUUCCAUCUAAGCAUAGUCUUCUCCAUAUUUAUUUCCAUUUUGUUUGUGUGUGUUCUUUCUUCUUGCAGGUUUUCUUUUUCUCUAAAAAUUAAGAACAUAUGUCAGCCUAUUUUAAGUGUGUUUUCCUUUUUAAGUACUAGUAUGUGUGUGUCUCAUUUACGUCCAAUAUGUCAUUGUUAUUCCAUGUUUUUAAUUAUAAAAUAAACGAGGAAGCAAAUGCAUUCUUGACUUUUUCUUCAUAUAUUUCAUUCAUAUCUUGAUGUUAUUAUUUUAGUUGUAAAAUAUCAAUCAAGUUAUUAUUUAUGACAUAGGCGUGUACUAGGAAAAAACACUGAUUCUAACUUUUUUUUUCUUCACAAAAGAAAGAGAAAAUAGAAUACUACUCACAAAUAAUCACUCCACAAAGUGUUACGUCCCCGCAUUAAAAACAAUGUAAUUAAAAAUUAUAAAUAGGUGGCUAAGUUAGUAUUAUUACUCUCGUCCAAGCACGUUUACGUGCAAAGUUUUGAUGGGAUCCAAUACAUUAGUACCUGGUAUAACGAGAUCACUCUAGGGUGUCAAACUAGUAGCUAAUUGUUAUAUAAUUUUCAUAUUAGGGAUUUUUUAAAAAUAAAACAUUUACCCUUUAUAGAACAAUUUCGAAACCGAAAAAAGGUUAUAGGACCACAAUGAGAGAUACAAAAAAAAAAAAAAAAAAAAAAACAAUAGUUAACACGCGAUUAAUCAGCCACACGCACGUAUGAGUAAUAUUUUUUCUAAACGAUCGUGUAUUACAGUCUAAAUGAAUGAUCUACGAUCAUUUAAGUCAUGAUACAUGAUCGUGUAGUUCUUUUUAAAUGAUGAAAAAAAUGGCUUCAAAUCUAAACGAUUGUGUUGGCCAUGCUAAACAAUCGUGUUAACUAUGUUAAGCAAUUGUUUAGAUCAUAUCUCCACACGACCAUAUAAUUCUUUUUAAACGAUGGAAAAAGGGACUUCAAAUCUAAAAGAUUGUGUUCACCAUGCGAAACGAUUGUGUUGACUAUGGUAAGUGAUCCUUUAGAUUACAUCAACAUUAUCAUGUAGUUCUUUUUAAACGUGGAAAAAUUAGAGGCUUCAAAUUUAAACGAUCAUGUUUAUUAUGGUAAACGAUCAUAUCGAGAAUGGUUAAACGAUCAUUCAGAUCAUAUCAAAGUGAUAUUUAAAUGAUUCUGAUACUUUCAAAUAUGAGAAAGAUGAAGUACCUUCAAAUUAGAAUUUUGUUGAAAAGGGUGAAGAUAAAAUAUCAUAUUUAAAUAGAAAAAUAAAUCGUUUAAUAAUAUAAGAAGAAAAUGAGAAGAAAUGUGCUGAUAAAAGAUUGAUGUUACCUGAUUAAGAAAAAUUAAUUUCAGAAAUAUUUAUUAAAUAUGAUUCAUAAAAAAAUUCAACUUUGUUUCAUAACAAAGUCAACUUUUAAAUUCAUUAGAGAAAUUGUCACUCACCCUUUCAAAUAAUAAUAAUAUAAUUGGAGUUAUUUUGGUAUAAACCAAUAGUUGCUAAACUAAAAUAUGAACGAGAGAGAUAAUAUAUAACACAAAAGAGAGAAGAGAAAAGUAAAGUAUAGAGAGCAAUUUUUAUUCUUCACAUUUGUUCUUGAAGUGGUUUUUUUUUUUUUUUUUUUUUCGUUUUUCAAUAAAACUAUACGUUGGGUUACGGGUGCACACGUACAUCUCCUCUAGGUGGACACAUUCUUAAAGCAUUACACUCCAACUCUCUAGAAUAAAAACCAUGGUACCACUACAAAAAAAGCGGUCUACAAAGACAGUUAUUUUUUAUCGCGAAUAAUAUUCAUGACAGUUAUUUACAGUCAUAGAAGUGGGAGUCAUGGAAAGUCCUUCCAUGACAGUUUUCAAUAAAUUUUUUCAUGCUAGAAAAUAAACGUCGUUAAUUACUAUUUUAUGACAACAAAUAACUGUCAUCAUUUGCGUAUUAACGACAGUUUAAAAAUGUCGCAAUUCGUUUAUUAUGACAUUUUUUAAAUGUCAAGAAUAUGUCAAUCGUGACACUUUUUUUAGAAAUUAAAUGUCAUUGUUUUGCUAUUGACGACAUUUUUUUCCUGUCAAAUAUAAGACAAUCGUGAUAAUUUUUCUUCUAAAAACAAUGUCAUUGUUUUAAUAUUAACGACAAUUAUGGAGUGUAACGAAUUCAUAAAUUAUGACAUUUAUUUCCUAUUGCAAAUUAUUCAAUUACUACUGUUUUUUUUUUUUUUUUUUUGUUCUCCUUGUCGCUCCGCGAUUAUCGAGCCAUUUGAACGACAAUAAUGUUAUAUUACAUAACACCCAUAUAGAAACAAAUGGUUGACAUUUUAAUAUAUACACACUAUAAUAUACUUUAUAAUAUUCGUACAUUUUCAAUCAAGUUUGAACAAUUUACAAGUCUAGAAUUUCAGUCCUUAAGCAAAACUAAUGUAAAUACCAUCAUUUGGGAUGUAUAUAUAACUGUCAUACUAAGUAGUUUUUCUUGUAAUGUGCUGACCUAGCAGGGAUGGUACACCUAAUAACCCACAAAUUGUAUCUUUCUUUAAAAACCAACCAAAUUAAAAAGUGAUUACAUUAGAGCGCCACCAUCCUUGCACUAUCUCAAGUACCUUCAUGUUCUAACCAUUUGCUUAAAUAUUGACUUAACAUUAGAGGUUCAUUGAUAGACAUCAAAUUCAGUGAUUUUUUUCUUUAACUUAUAUGUCCUACGUCCUCAAAAUUACAAAUCCACUAUCGAAGACAUAUAAAAAUGAGCCAAGUCUUCUUGUCCAAGUUUUGUCAUCAACCAUAAUGAUAAAUUUAUAAUAAGGUUUGGUUGUUGUUACAAAAUUGAUUAUGGAACACUAUUGGCUCUCGACGAUACAGUUUUUGAAAUUGCUUAUAAAUAUAACUAAUUAACAAGUGAGGGUUUUAUAAUGAUUUUUUAAAAUAUACACAAGCCAAUGACAAACGCAAAACGAGCAUUUUAUGCUUGAAGAAUCGUUAAAAAUAGUAAAUUUGACAAAAUAUUUAUAAUUUAUAGUAAAAUUUUGGAUUCUAUUAAUAAUAAACAAUGAUAGACACUUAUAAGCUUCUAUAAAUGUAUUGCUAGAAGUCUAUUGUUUCUAUAAUCAAUAAAAUCUAAAAUUUUACUCUAAGUUGUAAAUAUUUUAAUUUAUUUUAUUAUUUUAAAAAAUGUCCUUUUUGAUGAUUUUAAUUUUAAAUUCAUAAGCUCGAAUAUUUUUUUUAUCUUUAAUUCCUUUUUAAUUUAGAUUUUUUUAAAAAAAAAAUAGUAGAUUUUACAAAACAUUUACAACCUAUAGAAAAUUAUAUCACCGAUAGUCAUUGACAUGCUAUAGUGAUAGAAUUUAAAACUUUGUUAUAGCUUGUAAAUAUUUUAAUUUAUUUUGCUAUUUUAAAAAAUGCCUUCUUAAUUUAUUUGUAUUUGUUUUCCAUAACUUUUUAAACCUAGCCCUUGGCUUGGUAAACCCUUCCAAAUUCAUCCUCUAAAUGGAUCUUAAAUUUCUUUUUUUAAAAAAAGAAGGCAUGAGCCAAUAGUAGCAUUUGAACAUCUUUACUAGGUGAACAUCCUUAUAGUACCAUCAUCAUUCCCGUUUCAUUAAUAUAAAAGAAAAGAGUAUAUAAAGUAAAGAAUGUUCUAAAAUAAGGGCUAGAGAAUGGCCAAAAUAAACCCAUAAGUUAUACAAAAGCGUGAAUGUUUAAAGCAAUAGUACUAAUCUUUAAUCCAAACAUAGUUUUAUAAAUAAAAAAUAAAAAUAAAUUAAAAAAAACAUCAAUUAAAGUAAUAUUUUCUUUUUUUUUUUUGCUUCCAUGGACUUAUCCUUUAAGUUGACUGUUGGUUUCCUUUGUGAUUGUUGCAAUUAAUACUCCAAUAUUUUAAGACAUUUAGAAAACAUUUUUUUUAAAAAAAAUAUCAAUAUUUACGAUGUUAACCAAAAUAAUUUAAUAUGUUUAAGAAAAACAAAAACAAAAAAAAAAAAUUUUUGACAAGAGACCAUAAGGGCAUUAGAAAAAAAAUAAUUUAAUGUAUAUGCUCUAUAUAUUCAAAUAGUAAUUAAACUCUCAACCAUCAAUUGAUGAAACAACAAUAGCUAGGUCAAGAUUUUAUAAUGUAUUAUAUAAUAACGACAAAAUUAUGGUGGUUGAGUUGUUGGACAAAAUUAAUAAUAACAAUAACAAUAAUAAAUUGUGAUGGGUGAGUGGAGAUGCUCAUUAAUCAAUUUUGAUAUUCAAUCAGUAAAGUUGAUUUUUUUUUUUUUAAAUAUACAAAAGAUAAGGCGAGAGGAGAUAGAAGUGCACCACAUCAAAAGACCAGAAAUGAUAUCAUUGAUCGAUAAAAAGGUACCGAACGAGCUAGAGAGACGAAGCUUGGAGAGUCUAUAGGAGAUUACAAUUAAAUGCACCACAAAUAUCUCGAGAGAAAUUGCAUGAUAUAUAUAAAACAAAUGUUCAAAGAGUUUCAUCUUGGUUCUUGCAUAGGACACACCAAUUUGGGCAUAGAUUAGACGAGGGGAAUCUGUGCUGACAUUUAUCAAUGGUGUUUAAUCUUUUAUGAAGCAUAGAGACCAAAUAAAAACUUCGAAUUUUUCGGCAAGGUUUUAGCUCCACCGAUUACCAACAAAAGUGGGAGGAGGUAGAACCAACUCUUGGUAUAGUAGAGCUUACGAAGUUGCUUACAGUAAUUUUAAGGGACAGUUGCAAAUAUACAAUCAAAUUUAGAUUCAACUUUUUGAGUAUCAUUAACAAGAGUCCACCAUUGAUAGAUUAUGCUAUUGAUUAUAAUGAUUAUUAUUUUUUAUUAAUUAAAGAAAAAAAUUGUAUGCAUGGAACACAUGGGGAAGAAGACUUUGUAGUCAAUUUAAAAUAAGGGAACAUAUGUUUAAUUCCUGUUUACAUUUUAACUUUACUAUUCAUUCAUUUUAUUUUGACAAUGUUAAAGAGAAUCUUCGUUAAUUUAAGUUGUGAGAGUGAAGAAUAAUGAAUGGUGUAACAUUUUAAUUAAGAGAAUAUAAUAAUGCCGGCCCCUAAAUUUGAUUAAGAAAAGAGAUAUGUUUUUUGUUUUGUUUUGUUUAAUAUAUAGUUAUCUUUCUUCAGUUGAGAGUUCACACCGAAAGACUAUAAAUAUGUGGUUAAUUAGGAAGUGAUGACAGGGGGAGUAGAAUCAAAGAAGCAUAUUUGAGUUUUGUGAUAUUCCAAAUUUGUUCCAUAUCCAUUUGGGUAGACAGGGAAAGAUGGGUGUUGAGGUUAUUGCUUCUGUUACUGUGAAACCCAAAACGAAGGGACCUACUUAUCCUUACGCAAACAUCAUUCUCAAGUUUGCUAGCAUUGAAUUGGAUUCGGGUAUGUCAUUCUUUAUGUUUGUUAGAUCAUAUAAUAUUAAAUUUAUAUUAGUAAAGUGUUGUAUAUGUUUUAAGUAAGGUUAUAAGGUUUUGGGUGAAUUGAUGAUUGAAUAAUAAUAAUGAUAUGUAAAUGGAUUUGAUGUACACAUAGAUCAACAACAAAAGCCAUUUAUCAAAUGUGUGGUGGAACCAAUACUGCCUGAUGAUGAAACUGAGGAGUACAAGAAGUACGUAGGUGAAGUUGAGGUUCCAGAAGGUUAUGGGGAGAUUGGAGCAGUGAUUGUUGAAUUGGAAGGUGAUACGACCAAGUAUGAAAAAUUUAUUGACACUAUUUCUAUUACGGACAAAAAGUCUAGGAACUCAACUACGUUCAGUUGCAAAUCAUGGGUGCAAUCCAAAUCGGUUCUUGACCAGCGAAGGGUCUUCUUUUCCACCAAGGUUCAUAUAUAUAAUUAAAAUCUUCUUUCACUCAUGAGCUUAACUUUUUACGUCUAGAAUACCAUGUGUUUAAACUCUCCAUCAAACUUUUCGAUCAAUUUGUGAUUUAAGAAUAAUUAAGUUAUUUAAAUUUAUUCUGAUGAGUUAAUAGAAUAAUUAAGUUAUUUAAAUUUAUUCUAAUGAGUUAAUAGUGGAAAUGGUUGACAGUCGUAUUUACCGGAAAGAACACCAGGCGGAUUGUUGAAGCUGAGAGCAGAAGACCUUUCGAAUCUAAGAGGCAUAAAAGCAGAUGAAACAGUGGAUAUGAAUGAGCGUAAGGCAUUCGAAAGAAUUUAUGAUUACGACUUCUACAAUGACCUUGGAGAUUGUGAUGGUCCCGCAGAAUGGAAAAGGCCUGUUCUUGGUGGUUCCGAUCACCCUUAUCCUCGUCGUUGUAGAACGGGUCGUCUUCAUUGUAAAACAGGUAUCUUCUGUUUAUGUUUUUUAUGUAUUUAAAAUUUCUUUCUAAAAUUUUUGUUCAUUAAAAACAAAGGAAAAUAUGAUAAUAAUAUGGUUGCAUUUUGUGAAAUGGUAACUAUUAGAUCCGGUCUCAGAGAAAAGGAGUAAAGAAAGGUUUUAUGUUCCAAGAGAUGAAGAAUUCUCAGAGGUGAAGCAACAUUAUUUCCCUUCAAGUGAACCAGAUAACAAGGAUUUAUUGGGAAAAGAUUCUUUCUCUGACCUCCCUCAUAUUGAGUCAAUGUUUAGAGAAGGAAUUAAAGCCCCUCAUGCUCCUCACAAACUUCUCACGUUUAAUUUAUCAACCAUAGUUACCCCAGACAAACCUGACCUUCAUUCCAAUUCCAAUUCAUCUGUGCCCAGUUCUCUCCUUCAUUAUCCACCACCAGAGUCCUACAGGAGUAAGUAAUUAUAUAUAUAUUUUUUCUUUUUAUGUUAAUUGGAACUUUUUAAAGUGUGCCAAUUGUAGCAUUUGCCUUACUAAUCCUUAUAAAUGUUUGGUUAUUUUUCUCAGGAGAUAGGUACAGUUGGCUCAGUGAUACCGAAUUUGCAAGACAGACACUGGCUGGUCUUAAUCCUUACUCCAUACAGCUUGUCACAGUAAGUGGCGAUCGAUAAUAUAUUGGCCUCUAAUUAGGGGUACUGUAUAUGGGUUGAGAGAAUUUUUUAGAUUAAUUUCACAAUCCAACCAUACCAUUUGAGUUGGGUCGUAGUUCAAGUUGAAAUAUCAUUAUUUUUAUAUCACUUCUUUAUUGUCCUAACAAAUGCAGCGUUUGCCGUUAAUGAGUGAGCUUGACCCAGAUACUUAUGGACCUCAAGAAUCAGCUUUCAACCACACAAAGGUUCAAGAAUUAAUCGGAUGUUCCAUCGAAGUUAACGAGGUAAAUUAAAUUAAAUCCAACUUACUAAUUUAGUAAAUUAUUAGAAGCGAAAAAGAAAAUGAUGAUCUUUAUUAUAUAAAGUAUACUUAUUUCUGUGAGUUUGUGCAGGCAAUAGAAUUGAAAAGAUUAUUCGUAUUGGAUUACCAUGAUACUUUAAUGCCAUACGUAAACAAAGUAAGAAAAAUUAACGGGACGACAUUAUAUGGAUCAAGGACAUUGUUCUUCUUGAAGUCGGAUGACACUUUGAUUCCAUUAGGUAUUGAGCUGACUCGACCGCCAGUGGAUGGUUAUCCCCAGUGGAAACAAAUUUUUACACCAGGCAUUGAGGCCACAGAUUUGUGGCUAUGGAGAAUUGCCAAAGCUCAUGUCCUUGCUCAUGAUUCUUGUAUUCACCAACUUGUUAUCCACUGGUACUUACGUUAUUUAUCCAUACAUUCAUGGAAAGAAAAAGAAGUAAAGACAUCAAGGAAUUUUUUUUCUCAUUCAUUAUUAUCAAAUAUGUCUUAUUGAUAUUAUGCAGGCUUAGAGCUCACUGUUGCAUGGAGCCGUAUGCCAUCGCCACAAAUAGGCAAUUGAGUACGGUGCACCCAAUAUAUAGACUAUUACAUCCACAUUUUCGAUACAAUAUGCGCAUAAAUGCAAAUGCUCGUGAAAGCCUCAUCAAUGCCGGAGGCAUCAUCGAGAGCACAUUUUCUACUGCAUCUUAUUCCGUGGAACUUAGCUCUUCAAUGUACAGAGAUCAGUGGCGAUUUGAUGAACAAGCACUCCCUGAGGACUUAAUUCGCAGGUAAAUUAACCAAUUGAGUUUAAUUAAGACAAUAAGGUUAAUAAUUGAAUGAAAUUAGUGACAGUAUAUGUUUUGGUAGGGGGAUGGCGGAAAGAAAGAAAGGUGACUACGGUCGUGAUGUUCUUGAGUUGGCCAUUAAAGACUACCCUUUUGCAAAUGAUGGUCUCCUGUUAUGGAAUGCUCUGUUGGAAUGGGUGACAGAAUAUGUGAACCACUAUUAUGGAGAUGAUGAGAAUGCAGUAAUUAAUGAUAAAGAGCUGCAAGCUUGGUGGAAUGAAAUCCAAGAAAAAGGGCACCCAGAUAAAAAGGAAGGAUGGCCUACAUUAAAAACCCGAAACGAUCUCAUUAAGAUUGCAUCAACCAUUGCAUGGGUAGGAAGUGGGCAUCAUGCAUCUGUCAACUUCAUUCAAUAUGCAUAUGCAGGCUAUACUCCCAACCGACCGAGUAUUGCAAGGACCAACAUCCUCACAGAGGACUAUCACCAACUUCCAGAAGAAUUUAUUGACCUACCUGAAAAUGAGCUACUUCAAGUUUUUCCUUCAGUUGAUCAGGCUUCUGUAGUGACAACAACUAUGAUUUUGUUGUCAGCACAUUCUCCAGAUGAGGAGUAUAUUGGGGAUGAGAUAGAGCCAGCCUGGGCUCUUGAGCCCUCCAUAAGUAAGGCCUUCAAAAGGUUUCAAGCCAGCUUGAAGGAUCUAGAGCAACAAAUUGAUGAAAAUAAUAAAAACAAUAAGUUGAAGAAUAGGCAUGGAGCUGGUGUUGUGCCUUAUGAUGUUCUUAAACCAACUUCAACUUAUGGAAUUACUGGAAGGGGAGUUCCAUACAGCGUUUCCACCUAAGCUCACAACCUGACGACUCUAUUUUCAUUCCUACGCCAAUAAGAUAUAUGGAUUUGUUCCAUUUUUGUUGGUGUGUCUUUCAUCUCCUAGUUCUUAUUCUAAAAGUUAAACAACUAUUUGAAGUAUAAUUAUGUUUCCUCAUCCUGUACUAAACUACUAUUGUGUGAGACAUUUAUGUCCAUCACCAUGUUUUUAAUAUCAUAUUAUAAAAUAAACCAGGAAGGAUAAAUGCACUUCUUCUUUCUUGAUAUUAUCAUUCUUCAUUAUGUUUUAAUUUUCAUUUUUAGUUACAUAUAUCAACCAAGUUAUUAUUUGCUACAUUUACACAAGUUAGAAUCCAUAUUAUUAAAAAAAAAAAAGUGUGCAAUCAGAUUUUCCAGCUUAUGGAUUGUCUAAAGUCUCAACUUCUAUAGUAUUUUUGUGAUCAUUAAAAAUACUUUUGUUUUUCGGAUCAUGGAUUGAUUCCUGCCGUCCAUUAGUCUUGAAUAGAUUGUCACAAGUGUAGGAAAUCAAGUAGAGAAUUCAAGAUGAGUUUCUAACGUUGUAACGAGGGAAGCUCAAUCAAAGCUUGCUUCCGAACGUGAGGGGAUCUCACUUAUGAUCGGUUUGAUUGAAGGGUUUUAAUUAAAGAUGGCCAAUCGACUUGGACAUUUGUAUAACCCAUGUUUGGUUUAAGAGUUUCUUUAUAUGUCUUGAAAUGUCUUGAAAUUCAGCAAUAUUUCUAGGAAGAUACUUCAACUACACACGGCCAUGGACUUAAAAAAAAACACAAACAAUUUUUUUUGGUUAAUUAUUCACUCUCACAAUAUCCUUAGACAUCAAUGCUUUGAUUAACUUUUCUAUCCUUAGCUUAUUGAAUAUAUAUCGACGUGUAUUAUGAUGAGAGUGCUAAAAGGGUGAUCACUAGUGAUCGUGUGCAACUACUAAUAUUAUCUUUUAAAAAUUUCAGCUAGUUAGAUAUUUUAACAUUUUGUCAUUUUUAAUCUUUUUUUAUAUUUUCUCAAGUAUUUUAAUUUUGUAAUAUUUUAAAAUAAAAAUAUACAACUUUUGGAUAUAUUAAUUAUAUAAAAUUUUAUUUUUUAAAUAUCAUUAGUUACAUUAUCUUUCAUCAAUUAAUUUUUGAAAUAAUAUUAUUAACAUCAUUUUUAAUUUUUUAUUAAAACUUUUCAAUUAUAUUCAUUUAAUGAAAAAUAUUUUAAGAUAAUGUUUCUGUGAUGUUAGAAACUUUUGUUUAUUUUCUUCUAAAUUCCCAGCUGAAAACUGAUCACUUCUAUGUUGAAAUCUAAAAAAAGUAAAUAUACAUCACAUAUUUAGUGAUGAAUGUGAUAACGAGUAGAGAUAUCCAAGUGCAUACAAUUGACAUACUUUAUCUUUUUUUAAAAAAAACUCAAAGGUGUGUUUGGUUAGCAAUAUGAAUUAUGCUUUUUUUUUUUUUGGAAAACAAAUAGUUUUCAAAAAUUAUUAUUGAAAAUUGGAUUUUUUUUGUCCAAAGAGUAAAUUCUGGUUUUUUUCCUCAUGUAUUGAUUGUAUCUAAAAUUUGAAGCAUAUAAUGUCAUAAACUCAAUUUAUUUGUUUUAAAUAAAAAAAAUGUACAAUUAGCAUAUUGAAAAAUAAUAAUUAAACAACAAAUGUGUUUUCCCUUUUUGUUUAUUCAAUUGUGUUUUACUCACCAUGUAAAGUCAUGGAUUUCACAAUUGUAUAUGAAGUUUGAAUUUAGAACUAUAGCUAUAAUUAAACUCAAUUAUUGAUAAUUUGUUUUGAAUAAAAAAAAGGUACAAUGUAGCAUAUUGGAAAAUAAUAAUUAAACAAUGAAUGUACUUUCCCUUUUUCUUUUGGCAAAUAAGCAAGUUUGUGUACUUAAUUGUGUUUUACUCACACCCUGGUGUAAAGUCAUGGUUUCACAUUUGUAUCUGAAGUUUGAAUUUACAACUAUAGCUAUAAACUCAAUUAUUGAUCUUGUUUUAAAUAAAAAAAAUGUACAAUGUGGCAUAUUACAAAAUAAUAAUUAAACAAUAAAUGUGUUUUUUUUUUUUUUUUGGAAAAUAUGCAAUUUUAUUUACUCAAUUGUGUUUUACUCACCAUGGUAAAGCCAUGAAUUUCAUAUUUAUUUAUUGUUAUAAUUUAAUAAAUUAUAAAGAUAUAAAACAAAAAAAUGAAGAAAUUUUAGAGGUGUUUGAAAGUGAUUGUAAUUAAAAUGGCAAUCAUACCUUUCAUAUUUAUUUAUUGUUUAUAAUUUAAUAAAUUAAGUUCUAUCACAAUACAAUUGAUCUUUUUUCCUUAGUUUUUUACUCUAUUAAUAAUCAAUACUUAUAUACAAAAUCUAAACUUUAGUUUUAAAAAGCUUACAGAGUUUUGUUCAUUUUAAUGAUCACGGUUGAUUUCACACCAUUGUAACUUAGACUUAAAUUUGAGUAUUGGAUUGAAAAUAAGAUAAGGUGUGAAAAAGAGAAUUGGAUUGAAAACUUUCGAAGUUCUGUAUCGCAGACGACGGAGUUUAAAACGUUUAGAUCAAACAUGAGUAUAACACUCAAUUCAAAAAUGCACAUAGUACAAACUCAUGGCUGGCAAUGGCACAUAGAUCGAGUUAGAAAGAAGGAUUGGAAGAAAGAAGACCACGUGGAAUUUCCUCAUUGGAAUAUUAAGUUUUGAGUUCAAAUGUUAUUGAUUGUGUUAUUUGACCUCUAAGCCAAAAUACUUUUAAUUAAAAUAUAUGUUAAUAUAGAAGAAAAUUAUAAUGGGUACCAAAAUAGAUUUGGUAUUUUGCAAAUGAAUUCUUUUAAGAAUUAAAAAAAAAAGUACAAACUAUUUAAGCCCUUUGAAAAAAAAAAAAGACAAAAACUCAAUACAUUUUAUUUUGCCAUAAUUUUGAGAAUUGUGAUUUGGUAAAUUUGAAUAAAUAUUCAAAUUUAGAAAUAUAUUUUUUAAAAAAAUACAACAUGAGUCAGCAUGUGUUCGAGGACAUGUUCUUCCGCAACACCCUCAACAAAGCUCUUGCUGGUCAUUGAACAAGUAGAUCACAUCUUUUUAAAGAAUACUCUAGUAGCUCUAUUUCUCUUAGUAUCUCUGCUUUCGUUUAAUAUUUAUCUUUUAGGUCUCUCUGAGCUUUCCUCUAGCCCUUGCUCUACUUAUUGAUUUAUAUUAAAAUAUAUUAGUAAAGUGUAAAGUUCAAGUAUAUAAUUAUAUCAAAUAUAUAAAUCUAAGUGUACAAGUAGUGCAUAUCAUUAUGUGUCAAAGUAUAUCAGUCGAACUCAAUUACAUCAAGUGUAUCAGUGAAACCUACAAGGUAUAUCAAACAUAUAUUUUGUGUAUCAAGCGUAUUAAAUUCGUCUAGUAUAUCAUUGAAGGAUAACAAGUUUACAUCAAGUGUAUCAUAUUUAAUUAUUAAAUAUAAUUGAUCGAGUGUAUCUCAGUAAAGCAUAACAGAACAAAUGUAUCAACAAUAGUACAUCACGAGCAUAAAAACUGCAUCAAACUAAUCAAUGGCAUCAGUGAGGGCGUGUUUGUAAGUUUUCAGUUUGAAAAAUAUAUAUAGGGUAAGCUUGGAUUUUAGCAUUUUUGCAAAAAAACAAAAACUGUGUAUUGUGGGCCUAAUUUAUUUACAAAAAAUAUGCUAGAAGUCGUAAUAUGUGUAUAUAUAUAUAUAUAUAUAAUGAUUGUCACACGUUGUAAAUUUAGAAUAUAUAUAUAUAUAGAAUAAGUUUCUUUUUACGAUGAUUGGAGAUAAGGUUGGUACGACAUAGAUAUUAUGGUAAAUUGUUUAGAAGAAAGCAACAAAAUAAAUUGAAUGCGAUGGUGAGGUGACAAUACAGGGUAUGACUUAUGAGGUACCUAUAAUUUUAUGGGAUUCAAAUUCACGAUCCCGAUUCUCGGGCAUGGUGAAGACAAGAUCGAUGGACGCUGGACUGUACACAGGAUCGGACUACCUUAUAUGGUUUUCCCCCAUGUUUAAAAUAUUGUAUUCUUUUCCCCACUUUAUUUUAAUUGUCAUAAAAUAACGGAGACAAUAGUUAUUUUGGUUAAGAAUGUAUAUAACUAUGCAUCAUCGUAUACACUAUCUGAUGAAAGAAAAGACAAAUGAUAUUUGUUUAAUAGAAAAACAAUCCUCCAUGAGCGUGUAUAAAUAUGGGUUAAGGAUAUGUGUUGGAAAUAAGGCAGUGGAAGCUAAGAGUUUGGGUUUUGUAAUUUUCCAAAUUUGGUUCUAUUGUAAACUCUCCAAGGGCAGGAAAGGAUGAGUUAUAUGGGUACUGUAGUUGUUACUGUGAUACCGAAAAAGAACGAACAAUUUCCUUGGGUCGAAAUAAUAUAUCUCAAGUUUGCUAGCGUCGAAUUGGAUUCGAGUAAGUCCUCAUCUUCUCUCUUUAAUUAUUAAUUUAUAUAUGUUUUCCUACAUUGCUAAUGUAACCUAUAUAUAUUCUUCUGAUGUAAACUGAUUUAAUAAUAUACAUACGUACAUACACAGAUGAACAGCCAAAGGAAUUUAUCAAAUGUGAGGCUCAAUUACAAGAAGUUGAUGAAUCGGUGGAGUACAAGAAGUACAAAGGUGAUAUUAAGGUUGCCGAAGGUUUUGGGAAGAUUGGAGCAGUGAUUGUUGAACUGCAAGACGGUGUGAAUGAGAGGUUUGUCGACACCAUUUCUGUUGAGGCCGAAAAGCCUCCAAUCUCGGUUACGUUUAGCUGCAAAUCAUGGGUGCAACCCAAGGGUCUUAUUGACCACCGAAGGAUCUUCUUUUCUUCCAACAAGGUGAUUUAUAUAAAUUGAUUCAAUAUUAUGGAUCAAAUAUUUAAAAUAUUGAUCUUCAUGGAAAUAUAGAGUUAUGACAAUUUCAUAAAAUAUUUUAUUAUGAAAUAUUUUAAAAUACAUGAAAAAAAAAUGAAACGUAAAAUAUUUACAAAAUACAACAAGAUAUGGUAGAUUAUGUCCAUUAUUUUGAUAUUGAUUUUGUUUUUUUUUUUUUUGUGUUUAACAUUUUUUCAACACUACAAUAGAAAUAUCAAAUUCAUCUCCCGUCUCUAUAUCAAACCUAAGCAAAUGUUGAAAUCUGAAUGAAAAUAUUGACAAAUGGAUGAAAAUUUAAUACAAUUUUGUAAGACUAAUUAAUAAUUGAAUAUGGGGAUGGAUGCAGUCUUAUUUGUCGGGAAAAACACCAGGAGGACUGGUGAAGCUAAGAGAAGAAGACCUUGCAAAUCUGAGAGGCGAAAAAGCAGAUGGAUCAGUAGAUAGAAAUGAGCGUAAGGCGUUUGAAAGAAUUUAUGAUUACGACCUGUACAACGACCUCGGAGAUCCCGACCAGUCAAUGAAUUUGAAAAGGCCUGUUCUUGGUGGUUCAGAGGAGUAUCCUUAUCCUCGACGUUGUAGAACUGGUCGUCCUCUUACUCAAAAUGGUAUCUUAAUUUUCUAAAUCCUUCCUUGUUAAUUUAAUAUUCUACACUAUACAUAUACAUACAUAUAUAUAUGUAUAGUGUAGAAUAUAUAUUAAUGGAUGUGUUUGGCCGUACAAUUGGGAUUUAGAUCCAGCAUCAGAGAAAAGGAUUGAAGAAUGGUUUUAUGUUCCGCGAGACGAAGAAUUUUCAGAGAUAAAGCAAAGUAGUAGUCAACCAGGAAACGAGAAAUUGUUGCGAAAAUCUCCUUUCUCUGACCUCCCUGAACUUGAGAUUAAAACGCCUUCCGCUGCUUCCAAAUUUAAUCUUCAAUUUAAUAUAGCAUCCAUACUUUCCUCUCAUCGGCCACCUGCUCUUAAGUCAUCAGAUACGCCCAGUAGCACUCUCGUUGAACUUCCACCACCAGAGUCCUACAAGAGUGAGUAUAUAUGUUUAUGAUAAGACACUUCAAUUUCAAAGUGCAUGCAUGUGACAAACACUAACUAACUAAUAUGCAAUAAAAACCUUUUUUGUUUGAUUAUUAUACUUCAAUUUCUCAGGAGACAAAUAUAAUUGGCUGAGUGACAUUGAAUUUGCUAGACUCACACUUGUUGGUCUAAACCCUUACUCUAUACAGCUAGUCAAAGUAUGUGACAAUUAACUCACAAUCAAUUAAUAAUAUAUAACUCUAUAAAUAUGAAUUAAUAUCUCUAAUUUAAUUAUUCUCCUGAUAAUAAUUUAUCAGAGUUUGCCGUUUAUGAGUAAGCUUGACGAGGGAGAUUAUAGACCUCGAGAAUCAAAAUUCACUCCUGAAUGAGUUCAAGAAUUACUUGGAUGUUAUAUCACAGUUGACAAGGUGAAUUAAAUUAGCUCAAUGUAGUACUUUAUUAAAUUAGAAAUUAAAUGGAAAAAAAAAGUCGUUAAACUUUUAAUUAUGAGUUUCUACAGGCAUUAGCAGAUAAAAGAUUAUUUGUAGUGGAUUACCACGAUACUUUAAUGCCAUAUGUAAGCAAAGUAAGAAAAAUAAAAGGGACGACACUAUAUGGAUCAAGGACCUUGUUCUUUCUAAACUCUGAUGGCAUUUUGAUGCCACUGGGUAUUGAGCUGACUCGACCUCCAAUGGAUGGACAUCUUGAACAAUGGAAAGAAGUUUUCACACCAGGCACUAAUUCAACAGAUGUGUGGCUAUGGAGGCUUGCGAAAGCCCAUGUCCUUUCUCACGAUUCUUGCAUUCAUCAACUUGUUAUUCACUGGUAUGUAUGUCUCUAUAUCUACAUACAUACAUACAUGCAUGCAUGCAAGUAUAUAUUUCUUAUCAAAUAUAGUAAAUGUUAUGCAGGCUUAGAGCUCAUUGUUGUAUGGAGUCAUAUGCCAUCGCUACAAAUAGGCAAUUAAGUACGAUGCACCCAAUCUAUAGACUAUUGCAUCCUCAUUUUCGGUAUAACAUGCGCAUAAAUGCCAAUGCUCGUAAGAACCUCAUCAAUGCCAGAGGCAUCAUUGAAAAUGCAUUUUCUGGUGCAUCUUAUUCAGUGGAACUUAGUUCUUCAGCGUACAAGGCGUGGAGAUUUGAUGAGCAAGCACUCCCUGAGGAUUUAAUUCACAGGUAAUUAAUUGAAUUUAAUUAACGCGACGUUAAUAACGGAAUGGAAUUAUUGACAAUGUGUUUUGUAACUUAAUUUAAAACAUAGGGGAAUGGCGGAAAGAAAAAGAGAUUCAGAAGGUCGUGAUGUUCUUGAGUUGACCAUCAAGGACUACCCUUUUGCAAAUGAUGGUCUCCUAUUAUGGAAUGCUCUGUUGGAAUGGGUGACAGAAUAUGUGAACCACUAUUAUGGAGAUGAAGAAAAUGCAGUAACAAAUGAUAAAGAGCUGCAAGCUUGGUGGGGAGAAAUUCAAGAGAAAGGGCAUCCAGAUAAAAGAGAAGGAUGGCCUGCCUUAAGAACUCGAGACGAUCUCAUUAAGAUUGCAUCAACCAUAGCAUGGGUAGGAAGUGGGCACCACGCAUCUGUCAAUUUCCUUCAAUAUGCAUAUGGAGGCUAUAUGCCCAACCGACCCACUAUUGCUAGGACCAACAUGCUCACAGAGAACCACAGUGACGAAAUUUUAAAAGACUUUAGAAAUUAUCCUGAAAACAAGUUAAAUGAACUCUUUCCUUCAGUUGUUCAAGCUGCCAUAGUCAAACAGACUAUGUUUUUGUUGUCAAUUCAUUCUCCUGAUGAGGAGUACAUUGGGGACGCUAUAGAGCCAGCCUGGGCUCUCGAUCAGUCCAUAAGUAAGGCCUUCGAAAAGUUUAAAGCCAAAUUGACGGAUCUAGAAAAGAAGAUUGACGAGCUUAAUGAGAACAAAGAUUUGAAGAAUAGGUAUGGAGCUGGGAUUAUACCAUACGAAGUUAUGAAACCACGUUCAAAGCCUGGAGUCACUGGAAUUGGAGUUCCAUACAGCGUCUCCAUUUAAACAUAGCCUCUCCAUAUUAAUUUUCUCUCUUCUCAUUCCUACCAAUGACAUGGAUCUUCCAUUUUGUUUGUGUGUGCUCUUUCUUCCUGCAAUUUUUCUUUUUCUCUAAAAAUUAAGAACAUAGGUCAGUCUAUUUUAAGUGUGUUUUCGUUUUUAAGUACUAGUAUGUGUGUCUCAUUUACGUCCAAUAUGUCACUGUUGUUCCAUGUUUUUAAUUAUAAAAUAAAUCAAGAAGCAAAUGCACUCUUGGCUUCUUCUUCAUAUAUUUCAUUCAUAUCUUGACGUUAUUAUUUUAGUAUGGUUCCUCCAUUCAUUUUACCGUUAGUUAGACUAACGAAAAACUGGCAUAACAACUGAGUUAUUCAAAUUGGCAAAUGGUUAUAACCAUAAUUAUGGAGAUUUUAUGAUGUGAGCAAAAGCCUUUGUGGAAACGUGUGAUUAUUGCCAAAUAUGAUCAAGCCUACAUUGGUGAUAUCCCAACUAAAAAACCCAUGGAGAUCAAUCACUAAAGGAUUGGACUGUUGGUUCAUUCCUCAUGUUCAAUGGAAGGUCAACAAUGAUGAAUGUCUCUCUUUCUGGAAAGGUGCUUCCAAUGAAAAGAGUCCCCUUUCUUUAUACAGACCUAGACUUUAUGUUCUUUCACAGAAUCAAAUAGAUAGUGUUAAGGAUACGUGGAAUACAAUUGACCUUGACCUCGACCUCCAACCUAGAAGAUCAACUAUGAGAAGCUUUGAGGUGCAGCAGUGGAAUGAAUUGAAAACGUACCUCUCUUCCCCCCUUCAAUACCAAUGGCCUUUUUAGAAUUGCUUCCAUAAAAAAAAAAAAGCCAUUCUCACCAUUGAACAAAGAGAUUUUUCAAAUAUUGAGCCGACUAUAUUAAAAAUGCAAAUUCUUUGUUUGGUCUCUUAUAAAUGAAUGUAUAAAUACUGUGACAAACUGCAAAAAAGAUUGUCAAGUUGAAGCCUCAAUCCUUGGUGCAUUCGGUGUAUAAAAGCAUUUUUAUUUUAUUUUAUUUUUUUAAAAAAAGAAAUUCAUUUUACUUGUCACUAUUUUCUCUCAAAUUACUAAUUAAUUGAAACGAUCUGAAUGAUAACUUUCAUCCUAACCUUCAAGUUUGCAUCCUCCAGCAGCAAAAUCAUAAUAUUUCCUUAAUUUCAUUUGUACACAUACAUUCACAAUUAAACAUACAAAGAUUUAUAUUUGAAAAGAAAAAUAAAAAGAAGAGAUGAGGUAAAAGAAAAAUAAAAGGAACUACUGUUUUUUCUCUUUUUUGGUGCAAUGGGUUGUUAUUUAAGUUUCAAUUUAGAUUCAAGAAUUUGUGCUCUUUUUGUUUCUUCCUUUAUAGUGUUAUUUAGUGUUGAUUUCAAAGGAAUAUUUCCUUCUAUAUUUUAAGGCUUUACUUGUUUAUUUACGUAAUUUCUUUCUUUUUGUCUCUUUCUUCCUAUAGUUUUGUUUUUUUAAUAGAUUUUUCUAAGGAAAUGAUUGUGUCUGGCAUUUGAUUUUUUCCCCUUUUGUGCUGUGUUCAGACUGCAGAAGAUGAAGAAGACAGAGAGGAAGGAGAAAAGAUCGAUGGGAUGAGGAUAUAAAUAAUAUAAAAUUAAAAAAAUUUCACGUCCGUUUUUCGUUAGUUAAAUAACGGCAAAAUAGAACACUAACCUUAAAACAUUAGAAACCAUUUAGAAGCAUUUUCUAAAUAUGGGGACUAAAGUGCUUCUUUUCCGACUUUAGAAAUUAAAUAGACACUAACCUCAAACAUCAUCGACCAAAAGUGUAUUUUGAAAAAACAUAGAAAGAGAAAAUAAAUACUAUCCGGUACUAAGUGUUAGACAUCCCCACUUAAAAAUAAUAUAAUUUAAGACUAUAUAUAGGUUCAAUUAUAUUAGUACUCAGUGUUGGGCAAGUAGAUCUCGGCUAUAUAAAUGAAGCGCGGAUGAUGAGGGUGCUAAUUAUGGAUUUUUAUUACAAUUUCUAUAAUACAAUAAUAAUAAUAGCAAAAUAAAUUAAAAUAUUUACAACUAUACCAAAAUUUUGAAUUCUAUCGAUAUAGACUUCUAUCACUAUCUAUCACUGUUGUCACUGAUAUAAACAUAUCAAUGACUAUUAAGGUCUAUUAUUGUUGAAAUCUGAAAAUUUUACUAUAUCUUAUAAAUACUUUAUCAAAUUUACUAUUUCUUUUUUUACAAUUUUCUUAUUUAAUAAAGGUAGUUUCACAUAUGGUAUAAAAUUAAAAUUAUUUACUAAAAAAUAUCAAAAUCUAUCGAAUACCUCAUUUAAGUUUUUUUUAUUAUAUUUUUUUAAAUAGUUUUAAAACUCUUUUUUUUCGUCUCUAUAACUUUAUUUAUUUAUAUAUAUACUUAAUUAUUUUCAAUUGAUAAAAGAAUUUGGGUUGAAAAGUGCAAUCAAAUACAAAACAAAAAUGAGACAAGGUGUGAGAAAGAAAGUUAGAUUGAAAAUUAAUGAAAUGUAUAUUAAGUUUUGUAUUACAGAUGGAGUUCAAAACGUUCAGUUCAAACCUAAGUAUAAUGCUCAACCGAGACGCUACAUUGCAAACUCACUCAAUUACGAGUCACCAAAUAUCUCUAACCCAUCUCCAAAAACCUUCAAUCAAACAAAAAUGCACAUAUUAAACCAAGGACAAACUCAUGGUUGGCAAAUGGCAUUGAGAUAAGGUAGAUGGAGCUAGAAAGAAGAAUUGUUUUUUUUGUCUUCUCAUUCAAUUUUCGAAAAUGGAUUUGGUAUUUUGCAAAUAUAAUUUUGAGAUUAGUGAAUUUGAAUAAAUAUUCGAAUUUAGAUUUUUAUUUUCCUUUUGUUCCAAUUUUAUCCUUACAAACAAAGCUCCCUAUGUUUUUUCUCUUCCUCCGUCGAUCCACACAACAAUCAAAUCCCUUUCAUCACCUUCCAUUAUCGCUUCAAUCACACACUGCUUCAUCUUUUCGUUCUUCAACUUCUUAUACAUAUAUUUUAAAAACCGAAGAAAUUAGACUAGAUGUGCAAAAAGAAAUGGAACUCCAUAACCAUUGAUGGCUAAUCCUUUGGAAAAUCCAAGAUCUCCAACUUCACUAUCCUGUCUAACGGCAGAUGAAUAUUCUAUUCUAUUAUUUUCCUGUCUUCUCCGGUGAAGGUGCAUGUACACAAUUUGGAUGGAUAAGAUUGUUGAGAAACCAAAUCUUUGGUUGAAGACUAUCUGAUUGCAUCCAUUUUGGGGAAAGCUGAAACAAAACAGAAUUUGGAGUUCAAGAAAAAAUAAUAAUAAUAAAUAAAGUGCAAGCAGUUUUAGUUUCAAUUUUUUGUUGUGUUCAACUCCACAAUGAACCAUGAAGAUAUGAUACUUCCGCUGGAGAGGCUUAUGAGACCUCUGCUUCAUCGUUAUUCAUAUCCUCAAAAUUCCUCCAUUACCAAUCCCCCAUCCUCACCUCCAAUUCCUCUUCAGUUGUAUAAACGUUGAUAUAUCCUCAUUGUCACGUUGUAAAUUUAGAAUAAAAUAUGUCUUUUUUUUCUCUAUUCCUCCUGUCUGCAAUUUUUUCUUUGCUAAUUGGUUGUUUAAAUUGUGUCACAAAUAUAAAAGAUCGUGAAAAAAAAUCGUUUACAAAAUCUAAACGUACAAAAAAAAUUGUGUACCAAAUCUAAACUAUAGUUUUUCAGAAAAUUUUGAAAAAAAUCGUUGAGAUUUGGUAACACAAAUUUAAACAAUCAAUAUAUACUAAAAAAUUAUUAAAAAAUCGUUUAGAUUUAGAUUUGGCUUCGACGAUCCUCUAGAAAAGAAUAGCCAAAUCUAACUAUCAUUUUCCAAAUACUAAGUUUUCCAAAUAUAUUACAUGCACUAGAUGCCAAUUAAUCAGAACAUUUUUUAAAUUUUCUAACGUAGGCCGUGCACUUUUUCCAUUUUUGAAAUUGUUCUAUACGGUGUGAAUAUUUUGCUGCUUUGUUAUAUUUUUUAAAAGACCCCUUUAAUAAAACAGAAAUUGACAAAAUAUUUAUAUUUCAUAAAAAAAAUAAAGUGAAAUAAAAUUUGUGUUUAGUGAUAUUCUUCUAUUCAAUUUUUUUCUAUUUUAAAAAAAAAUCAUUACAAAAUCAUUUUUAUUAUACUAUUAUUAAAAAUUAAAAAUAAAAUUGUUUGAAGUAUGAAAUGGAGAUAGAGUGCCCUUAAUGUCAUUGGGUCCAUUAGAUUAUUAAAAGAAUAGUUACAAAUUUAGCAAUUAGAUUCAAAAUAAUUAAUUAUAUAGCAAUAUAUUAAAAAAUUUGCAAAUAUAACAAAAAUUUGUUAAAUUCUAUCAAUGAUAUAAGUCUAUCACCGAUAGACCAUGUUGCAAAUAUUGAUCUACCACUGAUAGAACAUACGAAGUCUAUCAGUGAUAGUUUUGCUAUAUUUGCAAAUUUUUUAAAAUAUUGUUAUAUACUUCGAUUUUCUCCUCUCUUUCCAUUAAAAUUUUUCAACUUUUAUAUAUUUAUUUUUCUUGAUGAGGAAAUUAAAUUGUCUCAUAUCUAGCUAUUAAUUUACACAUAUGUGUCCUUAUUGCUUUAAAUGAUAGGUUGAUGCCAAGGGAAAAAAUUUGUCCACACGAGAUAAACAAUACUAAGAUAGUAAUAUUAUAUAAUAUAUUUGAAUAUAUAUACUUUUCCAAAAUUAAUGGCAUUGAAUUAUCACAGCAUGUUAUUGUUAGUCAGUCAAUUAAUUAAUAGUUUAAGUAACUCUAGAACCCAUUUAAAACUAUUUUUCAAAAUUCAAAAACUAAAUAGACAUUUACCUCACAUAUCAAAUUAUUUAAAAUAAUAUUUAAUAAUAAAUAUUAAUGUCAAAUUUAUCUCAAACAAAGCUAAUAAAUUAAAGAAACCAACGCACCAAUACAUUCCAUCGCAUUGUAUGCGAAGGCCAACCUCUUAAUCUGUAGUCUUAAUUAAACUACCAAAUUUUGUGGUUUACUAGAGUAAUAGCUUAUUCUACAGGUAAUGAUUUUCAAGAGUAGAUAUGUUCUACACAACUUGUCAUUCUGGUGUGUUAAACACGAUAUUCCUCCAUGCACUAAUUAAUUGUAUUUAGUUUAUAAAUCCUUUCUUCUUCUUUUUUUUUGGUUUAUUUCCUUCCUUGGUUGCUGCUUAACGUUGGUCUGUAUUUACCAAUUUCCUAAAAUUAUGAUUAUAUCUAGUGAACUGUUCUUAACAUUAUAUGGUUGGUUGCCCGGCCCUUCGUUGAAUAAAAAAGUUAGAAGUGAUUCGAAAGAGUGUUUCUAUAUGAGAGAGUGGUGUGUAUGUCUCUCUGUACGAGAUUAUAUGCUUAACAAGCUAUUCUUUUCAACUGUUAUAGUGCUUUAAUCUUAUUAUACGAGAUUGUGCUGAAGAAAACAAUUUUUUUAUAUGAAUAACUAAAGUUCCUGUGUGUAACUAAGUCAGUAAUUAUGGGCUAAUCAACAGGUUAUUUUUUUUCAUUUAUUGUAGAGUUUCUCUAGAUCACUAUCUUUUCAUGAAUGAAGCAAUUCUUUGUGAGGGAGUUUCUCAACCAUUAGGAUGGUCUAAGUUUCUCAAGUGAAGAAUACCCUUUAGGAGAUACAAAAACCCCAGGCCGAUAACAGUUAUGAAGGAGUUCUCACUUAGGGGACCAAGGAAAAACAACAAAAACGAAACCUAUAUUUAUUUUUAAGCUCGUUUAAACUUUUUUUAUUUAAAAUUUCAUCACUUCACCUCAAAAUAUUUCUAAAUUUUAUAUUAGUUCGUAUUAAUUUUUUAGUUUUUUAAAAAUAAAAAAAUUAACAAACUAUUUUUACAGAACAAAAUCACUAAAAGAUAAAAUUUAUUUUUUUAGAAAAUGAUAUCUCAAUGUAUUAGUAGUACACCCAAGCAUCUCCGUAAACACUCUUUUAGCACCCUCAUUAUACAUGAUCAAUAUAUUCAUUAAAGGACAAAGAUACAUAAGUCACAAAAGGAUUAGAGAUAAAUCCAUACAACUGUAAGAAAGCAUUGAAAUUAAGAGCUAUAAUAGAGGUGAAUAAUUAGAGAAAAAAUUGCUCUUUUGAUGAACCAUAUAGUCCUGUGUAUUUGCAGACAUCAUCCCAUAAAUUGAUAGGACUGUGGCCGCUAUUAUUGAAGACUCUUUGUUCCUUUCCAACCAAAUAACCCAUAAAGUCGCCACCAUAACGUUGAAACAAAUUAAACCUUUCUUAGAGUUGGUGUUGCAACAAAUACUAUCACAUACGAUGUCAAAUAAUAAAAGACAAAAUUUAUUACCGUUAAUUUUUGUAUCAAAUGUAAAUAUUUUAUAAAAUAUUCUAUUUUUGAUCAAUUUUAUUUUUUUUCAUUAACAUUUAGACCGAUUAAAAAUAGAUAUGCAAAUGUUAACUUGGUUUGUAGAAACGAAAAUGGAAAAUGGUAGUCUAAUACUCAAACCUUAUGUUUUUAUAAAAUCAACCCCUCGAUAUUUUUUAUUAUUUCAAACAUCGAUGGAAAUACAAUUUCAUUUAAAAUAAAUGCAUAAAAUUGAGGAGGAAAAUGAAUGCAAUAUUUUAAACAUGUGGAGAAAAUCAAUAUGGUGUGUUCCUAGUCAAUCCAGCAAUAGUUUUCUUUUAAAUGCAAUUAGAUUCAAAAUAUUUAAGUAUAUAAUAACAUUUUAAAAUAAAAUAGUUUUGCUAUAUUUGCAAUUUUUUUAAAAUGUUGCUAUAUACUUAAUUAUUAGUAUGAGCAUGUAUCUAGAAAAUUAAUUAACAAUAGAAGGAGUAGUCCAUCUAUCUUAUGCAUGGAGCAUGGAUCUUCUUGCUUUUUUGAACGUGGACUCUCGACAUCUCCGUCAAAUUAGCGGCUCCAUAUCCAACACCUACAGAAUAGUUAUAUAGAUCUUUAAUAAACUAUUAUCCAAAAAGUGGUUGAGUGUAAAAAUUUUGUUCAAUUUUAUUUUAAGAAGUCACUUCAAUAAAUAUCUAAGUUUUAUUUUUUCUUUUCUUAUAUAUUUAGGUAAAUAAUUCGUUAGAAGUUUAUAAUAGUUUUUUAAUUAGUAUUACUUAGUGUAGAUAUAUCAUUUACCAAUACAUUUAAAAUUUCAAUAAGAUUAAAUUAUAAACUUAGUUCUAAAUUUUGAAAUUGUGCUUAAUAAAUCCUCAAAACAUUUAAUUUAUUGAUUCUAAUGAAUCUCUUAAAAAUAUUUAAUAGUUAUUUAUCGAGAUCUAAAAAAAUAAUUAAAACAUAUGAAAACCAUUUGUUAAAUUAGAUUAAAAAAUGAACAAUUGUGUCUUUAAUACUUUUUAGUUUGAAAUUAAUAAUUAUAUUAAUGGGUCGCUAUUAUGCACAUAAGCUUAAGUUUAGAAUCUAAUAUGUUUUGAGGUUGGAAUGCUAAGACUGUUAAGGGAUGUCGUAAUAUGUUUUGAGGUUGGGAUGCUAAGACUGCUAAGGGAUGUUGUAAUAUGUUUUGAGGUUGGGAUGCUAAGACUGCUAAGAGAUGUCAGAUAUCUCGAUACACUUAUUGAUUAGACCUGUAUGUAUUUUUCUUUUUUUUAAAAAAAGAAAAGAAUCUAAUAUAACAUUUUAGUUUUUGAAAGAUUUAAAAAGGAAGAGAUCAAAAUAUUUUAGACACUUAUCAAACACAAAGUUGAGAAUUCCAGAAUUUAUCAAAUGUAUGAGUGUGUCAGUAUAUAUAUAGACAUAGACAUACAUACGUCAAGUUUAUAUAAACCUAAAUGUGAACGUGAAUUUGUAAUUGAAAAUUAACAUAAUUUUGAAGUUCAUGUCCUAAAUUUUUAUUAUCUUUGUAUAAAUUUAUGUAAAGUGAAACGUGUAAUUUACAGAUUUGUGAUUCACUGCCUUCCAAAGAAUGCAAGUUCUUCUUGUGGACGAUGGUGCGAGAUGGCCUCAAUACCUUGGAAAAAUGUCAUAUUAAAAAUCCAUACACCAAUGACAGUCCUCCUUGGUGUGUAUAUUAUAUGCAUAGCUCGGAGUCCAUGGACGGCCACUUAUUCAUUUUCUUGCUGGCACUCUAAAGCUAAUUUAUGGGUUUGUUUACAGCCACCACACUCUAUACCCUCCUUAUUUGAUAAUUUUCUGCAACCUUCAACGAACAUUUUGAGGUCACAGAUCGUAUGGAUCAACAACCUCAUUGGCACUAUUCUUUGGAAUAUAUCUAGCUUGAAGUAAAUAGAACCUUUCAAGGUGUAGACAGCCAACACAACCAUUUGUGACUCUGUGAGAUGAUCAUAUUCUCCUCAUAGCUAGUCUAAGGCAGAGUUGCUAAAUCAAAUCUUUUUUAUAAUUAUCAAUUAUGAUGUGUAUCUAUCAUAUUGCACUAAACUGAAAGGCCUUGGAAUAUGAUGAGGAUCCUUUCCUCUAGUAUUUUGUAACUAAAACAAGUUAAUCGAGUUCAUUCCUAAGUAAUUAAAUAAUAUAAAUGUUAGGGAUAAUAAUAAUUCCGCAGCUUUUAAUAAACGAACUCAAACCUUUAGCAUUAAAAUUUUGUUGACUUUAAUCUUAACCAUUAAAUUUUUGUUAAAGCGCAAGAAGAAAGGUAUUAUUAUUAUUAAUAAUAAUGCAAAUGUGAACGUGAGGUUUGAAACUUCGAAAUCUCACAAAACUUUUUGCAUGGAGAAAAGACAAAUAUGGUUGAAAUAAGAAAGAAAGAAAGGUAAAAAAAAUGAGAAUUAGUGAGGGUAGACCCGUAAUGUCAAGCUUCAACAACUCUUAUAUAAAGACCUGAUGAAGAACCAAACUCACAAGUUUCCCUUCUCACCUUCUUCUUGAUCAUUCUCUACAUAAUAAUAAUGUUGAAAUCUCUAGGCUGUGGGUCUUCGACUCAGGUCGCUUCGGCGACUCUCUGCCAUUUGUGGAGGUCGUCGAGUCACAGCGGUGCUUUGUUUCAGCCAUAUCCAAAUGAUAUUAACCUGAAGAAGCAGCUGAUGAGGGGGAAAAAGAGUAAGAAUAAUGGAGGGUUGAGAUUGGUGUCCGGAGGUGGGAUAAUCAAAGCAGCCUUAGCCAUAUCCGCGGAACCCACCACCACGGUCAUCACAAAAGUGAUUGUGAAGAAGAUCACCGGAGUAACCUCCUCGUCCAACCUUACGAAUGGAAGCCAACCCCCUCAAAAGUUGCUACAGCUUGGGUUCGCUAGCACUUUACUUGAUCCCAGUAACUCUCUUUUAUUACACACUUAUUAUCUAAACAAAAACUAUAAUCUUUAUUUUAAAACGCUAAUCUUUUUAACCUUUUUACUUUUUCUUUCUCUAACAUGUGGUAUUUGCUCAUUUCCUCCUAGAUCCAAGCUAUCGUUUCAGUGAGAAUCAUAAAGACAAAUAAAAUUACUAGCAAAGACUAGGUGGAACUUUAUCACCUGUGCUACACCAUUUUUCCUAUCACACAAAGAGAGAAUUGAAAAGAAUAUUAUCUUUUUGAAAAAUAAAAAUGAAACGUUAAAGCAUUUUAAUGGACCAUGCAUAUGGGAUGCAAAGAUAAGUGCGCAUCCGAGGGAGUAUCCAAGUUUUUCACUAAAAUUAUUCAACUUUACGUUUUAUAAUAAAGAUAGUUGCACUCACACUCUCACUCUCACUCUCCCCCAGUGACAUCAUAAAUAGUGCACUUAUUGACAACUAUAAUUGGUUUGAUUAAGAAACAAAGUUUAUGGAGAAUCUAUUUAGAUUUCACUUUUAUAUGAUUAAAUUAUUCCUUGAAGUCACAAAAUUUGUGGUUUCAAUUUUCAACCUAAAUUGAAUGAAAUCUUUAUAAGAGAUGAUGAGGAUGUUAAAAGAUAUCUAUUUAGUGAAAAUGUUUGGAGUCACCUAGUAAUCCAAGUCAUAUCAUUUUCUAAAAAAAUGGAAAAAAGAACACAUAUAUAAGAUUAGAAUUAAGUAUCAAAUCAUUAACGUCUAGAUUUUAUAUAUAUAUAGUUUCUUUACUUUAGAAGAAUGUUUAAUGAUUAGUCAACUAAUUCUUCAUUUUCGUGUUUAGUAUAUUUCUUAACUAUCAAUUAUGCAUCUUGAUCAUAAUAAGUUUUUCACAUAUUUGAAAAUAUUAAAAAUUAAAUGUUUUAUUAUUUAUUAAAUUUAGGUUUGUGUUUAAUAGGUAGAAUUAGUCAUCUUCUCAAAAUUAAUGUAUCCAAUAACCAUAACAUUUAAUAUUUAGGUUUAAUUAGACACAAAAUACUUUUUUGUUUUUGUCUUAUCACACAAUUAGCUUUUAAAUAUUUUAAUAUUUUUGACAUCUUGAAAUUUAUAAGUUUAUUCCUUUUUUUAGAAACUUUGAUCAUACUUGAAUGUUUAAGAAUUUAAAAUAACAUUUAAUCUUUUUGAUGCUCAACAUGUAAUUUAACUUUCAUAUAGAUCUUUAUUGAACUGUUGAUCUAAAUAUAUAAGAAAAAAUCAUUCCAUCAAUUUUCGUAAAUAAUUUUAUAGAGAUUCAAACAUGUUUCUGGUGUACUUAAAUUAAAAUAUUAUUACAUAUAUUUUUUAGACAUUAAAAAUUAAAAUAAUAUUAUAUUUUUUAGACAUUAAAAAUUAAAAUAAUAUUACAAAAAGAGGUUAUAUCUCAAUAACAAUCGAAAUUAAUUUGAAGAUUAGCCUUAAAAAAUCCAUUUCAAGAUUUUGAGAUGAUGUUUAUAUAUAAAUAUAUAAAAAUUAGAAGAAGUCAAUGAUAUAGUUUCCCAAGUUGUUGUUUGAGAAUAAUAAACAUUUUCUAUAUAGUUGUAGAUUAUAGAAAAUGAAAAGGUGAUUACACCUUUCAAACUCUUAUUGAGAUCGAGAAGAAUAUAGUCCUUUUAUAGUUCUAAUUAAUAUAGAAUGUAGAAUAGGGAAUGAAGAAGACUACAAAGCUUUUGAGAUUCUAACACUUUUGACGAUUAUAAGUAAUGAUGAUGAUGAUGAUGGUCUACAAAUCAAUAAACAUUUUUUAUGUCCUUAUAACAAAAUGUGUCAAUUCAUAUUUUUUUAGUAGACAUGGAACAAAAUAUAAGUUUGAUUGUAUUUGGUGAAAUAAGGAACUGGAUCAGAGAAGCCCCCUAUCACUGUUCAAGCAAAGUUAAUAAGUGAGAAUGAGGUGGAAGAAAUUUACGAGGCAAGUUUGGAAAUUAGCUCGAAUUUUGGAGAGAUUGGGGCUGUAAUUGUUGAGAACCACAAUGAAAAGGAGAUGUACAUCAAAGAGGUUAAUCUCAACGGCCUUGCUUCUGGUCCACUCACCGUCAGUUGCAAAUCAUGGGUUCAACCCCAAACUUUGGUUCCCACCCAGAAGAGAGUCUUCUUCACUAACAAGGUCAUGCUUAACCCAUUUCUUGAUCAUCGUCCAAAUUUGUACUCAUAAUGUUUUAAUUUGUUUAUUUUUUCCUCUUUGGUGGCGUACAGUCAUACUUGCCAAUGCAAACACCUACUGGUCUUAAAUCCAUGAGGGAAACUGAGUUAACGAAUUUGCGAGGGAAUGGUACUGGAGAGCGUCAGAGUUACGAUAGAAUAUACGAUUAUGAUGUGUAUAAUGACUUAGGCGAUCCUGACAAGAGUGAAGAUUUCAAAAGACCUAUUCUCGGUGGCCCUGAUCGUCCUUAUCCUAGACGUUGUAGAACCGGUCGUCCGCCUACUGAGACAGGUUUACAUUACUCUUGGAUCUGAUCUACUCUCUCUAUCUCUAUUAGGAUUGCAUCCAUCCUUAUUAAAAUGUAUAUGUAAUGAUUAUGUAGAUCCACAUUCGGAGCAAAGGGCAACAGGAAGCAUAUACGUCCCUCGAGAUGAGGCAUUCUCUGAUAUAAAGAGCAAGGAGUUCACCGCAGAUAAGUUUUCAGCUUUCUUACGAACCUUUAUACCUCGACUCCAAGUACAUUUUGAUCCAAACAUUGGAUUCCCCAACUUCAAGGCAAUUGAUGCACUUUUUGAUGUUGAUGGUUUCAACUUGUCCCUUCCUGACUCCACGUCUUUCAAAGAUCUUUUACCUUGGAUUUUCAAAACCAUCUAUGAGAUUGAAGAAUUUAAGUUCCGCUUUCAGCCUCCUGUACCUAUGGAUGGUGAGCAAAUGAUCUCUCAUCUCUCCUAUCUACUUCUUAACUCUGAUCAUGCCCUAUAUUUAAAUUUUCUUACCAUCAUUUUAUAUUAAAUAAAUAGGGGACAAGUUCUUUUGGUUGAGAGAUGAAGAAUUUGCAAGGCAAACUCUUGCUGGUCCUAACCCAUGCAGUAUUCAGUUAGUUAAGGUAUUGUAUUGGACUAUGAUACUUAAAUCUUGUGGAUCUAUAAUUCAUACACACUAAAAAUAAUAUACAUCGCAGGAGUGGCCAUUAAGUAGCCAACUUGAUCCUAAAGUCUAUGGUCCUCCCGAGGCUGCAUUCAACACCGAAAUGAUUGAUCAAGAAAUUGGAUCCAUGACCGUUUAUGAGGUAUUUCUUCUCAUUUAAUGAGUUGAUAUAAAUUUUUAGCUAGUCACGACCAACAUUAUCAUUUUAUUUAUGUACUAAUAUAUCUUUCCAAAUAAUGCACAAAUGGAUGCAGGCAAUUCAAAAGAAAAAGUUAUAUAUAUUGGAUUACCAUGACAUGUUGUUGCCAUAUGUGCAAAAAGUAAGAGCCCUUAAGGGAACAACACUUUAUGGAUCAAGAACAUUGUUCUUUUUAAAUGAGGAUGAAACACUUAGGCCACUAGCUAUUGAGCUGACACGACCACCUAUUGAUGGAAAGCCUCAAUGGAAAAGAGUUUAUGGACCCAGCGAGAAGGCCACUAGCCUCUGGCUUUGGAGGUUUGCCAAAUCUCAUGUUCUUGCCCAUGACACUGGUUAUCAUCAACUUGUCAGCCAUUGGUUGAGGACCCAUUGUGUUGUGGAGCCAUACGUUAUAGCCACAAAUAGACAAUUGAGUGCAAUGCACCCUAUCUAUAGACUUUUACAUCCUCAUUUAAGAUACACUAUGGAAAUCAAUGCAUCUGGUCGCACCAAUCUUAUCAAUGCGGGUGGAACAAUCGAGUCCACAUUCUCGCCUCUUAGAUAUUCUAUGGAGUUGAGCUCUACAGCAUAUGAUCUUCAAUGGCAGUUUGACUUGCAAGCCUUACCAGCUGACCUAAUUCACAGGUAAAAUUAAAGCUCACGAGUUUUUAUUAUUUUGAGUAAUUUGACAUGUUAUCAAACCUCAAGGUGCCGUGUGGCUCUUUACAAAAGGUGACCCUUUUUUUUGGCAGAGGAUUAGCUGAGGAGGAUCCAACUGCUUCACAUGGUCUAAAACUGCACAUAAAAGAUUAUCCUUUUGCUAAUGAUGGAUUGAUCUUGUGGGAUGCUCUGAAACAAUGGGUGACAGAGUAUGUGAAUCAUUACUAUCCAGAGCUAUACCUAGUAACAACUGACCAAGAGUUACAAGCAUGGUGGACUGAAAUUAGAACAGUAGGACAUGCGGACAAACAAGAAGAGCCAUGGUGGCCACUCCUCAACACCCCUCAAGAUCUAAUAGACAUAGUGACAAACAUCGCUUGGGUAGCAUCAGCACACCAUGCAGCUGUGAACUUUGGGCAAUAUGCAUACGCAGGGUAUUUUCCAAAUAGGCCAAGUAUAACAAGAACCAACAUGCCCACAGAAGAUAAUAACCCGACACUUUGGAAAAGCUUCUUAGAAAAGCCAGAGGAGUUGCUUCUAGAUGCUUUCCCUUCACAACUUCAAGCAACACAGAUAAUGUUGGUGAUGAGUAUGCUAUCAAGUCAUUCUACUGAUGAAGAAUAUAUUGGAAAGGAUAUGGAGCCAUCGUGGGGCGAUAAUCCAACCAUAAAAGAAGCAUUUGAGAGGUUUAGUACAAGUAUUAAAAACAUGGAGCUAAUAAUUGAUCAUAAGAAUGCUGAUUCCAACUUGAAGAAUAGAACUGGAGCUGGGGUUACUCCCUAUGAACUUUUAAAGCCAUUUUCAGAGUCUGGGGUGACUGGAAAGGGGGUUCCAUACAGUAUUUCUAUUUAAAAUGACGAAGGAGGAUGAGGAAACUAAGUGCUGAAAGCUUUGAAAUACUGAGAUAAUUUAAGUUUAUGUAUGAGAUAUUAGUAUCAGUGUGUGACGUAUUGUAUUAAUGUGUUCAAAAUAAAUAUUAAUUGUUGUUGUACCUUUGAUUAAGAUAUAUAAAACCAAACUUAUGUUAUUGGCUGGCAGUGCCACAUAGCUUAGAAGCAAAGACAUUUUUUAAUCAUACCUCAAUUCAGUUUGAUUACUCAUGAAUUUAAUUUUAGAGUACAAAACAAUACAUUGGGAGAAAACUCAUCAUAUAUUUGGUGCAAUCCUGAUUAAGUUCUCCAAACAAUUUAACAUUAAUCAAUUUUGAUUAGUUUAUCCACGUUUCAAUUUACACAACUAUAUAAAAAGAAUGGAAGAGAAAAUCAAUAUUUAAAUUAAAUGGCAGCAAUAUAAUUUUUUUAAAAAUAUUGAUCUCAUUCCACUGCAAAUUUUCAAUUUGAUAAAUUAUUAAAAUAUUUACGAUCCGGAUAACAAAAUGAGAAACCUAUGAAACUGAGCAUUUUUUUUUAAAAAAUCCAAGUUUGUCAUUCCUUAUCAUCGUCUUUUUUGUACUCUAAUGCUAUUUUUUCUUUUCCUCCUCUCUAUUUUUUUCUUUCUAUACUAAUUUUUUCUUCCUCUAAUUUUUUUUCUUCCUAUCGUCCUUUUUCUCUUCUUCUGCAUUUUUUAAAAUAUUUUUGUUUAUCGUUCAUUUCAUAUUCUUUUUUCUGCAACUUUUCUUUCUUUUCAAUAUUUUUUUAUUUUUUUCAAAUUGUUAUAUGGUUGUAUUUUUUCUUUUCUUUUCAUCGUCUUUUUCUCUUCUCCUGUAAUUUUUUUUUAUAUUGUUUAAAAAUUAUUAUUUGAUUGUUUAAGAUCAUGUGCCGAAUAUGAAAUGAAAAAAAAAAUCGAAGGAUAUUUGAUAGGCAAAGGUAAACGAUUGUGUAGCAAGACUAGCCAAAUCUAAACGAUCAUUUCCAAAAUAUAUUCCAAUAAUCUUUAAAAAAAAAACAACGUUGAGAUUUGGCUAUCCAAAUUUAAAUGAUCAAAUCUAAACGAUCGUGUGUCAAAUUCUAAUUCUAAAGACCGUGUAGCAAAAAAUCUUAAAAAAAAAAUCGUUAAAAAAAGCAUUGAGAUUUGGCUACCCAAAUUUGAAUCUUGAAAAAAAAAUUGUUUCAAAUUUAAACAAUAGUGUAGAAAAUAAUAAUAGUCAAAUUUAAAUGAUUGUUUUUCAAGUAUAUUACAUGUUUUUUUUCAAAUACAUUAGAUGUGCUUAGAUGUCAAUUAAUCAUAGCAUACUUUUUAUAUUUUUUAUUAUGGACCAGUAAGCUUUUUCUGUUUUUAAAAUUAUUCUACAAUGUAAAUAUUUGGUCGUUUUGUUAUAUUUUUAAAAAAACUCGUAAUAAGUGUAAUAAAUUUAGAUAGAAACACAUAAAAGAAUGGGAAGAAAUAAAGCCGCGUGGUAUUUCCUCAUUGGAACAUUGUCUUUUUAGUUCAAUUCACACAUUAUUAUUAAUGGAGUUUGACCCUCGAAGAUGGAGACAAAAAUAUACUUAGAAGAUUAUAUCAUGAUGGCAUAUAUAUUAAACAUAUAUAUUUCAUUUGUCACGUUUAUAAAUUUUAAAAUAAAAAAAUUAAUCUUUAGUAUUUUUUUUGUGGUAUAUCGUUUGGGAGAUCAUGUGAAGGUGAUAUAAUUCAAUUUAAUAUAAACUUGUCAGCUCUCAUUUUAUCAGAACCUCCAUUUGAAAAGAAACUUGAGGAUGGCCUGCAGUGAGUAGACAUCACCAACCUUAGAGUAAUGCUUGUGUGUUAUAUUACUCCAAAAUUAGAGGUUGAAUUUGUUGUAAAUUAUUAAACAAAUCAUCAUACAAUGGUGGUCACAAUUUAAUUUUCCAAUUCUUUCAACCUAAAAUUGAACAUCUGUGUUAACAUUUUUCAUAAUAAACAAUAAUAUGGACUGUCGUUAAUCAUUCAUAAUAUAAUAUAUACUAAUAAUACGUCGUUCUUAAAAUUUGAAGGAUAAAAAAACUUUGAUCAUUGGUUUUUUCUUUUAAAAAAUCUUAGUUGGAAUCAUAUCUUUUUGGUUUUCUUCCCAUACCAGCCAACAGGGAUAAGUCCAUAGCAGAACAAAUAAAUUGACUUAGAUCGGGUUAGUUUAUCGAGGAAUAUAUAGUAUUUUUUAUAUUAAAAAAUAUCAAUUUAUAUCAAAUUUGUAUCCAAUUUGAUUUUGAAUUAAUAAUUGUAUCAAUUUAAACUUUGAACUUCAAACGUUGUAUCAAUUUUUAUCCAAAUAAAAGAUAAUAAAGAGUUUAAACUUAUAAUACAAUCAUGUAAGUUUACGAUUUAAAUUGACGAAACUCCGCAACUUAACGUGUUUUGAAUGAGAGUAGUACUAAAUUGGAUGACUAAUUGAAAAGUCCUCGUUGCACUCCUUCGAAACAUUAAACAAAACGAACAUUCAUAAUUCAUUUCAAUUAGUUUACAUACUCAAGUAAAUUUACAAAGUUUAGGUGGAAAUAUAAUUUACAUUUUUUUUGUGUGUGUUUUCACGUCCAUUGAGUUAAACAACUAUGUAUAUGAUAAUAGUUUAAAUUUUUUUAAAAAAGAACUAAUUUUAGAUUUUGUAACUAGGAAUCGUGAAAAAUAACAAAUUUAACAAAAUAUUUAUAAUUUAUAAUAAAUUUUUUCAGAUUUUAUCACUAAUAGAUAUUGAUAUACGUUGAUAUGCUUCUAUCAAAAUCUAUGAGUUUCAAUCAUUAAUAGAAUCCAAAAUUUUACUACAGUAUUGAAAAAAUGUCGGUUUCGUAACUCUAAGAGUAAAAUUUUUGAUAUACAACAUUAUUAUGUUUUUAUGAGUGUAUUGAAUUUUAAAAGAUUUUUUUGUUGAUAUGAAUGAUAAAAAAAAACCUAAAAUAAUAUCAUAUAACAUAAUAAUAAAAUAAUUACAUAUACAUCACAAAUCCAAAAAUCAAGCUUGAAACAUUGUCUUUAAUUUAUUGUUUGUAUUUUUUAAAUUAAUAUUUAUGGGUUUUAAAAAUAAUAACAAUAAAACUAAUUAUUGAAAAAAAAAAUUAAAUAGCAAAAUAAAUUAAAAUAUUUACAAACUAUACCAAAAUUUUGGAUUCUAUCAUUAUAAAAAAACUACGAAAACAUAAAAAUAGAUUGCACUUUAUUUUUCUAUCUUUUUGAUAAUUUUCUUAAUAUAUAUUAUUUAUAUAAUUUUUGAAUGUAAUCAUAUUAAUUAGCACCAAUACAAUAGAUCUCAUUAAAGCUUAGUGUAAUUAAACAUGCUCAUGGGAGAAUGACCACUUGAAAAAUGAACGUACGUAUUGCACUCAUUUUAAAUAACAUCAAAAAAGGACAAAAUGUUUGGAUCGAAGUAUUAAAUAAAAAAUGUUAAAAAGAUAUGAACGAUUGACAAUCUCAUAAAACAUGUGCACAAAAUCGUAAACAAUUAUUAUAAAAUAAAACUUGCACUGUCAUCACAUUAUUCAACUCAUCAACUUUGAACUAAACAAUUAGAACUUGAUAUCAUAUUAUUUAACUUAUCAUCUUAAAAGUUUAACUUUCGCAAAUUAGGAACGUAACACGAAAACAUAAGUCAUUCAAUAUAAUAUAAUAUUAUUUUUAUCUAAACACGCUUAAUUACAAAGUUUUAAUGGAACGUGUGCAUUACUACUACUAUAAUUGGACCCAAUUAUAUUAACUAUAUGUUUCUGGUUAGCUGUUUGUUUGAUAAUGGUAAUUGGUUGAGAUCUAUCAUCUCAAGUGGGAAUUUCAUUUUUCUUUUUUGUAUUAUGGGAGAACAUACCAUAUCCAUCCAAAAUUCAACCUAAUGUUAUAUGAUAUAUUAUUUUAAUCAUAUAUCUACACAAAUUGUAACUUUUUUUUUUCUUUUCUUUCUAUGUUGGAGAAUAAAUAAAUGUAAUAUGACAAUUGGUAGAGCUAAUAUUUUGAUAAUCUAAGAUAUUACUCAAUGCACAUGCACUUCUCAGCACACACACCCAUGCAUAUAUACACCCCUUUAAAUCUUAUCCAUAUAUCCAAUGCAACCAAUAACAAAUUAAAAUAAUACUAUGAUCAAAAUAUGAUUUGUUUUUUUCAAACUAUAUUUUGAUUCUAAACUUAGGGUAAUAAUGUUCAUAAACUCAUUAAUUUAUUUCAAAGCACAAAGUAACCAUUGAAUAAUUAGGGUAAAAUCCACAACUCAAUUUAUAUAAAAUAUGUUAUUUUUAGAGACAAAUAGGGUUAGAGAUUAGAGGUUAGAGGUGAGGAUCCCACGUCUUAGAAAAAAAAUUCAUAGAAAAAAUUAAAAUUUUAUUUAUUUCAUAUGGUAAACAUGUUUUGUACUCAUCCAUGCUAAAUAAACAAGAAUAUAACAUAUCAGAUUUUAUUGAAAGGUUGAUGAAGCUAUAAGGUGGCUAGCUAUUGUUUUCCUCAAUCAAAACUUCGAGUUUGAUUCAUGAAAGACUAACUGUUUGGUAUUUUAGGGAUUGGCUAAGGUCUUUUUAUAUAGGAUUUCCAUUAAACCUAAUAAAUCUCGGGAUGAGUUUCUAUCUCUUUAGUCCAUACUUAAUUAGAAAUCUAAAACCUUAAUUAAAUAGAUCGAAUUUGUAGAGUUCAACCUAAUAAAAUAACAAAUAAAAAACCAAAAUAUUUAGCAAACUUUCUGGUAACUUUUAUUAAUGUCUAUUGUUAUCGUUGAUAAAAUCUAAUAUUUUACUAUAUUUUAUAAAUAUUUUAAGUAGAUUUAUCACUUUUAACGAAUCUCAAUAUCUAGAUGCCAUUUAUUAGUCCUUUAAAAUUACAUCAUAUGCAGAAGAAAGUAGGUAAUGUUUAGUUUUUUAUAUUACAUAAAGUACAAUAAAAUACACUUUAAAACUUUGAAAAUUGUGACAAAUAGAUCUCUGACUUCUCAUUUUAAUUGUAAAGUUUACGAGAAAUGUCUCAUAUUUCUAUCAACAGCCACUUUUAUAUCCUAAUAAAUCUUAGAAAUAUUCAAAUUUAUUUAUUUUGUUUAGAAAAAAAGAUUGUCUAAUUGAACCAUCAACUAAUAGUUUUCUAAUUAAGUAGGUAAAUUAAAUUUUAAAAGAUGUUCAACAUUAACUAUUAAACAUAAAAUUAAAUGUAAAUUAAAAUGUAACAUAUAACAUUUAAUUUUUCUCAAAACAGCUAUAUGAUGAGUGACUUUCAAAAUAUAGCAAAAUAUCGGGAUGGUUGUGGCGUUUCUUUACCAAGCCUAGUUCUCUUUGAAGAAAAAUUAUUUCGGUCAAACACAAAGAAUUUCAUAUAGCAAAAUUUUGAAUUCUAUCAUUAUAACAUAUCAAUUGGACUAGCAAUGAUAUAAUUUCUUAUAGGUUGUAAAUAUUUUGUAAAAUAUAUUAUUUUAAAAAAAAUUUAAAAAAUAUAAAAUUGAUAAAAUUAGAGAUCUAAUAGGAAAAAAUAAUUGAAAACAAAAAAAAAAAAAAAGAUAUUUUUUAGAUGUGGUACACUUCUCAUUUUAUAUAAAUCUAUGCUAGUGGCACAAAGUUUUAAAUAUGCCAUUGAAACAUGUGUGAAUUAAUUUAUAGGUCCUGUUCAUAAAUAAUUAACAAUAUACAUUUAAGCCACUAUUUAAUUCCAUAGAUUUUAAAUUCAAUGAAUGAACUCGAAAAUUAGAACUAAAUAUUUUUGUUAAAGUUGAGGGGAAAAAGUUAUUAUUAUAUUGGAAGCUUUGAACUCUCCCGGUAGUUUUUGUUAGAGUUGUUCUCAUGUUUAAGAAAAUCAAAAGAAAAUUAUUUGAGUGAAAAAGAAAGAGAGCAAAUUUGACAAAAUAUUUACGUAAGUUUUUUUAUUCUAUCGAUAAUAAACAUUGAUAGACAUUAAUAGAAGUCUAUCAAUUUUUAUCAUUGAUAGAAUUCAAAAUUUUGCUAUAGCUGGUAAAUAUUUUAAUUGAUUUUGCUAUUUUUAAAAAUGACUAUUUAUUAUAAUGGUAUAAUUUAAACUAUCGAUAAUAUUUACCAAACGGGUUCGUGAUAACUUUAUUUUUUUUAAAAAAAAUAGGAGUUAGUGGGGACAAUUUCGUAAUUUGAAGCUCCAACACUAGUAUAUAAAGACCAUCGAUGGAGAACCAAAAAAUCACACCAAUAGUAAUACCAAAUACAUAUAGUCUGCAUUCUCUCUUCAUAGAGAAGAAACAAAAGAAUUUAUUGCAAUGUUGAAAUCUCAAGGCCUUGGUUCAUCCAUAGGGGUGGCGCCGGUGAGUCUCCACCAUACGCGGACAUCGUUGGCACGUCGUGGCAUCGACGGCAGUGCUUUGGUUCCUUAUCAGAAUAAUAAUGAUCUCCAAAAGAAACUAAGAGGGAUUAAGAUCAAGAAUAAUAAUGAUAAUGGAGGUUUGAGAUCGCUGUCUGGAAGUGGAAUAAUCAAAGCAGCCUUAGCAACAGCUACUGAAACAACCACUAGUGUCAUUACGACAGUUACUGUGAAGAAGAUCACAGGAGAAAUCACUUCAUCCACCAUUGUCAAGGAAAACCAAUUAGCCGCCCCUCCAAAAUUUCUCCAGCUUGGGUUCGCCAGCAUUCUCACUGAUCCUAGUAAGUUUCUCUUCACAGUAUAUUGAGUUAUAUAACUUGGAUUUUAAUUCUGUAACUAAGUAACUAGCAAUAGUAAUUUAACGAAUUCCAUGAGUGGAUUUUGUCGUUUCAAAAUUUGGAAGAAUCUAUCUUGUUCAGAGUGUGUGUAUAUAUAUAUAUAUUUUUGAAACACGAGCUUUAUCUUAUCUUUAAUUACAAAAUUAUUGUUUAGCCAAUUUAUACAAAAGAAAAAGAAAACGAACUUCUAAUAUCCACGAGAUUGAUACAAAAAGAUUAUGUCAACUAAACUACGAUAGUUUUAGAUAUUAACCUUUAGUCUUUUGAGGCAAAAUAAAAUAAUAGAUAUAUUUUGUAUAGCUCUAUUUUCAUAAAUAUAACACAAUAUCUUGGAUUCUAUAGAUGACUAUUUUUUUUAAUUCUAGGGUUGUCCUUCAUUUCUAUUUUUUUUCUUUUCUUCUACUCUAAUCUUUUUUUUUCUUUCUAUUUUCUUUUUUUCUCUUAUUUAAUAAUUUAUUUUUUAUAUUUUUUUGAAAUCACGAUAUUUGUUUUUAAUCAAUAGUUAAUAAUUGUAAAUAUAGAUUAUUUUUUCACUAUCAAAUAUAAAAGAUCUUGGUAUACGAUCUUGAAAAAAAUUAUUAUUAUAUUGAUAUACGAUCGUGUAUUAAACCUAAACAAACAAGAUCCAUGAUGGUGUACCAAAUCUUAAAUAACAAGAUCGUUUAGAUUUGAUAGUCAUUUUCUAAGAAGAAGAAUUAGUGUUGAUGACUAGAUCAUUUUUAGUAUUUUCCAUCUUGAGUUGGUGGUUUUUUUUUUUUUUCAAAAUUGUUUUAUAAAUAUUUGGUGGGUUUGUUAUAUUUUUGAGGAGGGUAACGAUAAUGGAUGACCAUUUGAGAAAUAAUAAUUAAGGACAUAACAACAUUAAAAAAAAUUGCAAAUAUAGCAAAACUAUCGCUAAUAGACUCGUGUGGUCUAUCGGUGAUAGAUUAAUAUUUACAACGUGGUCUAUAAAUGAUAGAGUUUGACAAAUUUUGCUAUAUUUGCAUAUUUUUUAAAAUAUUGCUAUAUACUUAAUUAUUUUUAAUUUAAUUGCUAAAUUUGCAACUAUCCCUUUUUAAAAAGCCCUUUAACCUAUUAAAAUAUAUUUUAAUUAUACACAUUAUAUACUUUUAAAAUUAAGAGGGCUAAAAUAAAUAAAUUAUGAAGCAAUUGAUUUUGUAAUAGAUUUAGAUGGUUAAAUUUUGCCUCAAUAACCUUUUGAAUAUUUUAUAAGGAAAUAAACAUUUAUAGUUGAUUCCACUCCUUGCAUGUAAUAGUAUUAUAGUGAAUAAGUAAGUUGGGUUUGCAUGGUGGAAUAAGGCACUGGAGCAGAGAAGCCCCCCAUUAUGGUUCAGGCAAAUUUGAUACAUGAGAGUGUUGUGGAAGAAAUUUAUGAAGCAAAGUUGGAGGUUCCCUCAAAUUUUGGGGAGAUUGGGGCUGUCAUUGUUGGGAACUAUAAUCAAAAUGAGAUGUACAUCAAAGAAGUUGACCUCAGUGGCCUUACUUCUGGUUCACUUACCAUCCCUUGCAACUCAUGGGUUCAACCCAAGACUGUAGAUCCCACACAGAGAGUCUUCUUCACCAACAAGGUCGUGUUCAACCCAUUUUCCUUUUUUCUUUUUGUUACCUUCCAAAUUUAAACUCAAAAUUUUUGUUUGUUUUUCACUUUUGGUGGGGUGCGUACAGUCAUACUUGCCAUCGCAAACUCCUGCCGGACUUAUAUCCAUGAGGGAAUCAGAGUUAGUAAAUUUGCGAGGUAAUGGUACUGGAGAGCGUCAAAGUUACGAUAGAAUAUACGAUUAUGAUGUCUACAAUGACCUUGGAGAUCCCGACAAGAACGAGGAUCUCAAAAGGCCCGUUCUCGGUGGCUCUACCCAUCCUUAUCCUAGACGUUGCAGAACCGGUCGUCCACCUUGUCAAACAGGUCUCUAUUUCCUCAUUUGUAACUAAUCACCCUUAUCCUAAGUUUCUGUUUUUUAAUUUUUAUGUAAUAAUCAUGUAGAUCCACAAUCAGAGCAAAAGGCAACAGGAAGCAUAUAUGUCCCUCGAGAUGAGGCAUUCUCAGAUAUAAAGAGGGCACAAUUCAAUGCAUCGACUUUGUUGAAUGUAUUAAAAACGAUUAUACCCAAUCUUCAAGUGCAUUUUGAUCGAAAUGCUGGAUUCCCCCACUUCGAGUCAAUUGAUGCACUUUUUGAUGUUGAUGGUUUCAACUUGCCCCCUCUUGAAUCCACCACGUCUUUCAAAGAUCUUUUACCUUGGAUUUUCAAACUCAUCUAUGAGACUGGAGAAUUUCUCUUACGCUUUCAGAUUCCUGAACCUAUGGAUAGUGAGCACAUCAUCUUUUAUUCUUCUCUCCGUCUCUCUACUUCUUAACACUCUCUUUCUCUCUAUCUUGACUUUUCUUUAUUCUCAUCAAAUAAAUAGGAAAUAAGUUCUUUUGGUUGAGUGAUGAAGAAUUUGCAAGGCAGACUCUUGCUGGUCUUAACCCAUACAGCAUUCAAUUGGUCACGGUAUGAAUGAAUUAACUAACUAUCAUACUUAUUGAAUUCAUAAUUGAUACUCAAUACUUCAGUAAUAUAUUGUAGGAGUGGCCGUUAACUAGCCAACUCAACCCUGAUGUCUAUGGUCCUCCUGAGUCCGCAUUCAAAACCUUAAAUAUAGAUCGCCAAAUUGGCUCCAUGACAGUUCAAGAGGUGUGUUUUUCAUCUUCAAUGUAUAUUAAUUCAUAGCUUUACAUCCAAUAGUGUUAGCAUUUGUACUAAUAUCUUGCCAAAUAUGCACAAAUGGGUUCCAGGCAAUUGAAAAGAAAAGGUUGUUUAUUUUGGAUUACCACGACCUUUUGCUGCCAUAUGUUCGACGAGUGAGAGCCCUUAAAGGAACAACCCUUUAUGGAUCAAGAACAUUGUUCUUUCUCAACGAGGAUGGAACACUUAGGCCGUUAGCUAUUGAGCUAACACGGCCACCUAUGGAUGGAAAGCCUCAAUGGAAAAGAGUUUAUGAACCUAGUGAGAAUGCCACUAGCCUCUGGCUUUGGAGAUUUGCCAAAGCUCAUGUUCUUGCCCAUGACGCCGGUUAUCACCAACUUGUGAGCCAUUGGUUGAGCACUCACUGUGCUGUAGAGCCUUACGUUAUAGCCACAAAUAGACAAUUGAGUGCAAUGCACCCUAUCUACAGACUUCUACAACCUCAUUUUAGGUACACUAUGGAAAUCAAUGCAUCUGCUCGUAGUACUCUUAUUGAUGCAGGUGGAAUAAUCGAGAGCACAUUUUCACCUCUUAAGUACUCCAUGGAGUUAAGUUCUACAGCAUACGAUCUUCAAUGGCAGUUCGAUUUGCAAGCUUUACCGGCUGAUCUAAUUCACAGGUAAAAUUAAACCUUUUGAGUUGAUUUUUAAUUUAACAUGAUACCAUAAAAUGAGGUUUGGAGUUUGAAUUCUCGUAAUACCAUUUUUCCUAUUAAUAUAUGAAAGGUGACACUUUUAUGGCAUGAUUAUAUUGUCAGAGGAUUGGCUGAGGAGGAUCCAACUGCGUCACAUGGUCUGAAAUUACACAUUAAAGAUUAUCCUUAUGCUAACGAUGGUUUGAUUUUGUGGGAUGCUCUAAAGCAAUGGGUGACAGAGUACGUGAAUCAUUACUAUCCAUCCUCGUACCUUGUAACAUCUGACACAGAGCUCCAAGCAUGGUGGAAUGAGAUCAGAACAAAGGGACAUGCAGACAAACAAGAUGAGCCAUGGUGGCCAGUUCUCAACACCCCUCAAGAUCUAAUAGACAUAGUGACAAACAUUGCUUGGGUGGCAUCAGCGCACCAUGCAGCCGUGAACUUUGGGCAAUAUGCAUAUGCAGGAUAUUUCCCAAACAGACCAAGUAUAGCAAGAACCAACAUGCCCACGGAAGAUUAUAACCCUACUCUUUGGAAAAGCUUUUUGGAAAAACCAGAAGAUUUGCUUCUAAACGCCUUCCCUUCACAAUAUCAAGCAACACAGGUAAUGUUCACAUUGAAUGUGUUGUCAAGUCACUCUCCAGAUGAAGAGUAUCUUGGUAAGAAUAUGGAGCCAUCAUGGAACGAUAAUCCUAUAAUAAAGGCAUCAUUUGAAAGGUUUAGUGCAAAGCUAAAAGAAUUGGAGUUGAUAAUUGAUACUAGGAAUGUUGAUCCCAUCUUGAAGAACAGAACUGGUGCAGGAGUUACACCCUAUGAACUUUUGAAGCCAUUUUCAGGACCUGGAGUAACUGGAAAGGGUGUUCCAUAUAGUAUUUCUAUUUAAUCCAUGAAUAAGGCAAAGAUUUAGGUACCCAAAGCUUUGAAAAACUCAAAUCUAUAAUCAUGUACCAGACAUUAUUAGUCUGUGACGAUGUAUUCUAUCAUAUUGCAAAUUCAAAUAAAUGCUUCCUUGUUGUUUUAAGAUAUUGGAUAAUUCAACAUUUCUCAACUUUUUCUCCAUUUUUAGCUUUAUUGCUUUCAAUUCAAAACCUUCAUUUCUAAAGUAAUUGCUUUUGAAAAAAAAAAUCACAAACUUAUUUCAUGAAAAUUUCACAUUCCUAAACUUUGUUUAUAUUAUGUAAUUAUUUUUCCAUUUGUUUCUAAGUUUCUACCCACCUAUCAACAUUUACAUACUGUCUGUAUUUAAAUAUUUACUGUCUGUGUAACAGAAUCAAAAAGUUAUAUCACUUUUUAAAAAUAUUUCAGAUUUGUCAUUUCUUUUUCAUGUCUUUCUUCUCCUCCUCUUCCUGAUCAAUUUUUGAAUUACUUCUCUAGUAUUUAUUUUCCUAUGAAAAACGGUCCGUACAAAUAACUAAAAGAACUCACGAUAAGUGACUAGGAAUAUGUUAAUCAUCUUUUAUUUUCCUUGAAAUAAUAGUUAUAAAUCUGAAAUUAUUUUGGUUGUUUUAAAAUAAAUUUCAAACACACAUAUAAUUUACUCAAAAUUUUAAUAAUAUCUCACGUUAAUUUUGAUAUUGUCUCUUUAACUCAUGGAAACCCAACGACACUAAUUACUUAGCCAAUAUUAUGUGUCUGCUUCAUAAUUCAAUUCAGUUUUAAAUAAAAUAGUGGUAGUUUAUAAAGAAACUAAAACCUCACCUCUAUCAAAACAAAAAGUAAUAUUCGUGUUGAUUUUAUUAAUAAGCACGUAAUGAAUAUUUAUACAAAAGUGUGAAUAAAUAUUUAUACAAAAGUGUGAAUAAAUAUUUAUACAAAAGUGUGAAUAAAUAUUUAUACAAAAGUGUGAAUAAAUAUUUACAAAGAAAUGUUUUAACCUCACCUCAACAGCACAUGCAGCUCUUGUUGGACCUGAACUGAUCUGAACCUCGAAGCGCAUCACGGAAGCAGCCCCCUCUUCCCCACACAUUUCUUUCUCUUUGCCCAUUUUUAGUUACUUGUUUUAAUUUGACUAAGUUUCUUUAGUAAGCUUGAGUUAUUUUCCUUUUCCUCGUUGUUCUUCAGCAAUUUGUGGUUAAAGAGUUUGUUUCUUUUACGAUGUAGACUGUACGCAUGUGAGUGUAAGGACAAAUAAUAAAAGGAUAUCUUCCUUGACUAAAAAUGAUAUACAUGUGGCUUUUGCAAUGUUUUCAACUGUUUACACAAUAGAAUCAUUGUUGAAAUGGUUCCUUUAAUUUAUCUUUUCAGCUCUACUAUACACACAUUCUAGAAUACACAUGACAACCUUAAAUCUUUAUGCAAACAGAUUUGCUCUAUCAAUUCGAAGAACAUGAGAGAGGCUAUCACUUUCAACAUUGAGCACAUUUAACAACACGUUCUUUAAUAUUGUUUGUUUUCUCUCCGAUAUUUUAACAAUGAAAAACAGGUGAGAUGAUAAAUAAUAUCCUCUAGCUAUGGCUAACAUGAUUAACUUUAGGAAUAGCUAACAUAACAAAGGUUAAAUGACCUUUAGCUAUAUCAAAAGUAUUUAACUACAGGUAUAGCUAAAGUUCAUAGAAGUCAAGUAACAAAACUACAGAUAACACAGAAAGCUUUGAUAACCCAGUUCGGCGACCUACAUUUGAGGAGCUUCUUUGGUUCAUAUAAGAAAUAUUAUUGAGAUUCAAAAGUUUGUAAUUUAACCCUAAAGUUAAGUUAACAAGUUAUCACCACUAACGGUAUAAACUCAUGCUCCCCUCACAGUAAACUUGAAUAUCCUUGGAGACGAAUUCAGGUUCCCCUUGAAUUCAUUGACUGCAAUACAAUUAUCUCACCCUUCAUUCAUAUUUCUUAUCAAUCGAUACUCUAUCAAAUUCCUUCACAUUCCUUCACGAUCUUCAAUAAUCUGGCAUAAUGCAGAAGGUAAAUUUUUCACCAUAAAAUAUAUAAACUUUUGAACCACAGCUGUGAAGAAUAAAUUUUACGUUCCAAACUUCUGCUUUUUAAAGAGCCAAGGAAAAAGAACUUCUUUACCAUAAAAUAUUCAUAAAUAUAAGAAAUAUCUUUUAUCUUCUUAUUUGAAUGAGAUAUUUAAGUAAGAUCUUUUAACUCCUCAUUUACAUAAAAUAUUCGUAAAUAUAAGAAAUAUCUUUUAUCUUCUUUUUUGAACGAUAUAUUUAAGGAAGAUCUUUCAACUCCUCAUCCAUAAAUGAUCUUAAAAGUAAGGAAGAUAUUUUUUUUCUUUCUUUAAAUAAAAAUAAAACUAAUUGUAAAGAGAUAUGGAUGAGUCAAUAGGUGCACUGAGACAUCUCCACUAGAAGACACCUCCUUAGUAUCCUUAUUAUCACUAAGACAUUGAAAAAUGACGUUAUAUAGUUCAAUUUUUGUACCAGUGAUGAAUGUUGUUUUAAAGUGAUUAUUUCAAACACAAAUUAAAAGUGCCAUUUUAACCCCUUUUUUUUCUUGGGAACUUAUAUAUGUUGAAAAUAUCAAGAGAAUUCAAAAUCCCAAUACAACACAUAACUAAGUUUACUAUACUCAUUGCUAUUUUGUUUAUUUGAGAUAUGCAAUCUGAAGUUUUAAUUUCUAAUAGAUAUCAAAGACCUAAACAAUUCAAAUGCCUAUUCAGUCAAAAGGAGAAAUUUGAUCCAAUAAUACAUAUAGUAAACUGUACAAAAAAAAAAAAAAAAAAGCAUUAUCUGAUAAAUAAUGUUGAUCUCACAAUUUUUAUCAAAUAAAUAAGCUCUAAGAAUAAUUGAAUUAAUGUAAUAUCAUUUCAAUUUAUAUGAAAUAAUUAGACAUAUAUAUUUAACAGAUUUGAGUUUUGGGUAUUGCAAGCCUACCAUUUUAAAGGACUCUUAAGGAAAAGAAUAGGGAAAAAUAAUUAAAAAAAAAGAGUUUAAAUGGAAGAAAAGGUUGAGAAUGAUUAAGUCAAAGGAUUAUGAAUGAUUAUUUAUAAUCUUUGUUUAAGAGAAUGAUUAAGUGAUUAUUUAUAAUCUUUGUUUGAGAGAAUGAUUUAAGUGAAAGUAUUAGGGAGGAUUAUUGUAAUUGUUGUUUGCGGGAAGGAUUAUGAUAAAAAAAAUUGUAUUUCUUUUCAUUUGUGUAAUUUUUUUAUUUAUUUGUGUAAUUUUUUUUAUUUGUAUGUUAACUCCAAAAUAAUAAAAAAUACAUAAUUAUUUUUUUCCUAGAAAUGAAAUUAUUUUUUUUUUUUUCACGAAUCCAAUACAAAAUGAAAAAUGUACUAAUAUUUUUUACAUUUCUAAUGUACACUUAAUAUACUUUUAAAUGUAAAGUUAUUUUUUCCAUUUGUACUAUAGUUUUUUCUUUCUUUUUUAACAUUAAUUCAAGUACACAAAAUAAAGUUUAUUAAUUUUUUUAAUUGUGUAAAAUAUGUUUAUGAAAUUUAUAUUAUAAAUUCAAUUCAUACCGAAAUUGUAUUAUUUAAUUUUUCAUUUGUCUUCAAUUUGUAGUUCAAUUUGAUUCGUAAAUCCAAUACAUUAAAAAUAUGCUUUUUUUUUUUUAAUUUAUGGAAAAUAUUUGUUUUUUUCUACCGCAAUCCCAUAUGAGAAAGACGUUUUAUUUCAAAGUAUAAGAAAUGUUUAUGGAAUGUAUUUCGUAAACCAAAUACAACAAAAAUUGUAUUACUUUUUUUUUGCGUUUGUCUAAACUUAUUUAUUUUGUUCAUAUUGUUUUCCAAAACGACAAAAAUUGUAUUAAAAUAAUGUUUAUACUUUAUUUCUCCUGUAACCCCUAUACACACAACAAAUAUGCAUUAAUUUUUAAAAUGAUUUUGUAUUAAAAAAAAUCAAAUUGUACACACAAUACACAAUACAAACAAAUUGGUUUAUUAUUUUUUUAUUUAUGUAAAAUAUGUUUCUUCAAAUUGUACCGUAAUUAGAAUACAAAAAGAAAUUUGUAUUUUAAGUUUUUAUCAUCAAUACUUACAAUAAAAAAUUGUAUUUUGUUGUUUUUAUUUUUCUUUCAUUUAUUAAUUUUUUUCUUCAUGAAAACUAUAAACAACAUACUAUAAAACGUGACUAAUUCAUUUGACACAAACAGAAUAAAGAAGAAGGGAGGGUAAUUAAUUUGUUUGAAAAAAAGAAAAAAUAGAAUGAAUAAUUUGGAGAGAAGAAUAAAUAAACGAGGAAAGAGAAGAAGGAAAAGAAAGAGAAUGAUUAUAUUGGAAAGUGGAAUAAUUAUAUUGAAAAAUGAAAAAUUUAAGCGGAAAAAAGUGGAUAAUAAACGAGGAAAGAGAAGAAAUAAGAGAGAUUAAUGGUAGUAUUUUUCCUCUUCUUAAUCCUAAUCGGCGAAACAAGGUUACUUUCCUUUCUUUUCCUUCCCGAAGCCGACCCUUAAGUUUUAUUCUUUUUUUUUUUUGUAUGAAAGUUGAGAUCCUCCAAAAGAAUGGUGCAGGAGUUACAUCAUGAUCGAGUCACAAUCAAACUAAACCAUGUGGAAAAUGGAGACAAUAGUAGACAGGACUAAUUUGUCGAAAGCCUGUGAUGGGAUAACUCAUAAAUAAUUUGCCAAAUAGAAUAUACUUAAGAAAAUAAAAUUAAAAAAAACACUUAUUUGAAAGGCUUCCAUUGAAACUCUCUUUAAUUUGUACACAUUCAUUCUUCUUCUCUUUAAUAGGAUUGUGUCAUGGGCACAUCUAAAAUACAUAACUCACGCCACAAUUAAACCUAACACACUUAAAAUCCUACCUAAAUUUAACUCUAAUGUAUUAACCUACUACAUUUAACUUCUAUCCUUUAAUUUGUUGUUUGCCAACUCUCAUAUAAAUCAAUUCACGUAUAACUAGGUAUAACUUAUCUUUUCUCUCAUUUAUGUAUCUUUUAGAUUUGGUCCGUGACGAGGGCGUUAAGGGUGUGUCAACCUAGUUGAGAUAUCCGAGUGUGCUCGUUGAUCUUUCAACCUCUAGUUCGAUCUCCUUUCAAAAAAGAAAAUAAAUCAAUUCACUUAUAACUUAUCUAAUUAAAACAUGUUUAAUUUUCAACAUAAACCUCUCAUGCUUUCCUAACCAAACAAAUAUUGUGCUAGCUAUUUUGGCUGCGAUGAGCAUUAAAUAAAAAAGUCAAAAUGAGUUUGGCUCAACGAUAAUUGAUAUGAUCUUUCAUUUUAAAGGUGGAAGGUUUGAAUCCCUCAACCUCAAAUGUUGUGUCGUAUACAAACAAAACUAAGAGAAAAAACAGACUCCAUCUCGUCAUCUCUAUUCAUCUCUAUCAUUAACCCAUCAUAGUUAAAAAGACCAGACUUCAGAGAGAGAUAUGCAUCAAACACAAUCUACCAAUGUUACAAUCUUCAAGUAGCUAGCUAGUCAGACUCAACAACUAACUAGGGUUCAAAACAUUAUUAUUUGUCAUUGAUUUAUUAAAAGUUAAAUCAAUAUAACAAUAUAUUAGCAUACUAUUGAUCUCUGCAAAGAGAGCUUGGAAAAUAUCAAUCACACAUUCAUAUCUUGCACUACGGCUCAAAAGCUUUGGGAAAAAGUUGAAAAUAUGAUUAAGUAGAUUUGUUUCAUUAAACAAAAAGAAAAAAAAAAAAAAAACAUAAAAGGCACCAUUGUUGUGGUUAUUUGAUCUAUUAGACUUGAGGGGAAUAAUAGAAUUUUUAAGAACCAUGAAAACCCCUCUGCUGAGAUUUGGGAAGACAUUCAAGUACUCACUCGAUACUGGGCUAGCAUAUCUCUUUCUUUUUGUCAACUGUAGUGUUAGUUCUAUUGCUUUAAAUCUUCAAGCUUUUGUUUAAGUUACAACAUGUGUGAUACUUGUUUGAGUUUAACUUUAUCCCUCUUGUUCUUAUUCCCUGCUUCCUGUACUAUAUUUCUUAGCUAUACUACUCAACCUUAUCUUUUCCAAAACAAAAGCAAUAUAUUAAUACUAAUUUUACUUUGUAUAUAUUUUUUAUAAAAUCAAACAUAUAGAUACUUAUAACUUUCACGAAACAUUAUUUGCAAUCCAAUCUAGCACUAUAUUAGGCAUGGAAUUUUCUUAAAAAUUGAAAAAAUAUAUGGAGCAUGUUUAUUUUUUAAUAGCCAUAUUGAGGAGAUAUUUCAUUUAAUUUACACAUCCAUGUACUUGGUGUUAAUAUGUGGUCUAUAAAUAUCAAACACCAUGGUUACUACUUGUUCAUCCCAAUUCUCUCAUCUUCCCAAGUGUGCCUCAAAAAUUAAAAAAAAAUAUAUAUAUGCUAAACUCUUCAAUACAUUAUAGGUCAAACCAAGCUUCGUUUGCGUAUCAAAAGUCAUUUAUUCAUAGAAAUGUUGAACCUGUAUUAGUCCAUCUACAUCAAGGGUUAAAACCAAAUCCUUCUCAUAUUGGUUUCACCAAUAAUCUCAGUGUUGUUAAAGAGUCAUCCUUUGCUAUGACUUCCAUCAACAGGCCAAUUUCAAUCAAAGUCGUGGUUACAAUCAAACAGUGCAUCAAUGAUUUGUUUCCACAUUUUGGGUUCAAACCAAGGCUCGACCAUAUCACUAAUUGGUGGCCAAGUCAAGCUCUUGGUUUGGAGUUUAUUAGCAAUGAGAUGGAUCCAAGUAUGUUAAUUUACUUAGCUUUAUAUAUCAAUGUUUUUAUAUUUAAGACAUAGAUAAUUUAGACUUCAUAUAUAUAUAAUGUAUUGAUCAGCAACAGGAUUGGAGAAGGGAACAACAAAAGCUUAUGCAGAGAGAGUGAAGAGAAAGGAUAACGAGGUAAUUGUGUAUGAGACAAAGGUGGUAAUUCCAGCAGAUUUUGGUGCAAUUGGAGGAGUUUUGGUUGAGAAUGAACACAACAAAGAGAUGUUUCUUAUGGACAUUGUGAUUCAUGGAAUUCCAACACAAUAUCAUCUUCAUUUCCCAUGCAAUUCUUGGAUUCAGAGCAAAGAUAGAAGAAUCUUCUUCACCACUAAGGUCAUUUAAUUUCUAUAAUACAUUAUUAUUAUUCUUUUAUCUCUUUCCCAUUUAUCCUCGCUGUAAUCUUAACCCAACUAAUUAUCUAUAUUUGAAAUAACAUGAGCAUGUUGUUUAAAUUUGUUUACAUUAUAUCUUUAACCACCUAAAAGAUCUCCAGUAAACAAAAUAAAAGAAAAAAAAUUAUGUAAGUUCUGAUUUUUCCCUUUGAGGAAGUUUUGAUUUUUUUUCUGCAUUUUUUUAAUAAUAAUAGAUGGGAAAUAAAUGAUAAAAGCUCACUAUUCUUUCAUCUUUUUGGGUUACGUUCUUCAAUUAUACUGAGUUAUUUGUUGUUUGAAGCGGGAACAUUACAAUUAGUAUUUGUAGAAAAUAUAAAAAACUAAUCACUAAUAUUGCACUUAACUUCUAAUAAGCCAUUAGAUCACAUCCCUUUAAUUUAGUUAUUUUGAUUUGUUUUUUAACAGUUCACAAGAGGGAAAUAAUUGGUCGGUAAGAAGCACUCAGAUAUCUAAAAUCUAACUAGAGGGUUCACUUAUUUUUACCAACCAAUUAUUAAUGGCCCAAGUGAUCAAGAAGGUAAUUCGUGGCCACAAGAAAAUAAUUACAAAUACUGAAUACAAUUACGUACUGAGCAGAAGACAAUUAUUGAUGACCCACAAGAAAUAGUACAAGGUGUUGAAUACACAAUGGUUAAUUCAUUGCACAAUAUAGCAAAGCUCACACCCUGCAAAAUUUGGCUCUCACAUUUUUUUCCUAUUCAUGUUGUACACUUUUGUCCAAUGUGGUUUUGAAUAAUUAGGUACUAAUUCUAAAAACCAAACUCUAUACUUAAAUGUUUUUUCUAAAAAUCACUACUCCAAUCCUAACUUUUAAACAAGAAAAAACUUGAAGCAAUUAUAUACGUGCUUAACGAUACGAUUUGGUAAUGUGAUGGAUGUUCAGUCAUAUUUGCCGUCAAAUACACCAGAUGGACUAAAGAGAUAUAGAAGAGAAGAGCUUAGAAAUUUGCAAGGCAAUGGAUAUAAGAAACAUGAGAGCCACCAUAGGAUAUACGAUUAUGACGUGUACAAUGAUCUCGGUGAUCCUGACAAAGGUGUUCACCAUUCAAGACCCAUUCUUGGUGGUAAAAAAUUUCCUUAUCCUCGACGUUGUAUGACGGGUCGUCCUCGAACCUCAUCAGGUUUUCUUGCAUAGUUUUCUUCUUCAUAUUAUUUCUAUUUUUCGAACCUUUUCUUUUUUGUGAAUUGGGAAAGUAAUAAUUAUUAAUGUUAACUGUAGAUUCAUUAUCAGAAGUCAGAAGUAUGGAGUUUUAUGUGCCACGAGAUGAAGCGUUCUCCAUAUCAAAACAGGGAAAUACAUUGAUGAAGGCAUUUAAUUCCAUGUUACAUGGCUUCUUAUUACCAGCUUUAGAGGACAACUUCAAUAAACAUUAUUCCACUCUCUUUGAAACAAAACAUGAUCGUUCUCCUUGUCCUAAACUUGUUCAAAUCCUUACUGAUAAGGCCAUGGAUAUCUUACUCUUGCAUUCUUCGCAGACAUCCUAUGGUAAACAUAACAACUUUAUAAUAAUAUAUUUUGUCUUGUUUUAUUUUAUUUAUUAUAUUGAGAUGGAGUUUAAUUUAAUUUCUUCAUUAUUUUUCAGGGGACAAAUUCUUUUGGUUUAGAGAUGAGGAAUUUGCUAGACAGACCCUUGCAGGUCUCAAUCCGUAUAGCAUAAGACUUGUCACGGUACGACAUGCAAGCUUGAAUCAUUUUACUUCCAUAGUAAAUAAAAAUAAAAAUUAUCCAAGAAAGAUACUUGGGUGGUUUCUUUUGUUUCUGUGGAUGAUAAAAGUAGGAUAUAUAAAGAUUAGUGCAUCUUUGAGACGCACCUAUAAAGUACUUUUUGAUCUAUGAAUCAUCUCUUUUGUAAUCUCUUUUCUUGUCUAUGAAUCAUCAGCACUUUAGGCCUUGGGGUGUGGUGAGGGUGUAAGGUGUAAGGUGAUGUCAACCUAAGUUGAAAUGUACGUCUUGAUGCACUUUCGGAUCUCUCUUACUUGCUGUGAAUAUUUUUUAAAAGAAAAAAAAAGAAAAAAAAAAGACAUACCCAAGUAUUGCUCAAGAAUCAUUAUUGUAUCUACCUGUGCAACACAAACUGCACAUUAAAAGAGUUGUGAAGGUUUUUCUCAAAAAGAAGAGUUGCACAAGUUGUAUCUUAAGUUUUCUUUCUUAAAUUUUACAGUAACACACUUGUACCUCACAACAUUUAUAAGAUAUAUACCAACAAAUGAUUAAUAUUCUUUAUCGAUUGAUUUUGAGAUGAAACUUUAUAGUUUAAUAUUCAACAAAAAUAAAAGUAAAUAUUAUUAGUGAACCUAAAGAAACACUAUCGAUAAUUGAUAUAACUUUGGAGUAUAAAUGAAAAGACUAAUUAUGCUAAAACAAAAAUUUAUCCAGGAAUGGCCAUUGAAGAGUAAGCUUGACCCUUCUAUUUAUGGUUCCCCUGAAUCCGCAAUCACUGAUGAAAUAGUUGAGCAACAAAUAAAAGGAGUCAUGAGUCUUGAUGAGGUAAUAUAUAUUAUAUCAAUAUUAAUAUAUAUGGUUUCACUUAGAUUAUAUUAAUGAUAUAAUUGUAGCAAUUAAUAUUUGAAUAUGUAUCAUUUGUUUGUGAGAAUGCAGGCAUUGAAACAAAAGAAGUUAUUUAUAUUAGAUUAUCAUGAUGUGUUCAUACCAUAUGUAGCAAAGGUAAGAAAGCUGAAAGGGAGAACAUUGUACGGUUCAAGAACAUUAUUUUUCUUAAACCCAGAUAGCACUUUAAGGCCACUAGCUAUUGAGCUGAGCAGACCACCCAUUGAUAACGAACCACAAUGGAAAGAUGUUUUCACACCAUGUUGGGAUGCCUAUGGCCUUUGGCUUUGGAGGAUCGCCAAAGCUCAUGUUCUCGCUCAUGACUCUGGUCAUCACCAACUUAUUACUCAUUGGUCUGUAUUAAUUGAUAUGUUAUUAAAUUUUACUUGUACCAAUUCAGCUGAAGUUUUUGGUUUUAAUUGGUGAUUUAAGAGUAUAUUUGUUGCAGGCUGAGAACUCAUUGCUGCGUGGAACCUUAUGUGAUUGCUACACACAGACAACUAAGUGCAAUGCAUCCUAUGUAUAGACUAUUGCAUCCGCACCUUCGGUAUACCAUGGCGAUCAAUGCAGCGGCUAGGGAAGCCCUUAUCAGUGUAGAAGGGCUUAUUGAGAAUAUCUUCUCAACAGGAAAAUAUUCUAUGGAAAUUAGUUCCUUGGUCUAUGACAAACAAUGGCAAUUCAACUUAGAAGCUUUACCUGCUGACUUAAUUCACAGGUAAUUUUAUCUUUAAGACUGAAAAAACUAAUGCAAAGUAACCUAACUCGAUAAAUAUAUUUUCAUGCCUUAAUCUCAUACAAAUAUCAAUUAAAACAAGGAUAAUUGUUUUAAGAUAUUCAAGAAGACUUAAAAUACUAAUGCAUUUUUUAUUUUCACUCUACUAAAUUUUUAUUUGUUUUUUUAUUCUCUUUACCAAUGUUUUCAAAGAGCAGAAAUAAUAUUUUAAGAACUAAAUUAACCAUAUUUAGUAGAGUGCAUUUUUUUAAAAGAAUAUAUAAGUUAAUAGAUGCAUUCGAACAUCUUUGCCAGGUAGACAUAGCACCAUCCUUAUUUUUGUUUCAUUAAUAUCAAAAAAUAAGGACAUGAACCAAGGAAUGUCCAAAGAAAAGGACUAGAGAGUAUAGCCCAACAAACCCAAAUAAUAGUUAUUACAAAAGCAUGAAUGAUUAAUGCAAUAGAACCUAGCCUACAAAAGUUUAAUACAAUAGAACUCGCCUAUAAAAUUAGCUCUACUACUCUAGAGGCCCGUGAGUACAAAUUACCAAUCGUUAACAAAUGAUCAUAUAUGUUCUGUGCUUGUUCUUUAAAAGGGGAUUAGCUGUUGAAGAUCCAAAUGCAGCUCAUGGUCUAAAGUUGAGUAUUGAAGACUACCCUUUUGCCAAUGAUGGGCUAAUUCUUUGGGAUGCCAUCAAAGAAUGGGUUACAGAAUAUGUAGAUCAUUACUAUCCCAACCCAAAUGUUGUGAAUUCAGAUGAUGAACUUCAAGCAUGGUGGACAGAAAUUCGAACUGUAGGCCAUGCAGAUAAAAAGGAUGAACCAUGGUGGCCAAUUCUCAACACUCCUAAAGACCUCAUUGACAUUGUCACAACCAUCAUCUGGGUCACUUCUGGGCACCAUGCUGCCGUUAACUUCGGACAAUAUUCUUUCGCAGCUAGUUAUUAUCCGGCUCGACCUAGUCUUACACGGCUCAACAUCCCUACAGAACAACCUAACUCACAGCUUUGGGAUUGCUUUCUUGAAAAUCCAGAAAACGUGUUUUUAGAAACUUUUCCUACGCAUUUUCAAGCGACGUUACUUUUGUCGAUUUUGAAGAUAUUGUCAUGUCAUUCUCCAGAUGAGGAGUAUUUAGGAGGGGAUAUGGAAGCAGCAUGGGAAGAUGAGGAUGUUAUAAAGGAAGCAUUUUAUAAGUUUAGAGCAAAACUGCAAAAUUUGGAAGUGAUUAUUGAUGAAAGAAAUGCUAAUCCUAAUUUGAGAAAUAGACAUGGAGCAGCUGGAAUUGGGCCUUAUCAACUUUUGAAGCCAUUUUCAGAGCCUGGUGUUACAGCUAGAGGGGUUCCUAAUAGUGUUUCCAUUUGAAUAUUUUCUUACAAAAUCGAAUAGUAAAAAGUCAUGUAAAUAAAAGUUAAUAUUAGUUGAGAAGAAAACAAUAUUGUGUAUAUGAAUGAUUUGAAAUGAUAUUAUAUCUACCAUUCUGUCUUGUUUUACCGUACAUACAGUAAUUCAUUCACACAAUCAAGCUUUUUUUAAAAGUCACUGCCAUAUUCAAAGAUAAUAAUUGCUUGUAAGAAAUAAUAUACAUUUCAUAAAAUAUUGAUUACUAAAAAUUACUUUUGAAAGAAAACAAUAACAUAUCUUGUUUUAUGUGUAUGGAAAUUACAACUAUAAGUUAUAAAUAAUAGCUGAUUUGACUUAAAGGUUUCCUAAGAUCUAUUCAAUAUUUGAAGUUUCACAAUUUUCAAUUAUUGCAUCUUUACAAGUAAUUGAUUUCAUCUUCCUUGGAAUUAUUAUCUGAUCGUGUUGUGAAAAUAAAAAAUAAGUUAAUGAUUUAAAAGAAUGUGACACAAAAAGAGAAAAUUAAUUAGAUAAACUAAAGUGUAGAGACGUGUUCUAACUAAUUGGAUUAAUUUUCAUAAAUAUAAUUAAACAUAAAAAAUAUUUAUGGUUCUCGCAACAAAAUAAAAAAGUCCAUGAAACAUGUAAUUUUUUUCCAUAAAUUUUAGAUCUAUCCUUAAUAUUGUGGACAAUUCGCCACUUAUCUUCCUUCUUCUUUGUUGUGAUUUAUAUAUAUUCUCUUCGGCUCUUUUUUCAAAUUUUCUUUCUUCCAUUUUUAUUCUCUUUUUUUCGAGAAGGGUAUGAUGGGUCAAUUGGGUGCGUCCAGACAUUUCAACUAAGUGGACACCCCAUAGCACCUCUUUUCUCCUUUUUCUUUCUUUAUUUUUUCAUCUUCUAUUUUUUUCUUACAACUCUUCUAGAAUAUUAAGAUCGUUUAAAUAUCACUUUGAUAUAAUUUAAAUAAUCGUUUAACCUGGUCAACACGAUCAUCUAUAUUUGAAUCCAUUUUUUCAUCGUUUAAAAAAAAUUACACGAUCGUGUGGAUAUGAUUUAAACAAUCAUUUAUCUAGUCAACACAACCAUUUACACCUUAAGCCAUUUUUCUAUCGUUUAAAAAAACUACACGGUCAUGUGGAUGUGUUUUAAUGAUCACUUACCUAAUCAACACGAUUAUUGUUUAGAUUUGUACCAUUUUUUCCAUCAUUAAAAAGAACUAUACGAUCGUGUUGAUACUACCUACAUGAUCGAAUAUCAUGAUGAUUUAGAAGAAGAAUUACAUGCGCGUGUAUGACCGACUAAUUACGUGUUGACUGUGAUAUUUUUGGUAUUUUCAUUGUGAGCCUAUGAGCUUCUUUCUUUUUCGAAAUUGUUCUACAUAAUGUAAAUAUUUUAUGGGUUUGUUAUAUAUAUUUUUAAAACCACUAACAAAUAACCUAUUUGUACUCAUCUUUUCACUAUGUUAUUAUUUUCUUUCAAAAUAUCAUAAUUUAGUCACUAUUUUUGAAAAUUGGCAAAAAUAACACAUUUUUUUAGAUGACACCAAGGUUUUCCUAAAAUUUUAAUAUUGUUCGACCUAUCGAUUAUUUUGGGUUAUCCACAUCUGGUAGACAAUUAGAUCGAAAUUCUACCAUUUUUCAAAUAUUCUCGCAUCGUAUUUAAUUUUUGCUAUUUUGUCCAAUUUCUUCAACUAUUUAUUCUAAAUUACCCUAAUUUCUCAAAAAUAAAUAUUCAGUGCUUCAUAAUGACAACGGAAUUAAUAAAGUAACAUUGAUCUCCUACACACUUCUAGCAAGAUCAGAAAAAAAUAGACAUUAAAAAGAAAAAUGGAAAAAAAAUUAUGAAAUUCGUAGUUCAGUUAUCUAUUUAUAGAGAUAAAAAGUAACAAUUACAUAAAGCGAGUAGAUAUGUUAAACAAAAAUAAAGAAACAAAAACUUCUAUAUAAAAAAAAAAAAAAAUCAACGUGAGCUUGAGCUCAUUCUACAUUUUAGAUUUAGAUUUAGAAGAUUUAUAUUUUGUAGGGUUUUUGAUUGAAAACCAUUUUAGAGUUUAUCUUCCAUAUAACACAUUUUUCAACAGACAUUUAUAUGUUCUCGAGAACGAGAGGUAUGAAGUUCAUAUUUCUUCACUCAUAUAUAUGUGUUGGAAAAAAGUUUAGAAAAACCUCCCAUUAAAGCUCUUUUUAAAUAGAUGCACGUAUAAAUAGAUAAAAGAUAAACUAGGAAUACCUAAAAAUCUAUUUAAGUUUUUUUAAAAAAAUUAUUCUCCCUACAAAAACUAUUAUAUAUUUUUUUAAGAAAUUGGUCCGUGUGUGAAUAUUAAACCUUUUUUUUUAAAUAUUGUUCAUUUUUAGUGAAUAUAUACCAAAAUUAUUAAUUUUUAGACAUUUUUAAAAACAGCAAAAUAAAUUAAAAUAUUCACAAGAUAUAACACAAAUUUUGGAUUCUAUCGAUGAUAGUUAUUGAUAGACUUCUAUCACUGGCUAUCAAAUGUUUGUUAUUGAUAGAAUAUAAAAUUUUGCUAUAGUUUGUAAAUAUUUUGUUACAUUUGCUAUUUUUGACAAUUUUUUUAAUUUUUUAAUCAAUUUGUUCCCGCGAAAAAUCUAUUAUUAAAAAAAAAAAAAUUGUUCCUUGUGUGAAUAUAUUGAAAUCAAUUAUUGAAAAAAAAAUUAAAUUUUACUUGUGAGACUAAAUAGUUGAAGAAAAUGAGAAUAUAUUGAAAUCAAUUAUUGAAAAAAAAAAAUUUUACUUGUGAGACUAAAUAAUUGAAGAAAAUGUGAGAAUAUAUUGAAAUCAAUUAUUGAAAAAAAAAAUUAAAUUUUACUUGUGAGACUAAAUAAUUGAAGAAAAUGUGAGAAUAUAUUGAAAUCAAUUAUUGAAAAAAAAAAUUAAAUUUUACUUGUGAGACUAAAUAAUUGAAGAAAAUGUGAUGGUUUUUUUUGUUUCUAAUUUGUAAGGAGAAAUUUUAUAGGUCAAUAACUCGUACCUUUUCAAAUAGUAUACGUUUUUUUUAUAAGAAAGCCGUAAUAAAUUAAUUUAUAAGUAGGUGACCACUAUAGAUCGAACUCAUGAUCUCUUAAUUAAUUAUUGACAUUUUUACCACUAGGUCAACCUAGGACGAAUUUUUUUAAAUAGUAUAGAUUAGUCUUUUUUUUUUUUUUUUCAAUUACACUUGUAACAUUAAAGACUAUAAUGAGUUGUUUACAAAUAUAACUAAACAAAAUAUAUUUACAAAUAUAUUAAAAUAUCACUAUCUAUUAGUAGAAUACAUUAAUUAACUAUUAUCAUUUAAUUAGUUGAAUUGCGUGUUAGCUAGCUUAGAUACUUGCGACCACAAAAAAAUCAAAAUAAACAUGGUAGAAUAAAAAAUUAUUAUAAAUAACAAAAUUGUUAAAAAUAUUUACAAAUAUAUAACAAAAUUUCAGAUUCGAUCAAUAAUAGACAUUAAUAACCACCAAUAGACUUCUAUACUUCAAUAUUUUCAUUGUUAGAAUUUAAAAUUUGAAAAUGAUCGUGUAAUAAAAUCAUAAAACUAAUAUAUUAAUUGAUCAAAGUGGAAUGAAAAUGUUUCAACAUAUAAUGUGUUAUGUUGGUAUGUGACAUGAUAAAAAGGAAAACAACAAAUUAAAAAGUGUAAUUACAACUUAUAACUAAUUACAUAAAUAAAUAAUAAAAAAAAAUAAAAACUUCCUGCUUUCAAAAAAAAUGAAAUUGAAAAUGAGAGAGAGCUUUAUCAGCAAUAGCAAUUAGAUCAUGUAGUUUUUUAGAGCAGAUACAUCGAAACAUUUCCAUUAAGUGAACACUUAAUCUAAACAUUUAUGCUAAGUGAACACUUUUAUAGCACUCUCGUCAUUCUCAUUACAUUAAUGAUAAAGAAAUGAAGCACGUAAAGCAAAGAAGACAAAUACCAUUACUCACUCUCAAAUUGUGGACCAUUUUUAUAGACAUGUGUUUUAAAUUUGGGAUUAAAAGGAUAUUUUCGUCAUUUUCCUUUUGUUAUAAUAAUGUUGUAUAUUAUCUCAAAAUACCAUUUUUCAUAUUAUACUAUUAUUAUUAUUAUCAUCAUCCUUUCAAACCCUAGCUAUGGAUAAAAAAGCAAUAUCUUCUUGCUUCCUUACACAAAUUAUUGAGCCACUACUUCCAACUUCCACAUGAUCCUAAUCUCAAAUAAUAAUUCCUCUUGCUGCCUCCCUAUUACUCACAAGGUCCUACUUUCAUUUAUUGAGGACUUUUUUUUAUAUAUAUUAAAUUCUCUUUUCUUUCACUUUCAAAUCUCAUUAUUCAACAUAACUAUUCUUUAUAUAUAUAUAUAUAUAUAUAUAUAUAUGAACCUUUAUACUUUUGGAUUUACAUAUAUAAAUUCUGGUUAAUUUUAAUUAAGGGUAGAUUUUUGUACUUGGCAGAGAAUGCAUUGUGGAAAAGUAUCUUUAGAGAUGAAAAAGAGGAAAGAGGGUUGAGAGCUGGAUCUGAAAGCUUUUAUUGCAUGAACAAAUUUAUCUUUGAUCUCUCUCAAGGAAUAUGAUAAAAACGCCUUCCUAUUAUGAAGACACAAUCUUCAAAGCGUCAGACUCUUUGGUCUCUCAAUUGACACACUAUUUCUUGUCUAACUCACAUUCAAUUGCAAGCGUUAAAGCUUCAGCUUCAAGGCUGGCCUAGCUAACACUCUAAGGACUGACUUAAAUUUGCAACCACAUAAAAUUGUACUAUAUCGUUCAUUUCAAACAAGUAUUCAUAUUCACUUAUCUCUCAAAAUGGCAUGCACUAUGUCUGUAGAAUUUUCAAAUCCAUUUUAGGGUGCAUUUGAGUUGACUUUCUAAACAAUCAAAAUCGUCACUUUUCGAAAGUUAAAAUGACAAAAAUUAACUAAAAUUAAUCAUCAAAAUGAACAUUUUGAGACUAUAAAACCAAAGUUAAAAAGCAUAUAAACAUUGAAGUAGCAUUUAAACCAAUUACCAAUAGAUAUUAAUUGUACUAAGUCUAUACUAACGAAAUUUCAUUUAUAAAAUGAAUAUAAAUCUCAAACGUAAUUGGAAUUAUUUUUUUUAUCACAUGCUUUUAAGUAUUAUGAAGUUGUCACAAUGAUUGUUAUUGUUCUAUAAUUUUUUAUUGUUCUAUAAUUAAUAUUUAUAGUUACUGUUACUUUAUUGUUACAACUAGACUCUAGCAAUAAUGAAAAGGAUAAUAGUAACAUUAACCAUAAAUAUAUAUCGACCUCUUGAAAGUACGGUCUAACCAUAAAUAUAUAUCGACUUCUGGAGAGUACGGUCCAUUGAGAUGAAAGUAAUCAUUUUUGGAGAGUACGGUCUAUUAAGAUGACAAAGUAAUCAUUUGAAUAGUGCUUCUCUCUCUAAUGAACUUUGCUCCAUCAACCAAAUGAGUAUAAAAGACACUAUCAUCCACAAAUAUUGUUGAUCUCCUCUUUUCUUUGGUUACACACGACUGAAAAGAAAUAAUAGAAUCUUCAAAGAACAAAAACAUCUGGGAAGAUAUUUGCACCCUCUCUAGAUACUGGACAAGUAGAUCUGUCCUCUUUGUCAACUAUAGUCCGAGUACCAUUAUUGAUUUAAAUUUACAUGUUUUUGUAUAACUUUUCAUUAUAGGGGCUAGCCCUCUAUUGUUGUUCCCUUGCUUUGUUAUACUUAUCUUAUAUCUUUAAUGAAUCGAAAAUAAUGAUGAUGCUACGAGGGUGUUCACCUAGGUGAAGAUGUUGAUGUGCACCUACUGACCCAACAAAAAAAAAGAAAAAACAAUAACCAUAAAUAUGACCUUUUAUAAUUCAAAUACCAUAACAAUAAUAAUAACAAUAUCUAUACCGAUAAUCUUAACAAAUUCAAAGUGGACCUCACAUUUCAUUAAGAUCAUAGAAGACAAAUAAACAACAACAAACUUAAUAAAAUAGAAUCUACUUUUUUAGAUUACCAUAGGACAUCAACGUUUACACAAAUACAACAUUAAUAAUAAUAAAAAGGAGAUAUAUUCUUUUUUAGAAUAAUAAAAAGAAAUACAAACUAUUUACCCUCUAUAAAAAAACCCACUAAAAAACAAAAACUCAUUAAGUUUAAUUUUAAUAAAUAGUUUGUUCAUUUUGCUAUUUUUGACAAUUUCUCCUAAAAGAAGAGUAUCGUACAUCUUAUACAUUAAAUAAAUAAAUAAAAAAAAGGCAUUUAGAAGAAAAAUAGAUGAUUAAUUUUAAAAUGAAAAGGUUAAAUUAAAUAGUUCCAAGACCUUGAUGAACAAAAAGAAAAACAAAUAUGAGAGGUGAACAAAAUUAUCUAAGUCGUCUUUCUAUGAUGGAGAUUUUUUCAUAUACAUAUACAUACACACACAGACACACACACAUACUAUAUAUAUAUUUGUAUUUUUCAGUUAGUCCAUCUAUAUGAAGGUGACACAUUGGCUGUACGAUAUUAUUUAGAUACACAGUGGUGUGGUUGAAAUCCAUAUCUGAUCCCAAACUCCACUAGAUAUUUCCUACACAUUUGGCCUUACUAUUAUUUCUUCCACAAUCCAAUUCCAAACGAUUUUCUCGUGCUUCCCUUUUCUUAUCCCAUACAAUAUAUAUAUAUACACAAAUAUCAUACCCAUUCUACGUAUUCUUACGCUUAACUGUAAAAUUUCGAUAGGAUCUGAUGCACUGCAGUUUUAAACUUGGUAGAGUUACACCAACAAUAGACUUUGAUCAAAUAAUAUAUACAGUAUACACCACAUGUUUAUCAUAACAAUACCUUCAGUUAGUUUUAAAAACUAGUACAAGGAUAAAACUAAUGUUAUUGAAUUAUACAUUAUUAAUUAAUUAACUUUGGAACAUAUUUUAUUAUAAACAAGGCAAAAACAUAGCAUGAAUGGUAUUUUAUUUGCUUAAUUACACAAAAUAAUAUCUAAACUUUGAAUUAUAUUUUAAUAACGUUUAAUUUUUGGGCUCUAAAUUCUUUUUUAAUUUCUAUCCAAUUUUGAAAUUGAAUGAUGGGUAUAUGAUAUUAUACAGAUUAACAUCGCUAUUAUGUUUUUUUUAUAAUUAUUAUUAUGGAAAAUCAUUUAUUUUUAUGAGUGCAUAUAUAUUUUUUUAAUUUAAAAGAAAAAAAGGGUAUUCAAAGUUCAAAAAAUGAAAUUAAAUUCAUGGUAGUGGAUGGAUAUUUGAAAAAUGAGAAAGAUUGUAAAGAAAAAUAUCUUGUGAAUAGGGACAAAGAAAUCCUAUUCAAAUUAAACCAAAAGAGAAAAAUAAAAAUUGCCAACUUCUCAUUAACUCUAUAUUUUACAUUAUUCUAUAAUUCUACUACUUUUGGAAUUUGGAAUUUAAAAAUAUAAUGAGUAUGGGAUGAAAAAACUUUAAUUGGUAUUAGGUGAUAUAUAUGUUCAAAGUUGAUUUAUUUUUUAGUAAUAAUAAUGAGAAAUUUGUCUCAUUGUAUUUAAAAGGUAGGUCUCCACUUACAUUUUAAAAUAAUAAUAACAAGAAAUUUUUCGAUGUUGGAGUAUACCUAGUGAUCCAAAGGCAUAUAUAUUUUUUUUAAAAAUGUAUGUGUUCACAUAUUAUAUAGUUAAUAAUGUUGGUAUAAUAAUUAAUUUUAGUUGCUUCUUCUAUAACUCUAUUUAACAAACUCAGUAUAUCUCUUUUUUUUCUUUCUCUGUGUAUAGUUCAAAUGUGUGUGGGAAGAAGAUACGUGUUUGAAGUCUCUAAAUAAAAAUGUCCUUUUCUCAUAUGUAACAUAUUAUCCUAACCUAUAUCUAACUAGUUCGAAUAGACUAUGUUUUGAAUAACGUAGCAAAAUUAACAACAAUCAACAAUAAAUUAUCACACAAACGUAACUCAAAUUAUAUACAUAAAUUAAACAGGGAAGAGUUAAUUAUUCCACAUGGGUGUAACAUUAUUGUCUUGAAAAUUCUCAACCUUUGAAAAGGAAAAAAGAUGAGAUUUAACACCCUUCUAGUUUGUUUGGUUAAACAUGGUAGAAAGAGGGACAAAGGUCAGUACUUUGAAAAAUUCGCCAUACCAUCUUAGUAAGGAAGUUGUAAUUAUGUUAUAUUUAUUAACCUUCAUAUAUUUCUUUUCUAUUUUUUUAACAUUUUCAAAUACAACAAAAUAAAUCAAAAUAUUUACAAAAUAUAACAAAUUUUUAAAUUCUAUUAUAUAUAUAUAUAUAUUUUCAUCCAUACUUUUCAUGAUAAAAUUUGAGACAUCAUAUUAACUUUGGAUUGGCCUCUAGCUGACUACAAAAAAUCUGUGCAAUUUGAGAUACGAAUGGGAACACGGCAGAUGGCUCCCAUGGUCCAUAUCUCUUCUGUACUGACUUUUCAGGUUCGCUGUUUAACUUCAGUGAAAUAACCAUUCCCUUUUGUUUUUUUUUUUUUUUUUUGCAUUCAUUGUUUGAACAUAUAGAAGAGAUUCCUAAUCAAUUAUAAUCCCAUUUCUUUCUAUUUCCCCUUUCGGUACAAUUUUAAUUACCAAACAAAACUUAACUCUGGGGCCGCUUCAAUCUGAAACAAUCUCAUUUGAGAAAGUUGUGUAAUAAAAAUUCGUCAACUAAACUUAUAGCGGAACUCGUAUUUACAACAUAAAAGAGUGAAUUUGCAUUGUAUGAGACAAAUUCAUUCAUUACUAUUUGGGGUGUAAAACGAAACCAAAUUUUCAAGUAUAAAUAGACAUACAAAGGCAAGGGAGUUCUCCGUGGAGGAAAGGAAUUAAGUAUCGUUUUAAGUUAAACUAAAGAAAAAUGCUGAAAUCUCAUCAUGUGUCUUCCCAUUCGAGUUUAGAGGCUGCAGCGUUUGUAAACCCAAAGCCAUUUCUUUUGAGUAAUGCAAAGACGACUUUGCUUCCAAUAAGAUGGGACGGUGGGAGACAAAAUGCAAAGUCUCAUCGUCUACGUUUGGCUGGGCGGCCUUCCACCGUUAUCAAAGCCAGUACCGUCGCCAGUUCGACGGAGAAGGCGGUUGCGGUUAAAGUUUUUGUGACUGUAAAACGAGUUCUGGGGACUGGGUUGUAUUUGGAACGAGGGCUUGAUGACCUUGCUGAUCUUUUUGGUAAAUCGCUUCUUUUGGAGCUUAUCAGUGCUGAGGUUGAUCCUGGUUAGUGCGUUCUUUUCUCAAUUAAUUUAACUUAAACUUAAUCAUGUGCUUUCUUUUCCCAUUUUGGCAUUCUAAUGAAAUCUCUUAAAAGUGACCAUACCAUGAAUCGUAAGUACAUUCACUCUCCUGUAUGCUAAACCAAAAUAGAAAAAGCUGUCCCAUUACUUUUUUAUUAUUUGAUUGAAGGUAAAUGCAUGAAGAUGAGGGGGAAAAGUAAAUUUGAAGUUUUUUUUUCUUUCUUUCUCAUACUAUAUUAUAUUUGAGUGAAAUUUAUCAAAACAAAACCUCACUCACGUGGAUGGAUUCUUGCUUGCAGCUCUCUUCUCUUUUCCUAUCUCGCUCUCUUCACUCUCUCCAACUCGUCUCUCAGGCUCACGCUCACGCCUCUCUCUCUCUCCUUUUCUUUCUCUAGUGUACUUGUCUUGCUCUCAUUCCGAUCUCUCUAUCUUGGUCUCAUCUCUCUCUCAUGUUGUCCCGGCCUCCUCUUUCUUACUCUCCCCGUUAUCACCAUCUUUCUCUUGAUCUAUUCACACACACACACACUCUCUCUCUUUCUACUGCAUCUAAUAGUUUAGAGGAAUAUUACUAUGAGCAACACAAAUGGAGGAAGGAAAAUGGUGAAGAAGAAGAAAAGGAUGAGAAAAAAAUGAAAAAAGAAAGAAUGAUAAAUUAAUUAAGGGAUAUUUUGUAACUCUCUAGCUAGAUGAUGAAGGUAUGUACGUAUAUAAAAUGUUGAUAAAUACGUAUCACUGGUAGAAAGUAAAAAUAUUGUUAUAUUAGUAAAUAUUUUCAAUAAUUUUGCCAUUUAAAAUAUUUUUUUUACAUAUUAUCUUAAACUCUAACAAAUUUAAGAGAUACAAAUAAUUUUAAAGCUAACUAAUUUUAAGGGCAUUUUUACUUAUAAUGUACUAAACCAAAAUAUUUACAAAUAUAGCCAAUUGUAUCCGCUUCUAUCACAUCGGCGUUUAUCGAUGCAUUUAAUAGACCAUGAUAAAAUUGGAUACUUUCUUAUAUUUUGUAAAUAUUUUUAGUAGUUUUGCUAUAUUCAAAAAUAUUUUUUAAAAAAGAAUAUUGACAAGCUUAGAUAUUUAUUAGCAUCUUGUCUUUUAUAUUUAUAUAUGUAUACACAAACAUAUAUAAACAAGAUAAUUGUGUUAGAUGACAACUACUUAAUAUACUUUUAAAAAUUGCAAAAAAUGUUGUAAGCAAGUUGGUUCGUUUUAUAUUUUCAUAUAUUUGAAAGUAGCUUAACAAAACGAACUCUACGUAACCCUUCUUUUCUUAGAAUGAAAUAUGUAAUGAAUGAAUAUAACUAAAGAAAAAGUAUGAAUGUAUGAUUGUUAUAGUAACGGGAUUGGAGAAGGGAACGAUAAAGAAAUAUGCUCAUAAAGAGGAUACGGAACGUGAUGAGAUUAUAUACGAAGCAGACUUUGAAAUUCCUCCUGAUUUUGGUCCAAUUGGAGCCAUUUUCGUUGAGAAUGAACAUCACAAAGAGAUUUUUCUCAAGGAUGUUGUCAUUGAAGGCCUCCCCUCUGGCCCUCUCAAUUUCGUCUGCUCUUCUUGGAUUAAUGAGAAGGAUUAUGACGACAGCAGGAGAAUCUUCUUCACCACUAAGGUAACUCCUCAUUUUAUUGCUCAGAUACCAGUACAAGAAAAGAAAAAAUAACUCCUCUUUUUGUCUAAUUCUAAACUAUUCCAUGUUGGUUAGUCAUAUUUGCCAUCCAACACUCCUGAGGGCCUAAAGAGACUUAGAGAAGAAGAGCUCAAAGUUUUGCAAGGGGAUGGCGUUGGCAAGCGUGAGAACCACGAAAGGAUAUAUGAUUAUGAUGUCUACAAUGAUCUAGGCGAUCCCGAUAGAGAUCUCGCUCUCAAAAGACCUGUGCUUGGUGGAAAACAAUUCCCUUAUCCUCGUCGAUGUAGAACCGGACGCCCACGUUCUAAAAGAGGUGUCUGCUUUUUUUUUUUUUCUUUCUUUUUUUCUAUAUUAUAAAUCUAAUUAUAUGAUGUAUACUAUUGUAGAUGCUUUAUCUGAAUCAAGAAGUUCAGACAAUUAUGUGCCUCGAGAUGAAGCAUUCUCACCAGUGAAACAAGCAACUUUUAGUGUGAGGACACUGACCUCAGUGCUAAAGGGGCUAAUACCGGCUUUGGAGUCAGUUUCUACUGACACUGAUAUACGUUUCCCACAUUUCCCUGCAAUAGAUGAUCUUUAUGAUAAUGGAGUUCCAUUGCCUGCUGCCAAAGACGGUUUAAGGCAGUUGGCUACUGUCCUUCCAAGGCUUAUUGACACUGUUGCUGAUAGGGCUGAGGAUAUCUUGCGUUUCGUUCCUCCUGAAACAUUUUAUAGUAAGAAACUAAACUAACUAUAACCCAAAUAUAUAUAUGGUGUUUUAUCAUUCAUGACAUUGUUUUUGUUCCUUCUUAUUAUUCAGAGGACAAAUUCUUUUGGUUUAGAGAUGAGGAAUUUGCUAGACAGACACUUGCAGGUCUCAACCCGUACAGCAUAAGGCUUGUUACGGUAUGACAUUGUGUUUCAACCAUGGCAUGUUUUCUAAUCGGUAGUCAAAAUUGGUAUAACUGUAUGAGUUUCUUUUGAUGUCUUAAUUGCAAAUGUAGUUGGAUUGUUUUUUUUAUCACGUUUACUUGAGCGUUCUGACAUUGAUUACGAUUUAGGCUAUUUUCUUUGUGCUUGUCUAGUAUCAGUAUCUUUUUAUCGUUACCCUUUUAGAGUCAAUGGUAAUUAUUAACUAAUGGUGAAAAAUUAAUAAUUUUCUUAGUGUAGUCAUCAUGCUAUAUAUAAUAGCAACGUAAACUAUCUAGGGACAAAAAACAAAAAAUUGUUCAAAAUUAUCUGAGAAAAAGCUAGUGGCUCUCCUGUAACUUCCAAAUGCAAUGGGAUAACCAUUUUCCUUGUAUAAUGUACUAAACACCAUUAACGCUAACCUGAUGAGGAGUUUGAUUAAUGCAGGAAUGGCCAUUGAAGAGUAAGCUUGACCCCGCUGUUUAUGGUGAUCCUACAUCAAAAAUCACUACUGAAAUAGUGGAGCAACAAAUCAAAGGUUUCAUGACUCUGGAUGAGGUAUGCCCUUGGAGAUUGUUCACAUUUUGACUUAAAGAUUGGAUUCUUCAAUCACGUGUUUUUUAUGACAUGUUUUCUGGGGGGUGCAGGCUUUGAAAAACAAGAAGCUAUUUAUACUAGAUUACCAUGACCUCUUCCUACCAUAUGUAGCCAAAGUACGAAAACUUAAAGGCACCACAUUGUAUGGUUCAAGGACAUUGUUCUUCUUACACAAAGAUAGCACUCUAAGACCGUUGGCUAUUGAGCUCACUAGGCCACCCAUUGAUGGCAAACCACAAUGGAAAGAAGUUUUCACACCCUUUUGGGAUGCCACUCGUGUCUGGCUUUGGAGGGUUGCUAAAGCCCAUGUUUUAGCCCAUGACUCUGGUUAUCACCAACUUGUUAGUCAUUGGUGAGUCAUUUCCUUUCAAAUCUCAACAAUCUAUGGUCAAGUUUUAGUUUCACUACUUUGAUACUUCGCUUCUAAAAUGAUGUGUUUUUGGUUUUCUAUGCAGGCUUAGAACUCAUUGUUGUGUAGAACCUUACAUCAUUGCAGCAAACAGACAACUUAGUGCAAUGCAUCCAAUCUAUAGACUUUUGCAUCCUCAUUUUCGAUACACCAUGGAGAUCAAUGCACUUGCUCGUCAAGCUCUCAUCAAUGCAGAUGGGAUCAUUGAGACUUGUUUUUCCCCUGGAAAAUACUCAAUAGAAUUUAGUUCUGUUGCUUACAAAGCUCAAUGGCAGUUCAACUUAGAAGCUUUGCCUGCUGACUUAAUUAACAGGUGAUUAUUAUCUUUAACUCUUGUUCAUCUUAACUUGGCUUUAAACUGCUUUACUAAAUUUCCUUACCAUCUUGUGUCCAUUGUUGUUAUGGGAAGGGGGUUGGCCGUUGAGGACCCAAAUGCACCACAUGGACUGAAGCUUGCUAUUGAAGACUACCCUUUUGCCAACGAUGGCCUGAUCCUUUGGGAUGCCAUCAAAGAAUGGGCCACAGAAUAUGUCAAUUACUAUUAUCCAGAUCCAAGUCUUGUUAAGGCAGAUGAGGAACUUCAAGCAUGGUGGACUGAGGUUCGAACUGAAGGUCAUGCAGAUAAGAAGGAUGAACCAUGGUGGCCAGUUCUCAAUACUCCUGAAGACCUUAUCAAUAUUGUCACCACCAUCAUGUGGGUACCUUCAGGGCAUCAUGCAGCAGUGAACUUUGGCCAAUACUCUUUCGCUGGAUAUUUCCCAAAUCGACCUAGUAUUGCUAGAAUCAAUGUUCC
Molecule: long non-coding RNA, 332641 nt
Filed under: Cucumis sativus (cucumber)
Lineage: Eukaryota; Viridiplantae; Streptophyta; Magnoliopsida; Cucurbitales; Cucurbitaceae
Description: long non-coding RNA (CSAT_LNC001571)
Source: RNAcentral